GAAUCUGGGAACGUAAACUUCAUCAUUCUCAAGCGACUGAGUGUUGGCGUGGUGACGUCUGUGGCUAAUUUUCCAAGAGAAAUAAGGGACCAUGAGAGAAGAGUGGACAAUAAGGCCAACAAGGUCAUUGAUCCAGCCAUAGUCACUGAAGGCAUCAUGAUCACACUCAUGGCCUACAACCCAAGCCCCGGUGAGGACACAGCCCUGUACAGCAAUGUAAACUGCCCAACCCAAGUAGUUGAUUGGAUGGGGUAAAUACUGGUCUAUGUAAUUUGUGGCAACAUAGUAAAGGGCAUAGGCCAUGAGGAGAUCUUGAAUAAGAUAUCGGAAAGAAGUGAUGAGUGAUUUUUCGAAGCAAUGAGCAGGAAUGGCUUUCUUGAGGUCACCUAUGGUGAAAGGGGGUUUCUCAUGAGGAGCACGUCGAAGUGCUUCUGUUUCAGUUUUUUUGCCUUUAGGAGGAUCCGACAUUCGCCCACCUGCACCCAUUGCCCCUCACAAAAGAAGAUGCAAAUGUUGCUACUCUUCAAGUCACUCUUGGUUUUUGUUGUGUGUUUAGCUGAAGUUGCUCUGUAUUUCCUUAGAACGGGCUCGCUUGUAGAUUUAUAGGAAUGUAUGAUAUCAACAUGUGCGUAGAUAGAAGUGUGGUGAAGCUUAAAGCGCCCGCCAGCCCGCCAGGCAAGGAAAAGUUUGAAUAAACAACUUUGAAUUUGUUAGUGUGUUGGAAUAAAAGAGUAGGAAAUUGCACUAGUUCAGUCGUUUUCAAUGUGUGUUUUAGAGAAGUAUGCCCACAUGAACUGAUUGAGUCGCUAUGUUUUCUCUACGUUUCAAGGUCUCCCUGGGCGGCUGUACUUUCAUAAAUUAUACUCCCUCCGUCCCUCGUGCUAGUUUACGUGCACUGUUUGCACGCAUUUCGAAACUCUUAUAAAGUAUUGUAUUAUAAUUUUUUUUGAAUAAAAGUUUAAACAUCAAACUUUUAUUCAGAGAAAUAAAAAUUAAAAAAUAUAUUAUGAAACUAUACUUUAAAUGAGUGUGGAAAAACGUGCCAAAAAAUAACGUAAAGAAAAUGAGGGGACAGAGCGAGUACUCUUUUAACAUGCAUACUUUUUGUUUUUUUCCCUGAUUUUAUUCGUUUAGUUAUUACAAUAACAGAUACGGUAGCUGACGUUAGCCUAGAAAAUCAUACAUAUCAGAACUGCAAGCAUAUAAUUUGAACUGAUAACGUUUCACUAAUUUAACAUUCAGAACCAGCAGCUUUUUCAUUUUGAUCGAUAGUAGUUUAUGCAUUCGAGUUGAAGAUUGGAAAAUACAAACAAUAGAGAAAUGAUUUUUGAGAGCAACACAAACUUCUGCAUAACAAGUCACUUUCACAAGGAAACUUACAAUGACUCCCCACAAGCUAGACCAAGUGCUUUAAAAAGAGACGAGGCUGAAUUCAAAUCUCAUUUGCAGCUCCUCGUUGUUCACUGGACUGAAGUCGAGUUGUUAACAGUACGUUUUAACUUAUCAGAUACCUAAAUGAUAAGGGGUGAAAUAGAGAUAUACCGUUAAUCAGUAAAAUAUAGCACAGCUAGUUUUUCAAAAGGAACAAUGUUUUGGUUAAGAAACAGAAUCAGAAAAUCCUAUCGUAAAGGCUGAUGCAUUAAUAUGUUGUUAUGUUCAUGCAAAAUAUUACCUUGCUCCUUACAACUAAAAAAAGGAGCUGUCAGACAGACUUCUUGGAUCCAACUGCUGGCGACGAGCUGGCUGUUUAAAACUUCCCUGGCCAUUGAGAGCCACGGACUAGGACCCAUAAUAAAAUCCUUAUUUCCUCUGUUCUUUUCAGUUUAAAAGUUUUUCAUAUCAUAUAGGCAGUUUCGGGCAAUUUAUCAUAGAGGAAGACGCUGCUGUUUACAACGCAUUGAUAAAGAGCGCGGAGCACCCUGUAUGUUUGAGGAGUCUCUGAUUAGGCUUAAAAAGAUUAUUUUUUGUACCAAAGAACUCAUGGUUCAAUGAUAUUUUCCUCGAUCUACUUGCAGGAUAUUGAGGUACCAUUUGAAAGAAAUUAGUUCGUAUGUUAUUCGGCAAUCUCCACAAAGACACAAAAUAUUCAUUUUUACCCUUAAAAUUAAUUUAAACUUGCAUUUUUUUAAUUUGUCUACUAAUUUCAUUCACCAGAACACACUGAUUAGGCAAAAGAUAGCUGAAUCCGGACCAAUUUUUUUUCAUCAAGAUUUAUAUAAAGUUGUCAGUAGCCAAUAAAAAUGAGUGACCUGUGAUCAACUAAAUUAUCUAAAGCUGUCGAGCUGUGAUAUCUUGAUGAUUUCUGGGUCAUCGUAACAUAUCAAAUAAAACGCCUCUCCUCUCUUACGAGUACAAAUCUUGUUUGGUUAUGUUUUUCCCAGACCCAGACUGAGAACUCUGUACUUGAAGAUACCUUUUCUGGUAAAGAAAUGGCAAGUCCCACCGCCCUGAAUCCGUACUCAUCAGCAAAAGGGAACUGAUUCAACAUCGGGUGGUAUGCAGAUAUCAAGACUACUGCAGACAAUUAGCUAGCUUCAUUUACCUGAAUAACCUCAUUCGUUUCAAGUCUUAAACUUGAAACUGAUGACUAAAUAUAUGCCAUUUUUAUAUGAAAUUAUAUUCUUUUGCUCGGCCAUUAAAUUAAACCAAAAGGACAGUCAACAUUAAGAAGGGAGAAUUUAAGCACGACUGCGAAGUGCAUAUAAUCAGAAAGGAAAGUUACUCCUGAUCUUGAACAGAUGAAAGGUUAUAUAUAACUCUUUAUGUAAUUGUAACACAUUUGACCCUAACGAUCUAAAGUUGGCAGGAUCAAUGGAAGGCAAUGCGAAGACAAGUGAAAGAAUAAGAUUCUUGUAAUACCAAGCACUUAAAACUAAAUAUCCUUUUUGUACCAGUAGACUCCUUUGGUCUCGCCUUCAUCUUUCUCCACGUAAAUGCAUUCCUUCAUUUCUCUGUACAUUGCCUUGAGAAUCGGAGUUCCAUCAUACUGAUAAUAUUCACCCAAUACAGGCUUCAUGGCCUCUGUGGCUUCGAGUCCGUGGUAAUGUGGGAUCAUGGAGAAUAUGUGGUGACACACAUGAGCAUUGCACACAUUGUGGAAUACCUUGUUCAAAAUUCCAUAAUCUCUGUCCACAGUGCAGAGAGCUCCCCUCAACCAAUCCCAUUCGGUUGAAUCAUAGUAAGGCACAGAGGGAUGAGUGUGGUUGAGGAUGGUGAUCAAUGUGAACCAUCCGUUGACAACGAGCAACGGACCUCCAUAAACACAGAAAACCCAGACAAAUCCUUUGGCUAAUACUAGAUUGUACAGCCCAUAGAUAACAGCAAGAAUGGCAAGAUCAGACACAAUGAUCUGCUUGCGCUCACGUUCUGUGUAAAGAGGGCUAUGGGGAUCAUAGUGUGAAGUCCACCUCUCAUACUUGUGUCCCGAAACAUUGAACAUCAAGUAUAUUGGGAAGCCUAUGAGGAGUGUGAUAAGCCAGACGAGGACACGGCCUGGUGGAUUGUUGAGAAUUUUGUAGUAGUUCCGGAUGUUGGACUUGAAUCUAGGGACAUACACCUCAUCAUUUUCAAGGGAUUGAGUAUUGGCAUGGUGACGACGGUGACUAAUUUUCCAAGAGAAGUAUGGCACCAAGAGAGAAGAAUGGACAACAAGGCCAACGAGAUCAUUAAUCCAAUUAUAAUUGCUGAAUGCAUCAUGAUCACAUUCAUGACCCACAACCCAGGCCCCUGUUAACACACAGCCUUGAACAGCAAUAUAAGCUGCCCAACCCAAGUAGUUGAUUGGAUAAGGAAGAUAUUGGUCGAUGUAAUUAGUAGCGACAUAGUAGAGGGCAUAGGCCAUCAGAAGAUCCUGAAUGAGAUAUCGAAAAGAAGUGACUAAAGAUUUUUCAAAGCAAUGGGCAGGAAUGGCUUUCUUGAGGUCACCAAUGGUGAAAGGAGGUUUCUCAUGAGGAGCACGUCGAAGUGCCUCUGUUUCAGUUUUUUUGACACUAGAGGGAGCAGACAUACGCCCACCUGCACCCAUUUUUUCUUUCGAAGAAUAUGCAAAUGCUCUUCUUCCUCUCCUUCUGGUGUGUUUUUGCUCUGAAGUUCCUAAGGUUCCAACACAGAUAUUUAUAAAGAUAUCGCAGUUGGAGUCACAGGCUACUUACUUAACAAUGCUGACUCGUGCGUGAAGUUGCAACAUAAUAAUUUGUAACAUGUGCAUGAAUAGAAUGUCUAGACAGAUAAAACUAGUGAAAAAAGCUUAAAACGCCCGCCAGGCGCCAGCCAUUAGAGGAGUUUCAGUAAAAUACUUAAAACUAGUUCGAAAUCAUUGAUGCAAAUGGCGUGCUGAAGUAGAGUGUGCCUUUAGUGUAGGACACAACGAGCAUAUUUGUUUUGCUAUUUUCUAAUUUUCGAGGUCCUAAUUGGCGGCUGUAUGAUUAACUGAUUAAGUAUGUAAGAUGGCUCCGGAUCCAUGACAUACAUAAGAUGAAGCAUAGUAUUAGCGGGUUUUUUUCCGCUAAAUGACAUUAAUUAACACUAGAUUUUUGAUGAAAAUGCAAGGGACUACUGUAUCUUUCGGCGGAAAAAUUACUCAUUCUAUGAUUUUUACCGUCCAGCGUUUUUUUUCCCGCUGAACAUAUGUUGCUUAUAAUUUGUGGACCAUUACCAUGUGAGCUAUAUUGAAGCACAUGUAUAUCUGUUUGCUUGUUUGCCUUUUUGGUUUUCCUGAUAUCCUGUUCUGCAAUUCAUAGCAUUCAUGCACCUAAAGAAACUAAAAUGAGUUCAAAAAUGAGCUGUAUAACAUCUUAAUCUUGUAAGUUGUAAAGGAUGAGCUGAAGAUCUCCACAAACAUCAGUCAGGAAACGUAAAAUCAUCACCGAAAACAACACGACGAAUUCGGAGUACUGGCAAGGAAAACAAACCUUCAUACAGCUGCCACUGGGGACUCGAAAGGUAUAUGUGUUUGCAUGAUUGAACAAAUAUAAGAGCAAAGCAGCAGCCCAUUCAUGACUUGAGGAUUUGGGUCAACACUAAUAGCACACUACUAGCUGCAAAAAUCACACCAACCUUAAAUAAAAUAUCAUUUGCGUUUCCUAUUUCUUUCCACAUACACAUAAAUUAUGACAAAGUAGAAUGCAGUGCUAGGAGUAUAAUAUGUUAUAGCCUAAAUGCAUGCAACAAAGUCCAGACAGCAACUCCAGUGGCGGGCGCUUCAACAUGCUUAUAAAUCAACACAGUUUUGAGGAGUAAUAGCACAAACUCGACAAACACCAGAAGGCAAUAGGAAGAGAGCACAAGAGGCCUUCCCCAAGGAUCUCUUUCAGGUUCUUCUUUCUUUGUUUCUUACUCGAAUCGAUAGAAACAGAAUCACAUUUUGCAGGGCAGCAUGUACUAAAUUGUAUUACAUUUGUUUUUAUUGCAGACAGCGAGGAGACGAAAAAUGGGUGCUGGUGGACGUAUGUCCGCUCCUACUGGAAAGAAAACUGAAGCAGAAGCACUCCGACGUGCUCCUCAUGAGAAACCUCCAUUCACUAUCGGAGACCUGAAAAAGGCUAUUCCUGCCCAUUGCUUUGAAAAAUCAGUCAUCACUUCUUUCCGUUACCUCAUCCAGGAUCUCAUCAUGGCCUAUGCCCUCUACUAUGUUGCCACAAACUAUAUAGACCAGUACUUACCCCAUCCUCUUAACUACUUGGGUUGGGCAGCUUACAUUGCUGUUCAGGGCUGUGUCUUGACCGGGGCUUGGGUUGUAGGCCAUGAAUGUGAUCAUGAUGCCUUCAGUGAUUAUGGUUGGGUCAAUGACCUUGUUGGCCUUGUUGUCCAUUCUUCUCUUCUGGUCCCUUACUUCUCUUGGAAAAUUAGCCACCGUCGUCAUCAUGCCAACACUCAGUCCCUUGAGAAUGAUGAGGUUUAUGUCCCAAGAUUCAAAUCCAACAUCAGGAACUACUACAAAAUCAUGAACAACCCACCCGGUCGUGUCCUUGUCUGGCUUAUCACACUCCUCAUAGGCUUCCCUUUAUACUUGAUGUUCAACGUCUCUGGACACAAGUAUGAGAGGUGGACUUCACACUACGAUCCCCACAGCCCUCUUUACACUGAACGCGAGCGCAAGCAGAUCAUUGUUUCUGAUGUUGCAAUCCUUGCUGUUAUCUAUGGCUUAUACAAUCUAGUACUAGCCAAGGGAUUUGUCUGGGUUUUCUGUGUUUAUGGAGGUCCAUUGCUCGUCGUUAAUGGAUGGUUCACAUUGAUCACCAUCCUCAACCAUACUCAUCCUUCUUUGCCUUACUAUGAUUCAACCGAAUGGGAUUGGUUGAGAGGAGCUCUUUGCACUGUGGACAGAGAUUAUGGAAUUUUGAACAAGGUGUUCCACAAUGUCUGUAAUGCUCAUGUUUGUCACCAUAUCUUCUCCAUGAUCCCACAUUACCAUGGACUCGAAGCAACCGAGGCAAUGAAGCCAGUACUGGGAAACUAUUAUCAGUAUGAUGGGACUCCAAUUCUCAAGGCAAUGUACAGAGAAAUGAAGGAAUGCAUUUAUGUCCAAAAGGAUGAAGGUGAGACCAAAGGAGUCUACUGGUACAGAAAGGAAUUUUAGGUCGUUGAGCCUUAUUAUCUAGUGGAAAGAAUAUCUCAUUACCUAUCAUUGCAUUUUCUUCUGUAAUUUUAAAUUAUUGCAAGUCAAUGCAUUAGGUUAAGAAGAUAAAGAGUUAACCAGUAACUCUAUGUAAUAAAAAGAAUUUCUAAUUCCAUUUUGGUUGUUCAAGAAUUUCUUAGCUAGCUAGUAUAUGCCUUUUUGCUUCUACAAUUUUCAGACUCUAAACUUCAUUGUUCCUGAUGUUUACUAGAAAUGUAAAGAUGAAAGAGUGCACAGAAAUUACAAACAGGACGCGUUACCAGGGAAAAAUAAAAGUCACGUUAUCCGGGGAACAAACAGUACAAAAUGAAAACACUGCAGCCAUAAGUAUCAAAUAUAACAGAAGAACAUAAACUUCAAGUGUUAACUACCAUAAUCUAAAAUCAUCACUAUUGUUGUAUAACUGAAUAAUCUUUACUCUAUAAACCCUUAAGGUGAACAUUUGAUCAAGCCAGAAUUUGAAAAAGUCCCAGGAAUUCUGCUCAAAUACUUGUGAUUCACAGAACUUUCACUUCGAGCUGAUGAAUUCAUACCCAGACCAGAGGUUUUGAAGCGAAAACCAGGUGGAACAUAAUAGCAGCCCCGUAAAAAAGGAUGCUGAAGAGCCUCCAAAGCAGUAGGCCUUUUGCACGGAUCCCAGGAGCAAAGCGAUUGAAUAAGGCCAACCACAUCCUUGCUUGCAGAUGGCAUCAGCUGAGACAGAGAAACACCAGAAUGCUGAGGAAACUGAUAACUUAUAUCAUCUGCAAGUUCAAUCCCAUAAGCCCAAUCAACUUCAGUUGGAGUCCCUAAAACACUGCAUAUUCUGUACAUUUGAUGCUGUUGAUUUACCCCAGCAAAGAGUGGGCAGCUAGUCAGCAAUUCAGCCAUAAUUGCACCCAUUGCCCACAUAUCAACCGCUGGACCAUAAAUUGGCGCAGCAAGCAGAAUUUCAGGUGCUCUGUACCAUCUUGUUGCAACAUACUCAGAAUAAGGAGGCGAAGAAUUAAUCUCGCGAGCAAGUCCCAGAUCAGCAAUCUUCAUAAUAUCUCCAUUCACUAGCAAAUUCUCAGGCUUAAGAUCCCUAUGAAAAUACCCUCUUUCGUGCAUGUAAGCAAGACCUUGAAACACUUGAAAGCACCAGUUUCUGAUUUCAGUUUCUGAGAAGGGCUUUGUCCUGGUACUCAUAAACUGGUAAAGAUUGCAGUCCAUGUAUUCAAAAACAAAGAACAAGAAGUUAUUUUCUCCGAUUAUUUCCUUGAGCUUCACAAUAUUUGCAUGGCGCAUCUUCUUGAGAGACUUGACUUCUCUCAAAUUCAGACAUUCUUCCCACGAGUGAAACUCCUUGUUCAAUCUCUUAAGAGCCACAACUUCACCACUCUGUGUAUUCAUAGCUUUGAACACACUUCCAAAAGAUCCACUCCCAACUUCCUUGAUAAUCUUAUACUUCUCCAUUAUUCUGACUUAUAUUCAACGUCACAACAAAAAACAGGGUACCCCCGAAAAUUCAAGAAUACUCACGCACUAAGUCUCUACCACGAAUAUGCCAUUGCCCUCGGAAGGAUUUCGAUGAAGAUAUGUUAUGUGAUUGUACGAUCAAAUAUAUGAUUGAUAAGACGGCAAAAUAUUUUCGAAGUAGGCUGCAUCACAAUUUAUGGGCUGGGAUGUUUUUUCGAAGUAGGUUGAAGAUGAAAGAAUGAGAAGACGAGAGAAGAGUGCUGAGAUGUGUAUAUAUAGGAGCAGAGAUUUCCGAAGGGAAGUAGGAUCUUUAAGUCGUGAAUUACUAGGUUUAAGGAUCUUACUUGGGGCUAACACAAUAUCUACCAACGGAAGCUUCCUUCUUAGUACUAGGAUGCUCUGUAAAAGAGUUACUAAUUGGUAUUCGUGGCGGUGCUUUUACUCUUUCACUGAGUUUCUUUAAACUCAAAUGAGCUUCCUUGAACUUGAACACAUUUUCAGCCCUGACAAAAAAAAUUCAUCUUCAACCUCUUCCUUGUUACCGAAUACUAAGGGUGUAAUCGAGCCGACUCGAGUCGAAACCGUCAAGGCUUGAGUUUGAUUGGAAUGUUCGGGUUCAGACUGGAGCUGCUCGAACUUUUAAUUUCAAGAUCAAAACUCGGCUCACAAAAAGUUCGAUAAACUGGAGUUCGGCUCGAACCUAUUUUUUCAAAUAUUGACAAAUACUCAAAAUAUGAUUAGUCCGGCUCGAUUGAAUAUAUUUAAUAUAAAUAAAAUAUUAAAUACUUACAUAAAAAUAUAUUUAUAGUUUAAAAAUAAUAGGAGCUUGAUAAGGCUUGCGAACUUUAUAUGGAGAGUAAUUUGAAACUCGGUUUGAGUAUGAUUAGAAAGUUCGAGCUCUAGUUUGAUCAAGUCUUUAGUUUAGAUCGAAACGAGGCUAGUAAAAAAUUUGAUGACUCGAGUUUGGCUCGAAAAUUUGAACCUAUUUUAUUUAACAAAAACUUGAAAUAUGAUCAGCCCGUCUCGAUUAAAUAUAUUCGAUAUAAAUAAAAUAUCAAAUAUUUAUAUAAAAAUAUAUUCAUAAUUUAAAAAUAAUAAAGGCUUGAUGAGAUUGGAACUUUACAAGCAGAGUAAUUUGAAGCUCGAGCUCGGUUUGAUUAUUUACGUGCCGAAUUCGAAUUUUUUACGAGUCAAACUUUAGUAACUCACGAACUGCUACAUUCAUAUUUUAUCAAAAUUUUAGUUUCUAUCUCUCCCCCUCUCUCUCUCCCACACACACGCACACUAUAACACUCUCUCCACACACACACAAACACUCUAACACAAAUCCUGCAAAACCUUACUUCACGCCCGGCGAGUGAAAAAUCGAAUCAGUUAGGUCUCGGUUAUUAUCGUCAACAACACUGCAUCAAAUCGACCAGAAAUGCGAGGUGAUCAUUCAUAUGGUCCAUCUGAUGAGACAAUAUCCUUACAACGUACUGACAGGUGUUAUCUUUCCUAGAACAUAAAAUUACAUGAUUAUGAUUAUGUGAUUAUUUUUUAUUUACAAUAUAUAUCAUUGUUGUAUGGUUCAUAUUUCAUUUUUCUCACGAUUAGGUAUAAGUGUGUGUUUGAAUCUAUUAUGUAUGAGUUGUUUCGUAUCAUAUUUCGUCAUUUUUAUAUAUUGUUUAGUUAGAUUUUAUUUGUUUUGUAUCCUCUUCUUCGGUACUUAGUUUCGCUAGUGUAGAUGUUGGCGAUGAAGGUGGUAUAGCGGUGUAUUAAUUAGUGCGUAUAGAUCAUUCUGAUUGACUAAUGUUAUUGCAUGAUUUUGUUUUAGUUUUGUAAUUUUGGAUAUUGUUUGUUGUUAAUAAUAGUAAUUGUAGACCUUAAUAUUAGUUGUUUUUUGAAUGACAAGUUGACAUUCUUUAAAUGUUCUUAUCUUUGAAAUUUGAAUCUCCAUGUUUAAUUUGAAUUUUUGUGUUUCGAUUAGAAGAUAAUUUGAUAAGAUAAUUGUUGUAUUUUAAUUUGAUAAUUACUGAUUAUUGUACCUGAAUUCCAUAAUUCAUGGGGGCCAUAUAUGAUGGCUUUAUUGUGCCUUAAUGAGGUAUUAUUGUGCCAUUAAGGGUUGAUUUGUUGUUUGGUGUAUACCAAUAAUUAGCUAAAAUCUUGAUACUUUUGUUUGUCAAGAUUUUUAAUAUUUUUGAGUAGAUAUAUUUUAGAUCUUUUUUCAAUUUUCAAUUAUAUUUUUCUAUUUAUAUUUUAAUUUUUUUUAAAUUAAUAGUCAGCUAUUUUGUUCGGAUUAAAAUUUUAUUAUCUAUCUAACCAAAGAGAUCUCACUAUCUCUUUGGUGUAGAUUUUUUUAAUGAUUUGUUUUAUAUUAGUUUUUUAUAUUACUUUCCUUAUUCUUUAAAAUAUUAUAUUAUAUUCAUAUCUUUUAAUGAGUUUAUUGACUCUUUUCGUCUUUCGUUUUAUAUAGUUUUAUUAUUUUAUUGUCUGUAUGAACUUAUUAUGGUUUUAUUUGUAUUGUAUUUUUCAGGGUACGCGAGAUGGAAGAAAGAACGAUAGCGGGAUCAUUUAUGGGUGUUUUCUUAUCGAACAUUAGAGCUUUAUUGUUUAAGCGUCCCCGGUCAUCUCUGCAUAUCCGAGGGUUAGAUGGUAAACUUUCUUGAACGAAAGGAACUCCUGACAGCGGCUAUUGUAUUCUGAUACGAUUCAUCAUACGUGAAAGUAUCUUGUGACAAAAAAAAAACUCACGAACUGCUUGACUCAUUUACGCUCCAAAAGAAAACCAAUUUUUCAAAUUGUAAUUACUUGUUUUGCAGUAAAAAUAUAAUUUAUAUUAAUAAACUUGAACUCCAUGUAAGGAUCCCAAACUCGCAGAUAUAACCUUCUCUCUCCUGAAUAUAAUCAUUCGCUAGCACUUAUCAGGCAUCAGCCAUAAGUUCAUAUUAGCAGCAUAUUAUCUAUUGAGUGAAUUUCUCCACUCAGUUUGUGCAUAUAAUUACAAGUCCCUCGCCCUUAAUUUAAUCAUCAGAAAUUUUGUCAAAGCCUUUGAUGUAAAUCCUUACAUCCAUAAUGUAGCUCAAUUCAAAUACACGAAUAUGACUGAAAAGUAUCAAUGACUGAAAUAGGCUAUCCAGGUUUUCGUGAUUCAUAAGCCAUUUCCAAUACAGCAAGAUGCAAAUCACCAGAAGUCUAGUCUUAAUUCAUUUCCCUAAUUAAGCUGACAGAAAACUCGGAUAGUCAUACCCAAAACAUACUCUCAAGCCAAUUAUUCGGAUAACUAUAAGCUAAUUCACAUGAGUGUAUGUUUUAUGUUAGUAAAUCAGUAAUGUCAAGCUCAAAGAGAUGCCAAAAAGGUAUCAGCCACACAAGGAUCAAACACUGAAGCUGCAUUACGUCUACCCAACUAAUAACAAAGCGUCAAAGCCAAAACAGUUUGCAAAUGAAGUUGUAGUUAUUUAUAUUUCCGUUAUUACUAUUGUGUAUGUGCAGGUGAGAUUUAAAAUGUGAUUAAAUCUUUUAAAAGCAUAACUGAUUUACUGUUGAUGAAGAACAUAUAAUUCACCACAACUUUCAGCAAGAGCACUUUUCACUCACAAUAAAACCAUUUGAUUACACAGCACAGUCAUUUAAAAACACAAGUGUACAAUAUGUUUGCAUUACAAAAUCAGUAUACAGAGUUAAUGCAUUAGGUUAAGAUAAAGAGUUACCAAUCAUUGCAGACAAAACAGAAAAGCCUUUCAUUACCUAUCAUUGCAUUAUCUUCUGUAAUUUUAAAUUAUCUGCAAGUUAAUGCAUUAGGUUCAGAUAAAGAGUUAACCAGUCACUCUAUGUUAUAAAAGUAAUUACUAAUUCCAUUUGGGUUGUUCAAGAAUUUCCUAACUUGCUAGUAUAGGUUUCCUGGUUUCUAUGAUUUUCUGACUCUCAUAUUCAUAGUUACUGAUGUUUACUGGAAAAGUAAAGAUGAAUAAGUGCACAGAAAUUACAAACAGGGCGCAUUAUCAGGGAAACUAAAAACUAAAAGACAGUCGCCUUAUGUGGGAAACUAAAAGACCAUUGCAUUAUCUGGGAAAGUUAAAGAUGGUUCAAGUUAUCAGGGAAACAAAGAGUAGAAGAAAGAAACUAAUGCAGCCAUAAACGAAAAAAUAUAGUAUAACAUAAACUUCCAGUGUUAACUACAUAAUCUAAAAUCAUCACUAUUGUUGUAAAACUGAAUAACCUUUACUCUUUACACCCUUAAGGUGCACACUUGAUCGAUCCAGAAUUUGACAAAGCCCCAGGAAAUCUGCUCAAAUACUUGUGCUUCACAGAACCUUCACUUCGAGCAGAUGAAUUCGUACCCGGACCAGAGGUUUUGAAGCGAAAACCAGGUGGAACAUAAUAGCAGCUCCGGAAAAAAGGAUGCUGAAGAGCCUCCAAAGCAGUAGGCCUUUUGCACGGAUCCCAGGAGCAAAGCGAUUGAAUAAGGCCAACCACAUCCUUGCUUGCAGAUGGCAUCAGCAGAGACAGAGAAACACCAGAAUGCUGAGGAAACUGAUAGCUUAUAUCAUCUGCUAGUUCAAUCCCAUAAGCCCAAUCAACUUCAGUUGGAGUUCCUAAAACACUGCAUAUUCUGUACAUCUGAUCUUGCUGAUUUACCCCAGCAAAAAGUGGGCAGCUAGUCAAUAAUUCAGCCAUAAUUGCACCCAUAGCCCACAUAUCAACCGCUGGACCAUAAAUUGGCGCCGCAAGCAGAAUUUCAGGUGCUCUGUACCAUCUUGUUGCAACAUACUCAGAAUAAGGAGGCGAACAAUUAAUCUCGCGAGCAAGUCCCAGAUCAGCAAUCUUUAUAAUAUCUCCACUCACUAGCAAAUUCUCAGGCUUAAGAUCCCUAUGAAAAUACCCUCUUUCGUGCAUGUAAGCAAGACCUUGAAACACUUGAAAGCACCAGUUUCUGACGUCCGUUUCUGAGAAGGGCUUUGUUCUGGUACUCAUAAGCUGGUAAAGAUUGCACUCCAUGUAUUCAAAGACAAAGAACAAGAAGUUAUUUUCUCCGAUAAUUUCCUUGAGCUUCACAAUAUUUGCAUGGUGCAUCUUCUUGAGAGACUUGACUUCUCUCAAAUUCAGACAUUCUUCCCACGAGUGAAACUCCUUGUUCAAUCUCUUAAUAGCCACAACUUCACCACUCUGUGUGUUCAUAGCUUUGAAAACACUUCCAAAAGAUCCACUCCCAACUUCCUUAAUAAUCUUAUACUUCUCCAUUGUUCUGACUUAUAUUCAACGCCACAACAAAAAACAGGGUACGGCGAAAUUUCAAGAAUACUCACGCACUCAAGUCUUUACCACGACCCGAAACAAAUUGACAAAUUGUCUUCGAAUAUGCCAUGCCCUCGGGAGGAUUUCGAUGAAGAUAUUAUGUGAUUGUACGAUCAAAUAUAUGAUUGAUAAAACGGCAAAAUAUUUUCGAAGUAGGCUGCAUCACAAUUAAUGGGAUGGGAUGUUUUUUCGAGUUUUUGAGAAGCUCUGACUGGUUGAUGAUAAAAGAAUAAGAAGACGAGAGAAGACAGCUGAGAUGUGUCUAUAUAGGAGCAGAGAUUUCCGAAGGGAAGUAGGAUCUUUAAGUCGUGAAUAGAUACUAGGUUUAAGGAUCUUACUUGGGGCUAACACAAUAUCUACCAACGGAAGCUUCCUUCUUAGUACUAGGAUGCUCUGUAAAAGAGUUACUAAUUGGUAUUCGUGGCGGUGCUUUUACUCUUUCACUGAGUUUCUUUAAACUCAAAUGAGCUUCCUUGAACUUAAACACAUUAUCAGCACUGACAAAAAAAAUUCAUCUUCAACCUCUUCCUUGUUACCGAAUACUAAGGGUGUAAUCGAGCCGACUCGAUUCGAAACCGUCAAGGCUUGAGUUUGAUUGGAAAGUUCGGGUUCAGACUGGAGCUGCUCGAACUUUUAAUUUCAAGAUCAAAACUCGGCUCACAAAAAGUUCGAUAAACUGGAGUUCGGCUCGAACCUAUUUUUUCAAAUAUUGACAAAUACUCAAAAUAUGAUUAGUCCGGCUCGAUUGAAUAUAUUUAAUAUAAAUAAAAUAUUAAAUACUUACAUAAAAAUAUAUUUAUAGUUUAAAAAUAAUAGGAGCUUGAUAAGGCUUGCGAACUUUAUAUGGAGAGUAAUUUGAAACUCGAGCUCGAUUCGGUAAUGAAUUCGAAAAACUCGAGUUCAGCUUGAUUAUUAACAAGCCGAAAUUCGAAUAUUUUACUAUCCAAAUUUGAGUAACUCAUGAUCUGUUUGACUCAUUUACACCGCAACCGAAUACCAAUUUUGCAAAUUUUAAUUACUUAUUUCUGCAAUAAAAAUAUAAUUUAUAUAAAUAAACUCCAUGUAAGGAUCCCAGACAGGCAGAUAUAACCUUAUCUCUUUCCUGAAUAGAGUCAUUCGCAAGCACUUAUCAGGCAUUAGCCAUAAGUUCAUAUUAGCAGCAUAUUAUCUAUUGACUGAAUAUCCAGACUCAGUUUGUGCAUAUAAUUACAAGUUUUUGUCAAACCCUAUCAUGUAAAACCUUACAUUCAUACUGUAGCUCAAUCCAAAUACACGAAUAUGACUGAAAUAUAUCCAGGUUUUCGUGAUUCAUAAGCCAUUCCCAAUACAGCAAGAUGCAAAUCACCAGAAGUCUAGUCUAAUUCAUGUCCCUAAUUAGGCAGACAGAAAACUGAGAUAGUCAUACCAAAAGCAUUCCCCCAAGCCAAUUAUUCUGAUAAUUGUAAGCGAAUUGGCCACUAAAAUUCACAUAAGUGUAUGUUAUAUGUUAGUACAUCAGUAAUACUCAAGCUCAACAAGAUGUCAGAAAGGAUAUAGGCACACAAGGAUCUAACACUCAAGCUGCAUUACAUCUCCCCAACUAAAAACACAGCGUCGAAGCCAAACUAGUUUGCAAAUGAAGUUGUAGUUAUUUACAUUCUGUUAUUACUAUUGUGUAUGUGCAGGUGAGAUUUAAAAUGUGAUUAUAUAGGAUCUUUAAAAAGCAUAACUGAUUGAAUGUCAAUGAAGAACAUAUAUUUCACUACAAUUUUAAGCAGAGCACUUUUCACUCACAAUAAAACCAUUUGAUUACAUAGCACGGUCAUUUAAAAACAUGAAUUCAAUGAACAAUAUGUUGUGCAUUACCAAAUCAGUAUACAAAUUUAAUGCAUUAGGUUAAGAUAAAGAGUUACCUAUCAUGACCUAUCGUUGCAGACAAAACAGAAGAGCCUUUCGUUACCUAUCAUUGCAUCAUCUUCUGUAAUUCUAAAAUUAUCUGCAAGUUAAUGUAUUAGGUUAAGAUAAAGAGUUAACCAGUAACUCUAUGUUAUAUAAGGAAUCACACUACUAGAAAUCUGCUAAUACUCUAUGUUAUAAAAUGGAAUUAGUGAUCACUAAUUCCAUUUUGGGUUGUUCAAGAAUUUCUUAACUCACUAGUAUAGGUUUCCUGUUUAUAUAAUUUUCUGAUUCUAAUCUUCAUAGUUACUGAUGUUUACUGGAAAAGUAAAGAUGAAUAAGUGCACAAAAAUUACAAACGGAGCGUAUUAUCAGAGAAACUAAAAACUAAAAGACAGUCGCGUUAUGUGGGAUACUAAGACCGUUGCAUUAUCAGGGAAAGUUAAAAAUGGUUCAAGUUAUCAGGGAAACAAAAAGUAGAAGAAAGAAGUUAAUGCAGCCAUAAACGAAAAAAUAUAGCAUAACAUAAACUUCCAGUGUUAACUACAUAAUCUAAAAUCAUCACUAUUGUAACGUAGAACUGAAUAAUCUUUACUCUUUACACCCUUAAGGUGCACAUCUGAUCGGGCCAGAAUUUGAAAAAGUCCCAGGAAUUCUGCUCAAAUACUUGUGCUUCACAGAACCUUCACUUCGAGCAGAUAAAUUCAUACCCAGACCAGAGGUUUUGAAGCGAAAACCAGGUGGAACAUAAUAGCAGCUCCGUAAAAAAGGAUGCUGAAGAGCCUCCAAAGCAGUAGGCCUUUUGCACGGAUCCCAGGAGCAAAGCGAUUGAAUAAGGCCAACCACAUCUUUGCUUGCAGAUGGCAUCAGCUGAGACAGAGAUACACCAGAAUGCUGAGGAAACUGAUAGCUUAUAUCAUCUGCUAGUUCCAUCCCAUAAGCCCAAUCAACUUCAGUUGGAGUCCCUAAAACACUGCAUAUUCUGUACAUCUGAUCUUGUUGAUUCACCCCAGCAAAAAGAGGGCAGUUGGUCAGCAAUUCAGCCAUAAUUGCACCCAUUGCCCACAUAUCAACCGCUGGACCAUAAAUUGGCGCUGCAAGCAGAAUUUCAGGUGCUCUGUACCAUCUCGUUGCAACAUACUCAGAAUAAGGAGGCGAACAAUUAAUCUCGCGAGCAAGUCCCAGAUCAGCAAUCUUUAUGAUAUCACCACUCACUAGCAAAUUCUCAGGCUUAAGAUCCCUAUGAAAAUACCCUCUUUCGUGCAUGUAAGCAAGACCUUGAAACACUUGAAAGCACCAGUUUCUGACGUCAGUUUCUGAGAAGGGCUUUGUUCUGGUACUCAUAACCUGGUAAAGAUUACACUCCAUGUAUUCAAAGACAAAGAACAAGAAGUUAUUUUCUCCGAUAAUUUCCUUAAGCUUCACAAUAUUUGCAUGGUGCAUCUUCUUGAGAGACUUGACUUCUCUCAAAUUCAGACAGUCUUCCCACGAGUCAAACUCCUUGUUCAAUCUCUUAAUUGCCACAACUUCACCACUCUGCGUAUUCAUAGCUUUGAACACACUUCCAAACGAUCCACUCCCAACUUCCUUAAUAAUCUUAUACUUCUCCAUUAUCCUGACUUAUAUUCACCGCGAGUCCGCGACAACAAAAAACAGGGUACGGUCUCACGCAAAAAUUCAAGAACACUCACGCACUCGUAUCUCUACCACAGCCCGAAACAAAUUGUCUCGGAAUAUGCCAUUGUCCUCAGGAGGAUUUGGAUGACUAUAUGUUAUGUGAUCGUACGAUCAAAUAUAUGAUUGAUAAAAGCGCAACAUAUUUUCGAAGUGGGCUGCAUCACGAAUAAUGGGAUGGGAUGGUUUUUCGAGUUUUUCGAGAAGCUCUGAGUGAAUGAAGAUGAAAGAAUGAGAAGACGAGAGGAGGCUGCUAAGAUACUCCUAUGUAUAUAUAGGGGCAGAGAUUUCCGAAGGGAGGUAGGAUUUUAAGUCGCUGAUAGAUACGAGGUUUAAGGAUCUUACUUGGGGCUAAAGUAAUAUCUACCAAAGGAAGCGUCCUGCCUAUUUUCCAAAUUUUAUUUAUCUGUUUUUACAAUAAAAAUAAUAUAUUAGUAUACUUAUCCAGAUCAGAGAUAUAAUAUAUCUACAUUAUUAUUAAUUAAUCUCUUAUUAUAUUCUAAUAAAAUUUAUAAAUAAUAGAAUUGAAAAUUUCAAAAUUGAACAAUGAAAGUGCGAAAAAUACAAAAAAAAGUUGCAAUAUAGUUUGUUCUUUGUUUUUAGAAUUAUGUUUUUUCAAUAUUCCAAUUUGAACGGAAUCCUGAUAGAAGAAAAAGUUCACGAGAAUAAUAGAACAUAUGAAAAAUAUUAAGAAAAGAAAUUGCAUAAUGUAUAAGCCUACAAGGUAUAUUAUAAUACGGUAUUUAUUUGCAAAACUAGUUAUAAGUCGUUUCAGACGACUUAUAAUAUUUAGUUAUUUUAUCAUAUAUAAUUUAAUAAUUCUUAUGAAUAUAAACUAUAUUAGAAUAAUAUAUAUUUCUUAAUAUUUUACUGUACAACAGAUACAUUUUACUUAGUACUAGUGCUACAUGCACAAAAUUGAGUACAGAAUUUUGCACAAAAUGAUAUACAGAAUUUUGCACAAAAUGAUGUGGCAAGUGAGGUGGGAAGUUUUAACUGGUACUAUUAAUGCAUACACAGGGGGCUCAUUUCAAUCAAAAAUUGACACAUACUCAUUAUGUGAAUAUUUUUGUACCCAAUUCUGUGCCUCUAGCAUUUUCCUUUACUUUUUUAUAGUCUUGCCGGUGCACUGCAAACAAAGAAAGAAAAAGGAUUUUACCCAUAAGAAAGUGCGAUACCAUACUGCUCAGCAAUGCACUUCGUCCAUUCAGCUACACGGUCCAGAUUUAGCAUAAGUUCUAACCCAUAAGAAAGUGCGAUAACAUCUUUAUAACUUUGUUUACGGCAUCUGCAUAUACAAUACAAGUCGCAGAGUAAUUAUUAUGGCAAUAACCGGCAAUAGAACCAACAAGCAAUGAAGGUCCUUUAGACUAUCUCCAACAAAUUAAGCAUCGGGGAAUUUACUUACUGCUGGACAGUUCUGUCGGCAGCCUAGCAAGAAACAGUUGUUCCUAAAUGGAGUCAUUCGCUAGCACUUAUCAAGCAUCAGCCAUAAGUAUAUAUUGCAACUUGCAAGCACCAUAUUAUCAUCUACUGGCCAGAUUUCCAGAGUCACUUUAUGGCUUAUGCUGCCUGAAAGGCACCUGUAUAAGAAUUUCAUAUUACAACUUUUACUAGAAUGCACCCCUACCUUCAAAUUGCAUAAUGCAGCUCACAGCAACUCAACAAUUUCAACAUUGAAACCGCAAAGUGACUUCUAUCAGGAUUUAAUUUUCAACAGGAUGACACUUCAGUAACAUUAAAACCAUUUGAUAAGUCAUUUAAACAAAUACGAAUUGCUAAAUCAGUUUAAGUCCAGCUCAACAACCAAUUGAAUCGAACAGUAAUGCCGAAAUGACAAACUCAGCUACACAAUGAAUCAAACAGGUAAGCUGCAUCAUAUCACACCAACUCAGCCAUCCAAACCACUUCAGCAAAACACCAAGACAUUUUGCAACUACUUUGCAAUUAUUUACAUUUCUUAUUCAAACACUAAUAUAUAAGCAUAGAUCUAAGAUCAAAACAAAAAAUAAAGCAUACAAACAUGCUAAAUAAACAAAAAUAAAUUCACACUAAUUCAGAACAAUAGAGCAAUUUCAUUCAUACUAUAACCAUUCAAUUACACAUCACAUUCAUUUCGAACAAACACAAUUCAACUAAAACACAACCUAGAAACCCUAGAAAUCAACCGCCGAAGCCAUAAAGAGUCCUGCCCUGCCUCUUGAGAGCGUACACAACAUCCAUAGCAGUCACAGUCUUCCUCCUAGCGUGCUCAGUGUAAGUAACCGCAUCACGAAUCACAUUCUCCAAAAAGAUCUUCAAGACGCCUCUGGUCUCCUCAUAGAUGAGCCCGCUGAUUCUCUUUACACCGCCUCGGCGAGCCAGACGACGAAUGGCGGGCUUGGUGAUGCCCUGGAUGUUGUCACGGAGGACUUUGCGAUGUCGCUUGGCACCGCCUUUGCCAAGGCCCUUGCCUCCCUUGCCACGUCCUGACAUCUUAAAUUUCGAAUGAGAGAAAGAGAGAGAGAGAGAGAGAGAGAGAGAGAGAGAGAGAGAGAUUUGGUUGUGUUGUGGAGAGAGAAAUGAGAGUGUUUGAGAUGUGAGAUUGGGAGAGAUGGUAGGGGGUUAAAUAAGGGGAGUUUUGGGGGUUUGAAAAUUUUGAAAGUUUGGGCGGGGUUUUUGUGUUGGUUUUGGUGAUCCUGGUGGUUGAUUGGUGAAUAUGAGACGUUGAUGUUAAAAAAAAUCGACGGUUGGGAAUUGUGUAAAUUAUGAGGCACGGAUCGAUGACAUGGCGCUGAUCAGCCAGUCAGGUCGGACCCAACUCAAUCUGGGGAGUACACGCGCUGUUUGUUUUAGCCUUUUUUUUUCCCUCAUAUUUGGCAUUCCUUAUUUAAAUUCUGACUUAAGGUUAGAAUCAUGGUAUUUAUAUCAUUUACGUAAAUUUUUGUCGAAAUUUCAAAAAUCGAAAAUUCUAGUUUAUGUUUAAUCAUUUAAUUUUUUUAAAAUUUGAUUUUACCAAUUGUAUAUGAUAAUUUUAAAAGAUAAUUUAUAAAAAUGUAUUACUAUUACUAUAUUAAUAAUUUGUGUAUCAAAUAUGUUGUAAACACAAAAUAAAUAAUAUUCAAACACAUAAUUAAAAGUUAUUUCUCACUCAUAGCUAAAUUCUCAUUUAUAAGCAAUAAUCACUUUUUUUUAUGUUAAGUGAAAUGUCCCCAAGGCUGGCAAUCUCCUGAUGCUGAAUUGUAUAUAUAGGUUAAUGCGAUGAAGACAUCUGAAACCGGUCACAUGGCGUGGAUAAUUAACCGAAUUGAUCGUAUAACGGUUUGGAGUGGAUAAUACCUGGUAUACAAAAUGCACGAGUUGAUCGUAUAACGGUGUGAAGUGGAUAAUACCUGAUAUACAAAAUGUAAACAAAGAGUGAAUAUGGAUAUAAUAAAAAGUCUCGCGUCCGACCCGCACUCUAUUCGUACAUAUAUAUAAAUGUACAUGUACUUACUAAAUUUAUCACAAAAAUAUAUUAUAUUUUCAUGUUACUAUUUAAUAAAUUUUAAUAUACAAAAGAUAGUAAGCUCGUAAAAUAUUCAUAAUACAACUUAUUUGAAUAUUAGUUUCAAAUUUGUGCUAAUUAUUAAAGAAAUCAUAAUUCUUUUCAUAAUUUACAAAUUAACUAACAAUGUUUGUAUUUUACACAUUUGACCAACAAGUUUUAUAAAAUCAUGUUAAAAAAAUAUGACACAACUACGCGUAACGCAUCCGUUCACCACUUUGUUCUCUACUCAUCUCACUUCUAAGACAAGCUGCCUUUAGCUAGGAGUCUCUUUUCUUUUUGUCCUGUUCUCGUUCACCACUUUGUUCUCAACUCUACUCACUUUUAAGACAAGCUGUCUUUAAUUAGGAGUCUCUUUUCUUUUUGUCCAGUUCCGCUAAAACGAUGCUCGACUUGCAUGUGUUAAGCAUAUAGCUAACGUUGCUCCUUCUGAGCCAGGAUCAAGUUCUUAUUUUAAAUAUGACUUUGAAACCUGAUGAACCAGGCCUAGUACUUCCCGACCUUAUGUGAGCUUUCCUGCUCUUAUAUAAUUGUAAUGAGAGAAUAUUUCGAAAAUCUUUUUAAUGCUUUUGAUCCGACUAUGCUCAACGAGGUGACUCGUGUAUGCGACGAGACUAAAGACAUGAAGUAGAAUGUUCAAACCAAAUGGUAUCCAAAGGAAAUGAACAACUUAAGGGAACGACAUUUUUCGAUUAGGAGAUCUGCUCCCAGUUUGACCAUCAUCAUUACUCUUAAGGUUAUCACCUUGCUCAAUUGAUUAGUUCUAUCAUCCCAAUAUUUUAGCACGAAAAAAAUGUAUUUGUCAAAAUCAUAAAAAAAUGCGUGAAAAAACUCUUACUUAUUAUUCGAACUCUGAUGAGUGAAAGGACUUUCAAGAAAGUUAUUCUAGAGGAUCAACCAGAGAUCGAUUGACUUAGUUAGUGAUACUUGAUACGACAAACUAAGUUUUAAAGUAAUCAGUCGCACUCGGCAAAGGUGAAUAAUUAAUUUUCAAAUUAACCAUCAUACAAUCACAUAGUACAAAUUUUUGUUCUCUCUCUCUUUAAAAAAUUUAAUUAUCUAAAUUAACAACAUUCCACUAAACAUGGCUAUAAUGUUAUAAAAUUUCUUUCCAUCUCAUUAAUUAAAUAUUCCGAAUAUCUUAUAUGGAUGAAUAUCUAAUGACAAGGAUUACAAACAUUUUUUUAGAACAUCUGACGGGUAAAUACUCAUUUCGGUCAUCUAGCUAAACCACAAACAUUUUUUUAGAACAUCUGACACAUUUUUUUAAACAUCUGACGGGUAAAUACUUAUUUCGGUCAUCUAGCUAAACCGCUAAAUGACAGAUAAUCAUUUUAUCCAGCAGUUUAAAAACGUUGAAUUUAUUAAAAAAAUGUUAACGGCAUAUGAUCAUUUUACUUCAAAUAGUUUAAAAAAGCUGAACAUAUUUAAAUAUUUAUCCAAUGACCUUUGCAAAUAAUUAUAGUAAUAUUUCCCAGCAAUGAAGUAAAAGUGGAAGACAGUGCCAAAAUAAAAUUUGUUACCAAGUUUAUGGGCAAAAACCAAUACAAUAGUAUACUACAUUCAACAUAAUUUUUUCAACCUCAAUGCAUUUGAAGUUUGAAUUCAACAAAGCACACGGUAAGAGUAGAACUAGUGUUGCACUCCUAAUCAACAUAACCAAAUAAACAUAAAUCGGGCAGCAAUUAAAAGACCAAGAGAGCACAUCUUAUUUUUCAUAUAUCAACACGAAGCUUACAGUUUAGGACACUGCAGACAUACCUUUUCCCAUUCAUAAAAUAAAACUGUAAUGUCUAAUCAAAUACAUAAAACAAAAACCAGAAAGCUUUUCAUUUUCAGAUCCUCAGCAACAAAUCCUAGUACCUCGAAAAACUUUAACUGUAUUCUUCAUAACCAAAAGUGACCCAGACAUAUACAUGUUACUGGAGAUCACACUUUCCUUUGGAUUCCAAGCCUCUCGCGGAAGUCACUUUCCAUGAGAGGAAGGCCAUCACGCAACUUUACCUUUGGUUCCCAACCUAACACUUCCUUUGCCUUUGUUAUGUCUGGCUUUCUCUGGCGAGGAUCAUCAGGCGUGUUCUCCACAGUUAUGAUUUGGACUUCUGGAUUAAUAAGCUGCAAAAUAAUUGAGGCCAAUCAACACUUGUCUAUUGAAUGAAAACGUAACGUCAUAUCUAAUUUUUCUUCAAAACAAUAUAUUCGUCUAACUAUCCUUUGGAUAUUGAGCACAGUUGAACUGACCUCCUUUACAUUUUCAGCAAGCUCCAUCAUUGUGAAUUCACCUAAACAUUAAAAAACAGUCGGGUCAUGUAAACACGAAAUUGGGCAUAACUUUUUAACACGCCUAACAAUAGGUAACACAAGUUAUUUUUCUUAUAACACAGAUUUGUUGCAAUGAAGAUCACAUAAUGCAGAUUCGUUGCACUUCAUAACUAACAUCUACCAAAAAAGGUGAAAACUAGGAUCUGCGACAUUGUUUUUUAAAGUACCUGGGUUCCCAAUAUUAAUUGGUCCAGUAUUAUUUCCUUCCAUAAGUUUAAUAAGGCCAUCAACCUUCAACAGAAGUCAGAAUAACUUGUCAGCAAACAAAUUUAGAUUGAAUUGUAGUGCAGGAAAAAUGCACAAAUAUGUCGCUUACCAUGUCAGAAACAUAACAGAAACUGCGAGUCUGGGUUCCAGGCAACUGAACAGUCAAAGGCUCGUUACUGCAACAUAGAGAGGAAUAUAUUAGGGUGGCAAUUAGGUUCCCAAUCCAUUUAAAUAAACCAAACUUUUGGUUUUGGUUCAGGUUAAAAUCAUAUUUAUAUAUGGGUUGGAUUUUGAGUCUCAUAAUGUAUUAAAAAUUUAAAAUGUGAUCUUUCUAAUUCCAAAUAAUUAGUGCAGAGAAAAUUAAUAUAAAAUAUAAAAAUAGAUAAGUGGUUACAUUUGUCUGUAAAACCUAGAAAAGUAAAGUUACCGAAUCGCUUGAGCAAUGAAAUUACUGACAACACGGCCAUCAUCAAUAUUCAUCCGAGGGCCAUAAGUGUUGAAAAUCCUGGCUAUCCGUAUUUCUGCAGUGACCAGUUUUAGACAUGGAAAAACUGGGUUACAAAUAUUCUUACACAAAAGAUGCUAUUCAUCCUAGAAUUUAGUUGGCAGUUGGUAAAAUAAGAGUCUGUACCAAUUCCAUGCUGCCUAUGAUAAUCAAACAUCAAUGUCUCUGCUACUCUUUUUCCCUCAUCAUAACAACUCCGGACUCCUGUAAAAAAUAUAUUGAAUGAAACUCUUUUCAAGAUACAUACAGACUUCGACAAUAAAUAGACAACCAUUAAAUUACUAAUGAAAAGUCUUAAUCUCUACAUGUUUAUUGCAUGUGUACAGCUGACAAAACUUAGCAAUACAACUUUUCAGGAGUAUGUCACAGGCUUCGCAAUAUUAUAUGGACUAAACAAAACAUUUUCUAGUUCUAAUGAUUAAAUUUUAAUUGAGCAAAUAUCAUGUGUGCAAAAACGUGCAUGCAUGUAUGCAAUUACUACUUGUUUGUGAGCUUUAAACUGCGUCAUAAUAUAUUUGAUCUAAUAAGAAUUCCCUUAUCCCUACAGAAGCUAGCAUUUUUAUUUUAUUUUGUCUACGAAUAAUAGCGAGAAGGCUUAUGAUACAUCACAUAUUCAUCUUCUUAAGUAAGAUUAAGUGGCCAAACUAAUACAAAACAGCGGUAAGAAAGUAAGAUAGUCCAUCUACCUCAUUUCCAAGAAGAUAACUCCUAUACACACACACACACGCACACCACAUAUUGAGAACUAUCAUUCUUGAGAGAUGUCAACUAAGGAAUAAUAAAACUCAAUUUCACAACAAAACCAAAUCAACACACAAGGCGGACAACUUAUGUUAAAUAAUAGGCCAGUUGUAUGUACCUAUGGGGUUGACAUUUCCCCAAUAACUCUCAUCCUGAGGAUGUACAAGGGGAUCUCCAUAAACCUCUGAAGUUGAUGUCAAUAAAAUCCUGUAGUACAGUAGUAAUAUGAGACAACCACAAUUCUACAAAUACUAUGCAGCAUGUGUAAUGGAAAUGUUCAAACCUUGCUCCCACUCUCUUGGCAAGUCCUAACAUGUUUAGUGUCCCAAUGACAUUGGUCUUGAUUGUCUGUCAAGUCAAGUAUCAUAUAAUCAGCAUUUAAUUUUGCCAAAUACAUAAACACAUCAAACCAUCCUAUAUGCUUAGCUAAAGCACCAUAUGUACUUAAAAGAGUCUCUGCUCAAAAGCAGUUAUAGUGUUCUACACAAUUAGCAACAACAUAUAUUGACGUGUAGGGUUUUGCAGAUUAGAUAAAUGACCGGGGUAUCUGAAAACAAUACAGCCUGUAAGGACAACUACUGAUAAAAUUUCCUUGCUGCUGCUGCAAAACAACUGGCAGGUUCAGAAGCAUAGAACACAACAGGUUGAAUCUACACCAGCUUUAGAACAAGUAGAUUAAAUUAUUAAUCAAAAGAGCAAAGUACCUUAACAGGAUUAUAUUUGUAGAAAAUUGGUGAAGCAGGACAGGCAAGAUGAUAUAUUUGAUCAACUUCAACCAACAAUGUUUCUGUUACAUCUGCAGAAAUAUUGAAAUGUAUGUAAAUAACAAAUUGAACUAGAUGUGGGAAAAUAGAUAAAUGAGACACAAGGCCAAGGUUGGGACUUGGAAUUAUUGUGCAAAUAAGACUGCUGACUGCAGUUAAGAUACAUACUGUAUUACAAGCCCUUUUUCAAUUUUGAGAGAGCCCUGAUUUUGAUUUUAAAUCUUUACAGGUAUUGCCUAACAUUACUACUAUAUAAUAUAUCUAUAUCGAUAUAUACACAUAUAUAUUUGUAUUUUUUGAUAUCUCAAUAACAUUUGAUUCAGGGUUAAGCUCCAAAGAGCCUGAGAUGAUCUUUUAUAUACGAAAUAUAAAGUUAAUUUGUGGACACAAUGUUGAAUGAAUGCAUUUACAUUUUGAUUAUAUAUUUCAAUAAGGGUUUAAGUAAAAAUAAAUGAAAUAACUUGGAAGCAACAAUAAACAGUCAAUAUAAAGAACACAUUUCGCAUAGAUAAUUCAAUGAUGUUCAUUAGCAUAUACACAAAUGACGCAACUUGGAUGAUAAAAGAACAAAUACCAUGUCGAAUAAGCUCAAAUCUUGGAUGACCAAUCCACUGUCUUAGGUUGUCCUUUGAGCCAGUAAAGUAGUUAUCAACCACGAUCACCUAGGAGGAACGAGAAAGUUGCAUUAUACUAUUGACCAAUCAUGCAGAAAUUCACCAAGCAGAAUCAUCUGACUACAGUAUCAGACGAAACAGAAGAUUAUGAUAGGAAGUUUAUACCUCAUUCUUCUCAUUUUGCAUCAGUCUGUCAACUAGAUGAGAGCCAAUAAAUCCAGCUCCUCCAGUAACUAAGAUUCUCAUGUUGGCCUGUCAUCAGCAAGCUAUUAAGUAACAGAAGAAGAUAUGCAGAGAGUACCAUAACUCACAUGACUCUAGUCAGUUUGUCACAAAACACUCUCCUUAACCUUAACUAUGAAGGAACAAUCAGCCAACAUAUGUUUUACAUGAAAAAUUACACAAUAAGAGAGUUCUUGACAGCUAUGACACAGAACAGUGGUGGAUAUGAAAACCAGAGAAUGUAUUGAAAAAAAUUAUAUGAUUCGGAAAACUUGCCUGCUUUUACCUAUGUACACCAGAAUUUCCGUAUAGAUAUAUUAAAAUUAUUAGCAAGUUUGGAACAAAUUUUCUGGGCACUGAAGAAAGUAUUAUGGUUAUCACAGCAGAUACUUGAUCUGACUAAUUUUAUAGCAGCAAGUGUUUUCCCAAAAGUAAAUGCGAAGGAACACAAAAAUUACCACUGGGACACCCAAUAUGCAUCUACUCAAAAUUUUGAUUCAAAUGCAGUCUACAUUAAAAUAUAUAUGGAAAACCAAACAAACAUUUAUAAAAGAAAGAGAAGAAAUUUUGUUUGCAAGUCAAUAACUUCUUCAUGUUCCAACAAACAACAUAAGGUAAGUAUAUCAUACAUCAAGCACAUAUAUUCUCCUAACCACAAAUGCAUACAGUUCACAGUUUGUGCUUAAAAAGAACCAUCUUGCUGGUUGCAACCUGAAAAAAUUUGGCAGUGCGCAAUGGAGAAGGUGUUGGAGGGGGUUUCGUGGAUCCAUUAGCAACUUCUUUCGACAUCUUCCCAGAUCCUUCUUCGAUUACUGACACCAAAAAUAUCCAAAUAAAGCACCUAUUAAGAUAAACCAAUCAAAUUCAAUACCACAUUACAAAUCACAAAUUAAUUCACAAUAAAAAAAGCAUCUUUUCCCAUAUGCCUCAUCAAAAUUCAAAAACUCAAUACCUGCAGAAAAAUAAAAUCUUUGCACAAAAAACCCACAAAUUUGCUUGAAAUUGGUAAAGAUCAAAACUUUAUAUACACAUCCAAAUGGGUUGUUGAUAAAAGGGCACAAAUCAUCCAAAAAACAUGUAAUAAUCACACCCAAUUAAAGAAAAAAAAAGAAUAUGAAAGCUUAGAGAACACGAAGAGUAAAGAGUACAAAAAGCUCAAAAGUGGAACCCCACUACAACAAACUCACCAAACAACAAUCAGAUCCAAAUCUCACCCAAAAAUCACAAAACAAAUUUGCAAAUCAAGAAUUAAACAGAGAAUUUAGAACAGUAAAAUUAGGAAAAAAAUCAAAAAAUUGUGAAGAUAGGGAUGAGAGAGAUAAAAUUAGUAGUACCUCUGAAUAAACACAAAGAUUUGUGAUCACUGAUCAAUGUGAAGUAGUGCGUGAAUAUAUGUGGGUUUUAUAUUGUAUAAGUAUAGAUAGAUAGAUAGAUAGAUGCAAUUAACAGGAGACGUGAAUUAUGUAAUUUGUGUCUUCAACAUGACGUGAACUUACUGGAUUCAUCUGCCACGUCAAUUACACAUAGGAACGGUAAUCACAUAAAUUUAUUGCUUAUCCUUUUAAUACGGUUUUGAAAUUUGGAGUUAGCAACAAAUAAUGUGUAAUUUUUGUCAGAUAAUUUUUUAUUUAAAAAUAUCUAUUAGAGGUAUUUUUAUAAUUUAUUUUAAAUAAAAAAAUUAUAGUUUAAUGAGCAUGUAAUAUAUAAUUCACUGAAAUUAUGUAAUUCUUGUCACAUAAUUUUUUCAACUAAAGAUCGCUAUCGGAGAUAUAUUUAAAAUUAAUAUUUAAAAAAUAAUACUACAGUUUUUACCUUUAAGAAGUAACAUAUAACAAUAAGUUUAAACAAGUAACCCAAAAAGUAGAUAUUAGAUAUAUUCUAUAAAUUUUAUUACUUACAUUCAUCCUAAUUCGAUAUACAAUUUGUUUAGGAAAAAUAAAAUUGUAAGUAGUUUUUGGGAAACAGGUCAGUCGCAAAAGUGCUCUGCCAACCGUUUCAACGAAGAGAUAAGCAAGUCGAUCACUAGUAUUUUACACUCACGUAAAACAGUUGACAAUGAGAUGAGUGUUAUAGAAUAGUAAGAAUAGUCAAGCACCAUGUCCAUGUAUGAUUAAAAAGCACAUGACUAUUUAACAUGGUUGGUAUAUAACCAAAAAUCACAUGACUAUUUAACAUGGUGGGUAUAAAUGGGAAUUGAAAUUAAUUAAUUAAACUAUCGGAAUUUAUCAAUUUUUUUGGAAGAAUUAAAGUUCGAGUAAAGGACUUAAAGUUUGUUUUACAAAGCAGGUGUGCCAUUUGAGUUUUGUCAAUCUCAUAAGCAGGAUUCUGUCGACAGACCUUGAUCAGUUGAUCAAGUGCAUCUGUAUUUUCUAAAAUUAUAUCCGACCUCUUCAAUUCCAAUCGCUCACUUAUCAGUUAUCAAGCCUUGUAAUUUCUUCAUCAGAUGAGUAAAAUGACGUGUGUGAUUCUACGUUUUACACCUUGUGCAUCCAGCUUCUUAAGUACAGGAAAGAACUCAGACACAUUAGCCUUACCUAUUUCAGACAAAAUUCCCUAAACCACGACUCUCAACUCCUUAGCGGAAUCCACAUAAGGGUUCACCCGGAAAACACCGUGUUGGAUAUAAAAUUCAGCGAGGUCCUAAAACCAGCUCGACUAAUAUCAACUGCCUCUCCAGUCACCAAGCUCAGUCACCUUCCUAUUACGUACAUUCUGAUUUGCAUUAACCGAAAAUAUGUUAGUAGUCACAAUUUUUCUGAGAUUUUUCCACCUCGGGCCAAUAGGCAAUUAUGCUAACGAGUACCUGGAAUGGUCACAAGCACAAAGAGCAUCUGAACAAACCUGCUAGAAAAAACAAGGUCUUGCUUCUGAAGCACUUCUCGAGCUAUAGUUGAUGAAGAAAUGACUAUUGUAGUUAUGCUCCCGAGUUAUAAACACAUGAUCGGACCAUAAAACUGGGCAAGUUCCGUGAGGGACGGACUGAUGAGGCAGCUUCCCUAUAUCGGCUAAAAUACCAAUGACAGGCCACUGGAGAGGUCCUGGAGGAAGGUUUUUGCCUCUGUUUGAGAACAAAAACAGAGAUUCUAAGAAUGCAAAAGCAAGUAUGAGAUAUACUACACCGAUUAACAAGUCCAUUUUGCUUAAACAAAGUGUUUUUAAGCCUGUGAAGUGAGAAACCUUGAGCAGUUGAGCUAUAUGCAUGAUUCAUGAAGCAACUCAAGGUGCAACUAGUGGAGAAUAAAAAUAGAAAAUUAAAUUAACGUAUUAACUAUUAAGUAGUCCUAUGAAACUUGUUUAAUUAAGGGCUGCUCCCUUAAUUAGCAGCCAUCCAUUGAGCCGCUUAUUUGGCGGUAUGCACGUGGCAUUCAUAUAAUCAUAUUUAACUUUUUUUUUUUUGGUCACAAUAUAAUCAUAUUUAACUUGACGUAGGUAAAAAAGGACCACAGUUUACGAGUCAUUGUUGUACCAAAUAAGUAAAACAAUCACUACUACCCUUUAAUUAUAAAUAACCAGCAUUAGAGUACUCUACCCUUUUUAAAGAUGGUAUUUACACUUUAUUUGACCUUGCAAUAUGUGGAAAAAUGGUGUUUCGUUGCUCUCUUUUUACACUAAAUUUGACUUUUAUUAACAUAAGGAGUGGUAGUGUUUUAUUAUUUUCAGUUUUACACUUAAAUUUACAUUUAAUUUGUAUAAAAUACAGAAAAUUCACAAAAUAAUUAUUCAUGUACGGACUAUUAUCACUUGCACCUGUAGAUUAUAUCAAAUUAAUAUUUGUAUUUGUUCUUAAUGCUGUAUUACUGUACACCGAGCUUUUUAUUAAGACCACAAAUUAAUAGUAGUUAAUCCUGAGUAAAAUCUUUUACCAUAACUGAAUAUAUUUAGCAUAAAAUACUAUACAAACAUAUAAAGUGGCUGUAGUUUAGUGGUUAGAAUUCCACGUUGUGGCCGUGGAGACCUGGGCUCGAAUCCCAGCAGCCACACUUUUUUUCCCAUUUUGCGACCCUUUUAGAAGUGUAGGGUUUUUAAAGAGCCCAAUACUCUUUUCUAUUUGCUUUUGUUUUUUUUGGAAGACGCACAAGUUGAAGAUCAACAAAACCUAGAAAAGGUAUGUAUAGAGGUCCAAUCUUUAGCUCAUAUUAUGUGAUAAUCCUGGCCUUUUUGAUUUGAUUAUAUUUCAAUGUGUUCUUUUCGGUUGUCAAGAAAUGCUGUGAAAUAAUAUGAUCUUUCUUGGGUUUAUGCAUAGUUAGUCAUCUAGAUCUAAGACCCCUUGAUGUGAAAUUUAUGUUUUAAGUAGUGAAGAUCACAAGGAAGUGCUAUAAUAAUGUAAAGGUCCAAUCUUUAGCGUUUAUUAUGUGAUUAUGUUGGCCUGAAUUAUGAGGGUGUGAAGUUGAUCUGGGUGUGUUUGAGGCUUUGCAUAAUUCAUGAUUGUAAGCUGAAGACUGUUUUGUGAGGGUAGUAAUAAAAUUCAAUCUUAUGAUCCGGUGAACAGAAUUCGGUGAUGAUGAGUCUAUGACAUAUAUAACCAAGAAAUGACUGGUUCACAUAAAUCCAAAAUCAUCACCAUCUCUAUGGCCACAUAAUUUGGGUGAGUGGAAAUCUUAGAAUUCUAUUUGAAGGAAAGCUCUGACACACACUCAAGCUUUUAAGAGGUGACUCAUUUCUAGGUCUUUGAGAAGUUUGACAUCAUUGUAUGAACAAGUUACGAUGAUGACACUUAAAAGUGACUUGAAAAGUUUAAUGCUGUUCUUUCUAGGUUUUACAGAUUAUGUUUUUCUAAUUUGCAGCAAAACCGCCUUAAGUAGACUAAAAGCAUGUCUGAUAUAGUUGAAUUGAAUAUUUAGUUCCAUACAUCUGAAAGUAUAGACAAUUAGCUCUGUUUUUGAUUGUCCGUUGUGUUUUUAAGUGCGAAACACGCUAAAAAUAUCUUCAAUCAGAACUCGUAUGGUUCGAGAUGUAGGGUUAAAGGGUUAAAUGAGCAUCUACUGUCUGUAAAGCGAAAAAUUUGAUUCUGGUGUUUUAGUAGCUCAUACAAAGAAAUUUGUCAAGAAUAAGUUUGUUGUAGAUUUCAACUUUACAAGCUCUCAAACAGAGUUUUUUGACAAUGAAAAACAUAACUCAUAUUAAAGAAAAACAAACCACAUAUACUAUGUAUGCCCUGCUUUGUAGACAAGGGUUUGGGGAGAGACGAUGUUCUAUAUGUAAACAUUACCUCUAUAUCUAAGAGUAGAGAAGUUUUUUCUGUAUUACUCAAAACUUUAAUUCAUCCUCUUGCUAUCAAAGCUUCAAUUAGAUGUUAUAUGUAUAUGUCUGUGUAGAUGUAGUAUAUAUGAUAUUACAGUAAAAGUGUGUUUAUUAUUAUGUUAAAAAUGGAGCUUGUUGCUUUUACUAUGAAUUAGAAGAAGUACGUACUGGGUAUUUUAGGUGGUUUUGAUGUUCUGCAGAUUAUAUAACUAGGAAAACUAAACGGGGCAUGUCGCUUUAUAUACAUUAUUGUGGUGUCAUCAGUAUAUCUUUUUUAACUUGUUCAUACAUUGCACGUCAAAGCAUUUGGCUGGCCCAGUAUUUCGAUUAUGUUUAAAUGGUAUAUUAUUUGGACACUCAUUCAGCUUUAAUAAUUGAAGACAAUUAAAAGUACACUUUAAUUAAUAAUUAUAACAAAAACAAAUCUAUUGAUAAAUUGGUUAAAUUUAACUCUUAAGCCAUCAAUGUGACUUUAGUUUAGGGCUUGAAUCCAAGCAGUCACACCUAUUUUUGAUUCUUUUUUUUGCAACCUUCUCUAAAGUAGGGUUUUUAUAUGAGACCAGUUGCUUAUUUUUCUUUCCUUUAUCAUUUUGGAGGGCGCAGAAGUUGAAGAUUGACUAAAGACAGCAAAGGUAAUUGCACAAUCUCAUGCUCUACACACACAGACACACACACACAAACAUCACUUAUUAGAUCACUGUAUCAUAUAUGUGUCAUUUUUUAAUGGAGUUUGACUUGGAUGUGUUCUCGUUGGUUCCUAGAAAUUUUGUAAUAUAGUGUGAUCUUUAUUGGGUUAUAUAUCCUCUAGAUCUAAAACCCCUUAUUGUGAAUUUAGUGAAGGUCAUAAAAAAUGCAAUAAUAAUGUAAAGGUCCAAUCUUUAGCUUAUAUUAUGUGCUUAUUUAGCUUAAAUAUUAAUGGGGUGAAAUUGAUCUAAAGUAUGUUUGAGGUGUUUAUUUUUAUUUACGAGGAUUAGCUAAAGAUGGUUUGUGAGGAUUUUUAAAAAAUUUGAUUCAAUGAUCAGGCGCACAUAAUUUGUUGACUACAUAGGGAAUGCCGCAUAUAUAGAAAAACUCUGAAAUGACUGAUGCACUCAAAUCACAAAUCACUGUACACCAUCUCUUUAGCUGCGUAAUUUGGGUGGAACUCAUCAGAAUUCCAAUCUGUCAAUUCAAGAAAUUCUCUCACACCCUUUGCGCCAUACAGUCUACGUCAGACCCUUUGGGUGACCUAAUAAAUAAAUGAUGGUUAAAAUUUGAGAAACGGGUUGUUAAAAUGAUUCAGGGUGUGCGUGAUAUUCCUUGAGAAGGUGUAGCAAUGGAAUUAUAUGAGUUACACCCGAAUUGCAUGGCUGAAGAGAUGGGUGUAGAAAUGGUAAGAUGGUGUGGUUUGUCGAUUGGAUGAAUUAUUGUUUCUGUCACUUGUAGUGAGUCUUUUCGUCCGUGUUAUGUUUCUCUUUGUGGUCAACAAACUUUGCUUGUAGUCACAUUAAUAAAGGAACACUGAUGGUCAGUAUUUCUUGGUACGAGUAUGAGGUACUGAAGUCUUAACAUUUGGAUCAAAAUUGUAACCUUGCAGAUGAUAGACGAUCAAGACUUGGGUUUCAUAGCCAACUUUCUUGGAAUCUUUAUAUUUGGUUUGGUAAUUGCUUACCAUUAUGUGACAGCUGACCCGAAGUAUGAGGCCAACUAGAUCCAAGAUGCAUGCAACAGUUUAUCUCAGUUACAUGUUUCCUUCAUGUUGAAGUAACAUUAAGUUGGAACAAUGCUGGCAUUUACUAUAUUAAAUGUUAGCAGUUUUUAUGCUAGACAUUUCAUUUACAUUUUGUUAAAGCUUAAUUAAAAAGUUGCACCACAAAUUCUGUCUUUGUUAAUCAAAAUCCCACCUGAAUGCUGUGGAAGACGCAAUCUGUUUUUUGACUAUGAUGCUUUCGAUUUUUAAACACUUUCCAUACAGUUUAGGGGCCUUAUCUUAAGCUGUCUGGAUGAGCUUCAAAAUUUACUUUCAAGCCCAAAGUUCCCCCAACAUGUAUACUUUACCUUGCAAGUAACUUUAAUUUCAUAGUUCAUACCUCAACAUUUUCCUGCUCAACCUGAACGAAGUGGGGAUCUGAUCGGGGUCGAGCGGUACGGGUAAAUGUCCAUCCCUGUUUCAUACCAACACCAUUUUCCUGCGCCUUUGGUUUUAUAAGGAUCAAUGUCAUAUAUCAAAUUCCAAAAGAAUAAUUAUGCGGUAAAUCACUAAACCGGUGAGGAACAUCUCAUCAAAUAUCUCGACUGGAGAUGUAAAUAUUUGUAGCUGAUUCUUACCAUCAAAUUGACUGUUUAUUCUUCAUAUCCGAUUAAGCAAAUUGUCAUUUUUCACAAAUAUGAAACAAUGUUACGCUGUUUCUGUGUGUGGAUGUAUCUGCCAAUUUGCCCUGUCACAUUUAUUUUUAAAGGUAACAGCUGUGAAUUGGUGAUUAUUUACUCUAAGAACUUAAGUAUAGCUUGCAGGCUGCAGCAGCAGUAGCAUAUGAAAACCAGUGCAAAACUACAAAAUAUCGUUACCAACAGCGAAACUUUACCACCACCCAAAAAUGCACUUGCGCAUGUAAACGUAACGAGAUAACAAGUACCUCUCUUUACGCGUUUUAUUGUACAUCAGAAUAACGAUAUUAGUUGUCACUUUUCCGGACUGAGGGAGUAUGUUACAUGAAAAUAGUGCAUAAAUCGGUGAAAACAUGAAAUAAGAAUUAAUCAGAAAUUAGUCUAAAAUUAACUAAAUGAUUAAUUAAAUUAUAAUUAAUCAGAAAUUUAAUAAAUUCAACGUCCUAUAAAUUAAUCACCUACUUUAUGCAUAUUUGUCACAUUUCUGAAUUCAGGAAAUAUGCUAGUUUUCAAGCUACUUUUUCGAGGGUGUUAACGUCGAGUCUCACAAUCUGAAAGAAAAUGUUCCCAAGCACCAAUAUCAGAGAAGACCUUCAUCUAUCAUUUUUCCAUUCAAGACACUAUAUCAUAUAGUUUCCAUCCUCCUUUUUCUUUUUAACAUUCCACGAUCUAACGUUUAAAAAUCCUAGACUCAUUACGACCUAGCAUUAGAAACCCUAGACGCUAAUUUAUGUAACGUUCUACUCCUAAAAUGCUACUCGUUUAGCAUUUUACAGUGAUUUUCAACCCCAAACGCAGUGUUUUCUUACCAAAACUGAAACACAAGAUAGUCAAACGUUACUGAAUGAUAUUUGAGGCCAUUUUUGGGCAUUAGCUAUAAGUUUUAAGACAUAUGGGACCUUUGCUGCAAUUUCGAAAAAGAGGUAGCAUGCUAGAUAUAUUUGCAGGACACGAGAGGGAUGAGGGAGUAUUGGCUGCUUUCCCAGGAAGGAGUACACCAGAAACAUUUGCGGGAUGUAAGGGAGGAGGUGAACUGAGGGAGUACGCUAGAAACAUACACGGGACUGAGGAAGAAUGCCGGAAGCAUUUGCAAAGUAAUUGCACAGCACUAAACCUCUUUUCCAGCUAAAUGGCCCAGUACCAUUAUAUGUAAGAACAGGUACAAUAACAUCUGCAACACCUAGCAUUAACUAAAAACCUAAAAAUAAUAAAACUAAAUACUAACAUCUAUAUUUUAAGUUUAAACCUCCCUCCCAAUAUUACUAUAAACUACCAUGCACAUUUUAAGAUACAGCAACUGAGUCUACAUACAAAAUCCUAUUAAAAGCAACAUCCAUCUGCUUGACUACUACAUCCAUCUACUUGACUGUUGAACUGUUGGGCUUUUGUGUGUGUGUGUGUGGGGUGGGGUUGGNNNNNNNNNNNNNNNNNNNNNNGUGGGUUGUCACGGUGCUGGUUGAGUUGCAUGUUUGGCUGCCCAUAAGUAGGCAAUAAACAUCCACAACACAACCAUACCAAUUAUAGUGGUUCUGACCACUUCUUCCCUGCUCAUGUUAGUACGAAGAUCUGAGUAGUGGGAUGGACCAACAUUCACAUGAUUAUGGUGAUUUGUGCUUGAGCUCGCCCCGGUGAUUUCUUCAUAAGUUUCAUCUCCAAUCUCUGUCGUCGUGAUUAUUUCAUCAGUACUAUCUCCAAGCUCUGUCUCGGCGUUUUCUUCAUUAAUUUCAGUUUCAAGCUCUGCUAUUGGGCUUGUCUGUAUGAUUUCUUCAUUUGUACUUGUUACAUUGCUACUGCCUAAACAGUUAACGCACGAGCACGUACCACCUAGGAAAAGAGGUAGUGUCUGUAGGAAUUCAGUGACGACCUCUUGGUAGUUAUCUCCUAUGAUCCUUACUUUCUGUCUAGUGGCAGGUUUGAGAACCUGACAAAAAUAAUAGUAUAAUACUUAAUACAUGAAAAGAUAUGACAGGCAACUUACAACUGCUCCAAAUGUAAUAUUAUAUUGGCUACCACUUGGUUCUCAUGCACAGAUAGAGUUGAGAGAGAAAACCUGCCUGAAAUAGAGUUUGAAUUAUCAUACGUGCAACCGCAGGAAGCCGUAUGAUAGCCAAGCAAGCAAGACGUGUUGGAUAGUGAUCUUGCAGCAGUGUAGCACACGAUCGCAAUAUUUGCAUCGGAAAACCAAAUGGUGAUAAUCCCUUGCAAUCCAUCAAAACCGUAAUUUGAGGAUGCCUCCUGUCAACGAGGUUCAAAACUCCGUGUUCUAUCUGGGAAACUAAAAGAGCAAACUGUAAUUGAUUAAUCUGCUUAAUAAAACAUUAUGAAUUUAGCUAGGAGAACAAAUAAAAAUAAGAUAGUAGCAUAUCAAUGGACGUAGGUAUGUGAAAUGAAGCAACUCAUCCAGUUAUCAUCUGAUAGUAACCUUUAGUUGACCAGUUAAUAUCAUUCCAGGUUUCACCAACUUACUUCAAACAAUAUAGGGUUAGUUCUCAACCUAAUGAAAGCAAUCAAUCAAGCUAGUACAGGCAAUCAGGUCAAUGAUAAGCGCUUUUACAAUAUAGCUUAAAAAGAGGAAUCAAGACUCGUCGAGCUUUACUUUGACUUGUUACUAAUUGAAACAAGUUACUUAAAUGUACUUAAUAGAGAAUACUCACCAACUGCUUUAGCAAAUACGGGCUUAUUGCUAGAACUCAGGUUGGAGCAAGCGAGCCCAAGACGGAUAAUGAGACAGGGUCUUCUCUUAACAUCAUAGCCAUGCCAGAAUACAAAGCAAUCCCAGUCCUUAAGUUCAUCUGGGGAUAACAUAGUGUAAGUUUGUCUCCAUUGUAUCGUCUUCUUCACUGCUGUAACAAACCUUGAGAAGUCACCAUUCGAAGCAGCAUAAAAUCUACAAAGCUCAUCCUCGUCAAGCCUGGAGAGGCAUAUCAUCCAGUUUAACACAGUUAAGAUACAGAUGACUAAUUUUCAAAUGGUUAAUGUUUCUUAGAUCAAAAUUUUCAGGCUUUGUGGCACAGUAAAGUAUCUAGACAUAUCAUCAAGUUUUAAUCCUUAAAAGUAAAAUUACUUUAACAGAAGCAUCAUAUCUAAGGAGUUGUGUCUGCAGUCCUUACCUUUCAGGUAAAGUCAAACCCUCCUCAUUUAACUUCUCAUGCAAGUCUUGCAACCACUUCCUGGAAACAAGAACUCUCGGAGCUUCAUUGGUGGACCUGGAAAAUCAUAUUGACCAACAAAAUGGAAUUUAUAUACACGCAAACAUCAUAUUAGCAUAUAUAAUGAUAAUCUACAUUAUCCAAAUUGCAAAGGAGUAUUGUUAUACUAGUUUAAUUCGGUGACUGAGAUCAAGAAUAUAAAUAUCAUCAAUGACCGAGACAAAUUUAAUUAAACUGGUGGCAACUCAUAGAACUGAUAUUAAUCUGAGCAGGUUUGGUACAUGUCAUGACAAGUAUACGGCUUUAAAAUUCAUACAAAGACUGGACAAAGCUGUAGCUCUAGAUUACUAGCCUAGGAAACACAAAAAGGCCAAGUGACUGCAAAAGCAAGUUUCUUCAGGGUAGUAAGAGGGCCUGACGCUACCAAACAACCAUACAAAUUUACCAGACCUCCCAAGUAUGAACAAUAUCAAAUGGGGAACACAGUAACACACUACAGCAUAUAUCACAAGAAAAAAAAAAAGCGUUCUUGCCAGAUCACAGGAACUUACUAAGCCAAAAAUAUGAGGAAUUAUUUAGUGCUUGUACUUGCAGUAGAAUUCAAUUUCUUACCUUACGUCUGGACUAGAUAAUUGAGAAGGUGACCCCGACUGUGUUUCGUAACCAUCUGGAGAGGCAUAGGAAUUGUCACAUGAAGAUUCAUCAGAGAAAAUUGUUGCGAUUGACAGAGCUAACAUUGGCUUCGACAACCCCUAGCAGAAAUAAGUAUCAUCAGUACCAUUAAUAUAAUCACAAUUUACAAGAAACAACUAUUAAAAGAAUCCUCGAAUAACGAAAACAAAAUUGUUGGCCAGUCCAUAUGAUAUAUAAUCAAGUGUUGGAUCGGAAAGAAAGUCUAUGGCAGUCCAGUUUCCUACAAAUACUGUGAUUGCGUUUCCAUCUUCUCUCAAGCCACUAAGAUGGAAUACCACAGUAUAGCUUGCUUGCUGUCCAUAAAAUUGGCCUAAUAGGAAAAUCCUAUCAGUAUCAAAUAAUCAAUACACCAAAUACAGGCUCAGAGCCAUUAGUCACCAUGCCAGUAGAGACAGAGGAACUACCUAAUUUGAAGCACUCGGAGUUAAUACCUAGAAAUCAAUGAUAUGGAGAUGCACGAAUUUAACAAAUCUAAAAAUAUUGGGAUCUGGUGCUUACUGCUUGGGGAUGCAGCUUAUCUAAAAAUGUUACAAAUAUACAUCUUGAUGAUGUUAUCGUAUAUUAAAUAUAAAAUCUAUAAGAAUUCAAGGGUAAUACAAUUCAAUAGAACCAGAAACUAUAGAAAAAUUUCACAAAAGAAAAAUCUUUAAUAUGUGACAGUAUACCAGUAGUAAAGAUUAAAGAAUUAUGUCAUUGCCCAGAAACUGCGGUACUUAUGUGGUACACACGCAAGUACAACAUAGUACACAAUGCUAUUACACUUUUAAGACAUCAUUUUUCAUUUGUUGCCUACUCUACUCUACCCACUACUCGACCCUAUAGGUGAAUACAAGACUUUACAUACAUCAUAUAUGACAGCUGACAGGAUAACGGAUAACCGAUAGAGACACAGUGGUCGGUGGACUGAAACUAUGAAAGAAGGCCAGAUUCUUUAAAACCCACUAUCUCUCAUCCUUUGAUUACAAAAUCUGCCAUCCCCGCACCCAACACCCCAACGCGCUCUUGCGGACACGUGUCGUACCCAUGCGUCUUGCCCAUUAAACAACUAAUAAAUAUGAAUAACUUGACUGAUAUAUAUUGAAUUGCUUCCUAAUUCGAAAUGGAGAAGAACUUUGAUUAUGAAAAUGAAUUUGCCUCAUUUUUGAACUCAUAUUGAUUAAAGUUUAAUCCUAUUUUGCUCAAUGCCGUGAUAAAAUAUAUAAUAUAUUUUGAGAUAAUUAAUUGAAAUAUUUUUGAAUUUUAUGACACCAAAAUUCCAAAUAAUGGAACCAAAUGCAACGAGAUCUAGCAUCGAUUUGAGAUACAAAUAGCAUAGUCUUUUAAAACUAGCCUUCUGUCACCAAAAAUUUCUAAGCAGCACAAGCUUGUCAGACUAAUGGACAUUCCCCAACUAUGUGGAGGAAUGCGAGCUAAGAAUAUCAAGGUUACCCGUAAAGGCUCCCUUUGUUUCACAGAGAACAUUUUGCUGGUUUCAGAUAUUCUGGUGUUUGUUAGAAUUCUAUUUUACAGAUUUCAUGUCUUUGUUUAGUUUAGGAAAAAAAGAUAUAUCUAUCAGAGUAUGAAAGUUACUUAAAAAAUGAAAUGCUUUAAACUUUCACAGGAAUUAGUGUCCUCCAUUUUGAGGAUUUUCCCUCCACAUAUUGAACAAUUACUCAACAAAAAUAUAUGCGAAAAUAUAAAACAUAUUUUCACACAUAUUUUUGUUCAGUAAUUGUUCAAAAUGUUAGUUCCAAAAAAAUAAUUAAUCAGCAAACAAAUUGUUCAAAAUGCUAUUUCCAAAAAAAUGUUCAAAAUUUAGGAGAAAUAUGUUUCCACUUUUUUUUUUUGAAAUUUCCGCAAACGAAUAUUAUUCCGGAUUUAUUUUCUCUGAAAAUCAAGUUAAAUUUUGGCAAACAACCGGACACGUACAGAAGUAUAUCAAGAUGCCCAUUUCUAGUAGGUGGAUUGUGAAUGAACUAGAUUACAAUGAUGCGACUCCUGUACAGUCAAUUAAUACGCAACAAAAUGAAAGAGAGCUUAAAGAGUAUUAGGAAAUGCAACUUAGGCACUAGAAACAUGGAAAUUUAAAACGGUAAGACAGUAAUAGUGAUACCAAACCAACCUGCAUAUUCUUAACCAAGCCCUUGAAAGGAGUCCAUCUCUCAAUCCACCUGAACGGUGGAUAGCACAGAAGCUGGAGAGCCUGGAGCCCUUCCCAGACAAUUGGGAACUUCGCAUUUGAGAUCCUCCGCACAACUUCUAGCGCUGCAGUUUUAAGAAGAAACACACCUAUGAUACCCACAACCGGAUGUGCUACUCCCUUUUUUAUAAAAGAAACACAUUGCAAACUCUUCUUAGAGUACGCCUCUGGAACUGAACCAACCAAACCUACUUGGUGUGCCAUUCUAGUAUUAACAUCCCUCGUCUCUAAGUUCUCACUUGAACCAGAUACCGAUACAGAGUUCCCCAUUCAACUUCCUUGCAACGUCAACUGAUACAUGUUAAAAAAAUAGUAAAUCUGCAUGCCUAUAAUAUACAAGGAAACUACACAUAAAAUUCUAAACUGAAAAGAUUCCGUAACAUACCUAUAAAAUACAAUUAAUUCAGAGAAGUCAAGUCUAACGUCAUGCAUUUGUCUUCGUGCAAAAGAGACAGAGAAAUUAUAUGGCGGUAUAAAAUGCGCUCAUAUGAAACCCUAGAUGACUUAAAACAGUAUACUGAGUAUAAUGACUGAACGCACUUAUUCCAAAAAUAUACUUUACUGCGCUUUAACUUUUUCUGGUCUUAUUUUAGAAAUCCAAUUAAAAGAAAUCCCUAGGCUGUAGCGUGAUCAACACGUCUAUUAAGACAUGACAUAUUAGGGUAGUUAUAAAUGGAUAUAUAAACUUUAUUAACAAUAAUCGCUCACCAUUUCUCAAUUGAUAUAUGUCACGAUUCUCUCCAUUUCUCACACAAUAUACGUCACGAUACUCUCCUGAUUAACAUUAUACGCAUCAAAACUUUCUAACGAUGUUCACUCCUAUUUUAAUGAAUCCAACCGUCAACUGAUCUUUCUAUUUUUUACAAUUCAAUACAACUGUCGUUAUAACCGUACUCUCUCAAUACAUUCCAGAACUUUUCCAUCAUGAUAAGAUUUCAUUCUUUCCAUAUCAUGACAACCUUACCCGAAAAUGAAGGUCACCAACAGCUGAGCUAAAUUGAGAUUACAAACACCAUUCUCUUCACAAAAAUAACGACUAAACUACCUCUAACUGAACUAAAAUAAUACUUAAUCAAAGGAAUCACUCCGAAAUCAAACUCCAACUCAAAACACAUUACAAAAUCACAUAAACAAACAUAACAGCUUAGCAAAAUUAAACAAAAACACUACAUACAGAAUCACAAAAACAAACAUAACAACUUAACAACAUCAAACAAAAACACUACAUACACAUACACAGGCUAACAAUAACAGUGAUCACAAUCAAUAAGUCAAUCACAGUGAUAUUAAACAAUCAAAUAAUAUUAAAAUGAGUAAAUUAAAUCUUCUAACAUAGCAAACAAAAAUUAUCCGAAAAAAUAUUCAAAAUAAAUACAAACACAUACACAAUCGCAUAAAAAAUAGAGGCGAAGAUGAUUUUACCUUGUUAAUUAGAGUGUUGAAAAACACAUAAUAUGAAAUGAAGAAUUUGUGACACGGAUAUGGAGGAGGAUGAGUUAGGGUUCGGGGAGAAUUGGAGAAGCUUCGUGAGUUUAUGAGAACUCAGAGUCGGUGAAUUGCGACUACUAAAUUUAUUAUUUAUUAUUUAUUACGUAUUUAAACUGGUUUUUUAUUCUGACAAAAAUUAAAAAAAGUUGGUAUUUUUCAUUUUUUUAUUAGUAUAUUAUAAUAAGAAUAAUAAUAUAAUAUAAUUUAGAACGGCGGAGGNCAGCGGCAUGCUAGGUGAAGGCAGCAGGAGUGAUUAAGUCGAAUCAAGAUGUACAAAUUUAGUUCGGUUUGAUUUUGAUUAUCUGAAAAUUCGGUUUAUGUGAUUCAGAUUUAAUAUAUCGAAACAAAAUUCAUAUUGAUCCGAUUUUUAAAAGAAUAUUCGAUCCGUGUCAAAUAAUAUAUAAUAUAAAUUUAUAUUCAUAUAUUUUUUAUAUAUAUCUUAGAGUACUGAGUAAGUAAUUAUAUUUUGAUAACUUGUACUACUUUAAAUUUACAAUUUUAAGACUGAUUUUUAAGGUCAACAAUUGUGUGGCUGAAGAAAUGUUUUUUUAACAGGUUAAUUAUCAAGUUGGUCACUGAAGUGAGCUUAAUGUAUCAAGUUGGUCACUGAACUCAAAACGGUAUCAAGAUGGUUACUAAAGUCACCAUAAAUAUCAAACAAGUACCUUGAAAUAUGAGUUCAAGUAGUAAAAAUAUUAUUUAUAAAGUUUUACACAUUAAUUUUAAAUGUUACCACAACCAGCUAAAAGGUUAUGACUUCUAGUAUUUAAAAUAAUAGAAGUUCCACCAAGAUUCAUCACAUGGAUACGGGGUUGUGUUUGCACCACUCAGUUUUCUGUCAAACUUAAUGGAGCUAGUGUGGGGUUUUUCAAGGGUGCUAAGGGGCUGCGUCAAGGUGACCCAAUAUCGCCGUAUCUCUUCACUAUUGCUAUGAAUGUGUUCUCCUCCAUUCUCAACCAAGUCCCUAGUGGCUUUCAGUUUCAUUGGAAAUGCAAAGAGCUCAAGCUUACCCAUCUUUUCUUUGCUGAUGAUGUCCUUAUCUUCUCUAGGGGCGACAGGACGUCCAUUGAGCACAUAAUGGCAUCCCUUGCUCUUUUCUCACGGGUUAGUGGUCUCUCUGCCAACCUUUUGAAAAGUACUUGUUUUCUUAACAACUGUGAUACCCUGUUGAAGUCUUGGUUUGAUCACACCUAUGCUAUCCCCCAUGGCACCUUGCCUGUGCGCUUCCUUGGCGUCCCCCUUAUCACAAAGCAGCUUUGUGUUAAUGACUGCAUGCCUUUAAUUGAAAAAUUAACUGCUAGAAUUGAUGAUUGGACAAACAUUCUGCUUUCUAUAGCUGGGAGAGUCCAACUCAUUAAAUCUGUCCUUUUGGCCAUGGUCUCCUUCUGGACGAGGCACUUCAUUCUCCCUAAGGGUAUACAUCACACCAUUCAAUCCAUCUUGACCCGGUUUUUGUGGAAGGGUUCUCUGGCUGUAGGUGGGGCAAAAGUGGCUUGGGUUGAUCUUUGUUUGCCCAAAGAGGAGGGUGGCCUCGGUAUUCCUAACCCGGCUACUUGGAAUGAAGCUCAAAUCCUCUCACACCUUUGGAAAAUUGUAAACAAAGAUUGUACAUCUUUAUGGGUCAAUUGGGUCAUUCGAACUGUCAUCAAGCACAAGUCCUUUUGGAUGCUUCCAAUCCCAACUGAUUGUUCUUGGAUAUGGCGAAAGAUUCUCACCCUUCGUGACUCUGCUCGAGGCCACCUCAAUUUCAGAAUUGGGAAUGGAGCCACGACAUUGCUUUGGUUGGACCCUUGGUUCAAUUCGACCCCUAUUGCCUCUUGUCCCAGGGAUCCUAUUAUUUCUUAUCUUGGCUCCACCCCCCAAGCCAAGGUUUCUGACUGGAUUUCUCAAGGGCAUUGGGCAAUCCCGGAUCCUAUUUCUUCUCAGCGUCGCAGCCGAGCCCGCUUUGAUGACUGGUUGGCGACCUUCACUUUUCCCCCUGUGUCCUCCAAUCCUGAUCUGCUUUUUUGGGACUCUAAUGCAGGAAGCAAUGUUACUGCUCGUCUUAUAUGGGAUACAAUUAGGCACCAUGGCCAUGGUGUGCCUUGGUUUUUUGCUGUGUGGUUCAAACAGGGGAUCCCUCGCUAUCGCUUUCACUCUUGGUUAGUUUGUAAGGAACGCCUUGGCACCCUUGACAGACUCGACCAUUGGGAUCUCACACCUACUUUACAGUGUUAUCUUUGUAUUGGUGGAGUGGAAUCUCACUCCCAUCUAUUCAUGCACUGCCCUUAUACUUCCUAUAUCUUGGAUUUGCUGUUUGCCCCUAUUUACAGGAUUCGGAUCUUACCCCACUGGAAAUGGACGCACCUCCUCGAGCAUCUCAUGACCUGUCCUGAUCCUACCAGGCGAACCAUAUCUCUCAUUGCUGCCCAGGUUACUUCCUACCACUUAUGGCGAGAGAGAAAUGCUAGAAGACACAACAGAGGCUCCUUUGGCCCACGAAAGCUUCUUCAUGGAAUCAUCACUGACUUACAGGCUCGAAUUUUUGGGGAGCCUUGGUUCAUUGCUGCUGUUCGUAGUAAUUGUAUUCUGAGAACUUGUAUAUCACAAUUUGACUAGCUCUUGGGACUGUUUAUUUAUGGGGUUGUUCUGCCCUCUUCUUUCUUUGCUCGACUCUCUAGUUUAAAUCUGUUGUCUUAGAUUUAUCUUAGAGAGUCAUAGAUGGCAGGAUAUUUUGUACAUUCUUUUCUCUUCUAAUACAUAUCUAUUUAGCAAAAAAAAAUAAAAAUAAUAUAUAUAUAUAUAUAUAUUUUAUCAAGUUUAUUUAUAAUUUAUAUUUUAUUAUAUAGUUAUUUUUUUAAUUAAAAAUAAAUAAUAAAUAAACUUGAUAAAAUCUAAAUAUAUUAUCAUAUAUAUUAAAAGUCAUAACCUUUUACUUGGUUUUGGUAACAUUCAAAAAUAAUGUGUAAAAUUUUAUAAAUAAUAUUUUUACUGCUUGAACUUAUAUUUCAAGGUACUUGUUUGAUAUUUAUGAUCACUUCAGUGACCAUCUUGAUACCAUUUUGAGUUUAGUUACCAAUUUGAUACUCCCUCCGUCCCAUUUUAUGUGACCUCAUUUCCUUUUUGGGACGUCCCAAAAAGAAUGAACCUAAAAUACUUACUAUUUUUGAACACUACUUUUUACUAUUGGGAUAAUUAAUUUAUAGGUCCUUGAACUUUGGCCCAUUUUUGGUUCGCGUCCUUGAACUAAGUUUGUCAACGUGCGCAUCCUUAAACUUUGUAAAUUUUCAACUCAGGUCCCUCCGUCAGUUUUUAACUAACGGACGUUAUCUUAAAUUUGGGGGUUUUUGAUUCGUUGAUGGAUUGAUGAAACUGAUGGCAUGGGAAGUUUCGGGAGGUCAAACUGAAGAGAUUCAUGUAGGUUUCGAUGGCGGAAGAUUGCCAAAAUGGUAGCCGGAAUCAAUGGUCAUUUUCCGGCCGCCGGAGAGAUUGUCACCAUUCUGGCAAUCCUCCGCCAUCGAAACCUACAUGAAUGUCUUCGGUUUGACCUCCCGAAGAUUCAUAUACCAUCACUUUCAUCAAUUCAUCAUCGAAUCGAAAACCCCCAAAUUCAAAACCCUAAUUCACUAACUUCCGUUAGUCAAAAACUGACAGAGGGACAUGAAUUGGAAAUUUACAAAGUUUGAGGAUGCGCAUAUUGACAAACUUAGUUCAAGGACGCGAACCAAAAAUGGACCAAAGUUAAAGGACAUAUGAAUUAAUUAUCCCUUUUACUAUUACACCCACUAACUCUAUAUUUUAUACUCUCUUAUUAUUAAAUAAACACUAUUACACCCACUAAUUUUCUCCACUAUCCCAAAUCUAUUAUUAAAUAUUGAUAGGUCCCACCACUUUACCCACUUUUCAACUACAUUUACUACUUUUUUCUUAAUCUCCGUGAAAGUCAAACCCAUUCAUAUAAAAUGGGACGGAGGUAGUACAUAUUAAGCGCACUUCAGUGACCAACCAGAUAAUUAACCUUUUUUUUAAACAUAUUAAGGGCUCUGCUCCAAGUUAUAAGAUGUUGUUGACAGUCUUAAAGACAACAUGGGCAAAAAUGUUUACAAGAGCUCUAUUUUGUAAACGCGAGCUAGCGCGGUUCGAACUCAUUUAACUAGGCUUGGUUAGACUUGUUAAACGAGCCGAAUUUGGGUAAAGGUUUCGGCUCAUUUAAAAACGAGUCGGCUCGACUCGGCUCAUGAAAUUAAACGAGCCGAGUUCGGGUAGAUGUUUAGACUCGAUUAAGUGUAAAAUUAUACGAGCUGACUCGCUCGACUUGUUAAAACCAACUCGUUUAGCUAAAUGAGCCGGGUCGACUCGAUUUGUGAAAUUAAACGAAUCGAGUUCGGACAGAAAAUUAGACUCGUUUAACUAAACGAACUGGUUCGACUCGAUUAAAUUUGACUCGAAUUAGGCCCGGCUUAAAACUCGACAGGCUCGACUUGUAAUACCCUAUCUGUGUAUAUAUGUGUCGACUGUGUGUACUGAACAUAUUCAUCUAAUCUAAAAUUCUCAAUCAAUUUGUUACGCACAAGAUGAAUUAUUAACAAUAUUUGUGUGGAAACUGGGCAGUGGACGACAACCCGACUUUAGUUUUGUAGUUGGAUGGUUAAAAAGAACAUGUACACUUUCUAACAUUGUGUUUUUUGACUUUUACGAACUUUAAUUUCUAUAAUUUAUAAUAUUUUUAUACAAAUAUAGUUUAUAGUCUUUAUUUGCAUACUUACAAAAUAUUUUGAUUAUAUUACUUGUUUAUUCAGAAAUUUUAUUUCUCAUACUUUUUACACAUCGAGAAAUUUGAUUCAGAUUUAACAAAUGACACGAAAUUUUAUUUGUGCAGGAAUUUUACUUCUUCAGAUUUUUUUUUACUCAUCCAUAAAUUUGAUUUAAAUUUAAACAAAUGAUCUCUUAAAUUACGAGAAAUCAAUAAUACUAGGUUUUUCUAAAAUAAAAUUACAAAUUUCAAAACAAAAGUAAAAAUUGAAUCUUGAGUUUCUUUAUGGGGUGAAUCUGCUUUAUAAUUCUAGGCACAUUCACAGAAGCUUGAGGUUUGGAUGUUAAAUUGAUUAGAUCAAGAUGAAAUAAGUCUCUAAGAAAGACCAGCUAAAAAAUGUAAUAAAUAAUUUAAUAACUAACUUAACAGCACGAAGCUUAGAUAGAAGAAAGAGGAGGGAGACAGAUCAAAACUAGUAUGAAUGUGUUGGGUUAAUUUUAUAUGGUAAACUGGUGACUCUUUUCAUUAGAUUUAUGAUCGGAAUAUAGUGGUUACACUAAAAAGUUUCUUUGACGAAGAGUGUUUUCUUUUGUUGAUAUUAUUGUAUCAUUCGACAACUAUGUAUAGUGUAUGCUGACAAGGCCUAAGGCCUACUGAUAUGAAACCACAAGCACAAUAGACAAUUAUACAGUAGGUGAGAUGAAGCGUUUAAAUCUAAACACAUUAGAUUACGGUUGUUAGGGAAUAAGGUGGAAAAAAGUGUUGGACGAGAAAAUAUUAGAAUUUUUUUUUUCGCUUGAUAAUAUUGUAUUUUUCAACAAUUUUUUCCGUCUUAGAAUCCGGAUCCUUGGAUUAAUUAUCUGGUUUCUUAUAAUCUGAACCGUGAUCUUUGUUAUGAGAAAUUUACUUAAAUUUAUUAAAGCGACUUAUAGAGUCUAGUCAGUCAAUGUUGUCAGCUGCUUCCUAGAAGAUAACUGAGUGGAGUUUGUCAAUCAACUUUUUCAGCAACCAGCUCUCUCCUUCCUCCCAAGUCCUGAUGAAUUUCUCAUUCUUUCUCUGAAACAUAUAAGAGCUCCUUACUUCUACUAGACACUCAAUUCUCGCAUUCUCUUUUGUUAUGCAAAAUGGCCAGAGGAGAAGAGCCUGUGAUCGGAAUCGAUCUCGGAACCAUGUACUCAUGUGUUGGAGUUUUUCAAAACGGUCAUGUAAAGAUAAUUGCCAGUGAGCAUGGUGGGAGGAAGACACCAUCUUGUGUGGCUUUCACUGAUACUGAGAGGCUUAUUGGCGAAGCUGUAAUUGACCAGGCUGGGAUGAAUGCUGCUAACACUGUCUUUAGUAAGUAUUCUUGCUAUUUUAUGUCUGUUUUCGGUAAGGAUCGAAUUAGGACAAAUUUAAAUAUUCACGCGCACAUAUUUAAGCAAAGGCCAUCGUCUUAACACGUUCAGGUUUUGGGAGGAUCGAGAACUUAACAUAUCCGUUAGGACUUGGGCCAAAUUUUAUUUAUUCUUCAUAGGCAGUGUGGUGAUACAUUUUUGUAGCGUUUCUCACUUCUUAAUGUUGCAAAAGCAUUAAUUAAGAUUCAAGUUAGCCUAUAACUGACAGAACUAUUGUUUGUAUGAUCCUAACAAGAACUCUGUAGUUUCUUCACUCCUUUACCUCUAAACCAUUUUAUAGCUUAAGAUCUAGACCUCGAAGUUCACGAGUACAACCGGCGCUGAUGUAUUUUUCAAACAAACUACUAAAAAGUUAGAUAAUGUAGCAUUAUUUUUGGAAUAAGUGUUAUUGUAGUGUCUUAAGAUUAGCAGACCUAUUUAAGAUAAUACUCCAUUCCGAUUUCUGUUUAAUCUGUCAUAAUCUCCGCAUUAUCUGUGAGAUCAGUUUCAACCCUAAAUGCUCUCCCUUGCUUACCCAAAAUAAUCAAAAACAUAGGUUGGGAGGGGACUUUUGUUACAUUUUCCGGAUGACUGAGGAAUAAGAUCUGAAGGCGCAUAAAAAAAAAUUAAGUUGAUUACAAGUUAUUCUGCUAAACGUGUCCAUGAUCUGAUGUUGCCUGUCCAAAAAAAGUAAUUCUUAUCCUUGUUACUAAUAUUGUGAUUUAUAAAACAGAUGCUAAACAGCUGAUAGGCAGAAAAUUCAGCGACUUGUCUGUACAGCGCGAUAUAAAAAACUGGCAGUGUAAAGUGUUCUCAGGUCCUUUGGAAAAGCCCAUGAUUUUGGUCAAUUACAAAGGUGAGGAGAAGCAGUUCUCGGCAGAAGAGAUCUGCUCCAUGGUUCUCGUAAGGAUGAAGGAAAUUGCGGAGAAGCAUCUUGGAACAACAGUAAGAAAUGCUGUUAUCACUGUCCCUGCUUACUAUAAUGACUCUCAGCGCCAAGCAAUUAGAGAUGCUGGAACCAUUGCUGGCCUGAAAGUAAUGCGCACAAUUGCUGAGCCAACUGCAGCUGCAGUUGCUUAUGGUUUUGACAAGAAGCUGGCAGGAAUCGUUAGUUCAGACGGGGAAAAGAAUGUGCUCAUCUUUGAUCUUGGUGCUAGUAACUGUAACGUGUCUCUUCUUACAAUGGAAGAUGGUAUAUUCGAAGUGAAGGCUACACAUGGUGCGAGUCAGUUUGGAGGGGAGGAUUUUGUUAAUCGUAUGGUCAAUCACUUUGUUGAGGAGUUCAGAAGGAAAAACAAUAAGGACAUAAGUGGUAAUGCGAAAUGUAUGAGAAGAUUGAAAAAAGAAUGUGAGAAGGCAAAAAGGUUGCUCUCCUCUGUCCCAGUGACCAACAUUUAUUUGGAUUAUUUUUACUACGAUGACAGUUUCUCUGCAAAUAUAACUCGUGAUGAUUUCAAUGAGUUAAACAAAGAUCUGUUUGAAAGUUGUGUGGAGCUGGUCAAGAAGUGUUUGAGGGAUGCGCGGAUUGAUAAAAGACACAUCCAUGAGGUGGUCCCUGUAGGUGGAUCUUCUAGAAUUCCUAAAGUGCAGCAGUUACUGAAAGAGUUUUUCAAUGGGAAGGAGCUGUCCAUGGGUUUAAAUACCGAUGAGGGUGUUGCAUAUGGCGCAACUGUCCAGGCUGCGGUUCUGAGUGGCAGAGGCGACGAGAGGUUUCAAGACUUGAUGCUGUUGGAUGUUAAUCCCUUAUCCCUUGGAAUUGAUAUUAAUGGUGAAAUGUCUGUCAUUAUUCCUAAGAACUAUAACAUUCCCGCUAAAAAGUUUAAGAUUUUUCCAACCACUACUGACAAUCAGGUUGCCGUGUUCAUCCAAGUGUUUGAGGGUGAACACAAAUUGACAAAACAUAACAAACUGUUGGGAAAAUUUGUAUUCUCUGGCAUUCCUCCUGCGCCUAGUGGUGUUUCAAAGUACAUAGUGUACUUUGAUAUCGAUGCAGAUGGAUUGUUCAAUGUUUCUGCAGAAAAUGAGAAUUCAGAGCCGUUGGAGGAGAUAAAAGUGCCAACUUACGAGGAUAGAUUUUCAAAAGAAGAGCUUAAGAAGUUGGUACAAGAAGCUAAGAAGUACAAAGCAGACGAUGAAGAGAACAAAAAGAAGAUGGAGGCAAGAAUUGCUGUAGAGUCUUACUUCUAUAACUUGAAGAACAUCAUCAGUGACGAGAGACUAAGUUCCAGAUUUGGGGUAGCCAGCAGGAAGAAAAUGAAGGAUGCUAUUGAUAUCGAAAACCUGUGGUCAAAUGGGAACCAGUUUGUAAAGUUGGAGAACUUGGAGGAAAUUAUUAAGGAGCUCAAGGGACUCGCAAUAUUUUAACAAUGCUGCACUUCUGGGAAUCUUGAUUUUGCCGUGUUGAUAAGUAAGAAUUGCUCGUUUUCCAGUUGAUCAGCUUGUGCAGAGGGGGUAUUCCUAAAGAUUGAGGAGGGUUCUGUCAAGGUCUUGUACCUGCUUGUGUUUGCUUUGGUUGAAAAUUCUGUUUUAUAUUUUAUCUGGUAUCAUGUUCCAUUAUACAGCUUAUAUUACGUGAAUAUAAUAUAAUUCUGGAAAAUAAUUAUAAAAUGUUACCUGGGUUAUAUGGUGACACAUAUGACAUAAAUAAUAUUCAAAUAUUAGAAAAAAGACCCAACUAUAUAAAAAUAUUAAAAUAUUCAUUAUAAAUGACAAGUAAGAUCUUAAUUCAUAUCCAUACCCAUAUUCCAUAUAUUCCAUAUAUACUUAAUACAUGCUAGUGAAUACAAUGGUACGGAUAUGAAUAGUAUGAAUAGAUAUAAAAUUUUAAUUAUCUAUUUAUUAAGAUUAUCGCAAUAGUAUGAAUAGAUAGUAUUUAUAAUACUAUUUAUUCAAUAGUAUGAAUAGAUAUAAAGUUUAAUUUUUUAUAAAUAAAUUUUUUCUAUAUGAAAUCAACAUGGAUAAUUUGAUAUUAUACGAACUAGGAAGAGUAAUCGUGCUCAUCGUAGUUUAUAUAAUUGUUGUUAAUACUAUUAUAAAUUUGCAUACUUUUUAUCUUUUUUUUUUGAUAAAAAUCGUGAUUUUUUUUUUUGUAUUAAUAAUUAUAAAAUCUUAAUGGGAGCUCACGAAGCGCGGGCAUAAUUGCCUAGUACAAUAAAUAACAUGUAAUAUUUGAAUAACAAAAAGAAAAUAUAUAAUUUCCAUAAAAAUCUACUCCCUCCGUCCAUCAGAUUCUUUACAGUUUUUUUUUGAUGUCCCAUCCAAUUCUUCACAUUUCAAAACUUAACAAAAUUAGUCGAUGGGUCCCACCACUACUCCCUCCGUCCCUUUUACAUGUCCACUUUGGAAAAAAAAUUUGUCCCAAAUUACUUGUCCACUUCUCUUUUCAAAGCAACUUUUUGUAUGAGUUUUCAAAAAGUAACAAUUUUCAAUGUUUAACUAAUAUAUAUAUAGGGGAGGGUUCUGGUACAAACUUACAAACUUUUUUUGUUCAACACAUAUAUAACUUGAGUUCAACGUUUUUUAAGAUAUUUUGUUGAACAUCGAUUAAAAUUGUGUUGGAGAAGUACAUAAACUAAUUUUUUAAUAUAAAAACUAAGUUAAACCUAUUAUAUAACCAAGAGAAAAGUUAUAUGGAGACCACUUUUUUUGGAGACCGUGGAGACCAUUAUAUUCUGCAAGUAAAAUAUUGCAUAAAAACAUUGCAAAACUCAUAAUUUUGCAAAUCAAAACACAUUAUUUUGUGAAAUAUGUACUACAAAUAUCACAAAUUCAUCAAAGUUAUUGAAGAACAUCUAUGUUUAAUAAGUAGAAUGUGUAUGUUCUGCAAAUUGAACAAAUGUUCUGCAAACUAAACAUAUUCCGCAGGACAAAACAUUUUGUAAUAUUCUNAUAUGUACUACAAAUAUCACAAAUUCAUCAAAGUUAUUGAAGAACAUCUAUGUUUAAUAAGUAGAAUGUGUAUGUUCUGCAAAUUGAACAAAUGUUCUGCAAACUAAACAUAUUCCGCAGGACAAAACAUUUUGUAAUAUUCUACAUGCAAAACAUACAUGAUAUUCAAGAUUUUAAAUGAUAUAAGAAUCUUUGCACAACCUGUUUUGCAAAAUUAUGAGUUUUGCAAUAUUUUUAUGCAAUAUUUUACUUGCAGAACAUAAGUGGUCUCUACGGUCUCCAAAAAUAGUGGUCUCCAUAGAACUUAACUUAUUUAUAUUUCUAGACCCUACCCAAACCCCAGAGGUAUAGUUUAAGCAUCUCUAUAAAUGUAUUCAACACAAUGAUAACUAAUGUUCUACACCCAAUGUUGAACCCCAGUUACAAAUGUGUUGAAUGCACGAUUUAUUUAUGCGUUAUUUUUAUAAUUGUGACGUUUUUUCAAUAAUUUUAAAUAUAAAUACUUUCUAUAACUAAGGAUUAACAGGUUGGGAGAAUAAAAAAAAUUCAAAAAAAAAGUUUGUAAGUUUGUAAGUUAAAAAAGUUUUUAUUUGAUCCUAUCCCUAUAUAUAUAUAUAUACACAACUCUAUCUAAUUCAUUACAUUUAUUAGAGAUAUGUAUGAAAACAAGAUAUCCAACUAACAUUUUUUUAAGAUACGUUAUUUUUUCAAAAGGGACAAGUAAAAAGGGACGGAGGGAGUAUCUAAUUUUUCCUCUCUUUUCACGCUAUAUAUAUACACAACUCUAUCUAAUUCAUUACAUUUAUUAGAGAUAUGUAUGAAAACAAGAUAUCCAACUAACAUUUUUUUAAGAUACGUUAUUUUUUCAAAAGGGACAAGUAAAAAGGGACGGAGGGAGUAUCUAAUUUUUCCUCUCUUUUCACGCUACUUUUACUCUCUUUUCACAUUACCUUUACUCCACUAUCUCCUUUUUAUACAUUAAAAAUUAAUGGGUCCCACCACUUCACCCAAUUUUCUUUCUCUUUCACUAUUUUAUACGUAUUUCUUAACCUCUGUGUCCAACUCCAAUGUAAAGAACUCACCGGGACGGAGGGAGUACUUAGAUAUGCAAUAUCUAACAAUUAAUAUCAUUUAAUAUCUAAUUAGCAAAAACAAAACAUGCAAUAUCCAAGAAAAUCCACAAGAUAUGCAAUAUCCCAGAAGAUUUUUAUAGAUUUAAUUUCUAACAAUAUUUAUUACUAGUUAAUACACAACAACUAUAAAUAUCAUGCACAUUUUAUUUCCAAGCAUCAUCCUCACAUCAAAGACAUUAUUCAUUUUGUUGAAUUUAUAAUCAGUUGUUUCUUAAGACCUAGUAUGGAGAAGGCUCGAGUCAACAAAAUUAUUUCUCUUCUUGUAUUUUGGUCAUGGUGUGCGAUAUGUCAUGUAGUUCUACAUAGUUAAUCUAUCAAUAUAUAUUAUAAAUAAUAUAAUUUUGUGCUUCGUGAUCUCUGAUGUCAAUGAAAUAUUAUUAUUUUUGAUAAUUUAUGCAGAUUUAAAAUUAAUGGGAACAAAUGCAUCAGAUACACAAUGCAAAAGUGACAAUGAUUGUGAUUUAGUAUGUACCGAUAAAGCCAAAUGUGCAAAAGGUGAAUGUCAAUGCGUACUUUUUGGUUACGUUCCUGGCCCUAUUCGUGGUCAUGGUUUUGAUGAUAUGUAUGGUAGGUAAACAAGUAUGCAAGAAUGGUGUGUGCAAAUGUGUAGGACAUAUCGGUGACGAGAAUGAAGGACGCGGGGGCAUUUAUUAACAUAUGUAUAAUGAUUAUUUUUUCAGUGAUAUCAACUUAAUGAUUAGUUCAAUUUCUUGCUCGAUUACUUUCUUUGUUUUGACUCGAUUUUUUAUAUUUUCCGACACUAAUUAAGUAUAUAAACUUUUUUCCAACACAAUACAUAUAUUAAGACAAAUGAAAGUAAAACAAACAUCAUUUACCUAAAAUUACUAACCUUCUAAUUUUUUUUAUUUCUUUGGUCACAAACUGACUUCUAAUUUAACCUUGAAUAAUUUUUUAUUUUCAACAAUAUGAAAUAUUCUCAACUAGUGACGCUUCAUAAUUUGUUUUGGGGCCAGUUGAUAGAGGAAUACAAUCGACAGAGUAAAUUAAAUAAGAGGAUGUAAAAUCGUGAUCGGUUACGUGAUUAGAGUAAAACUCAAAUAGACAAAAAAAACUUAAAUUAAUAAACAUCAGUAAAAAAUGAAUUGUAUAGAGUCGAACCAAAAUUAAAAAGUUAGAAACAAUUAAUUUUUUUAAACUUUAUUAAUAAAUUACAACCAAACGGAGAAAAUCAGACUAAUUUGAUUAUUAAGAUAAAAUCCUUUUAAUAAUAUAUAUAUACAUAUAUAUAUAGAGAGAGAAAUCUAUAUAUAUAUUAUAUUAUAAUAUAUUAUAUUAUAUUAUAUAAGUAAUAUAUUUUUAAUAUAUGCAAUUUUUUAAGUUACUAAUCUCUAAAUUAUUAAGCAAUGUGUUGUUAAUUUUCUUAAAUGGCAAGUUGUAGGGGGUGUAUUCCGUUGAGAUUUUAAUGAAUUAUAUAUUGAGUUUGUGAAUUUUAAUGGAUUGUAUUUGAUUUAAAUUUUAUACAGAUUCUUAAUAAAAAAUGACUGAGUUGAUGAGAGUCUUUAGGAUUUAAACACGAUACUUCAAAAUCUCAUAGAUUUUGGUGGAAUUUCAAAUAUCCUAAAAUACACCGAAUAAUCUAAAAUAUCCAUCAUUUUAUGAAGUUCAAAAAGAGCCAUGAGCAAUUGAAUACCAUCAAUGGAUUUUAAAUAAUCCAAAUUGAAUACCAUCGAAUUUUAAAGCAUAAUUUAAAAUCCUGAUUGAAUAUCACCAGAUUUUGUAGCAUAAUUUAAAAUCCUAAUUGAAUAUCCCAUGAUUUGAUCAUUUUUUAAAAUUCGAGUUCAAUACCCUCGAAUUUCAUAAAUAAAAAGAAAUAUUUACAAUUCCAAUUAAAUACACUCUCUAAUUUAGUUUUAUGGAUUUCUUUGAUAAUUUUAACUUGCCACUUGAGUGCUUGAGCAUGGAUUGUCCAUAUAUAUAUAUAUAUAAGGAUAUAUUGUCCUUCUAUGGUCACCUUGAUAUCUCGAUUUAUUCUUACUCAUCCUAUCAUUGGACAAAUAAUUCUGUAGACUUCAGGCCCGCGAUAUUUUCACCCGAGAGUUGCAGGGACUAAGAGCUUUAAGGUUUAUAGUAGAAAUAUUAUUUCAAUUAAAUUUUGUUUAUAUUAUCUCACUAGAUUUUAUAAUUUAAACCAAAUUAAUAGUGAUUAGCCCAUGUUUUUAUUUUAAAACUGUCAAUUACAGCUGCGCUUUCGACGUCAAAUAUCUAAUAUAUCUGCUUUCUUGUAAGAAAUGUGCACCAAUGUGAUUCGAGGAUCAUAUUACAUGUGAUUUAAAACAAGUUUGUGAGAACAAAGAACGGUAAGACAAUCGUCCAUAUCAUGAUAAAAUGCAGAACUAUAUAUCAAGAAUAACAAUAAUAUGAAAUAUGCGAUAUUAGUUUUUGAUUAUGAUCGACAAUUACACAAAGAACAUGCACCAUCGACCUAAUGCGAAAAAUGUUUGACAACAAAUUCUAUAAUAUCUGUUCCUCGAACAAUCGAGUAUGAACGAAAUCAUUGUUACCAGUAUUACAUACACAUACGCCCUUAUCACAAUCCACAAAAUCACAGGCCAUUCGAGGACAGUCCGCUUUAGUUUUGCAUCGGGCAGCAUUUGAAUUUUGUAAAGUGCCUGGAUGAAUAAAUUGAUAUACUUGUUAAAUUAAUUAACAUAUUAUAAAUUAUUCUCUAUGUAGCUCUAUAAUGUAAACAUUGCAACUUGGUGAACAAGAUAGGACAUACCGCAAAUCAUAAGCAAUAAAAUAAAAAACCCGCACGUGUUUAGUGAAAGUUUGAGCAUGUUGUGCAUAAAAGAUACUAGUACUAUUUAUCGAUAUUAUUAGUAAUUGCAACGUACAAGUUUCAUUGUAAUAUUGCAAUUGCUUAUAUAAUUAACAUGGUCCAUAUUGCAUUAAAUAAAUGUAUUAAUGAUAAAUUUAUUGUCUCCAGCUAACAUGUAAUAUGCCAGGUAACGAUAAAUUUAUUGUCUCCAGCUCACAUGUAUAUGCUAGUCUCCCAUCAACGAGUGUGAAGACUAUCAUUCAGUUUUAUACAAACGAAUCAUGAUCUUUAUUUGGGGGCUUGUGAUGGACUUGUAGAUUACUCAAAUCUUUCUUUUUAACAUCAAUCAUCAAUCCCUAACUAUCGUCAAAUUUUCAUUCAACAACAUCUUAUAGCUAUCUAUUUCUUUUUUUUUAACUAACUAAAUCUCGCUCCAACUUGGCUCAUAUUUUUUGAGAAAAUAAUUUUUUCAUAAACGACUUUUUAAAAAUUUCCCGUAUAGGAUUGGACACCUUAUUCCUCUUUACCUAUCGCCCACCUCUUAUUCAUAAGACACCAAUUAUAAGCGCUUCCCCGGAGUUGGUAGCUUGCAAGACUAAGUUUAACUUGAUGAUUUUUUUUUUCCAUCUCUAAACAGGAUGUAAUCAUUUAUCGACUUUUGAAGGUGUUAGGUAGAUUUCUCGAAAGGUUGGGGACUUGCCUUCUCAGGAUCCGUUUUAAGGUGUUGAUGAAAUUUGAUAUACUCUUAGAAAAAAUCCAUUUAAAAAAGUGAUGUAGAAAUCAGAUAACUGUUUUGCAAUUUUUUUGAUAUUUAUAUAUUUUGAGUUAUAAGAUAAAAAAAAUAAUUUUUGGUGAGUUUUAAUAGUAAAAAAAGUUUUUUCCAAAAAUAUAUGGGAACCUGCUUUUCCUAAAUAUAAUUUUUGAGCUAAAAGCCGCUAUUCGAAAAAUCUGCUUUUAAAUAUAACAAACAGUUUUUCACAUGUUUUUCAAUAAGAAAAUUUAUGUUGCUGUUUGUCAUAACAAUGCCAAACGGAGCUUUAAACUAAAGUUGACUUUUUGAUUCAGUUGUUUGUUCCCAACCAAUGUCGUUGAAGUUUCGCCAAUUAAUUCAUCAUAUUUAUAUCUUUGUUAUCAUUGUUAUUACCGUUUCCGCUUUUGUUUCGUUGGUGAGUUAUGACUGCUACAUAAUUCAUUUAUAACUUAAUCAUAGUACAAAUAGCAAACAAUAUUCGAACAAAUAUGCAUGACAAAAUAAACGCAAUGCUUGAAUUUGUACUAGUAAAUUGACUGAAAAAGAUAAUUUUUGACGACUUAUAAGCCUAUAAUAUUGUGUCACUAUGUUUUUGUGAUUUUAAUGAGUUGUAGAUUUAAUUUAUGUAACUUUCAAUUUUUUAUGUGAUACAAUAAUUCUGAUUCUACAAUAACUAUGAAAUUAUAAAAAUAUCAAAUGAGGUGUUUUAUUUGAAUUAUGAAGUUAAAUUUAUUUGUAUAACUCAAUACUUACGAAUUUACACAUAUUUAAGUUAGAAAGUGAGAAAAAUUGACUUAGAUAUAUCUAAAUUAUUAGUAAUUUAUAGAGCUUCAUUUCCUUGCAUAUAUAUUAUAUUAGACUAUAUUUUUCUAUGUUGGUUUCUAGGAAUUCUAUUAUCAUUUUGAAUUUUAUUUCCUAAUUAAUUCAUGAUAUUUCAGGUUUAGUUUUAAUGUUUAAAUGAAAGCUAACUGUCUGAAAAUUUAUAUUAAUACAUUUCAAAUUUAUUUCCGUCAAAAUACAUUUAAAAAAACUAGACAUAUUAUACUAAGUUUAGAAAAAUAGGCUUUCGGCCCAAACCAACAAAUAUUAUGCUCCAAUAACACAAUAUAAAUUGUAAAAUUCUAAUCAAAUUUUGAUUCUGAUAUUUAAACCAUAUAUGUAUGAGUUUAAUUGUAUACAUUUUAUUUGAGAUUUAUCGAGGAAUAUUAAAAUAUUAAUUAUAAAUAACAAGUAAGACCUUAAUACAAUAAAUAAUAUGUAAUAUUUGAAUAGCAAAAGAAAAUAUAUAAUUUUCAUAAAAAUCUACUAGAUAUGCAAUAUCCAACAAGUAAUAUCAUUUAAUAUCUAAUUAGCAAAAACAAAACGUGCAAUAUCCGGAGAAAAUCCAUAAGAUAUGCAAUAUCCCAGAAGAUUUCUAUAGAUUUAAUUUCUAACAAUAUUUAUUACUAGUUAAUACACAACAACUAUAAAUAACAUACACAUUUCAUUUCCAAGCAUCAUCCUCACAUCAAAUACAUUAUUCAUUUUGUUGAAUUUAUAAUCAGUUGUUUCUUAAGACCUAGUAUGGAGAAGGCUCGAGUCAACAAAAUUAUAUCUCUUCUUGUGUUGGUCAUGGUGUGCGGUAUGUCAUGUCUACAUAGUUAAUCUAUCAAUAUUUAUUAUAAAUAAUAUAAUUUUGUGCUUCGUGAUAUCUGAUGCUAAUGAAAUAUUAUUAUUUUUUGAUAAUUUAUGCAGAUUUACAAUUAAUGAGAACAAAUGCAUCAGAUCUACAAUGUAAAAGUGACGGGGAUUGCAAAUAUUAUGCUGAAUGUGUCGAUGGUAAAAUGAGAUGUGUAAAAGGUGAAUGCCGAUGCAUACAUUUUGGUAUCCCUGGCCCUCAACCUAGUCACGGUUUUGAUGAUGAUAAGAAAGUUAACAACGAGGUUAGAUGUAAAACAAUGAGAGAUUGUUUAAAUUAUCUAUGUUUAGUAGGUAAACAAGUAUGCAAGAAUGGUGUGUGCAAAUGUGAAGGACAUGUUGGUCACGAAAAUGAAGGACGUGGAGGAAUUUAUUAAUAUAUAUAUAUGUAAUGAUUAUUUCUUGAGUUUUAUCAACUUAGUGAAUUAGUUCAAUUUCUUGCUCUAAUUACUUUUCUUUGUUUUGGCUCGAUUUUUAAUAUUUUCCAACACUAAUAAAGUACAUAAAUUUCCCCCCCACAUAAUACAUGUGGUAAGACCAAUGAAAGUAAAACAAUCAUCAUUUGACUAAAAUUUCUGACCUUCUAAUUUAUUUAUUUUUGUGUGUCACAAACUGACUUUAUACUUAAACCUCAAAUAAUCUUUUAUUUUCAUUUUCAAGAAUAUGAAAUAUUAUGAACUAGCAACACUUCAAAAUUUGUUUUGAAGUUAUUUGAUAGAGGAAUACAAUCGACAAAAUAAAUAAAAUAAGAGGAUGUGAAAUAGUGGUCAAUUACAUGAUUAAAGUAAAAUAUUGGAUAGAUACAAAACUGAAAUCAAUAAAAAUUAGUAAAAACAAAAUCAUAUAGUUGAACCAAAAUUAAAAAGUUGAAAACAAAUACAAAAAUUAACUUUAUUUAUCAAUUACAAAGAAACAGAAAAAAAUCAGACCAAUUUGAUAAUUAAAAUAGCAUCCUUUUAAUAAUUUAUAUACAUUUUUUAUAUAAAUAAUUAUGUAUUUUUAAUAUUAGCAGUUUCUUAAGUUAUUAAUCUCUAAAAUUAAAAUUGAGCAAUGCAUUGUUAAUUUUUUUAUAGGGGAAAAUUCUAGGGGGUGUAUUCAAUUGAAAUUUUAAAAUUUUUUAUAUGAUCUAUGGAUUUUAAUGGAUUGUAUCUGAUUUUAAUUUUAUACGGAUUCUUGAUAAAAUAUGACAGAGUUGAUGAGAGUCUUUAGGAUUUAAACAGAAUACUUCAAAAUCUCAAGGAUUUUGUUGGAAUCUCAAAUAUAUUCAAAUACACCGAACAAUCUAACAAAAUUCAUCAUUUUAUGAAGUGCUAAAAAAUUCAUGAGCAUUUGAAUACCAUCAAUGAAUUUUAACUAAUCUCAAUUGAAUACUAUCGCAUUUUAAAAUAUACUUAAAAUUCUGAUUGAAUACCACCAAAUUUUGUAGUAUAUUAUAAAAUCCUAAUUAAAUAUCCUAGGAUUUGAUAAAUUUUUUAAAAUUCGAGUUGAAUACCCCUAAAAUUUCAUCAAAAAAACAAAUCUUUUAAUUCAAUUGAAUGCGCUUCAUAAUUUAAUGUUAUGGAUUCCUUUAAUAAUUUUAACUUGCCACUUGGGUGCUUGAGCAUGGAUUGUCCACAUAUAUAAGGAUACAUUGUCCAUCUGAGGUCACCUUGAUAUCUAAAUUUGAUUCUUACUCAUCCUAUCAUUGGACAAAUAACUUUUUAUUUGGAAAUGUUACAAGCACCGUGAUAUUUUCUCCCGAAAGUCGCAAAGACUAAGAGCUUUAAGGUUAAUAAUAGAAAUAUUAUUUAAGUCAAGUUUUGUUUAUAUAUCAUUAGAUUUUAUAAUUUAAACCAAAUUAAUAGUUAUUAGAUCAUGUUUUUAUUUUAAAUCUGUCGAUUACAAUGACGCUUUAAAUAUCAAAUAUCUAAUAUAUUUGCUAUCUUGUCAGAACUUCGCACCAAAGCGAUUCGAGGGUCAUAUCACACAUGAUUUAAAACAACUUUGUGAGAACAGAUAAAUGUAAGACAUGCGUCCAUAUUAUGGUAAAAUUUAAUUUAUUAAGCUUGUUAUAUUAAUUUUUAAAAAUAUGUUGUGAUUAGUUGGAUUUAAAAAAUCGAAUCGGCAAAGUAACUUGCACAAUUAGUCAAUCAAAUUGGCAAUUUCUGUAUUGAUAAGUUGUUCAGUUUCUUAAAUAUAUCUUGCACUCAAGUGAUUUCAUCUGUUGAUAAGAAGACCAGGUGAUUAGGUUACAUAUUAUCUUGUGUUAGUUCUCUAAUUAUUUAAUUUAUUAUGUCGCGGUCUUUAUUUAUGAAUACUAGUUGAUGAUCCGUGCCAAGCACGGGUUUAAAUAAAAUUUUAAUUUUUUUUAUUUAUUGGAAACAUAAUAUUUUUUGAAUUACAUUAUCAUAUUUUUAUUAUAUUUAUUUAAAUUAUUAUUUUUAAAUGUUAUUUAGAUUAUUAUUAAUUCGAUAUAAGACUUUCUAUAUAUUAAAAUUUGAUAUUAUUUUUGUAAAUAAUGAAUUUUAAUUAUAUAACAUAUUUAAGUUAAUUAAAUUAAAAAUUCCUUUAAACUUCGGUAUUAGUUUGUCAUACAAACAACUACUAUUCCUAAGUCUAAAAGAACUCCAACCCACAUUAGAAUUACCCAUUCUAACUCUAAAAUAAUUACGGAUUAAAUAUACAUAACACAUAUCUAUUAUAACUCUAAAUUAAUUACAAAUAUUAGAAGUCUAAAAAAAUUCUUAAGUUAAAUAACUUAAAUAUGUUUUUUAAAUAAAAUUCGCAAUAAAUAAUGAAAUAAAAAUAAAACAAAAUAAUAAUUGAGUUUCUUAGCUUAUUUUUUAUUUUAUGUUCUUAUAUCUACAUAAAAACUCUGUCGACUUAUUAUAUUUAUUUGAUAGGAAUUUUAUUGAGUUGAUUCAUAUUUAUUGGAUAGAAAUUUUACAGAGUUAAUUCCUAUGUUAAAUUGUUCGAUAAAUAUAUAAUUUGUAAUUAAUUUAGAGUUAUAAUAGAUAUGUGUUAUGUAUAUUUAAUCCGUAAUUAUUUUAAAGUUAGAAUAGGUAAUUCUAACGUGGGUUGGAGUUCUUUUAGACUUAGGAAUAGUAGUUGUUUGUAUGACAAACUAAUAGGGUUGGUUCAGCUGGUUAAAGAGAGGACAUAGGUUUACCCAGUGCGCACCCGAAGGGUAGCGGCUGCGGGUUCCUACGUUAAAAAAAAAAAAAAAAAUAUAGAAGUUUAAAGGAAUUUUUAAGUUAAUUAACUUAAAUAUGUUUUAUAAAUAAAAUUCGUUAUUUAAAUAUUUAAUUUAUUUUAUGUUCUCAUAUCUGCACAAAAGCUCUUCUGACUCCCUAUAUUUAUUUGAUAGUAAUUUUAUACAGAAUUCAUAUUUAUGUGAAAAGGAUUUUAUAGAGUUAAUUUCUAAGUUAAAUUGUUUCAGUUCUAAAAAUUACAAUAUUUAGUUAUAUUGGGAUAGAAUUAUAUACUAUGAAUAAUCGUUAUGUAAAAAAGUCAUGAGCAGUAUAAUGACCAAAUUUUGGUACUGAAACGUGAUUUCGCUUAUUAACAAAGGGUAUUGAUUGUUUCCGGAAGUUCUUGCAAAAAUCUAAUAAGAGCAAAUUUUUGUGAUUAAUUUAUGAAAGGUCCUACCAUGCACAAUCAAGCAGACAAAUGGAGAUGAAAAGAAAAGAUUGCCCAAACACGCCCUAUAUAGGAUCCAGCCAUUCAAGAUUAAUGGAUUGGUCUGAAGUCACAUUCUGAACUAUUAGCCAGGGAUUUACUUGUAGUUACCGUUGGUAGAAUUCUGGAACAUCGGUUUCGUUGGUGAAAGUGAUCACAAUGAGGUUACUCUGCUCUGAAUUAUUGCGGCCUGCAGCGGCUAAAAUUUGAGUUGGCUUGAAAAAUGAUGUGUAUGAACACAUUGAAAUUAGCCUUUUGCUGUCUGAAUUGUUCAUAGUCAACUUUAUAGCAUCCUACAUCGUCCUAUUGAUUUUUUUUUUCUAUGCAGAUUAGUUAUUUCAGCAGAAGAACUUUAUGUAUUUUUAUUGACUUUAUAUUUGCACUUUUUUUUAGGGUUUUGGAGAAUGGCUGGUGAAGCAGAAGGGCCUGCAGUUAGGAUUGAUCAUGUGCUCAUGUGUUCCAUGUACAAAUUUCAACUGUUUAUACCAAUAAAAUUACAGACCAUGGCCACACAAUAUGAUCACAAUUUUACGCCUUGUAAACCUAUAUGUUAUGCUAUCAUAUCGAAAAAUGAAUAAAUUUAACCACUUCAGAAAGAACUUAUGCGUCAAUUCUCAUCCAGAUUGCAGAAUUACUGGAUUUGAAGAAACUAAUGAAACUCAUUCAGAAAUUUGCAGUUGACUAAAAAAUGCAGUACAGUAUAUUAAGCCUUUUGUUCUCUUAAGCUGCUCAAAAGUGCGAAUGCAGAUUUUAUUUUGAAGCUGAGAAGGCAGAUUAUAUUAAGCUUCUUGUACUAAUAUUUUAAUUAGUCUUUGUUUUGAUGUUGUAUUCCCGUUUAAAAGUGUUUCAGUUCUAAAUUGGCUUAAUGACCUUUUAGCCCUCGAAGUAUGUAUGAAUGUUCCGAUGCGGCCUCGAUGUUUAAAACCGUACCUUUCGACCCUCAAAGUAUCCGAUACGUACCUUUUAGUCCUUUUCCUAAAAAACGGUAUAAAUCGGGGGGUAAAGUAGAGAAUUCCUAAUUUGGGUUAAGUUUAUGCGUACCCUUUAAACCCUAAAGAAUACAAAAAAUAGAAAACACAGUGAAGAAGCUCGAGCUGCUGCGGAUAGAAGAAACAAGGCGCGAUUGGGUGUGGAUUGAAGUCUUAGAUCGUGAUGGCUAGCAUAAGCGACAGCUCCGCUGGUAAUUUCUUAACCCUUUUCUCAAUUGAAUAUGAUGAUUAACCCCCCCCCCCCCUUGUAUCUGCAUCAUUUUCAUAGGGUUUUUGUUUUUCUGUAUGAUUAUUUUCCAAUGUUCAUCUCGUGAUUUUGUGAUUAAAAGGUGAUGAUGCUAUAAUGUUGAGUAUGUUUCAUGGUGGGUCUUUGAAUUGGGUCCCCGUUACCGAAUAUGUUGGGGGUAGAGUCACCGUGUACAAUUUUAGAGACCAGGACGAAAUUAACAUGGAGAGUCUGAGAGCAUGGAGUAAAGCUCUGGGUUAUGGGGGUUUGAGCUGUCUCUAUUAUAGGAUUCCUGAUAGAGAUCUUGAUGGAGGGUUGGUUUUAUUGAAAGAUGAGAAAGAUGUAGGAGAUAUGUUGUCAUUUGCUAUGGAAAAUGACAACAAAAUAGAUGUUUAUGUGCAACAUUCUAAUCAGGAGUUUGAAGAAAAUUUUGGAGGGGUGAAUGAUGCAGCUGAAGAACGCAUGAGUGUGGAUGAACUUGAGGACUCUGAUUUUGCUGAAUCAGAUUAUUCGAUGACUGAUGAUGACUUGCUCUUUAAUGAUAAAGUUGAUGCUGGAGUUGAAUGGGUUGGUGUAUUGAGGGCUGGACUGGGAUUAGCAGAAGAAGUGCCGUUGGAGCCAGAAGAUGAAGAACAGAGUGAGUAUGACAGUGAUGAUCUUGAAAGCUUGGAUGGCAAUGAUUUAGAGGAGGGUGAAGGCAGUAGUAGAAGGAAAACAUUUCCAAUCUACAAGGACACAGAAGAUCCAAAGUGGACAGUUGGGAUGGUUUUCACUGAUCACAAACAAUGCAGAGAAGCUAUAAUGAAACAUUCAGCUAGUGAAGGUAGAGUGAUAAGGUUUGUCAAGAGUGACAGAACAAGGGUGAAGGCUGUGUGUAAAGCUCCAUGCCAGUGGUCUCUUUUUGCCUCUCUCAACUUCAACAAAACCAUGCAGUUAAAGAAAGUGGGCCCAGGUACAUUUUGAGGUUAUUUGUGUCUUUUUACAAUGCCAACUGGGUGAAUGCAUAUUGUAUUUAUGUCUUCUUUUUCUGACAGAGCACACAUGUGCUAGAGAGCAGAGGGGGUUACCUCUGAUAAAUUCAGGAUUCUUGGCAAGGAAAUAUCUGGCAGAAUUCAGAAUCAACCCCUCUUGGCCAGUGAAAGCAUUCCACAACACAGUUUUAAGAGAUCUGCAGCUGGAUAUCAAGCCUCACAUCUUGAGAAAAGCAAGGAGAAAGUGUAUGAGAAUUAUGAAUGGGACACUUGAAGAGCAGUUCCAGAAGCUGUGGGACUACAGGACAGAGCUUCUCAAAAGGAACCCCAACUCAACAGUUGAGAUUGACAUAGAGCCAGGUAUUGUAUCUAAUUAUUUCACUUUAAAAUGCUUUAUGUGUACUUUUUUUUUAAAUUCCAGAUCUGUGCUUGUAGGGGCUGUUGGAGUCUUUAGAAGGAUGUACAUCUGUCUAGGAGGGCUCAAGCAUGGCUUUAAGCUUGGUUGCAGGAAGUUCAUAGGUUUGGAUGGCUGUCACCUGAAAAGUGCUUACAAAGGUCAGUUACUCUGUGCUGUGGGUUUAGAUGGCAAUAAUUGUAUGUUUCCUAUAGCAUAUGCAGUAGUUGAGGCUGAGAAACUUGAUUCCUGGAGAUGGUUUGUGGCUUAUCUUGUUCAAGAUUUUGAUAUAGGCCUAGGUGAUGGUUGGUCCUUCAUUAGUGAUAGGCAGAAGGGGCUUUUGAAUGUAGUUCAAGAGAUGUUACCCAUGGCUGAGCAUAGGUAUUGUGUUAGACACUUACACAAUAAUUUUAAGGGUAAGUAUGGGGGUAGGUCUUUGAAGGACAAGCUUUGGGCUUGUGCUAGGGCAUCAAAUAUUGAGGCAUUUCAGGUUGCUAUGACCAACAUUAAAGAGGAGAAUGAGGGUGCUUGGAAAUGGUUGACAGAGGUUCCAUUCCAUCAUUGGACUAGAUCUCAUUUCAAAACAGAGUCAAGAUGUGAUCUUCUUUUGAACAAUAUGUGUGAGAGUUUUAAUAGGUGUAUUUUGGGGGCUAGGGAGCAAGGAGUUCUAUUGAUGUUAGAAAUGAUUAGAGAAUACCUGAUGAGGAGGCUGCAGACAAAAAGAGAUGAAAUGGUUUCUUGGGAGGACAAAAAAUUUACUCCAAAAAUCUACAAGAUUAUUGAGAAAAACAAGAAACUGAGUGGAUCUUGCUACUCCACAUAUGCUGGUUAUGAUGAAUUUGAAGUUACUACAUUCACUGGUUCCAAGUAUGCUGUCCAUCUAGGAAACAGGACCUGUGGGUGUAUGAGAUGGGACUUGUGUGGCAUACCUUGCCAACAUGUCAUAAGUUGCUUGAAUAGGAUGGGGUACAGUGUAGAGGACUAUGUUGACAAGGUCUACACCACAGCCAACUACAAAAAAGCUUACUCUGGAAUAAUCUAUCCCAUGAAUGGUCACAAUUUGUGGGAGAAGAGUGGUUUAGUAAUGAAACCACCAACUGUUGAGAGGCAACCAGGAAGGCCCAAAAAAAGGAGAAGACCAGAGAUGCCAGACUUAGUUGAAAAGGAGAUUGAAGGUGUGAAGACUUUAAGCAAGAAAACUCAAUUAACUGUGAGGUAGUAAUUUCCUAUAUUUUCUUUAUUUUUUGCCUUUUUUGCCUUUUUCUAUGCUUUAUAAGAUUUUCUUACAUUUAUGCAGGUGUGGGAAGUGCAAGGAAUUUGGCCAUAACAAAAGGACUUGCCCUUCACUUCAUCCAGUUGAGGCAAAUGCUGAGGCAGAAGCUGCAAAUGCUGAGGCAGAAGCUGCAAAUGCUGAGGCAGAAGCUGCAGAUGAAGGAGAUAGUGCUGAACUGCAAGAAACUGCAAUUGAUUAUCCUGACCAAGGUCCACCCUUGACUCAACAAAGUCAAGAGUUUGAGGGACCUCUUGUUGAAGAAGAGGGGGACAGUGAGGGUGAAGCUGCAAGUGAGGACAAUGAGGGUGAAGCUGCAAGUGAUGCAAGUGAGGAGAGUGAGGAUGAUGAAACCCCUCUAGCAAUUGCAGCAAAGAAGAUUAGGCAAAUGAGGAUCCAAAAAAUGGGGUUGACAACAACCAAAGAUUCACCUAUCAUGGUUGCAGCUGGAAAACUGAAGACCCUUAAAGAGAUAAUGGAUUCAGAAAAGAAGAAGGAAACAAGUGUUGCAGAGGCUCAAGCUGUUGAAAUGGAGGAUGCUAGGAGGAAGACUGUGAAACAGGAAAUGCAACAGAGGAUUGACAAAGGCAAAAAUCCAAUGAAAGUCUCUGAGAUUGAACCUAGGAGAAGCUACAGAUUGUUUAGGAAAACAGCUCUUAACAAAUUCACAAACACAGUGGAUACCCCAGUUGUCAUUGAUGAGGCUGGGGAGGAGGAUAAACAACCUCCACGGGUGCAGAUAAAUUCUUACACAGGCCCUAUGAAACUAGGGAAGAAACAACCUCCACCAGUGAAGCAGUAUAAGGCCAUUGUUGGUCAAACAGAGGUAAAGUCUGCACCAUUCUUAUCACAUGGCAGAACUGUAAUCACAAAGGGUACAUUGGCCAAAGCUCUCGGUGCUUUGAAAAAGAGUUAUCUCCCAGGUUCUACAGCAAAGGGGAAGGAUAGCCAACAGCCUUGAUUUUAGCAGUUUUUCUCUAUUAUUUUGUAAUGCUAUGACAUUGGUACUUUGCCUACUUUCUGGACUUAAUUUUAUUUCAGUUGUAAUGCUUUUGGGGAUGUUUUGUAACUUGAUCUUUUGCAAAGAAUUUAAUGUAAGCUAAUGAUUUCCAUUCCAAAACAUCUACUUUCAUUUCAUUACAAUAGAUGCUAGUACAUACUGCAUAGUACAACUAGGGUAGUUCUAACACACUAGGUGAAGCAUUUUUGUUUGCCCUUACAAACACCCAUACUAUUAACAACACAAACAACAAAACCAGUAUGGACUUUUUUCUCUUCACGGGUCUGUUCACACCAGCUGCAGCCUCAUUUUUCUUUGCAUCAUCUUCGAGAUUUCGAAUGCGCCGCAACAGUCCUGGGAUUAUUGCUUUUGAUCUUGCACACAUGGGUGGAUCAAACCAUUGGUGAAAGUUACAAGCAUUGCUUCUGUUAUCCUGCAGUUAAAUUAGAUAUAGUUAGAUUACAUUUAAGAACAAAAAUGAGAGAUUAGAAUCUGCUUACCUUGAAUCUCAUACAUCCCCAGAAUUGCCUCCCCGGAUUAGAAUCAGUCCACGAUGUCUUCAAAGCAGCAGCUGUUCCACACCUACAGUUAGGCUCCAUCUAGACAACUUGUUCUGUUUUACACAAGAAAAUGACAACACACACAACUAUGAUACAUAUAUAUAUACACAAGAAACAUCAAGGGCAAAAGGGGAUGGCGGGAGACCUCCAGAUUUUUGGAGGGAAACUGAGGGUUAAAUGUCUUGUUUGUCCCCCCCCGAUUUAUACUGUUUUUUUGGAAAAGGGCUAAAAGGUACGUAUCGGAUACUUUAAGGGUCGAAAGGUACGCUUUUAAACAUCGAGGCCGCAUCGGAACAUUCAUACAUACUUCGAGGGCUAAAAGGUCAUUAAGCCUUCUAAAUUUUUAUGGUCUGCACUGUUUACUAGAAUUAUUAUCUGGGAAUUGUAGCACUGUUUGUUAGAAAAUGGUAAGUUUAAGACAUGGAAUUACCUUAAUCUAAUUGUUGGAGGUUGUUCCUUGUAAUGAGGACUUAAACUUUCAUGUUUGGAUCUAAGACAUUUUCUUAGUGUAAUCCAUAAAUAAAUUGAGUUGAAGUUAGUAGCUUGAAAGUGGUAAAAUAUGUUAUGUGGGUUAGUCCCACAUUGAUAUUGGAAAGUGAGGUUGGUGGCUUUAUAUAGUACAUGUGCAAGUGUAGUGUUCAACUACUAAGGCAUGUGGGUGUGCAAGGUUGUAGUGAGCGCCCGCCGCCGCCGCCCCGGGUCGGGUCGAAGGGCGAUUUGGGCAAGCUAAGUGAUUUCUGUCUUUUCUUGUCGAUUUAAGGUACCUGAUAUAUAACUGCCUCAUUGUUGCGCUAAUAUAUAUAGUUUAAUAUUUCCAACACUGUUCACAUAGACUCUUUUCAUCAACAUGUAGCUCAUAUGGGAGGAUCAUGUUUAACUUUGAAUGCAGGUAAGCAGUUCAAUAUUAAUAUAAUAAGGAAUAUAAUUUCUGCGAUGAAGAUAAAAUGCUUAUGGAGCAAAUAUAACUUGGUCAAAAUGAAAUUACUCUCUGAGAGGAGACUUUAGAUCUGAUCAGAGUAUCAAACAGACAGACCUUAUUAGACAAUUUGACUAAUUUAGAUUAGGAUGAAGUGCAUGUGUAUACUAUAAGUUGGUAGGGAAUUUGCGAGUCAGUUUCUCAACCUCUAACUUCAUCUUCCGGAUUUUCUAUUUUAUUUAUUUAUUUAUUUUAAACGUAGGAACCGCAGCCACUACCCUUCGGGUGCGCACCGGUUCUUUCUCUGCAAAUUAGUUUUCUAAACAGAACAUCUCUUUAUUUUUAUUCUACUUUCUAUUUUCAGUUCUGCAUUCUGCUUCUCCAAAAUGGCUGGAAGAGGAGAAGGACCUGCAAUUGGAAUCGAUCUCGGAACUAUGUACUCAUGUGUUGGAGUUUAGCAAGGCAUGUUGGAUUUUAUAUAAUCUUAAACCACGCUAGUUAAUUAUCAUUAUUGUUUUUGAUUUCAUUUGCUGUAAUAACGAGUGGCUUGAUAUAAGUCAGCUACUAGCAUCUAGGACCGUGAUUGUCUGGCAGUAGAGUUGGUUUAGGAAUUUUGUUGGACUCAUGUCCUUAUUUCUGGCUUUCCAGUUUUUGAGUCUGUAAUCUAUUUAUGCAUUUUUCAGAAUAAAGAAAAAAGCAAGACUUUGACGAGCAAAACAAAAGCUUUUCGAUCUCUCUCAGUUAUAUCAGAUUGUUGAUAUAUGUUUAUUAACAACACUUGGUAUCAGAGCUGAAGUUCUCUAUGAAUGUCAAAGACGCCAACAAUGGAGAUGAACAAAGACAAAGGCGGUUCAAUCGAUUUGAGUUACCCAAAGGCACCGGUAGAAGAGAAAUUGGCAUGGCUAUGAUUUCCAGUUUUAUACUCCUAUCAAAUGUUGAUUUACAGCUUCUUCUUUUUUUUUGGUAAGGAAUGUUGAUUUACAGCUUUAUAUUCAAAGCAUACAUGAUUUAUAUACUCUUUCUCUUAUAAACUGUUUUACAAUUAUAUCUUUCUUUUAUUCAUAUUGAUACUGCUGUUUAUUCAUAUUGAUACUGCUAUUUAUAGCUCACCCUUGCAAACUAUGUUCAUACAUGUUCCAGAUGCCUAGGACUUGAGCGUUAGCUAGGAGACCUGUAGCAGGGGCUCUAUCCAUGCCCCAACUUUGGAUCUUUUGAGGUAGAGUAAGUCAGUCUUCUAGUUCUGAUUUCAAUACUAGAGCCGAUCCUGGUUGAAAUUGAUUUUUAAUUUAAAUCAUUUUUAAAAUAUGCAAGUUUUGAAAUAUAUGUUUUUACUUUCUUUUAAAAUUAGAGGUUUUAAAUUGUUUUUCUUUUAAUGACACCAAAUUCAAAUUAUUUUUAUUGACUCCGGAGAGAUGUCACUAUGGUAGAGUUAUAUAUUAUAAUAAAAGAUUUAGAGAGCUUCAUUAUCUUGCAUUUAGAUUAUAUUAGACUAUAUUUUUUAUGUUGGUUUCUAGGAAUUCCAUUAUUAUUUAUAAAAAAAAUCUAAUUAAUUCAUGAAAUUUCAGGUUUAGUUUUAAUCUUUAAAUGAAAGUUAAUCAUCUAAAAUGCUAGGCCUUUAUAAUUUAGAUUUAUGUCUAUUAAAAUUCAUUUAAAAAUAAUUAGACAUAUUAAAUUAAGUUUAGAGUAAUAGACGUAUGGCCCAAACCAACUAGAAUUUAUCCUCCAAUAAUACAAUAUAAAUUGCAAAUUUUAGUAAUUAACUAAUAAGUAAUUUUGAUUUUGAUAUAUGUAAUUUUGAUUGUGAUAUUUAAAACUCAAAAUGACACAUAUCCAAGUAUAUAAUAUUUUUUGAGCUUAAAUACAUUAAUUUUAUUUGAGGAUCAGGGUGGAAAUAUUAAAGUUCUCAUUAUAAAUGACAAGUAAGAAUUUAAUACCAUAAACAACAUGUAAUAUCUAAUUAGUAAAGAGAAAAUAUAUAAUAUGUAGAAAAAUCCACUAAAUAUGUAAAAUUUAGGUUGUGGAAAUAUCAAAGUUUUUAUUAUAAAUGACAAGAUAGAUCUUAUCUAUUGCAAUAAGUAACAUAAAUAAUUAGCAAAAAUAAAACGUGCAAUAUUCAGAGAAAAUCCACUAGAUAUGCAUAUCGAGGAAAAUCUCUAGAGAUUUAAUUUCUAACAACAUUUAUUAAUAGUUAAUACAAAACAACUAUAAAUAACAAACAUAUAUCAUUUACAACCCAUCAUCCUCACAACAAGGACACAAUCAUUUUUGCACAACUUAUAACCAGGUGUUUGUUAUGACCUAGUAUGGAGAAGGCUCUAAUCAACAAAAAUAUUUUUCUUCUUGUAUUGGUCAUGGUGUUUGGUAUGUCAUACAACUCUACAUAAUUAAUCUAUCAAUAUAUAUUACAUAUAAUAUAAUUUUGCUUAAUGAUAUGUGAUACUAAUGAAAUAUUAUUGUUUUUUUAUCAUUUGUGCAGAUUUACCAUUAGUUAGAUUAAAUGCAUCAAAUAAAAUAUGUAAAAUAGAUAAUGAUUGCGGAAUUUCGGCAUGUUCCAGUGGUGUAAUGAGAUGUGUAAAUGGUGAAUGCAAAUGUGAACCAUUUUAUUUUGACCCUGCCCCUGUCCCAAGUCAAGUACCUAAUGAUGAUAAAAAAGUUAGCAGUGAGAUUAGAUGCAAAACAGUGCACGAUUGUGAAAAAACUGUUAUAUGUAUGAUAGGUAAGCAGUAUGAAAGAAUGGUAUGUGCAAAUGUGUAGGAUAUAUUGGUCACUAAAAUUGAAGGUCGUCAGGGCAUUUAUUGAUAUAUGUAUGAUGUUCGGUGCUUUAAUAUUAUCAAGUUAAUGAAUUAGUACAAUUCGUGUUUGAUUACGUUUCCUUGUUUCAACUUGAUUUUUUAUCCGACGCUAUAAACACACACACACACACAUACAUAAUAUAUAUAUAUAUAUACACACACAUAUAUAUACAUAUAUAUAUAUAUAUGUAUAUGUAUAUAUGUAUGUUAAUGAUCAAAUACAAACUACAAACUAAUCUAAGCCAUUAAAUCAAGCUAAUGUAAUUGCCGUCCACUCUACCCUCUCACACAUAUUCCACAGAUUCCCUCCAUUUUUAAUUUGAUUUUUCACGUCAAUCAAAUCACUUUUUUUGAAAUCCGACUUCACUGUAUUUUUCUUCAUCUCCCAGCAAUCAAUUUCCAUACCAUAUUUGAUAUAUUUCGAUGCGAUUUAUAAAUUUUUUAUUUUGGUUUUUAGUUUUUAUUCUAAGAAAUGUUUGUAGUGGAGGAGCAUCCUAUAUUAUAUAUAUCUAUAUAAAAGAAGGCUCAAUGGAGACCAAAUAUUUUGGAGUCCUUAGAGCAUCUCCAAUGGGAGGUGCCAAGAGGGGUGCCAAUGCCAUGUGGCAUGACAUGGACCGGCACUCUCGUUGGCACCCCCAUUGGAGAUGUUGGAGUGCUAUUGGGGUGCCAGGUGAGUUGGCUUUAGGGUGCCAAAAGUUGGCAACCGAUAAAGUAGGGUGCCAACUUCAUUUGUGGUCCCAAUAAUACAUAAAAUAUAGAUUUGUGGUCUCAAUAAUACAUAAAAUAUUAUUUCUCUAUUAAUAAAGUUGGCAUCUUUGGAGUGCCAACCAUUGGAGUGUAUUUUUAAAAAAGGGUGCUAAAAAUGAUUUGGAAGAGUGUGAAUAUAAAAAAUAAUAUUUUGAGUUAUGUGUUAAAAUUGGCACCCCUUGAAGGGUGCCAGCCAUUGGAGAUGCUCUUGGAGACUACAAGAUCUACCGUUAAUAUAAUCUGGCAAUUAACGAACAUGAUUAAAUAUUUUUGUCCUGCAUUUCUAGUAAUAUUCUUGUCCUGCAUUUCUAGUAAACAACAAUUGCAGAACAUUGUAAUUUGAAGAAUAGAUUCUUGAGAUAUCAUAGCUUCAGUUGCUUCAAGAUCAUCAACAUGAGUUUUAGUUUUAAUUCAAAAUUAUCUUUAUAAUUUACUGUAUUCUUGUCGUAAUGUAGUAUUAAUAAUUUGUCCCGCAUAUUUGUGAUAUAUCUAAGUGUUAUUUUGUCUCGCAACAAAUUCAAUUCGUUGCAGGACAAUAACGAUGAGUUCAGUGCCAAUCAUAGCAAUGUCCAACUACAUCUUUGUUUUGUAUCCAAUUAUUAUUUUUAUUUUAUUAGGAUUUCGGUGAUUGAACACCAAUAUCAUGGAAUUAUUAUUUUAUGUUCUGCAGGAUUUAGAAAUUCUGCAUGUUGUUCACUGAUUUAGAAGUGCUGGACAGGAGGACCUGCAGUUAGGAUUGAUCUUGGGACCAUAUGUACUCAUGUGUUGGAUUUUGGAGAUGACACCAUCUCAUGUGGUUAUUGCGAGUGUUUUUAAUGAAGCUUAGCAAGGACAUUAAUUCUGAUGAGGCAGUUGCACUGGAUGUCGCUGCCAUAGCUGACACGAUGAUUAGUGACGAAGGUGGUGGAAUGAUUAAUGUGAUGCCACUGGAUAUUACUUCUGAAGACCUUAGUAGUGGGAAUUAGACUGUUCUAUCUCCAAAAAAUACAAGCUGUCCUUGACUUGGUAUUGAUCCAAGUGUUUCAGAUUAGGGUGCUGGUCCCUGGCAUAUGAUUGCCAGGGAGGGGUUAAGUAACACAUGGUUUUCUGGCUGUCGGAUGCAUAUCUAGCGCCCAGGAUUAUAACAUUUUUCUUCAGACUUCUAGCAGUUUUUAACCGCUAGACGCUAGACAGAUUUUCCCCUUCUAGCGGUUAAAAACCGCUAGACGUGUUAAAAUUUUGUUAUAAUCCUGGCCGCUGGAUAUGCAUNUGUCGGAUGCAUAUCUAGCGGCCAGGAUUAUAACAUUUUUCUUAAGACGUCUAGCAGUUUUUAACCGCUAGACGCUAGACAGAUUUUCCCCUUCUAGCGGUUAAAAACCGCUAGACGUGUUAAAAUUUUGUUAUAAUCCUGGCCGCUGGAUAUGCAUCCAACGGCCAGAAAACCAUAUGCCAGUUAAUCAGUCCACAGCCAUCGAUGGCUGUGGACCAGGACCCUUCAGAUUAUGCCUUGUUACAAUAUGAAUGNCAUGGUUUUCUGGCUGUCGGAUGCAUAUCUAGCGGCCAGGAUUAUAACAUUUUUCUUAAGACGUCUAGCAGUUUUUAACCGCUAGACGCUAGACAGAUUUUCCCCUUCUAGCGGUUAAAAACCGCUAGACGUGUUAAAAUUUUGUUAUAAUCCUGGCCGCUGGAUAUGCAUCCAACGGCCAGAAAACCAUAUGCCAGUUAAUCAGUCCACAGCCAUCGAUGGCUGUGGACCAGGACCCUUCAGAUUAUGCCUUGUUACAAUAUGAAUGUGUAUUAUAUCGAAAAUAUAAUUACAGAUUAUGGCCACACAAUAUGAUCAACAAUUUUAUGCCUUGUUAACCUAUAUGAUUAGUGUAUAAUGUAUUAUAUCGAAAAAUGAAUAAGUUCAAUCACUUCAGAUAGUACAUAUGCAUUGGUUUUCAUCCAGAUUGCAGAAUUACUGGAUUUGAAGAAACUAAUGAAACUCAUUUAGAAAUUUUCAGUUGACUAAAAAAUGCAGAACAGUAGUAUAUCAAGCUUUUUGUCCUCUUAAGCUGCUCAAAAGUGGGAUAGUAUAUCAAGCUUUUUGUUUUCUUAAGCUGCUCAAAAUUGGGAAUGCAGAUUUUGUUUUGAAGGUGACAAGGGAGAUUAUAUUAAGCUUCUUGUUCUAUUUUUGUUAGUAUUAAUUUGUUUUGAUGUUAUAUACCCAUUUAAAAGUGUUUCAGUUCUAAAUGUGUAUGGUCUGCUGUGAUGUUUUUAGAUGGAUCUUCACUAACAAAAUACCAAUUCAAAGGAAAACAAGCACCAGCACUUAAUAAUAAGAUCCAGAACCAAGUUGCUUACAAUGAAAAGAAACUAGAACAGAUAAACUGGACAAUUCGAGAAGCCAGAGUCUCCUUACUAAAUUGAUUAAACUAAAAUGAUAUUCUCCAUAAGCCCCUCCUCUCAACCCUAAUUCCUCUUAUCCCCUCGCUUCCUCUUGCUGUUCAGUUCCCUUUCUACCCUUGGGCUUCCUUCUGUUGAAUACUAGUAGCUUAGUGGGCUGGGCCUGAUCUGUAGGCUGGGCCUGAUCUGUUACAUUACUCCCCGCCAGAUCCUGAACCUUGUCCUCAAGGUUGAAAGCUGGGAAACGUUGGUCCAACAAAGCAGCUUGUUCCCAAGUAGCAUCAAAUGAGGGCAGUCCUUUCCACUUAAUCAGUGUGACAGCCCGAGAAUCCGGGGGUCUGGAUUCUGACGUCACCACAUAAAGCCAUUUUAAAACACUUUUGAAAACCUGUAUUUAUUUGAAAAGAUAAUAAAAUCAAAGGAUUUAAAACUUGAAGACUUUAAUAAAAGAUUUAAAAGAAAACACUUUAACCCCCUAAAAACAGGAUCGCAUCCAGGUCACAGUAUUGAAAUUAGAAUCAACCGCUAUAAAUAAACAAUGUCUUACAACCUCAGAUCAUCUUCGAUGAGAAGAAUCACUGCCAAUCUAUUUAAAUUAUGAUUACAACUGAAUCUCAACAAUUCUAUCUAGAACCAACCUUGACAAUCUCCCUGAACAUUUCCACUUGUCCUCUGUAUACUCUAUACUCUGACUCCUCGCCUAGCCUUAGCCAUACUCGCAACCUCAAUCAUGCAAUUCAUCGUUAAGCUUUUCUGAAAUGGUUAAAAAGGAAUAGCAAGGGUGAGCAACAAUGCUCAGCAAGUGUAUAUAAGCAACAAUAGUCCUGAAAUAUCUUAUCAGGGUUCACAAGUUCAGGAUAUGCAAUUGAAAACUUCACAAUUCUUAUCAGCAAUUGAAAUCAGAAUUCAAACUUACAGAAGAAUUGUCGAAUUGGAUUCAUCACAUUUUUACUUAAAAACCAAAGGUUAGGCUGCUGAUCAGUCACGCACUAACCCCGAACAUGGCACACAGCCCUGUUCUCUAUACUGGAUCCAAGGCACACAUUGGCCUAUAAUUGACCACGAAUCUGGUCUGACCACGAAUCUGGUCCACAUAUUUUAUAAAAACUAAUCCAAUUCUAACAAUUUAAAUCAACAGACAAUUGAAACAACAGAACAAAAUCAUAAUCAUUAUCAGCAACAGAAAUAUUUCAAAUCAACUUUUGGGAAUCAACAUUUCAUAAACCACAGUCUGUCUUUUGAUAAAUCAUAGUUCAGGAAAUUCCUAACUAUUCAGUAUCCUCCAUUAUCGGCUAAGCAACUGAAUUUAGCCUGCUAAACCAGCAUGACAAUGGCGGGUUGAAUAAUCAAGAAGAUCCCAAUUCAUUCUAGGUUCUAACUAUCACUGAGCAACACAUGCUUCAAUGACGGUCUGAACUUCGAAUUAAUUUGUAGAACUGGUAUUUUUAAAAUCUUGAGGAUUGGAAAGAAUGGAUCAAAAUAGAAAGUUGAGAGUAAUUAGGUGUUUGGCUUUUCAAAACUUGGAAGAAGAAAACAAUCAUGGGAUUCAUUCUCAGAAGUAAGAGUUUGUUUGAGAAGGGUCUCAGCAUAAACAAUAUCAUAAUCUUGACAGAAUAAUCAGAACAUGCAAUAUAUAUAUGAGGAAGGAUUUAGGAAUACUUGCCUUAAAUCCGCCUCCACACCCAUAGCUUAAUCUCAUCUUUCCAAUUCACAAUCUAUGCAUAUCAUAACCUCCAGACCAUCUCUGUAUAUACUCUAUUCGCAAUACGACUUCGCUUUCUCGACUCGUUCCUUAUUCGCUUUGCAACAUCGUUUGACCUUCUGUACGUCUUCAAUCGUAUACGCCUCGUCCAAAUCCUUUACGAGAAUAAAAUACUACCAUAAUUACUAAAUAAUCUAUUGAUUCUUAUCUUACUUAUCAAACUCGGUAUCAUAACCUAUCGCAUAUACAUAUCACGUAUAUCGAUAGCAUUUAACACAUAAUCACAUAUCACCCUAUAUAAUCUCUAUGCACUUAUCAGAUAUCACUUAACAUAUAAUCAUGCUUUGACUCUAUCAUAUAGUCACAUCAUACUCCAUGUAGCAUACUACAACUCAAUAACCAUAUAUAUCCUAUUGAAAAUCUGACAGCGUCUUGUCUAUUUAUAGGACUAUCCAUCUGUUAAUCUAUUUCAACCAACAACCAAUCAAUCAACUCAAAUUCCUGUAAUCUACAUAUUCUUAUCCAACAUUAAUCAAGAUAAGAUGCUAUGUCUCCCAAAUCAUUUAUCAAAUCAAAUGGACACGUAUUUCAUAUAAUCAUCACUAUAUAGCAAAUAGAUCACGUAUAGUCACAUUAUGCAUUUUCAACAAUCUUUAUACACAUUGGAAACUCAAUCAUAUUGUUACAUUAUAUUAAACUAGAGUUUCUAAGCUUUAACCUCUUUUUCGUUUCACUCGAUUCUGAAUUACGGAUCAAAAGUUAUUAACAAAACAGUUUUCUAACUCCCUAUCGACAUAUAACAUAUCACACAGACAACAGAAAACACAUUGCACAUAAGGUUUCCCAUCCCAAUCGAUAUCCAAUCAAGUCUCAGGUUAAAAAUGAUUUUUCGAGAAUUUUCUGGAAUUUUCUAAACAUUUUUCGGAAUUAAAACAGGUAAAAGAAUCCAUUUUUGAAUAAAUAAUCAAAUCCGAUUGCUCAAGAUCGGAUCCGAAAUCAUUUGAAAUCAAUUAACGAGCCUCAAACAUAUUUUAGAAAAAUAAUCCAAAGCUCGAAACUAUUUCUCGGAAUUUUUAAAUCAAAAGAAAUCAUUAAAUCUAAUUAAUUAAUCAAUUAAAAUCAAUUAAUAAUUUAUUAAAAUAAUUAAUCAAUUAAUAUUAAAAUUAAUUGACCAAUUAAAAUAAUUAUUACUAAUUAAAUUUAAUUAAUAAUCUAAUUUCAGAUUUAUUUUUGAAUAAAGAAGUAAUUAAAAAGCAUUUUUGAAAUUAAAAUAAUUAAAUAAAACAAUUUUUGAAAAUUAAAAUCAAAAGGUUUAUUUUGUAAACUUUUGAAAGUUUUCGGCCAGGGUUCAAAAUGCAACUUUUCAAAGUUACAGGGGGUGUUUUGUAAGAUUCAAAACUUGGAUACGAUGACUUCAUCAUCUUUAUAAGUUGGGUGGCCAAACGGCAAUUUGCCGCCGGCCACCACUAACUUCGCCGGACACGGCGCUGCCGCCCCCCAACAUGCAUCAGAAACUCCAGAAACAAUGUAUACACUACCAGGAUCAUGUUCAAGUCGUUAAAAUCAGUAACAAAUCGAAGGGUUGGCCGUAAAAUCUUAAUAAACAACCGCCGCCGGCGGACCCAUUUCCAGACUCCGGCGACUCCAUUCGAAUUCCAACAUAUAAACUAAUUACACGAACAAAUUCAUCUCCUCAUGCUCUAUCCAGUGAUAUAAGCCAUAACAGCCCAGAUUUAGCGAAUUAAAAACCCCCAAUUUCCGAUUGAAAAUAUUCAUAAUCCUUCAAGAACAUUCAAGAACACAACCCAAUAAUCAAACCCAAUUUUAUAUAUGAUACGGAAGUCAAAAAUCGAUAUAUAAUAUACCAAAACGACGAGAAAAACACGCUCUACAACAUGGAAUCAUCAAAUCAAUCAAACAAUCACGUUUGCAAAAAUUCACUAUUUAAAUCAUAAUAAUUCGAAUUUUAUAAAAAUAAAAUAAAAUCACCUGUUCAAUCUGCAUAUAAACGGAUGAUUAUACUAGAUUCUACUCGUCAAGAGCUUCGUUUUGACUAUUUAUACGCCUCUAUCCGAUUCCAAUAACGCCUUCAAAUCCUCGUUUGAUUAUGAAGAACACGAAGAACACCCGUUCGUUUUCUCUCGGUAUUCGUGCAGAGAAACUGACGAAAUGAUUAUACGCGCGAAAUAAACUGGUAAAGGAUAUUUAUAGAAGAAGAUAAGAGAAUAUUCCUUGAAUAUGCUUUGGAAUAUUCCUGGAAUAUGCUUCACGCAUUACGAGAUAACCAGAUAAUUAUUAACUUUAAAAAUAUUAAUAAAACCGUACCGGAUCAUUUACGGGACAAACCGUACUCCGGAUCGAAAAAGUUAAAACACGAGAAAUGCUCAGAAUGUCCCAAAUAGCUUAAUGGCGAAAUUUUCCCGAACGCCCGCGGGGUUUAAAAUGCUAAAUAACUAUUUUAAUAUAAUUAAUAAUCAAACGAGAUUAAAUUCACAAAUCGAUUCUAAAAUCACGUAGCAAUCCAAAAAUCGAUAUGAACAUAUCUAAAUAAACUAUAUUUUAUCCUGAUCAUAUAGAAAUUGAAAUAUCUCAAAUCCGAACACAUAUGGGCAGUCAAUUCAAUAAACCAGAUAACACAACUCUUACAACAAUUUAUAUAAAUAUCACAUACUAUUCAUAAAUUAUCAGGAAAAUACCCAAAUGUUUUAUAUUUUAUUUUGAGAAUAUAAAAAUUGAAAACUCGUGAUUGCAACAUAUAUAAGCAAUCAAAAUAGAAAACUAGUCCUCAUAUGAUUUACCAAAUAUUCAUAUAAUAUUCAGAAAUAACCAUAACUAGUUACACGACCAUUACACACGUAACACUUAAUCAAGUAAUGCAUAUAUUCAAAUAUUAACCAUCUAACUUUCAUGACCAAUCUCUGUAUUUUCAGAAAUAAUUUUUGAAAUGAGUUUUGAAAGGACACUCAUAUAUCCAUAUAUAAAUCAUUUGAAAAUAUCUAAAUAACAUAUGACUCAUUCUGAUAAUAUCAAUAAUUAAACCCACAGUUCUAGCACAUAUAAAUAACGUUUACAGAAAUUCAAUUUGCACCAAAAUUCAUACAAUAUUCACAUUAAAUUAUCAUAACUAACUAAACUCACAAUUCCACAUGCAACACUUAGCCAUAUAACAAUAGCAAUCUUUUAAAUCUUUAAAAUCAAUUAUAUAAAAUAUAAUUUUGAAAAGACAACCCUGUAUUGAUAAAACAAUAACCCGGAAUUUAAAUAUAAAGUUUUGAAGACACAUUAAACUGGAAUAAAAUAUUGAACUUUAUUCCUUUCUCUCUAAGAAAAUUACUUUCAUAACAAUAAACAAUUUUUGAAAAAUCCGGGUCGUUCAAAUAUACGAAAUUCCAGAAGAAGAGUGCACAAUCUGUUUAAACCUUAUAAUUUUACAUCACAAUUAUACUCAUACUACACAGACUAUUCAUCUUUUCAGAUAAAAGUCAAUUAAAGCCAAUAAUAAUAUUCAAAAACUUAUCUCGAUUUUAAUAAACUAAUUCUUAAAAUCUGGGAUGUUACAAUCAGUAUCUCAACUUGCUGGUCUGGGGUCUGUCUUACUGCUAACAGCUGCUCCGGUUCCACACACAACUCCAUAUCUGCUGUUAGCUGCUCAGGGAUCGUUGCUCGCACUACUUCUGUUCCAACAUGUCUUUUGAGAUGAGAUACAUGAAAGACUGGGUGAAUUUUACAGCCCUCCGGUAGUUCCAGUUUGUAAGCAACUUCCCCCACUCGCUGUAUUAUGCGAAACGGCCCAAAGAAUCUGGGUGAUAACUUCUCACAAGGACGACGAGCCAACGAACUUUGUCGAUAUGGCUGAAGCUUAAGAAAAACCAAAUCCCCAAUAGUAAACACUAAAUCCCUGCGUUUAGUAUCAGCUGAACUUUUCAUAUGGUGCUGGGCUUUAAGCAAGUUGGCCUGCAGUUCAUCUAACACAGCGUCUCGGACGCGCAGCAUCUCGGACGCGCAGCAUCUCGGACGCGCAGCAUCUCAUCAAUGGAGUCGACUGGGGAUUGUCAUCUUCCCAACCUGUACAAUGACGGUGGUUCACGCCCAUAGACUACUUGAAACGGCCUAAACUUUGUUGACAGGUGUGGGGCUGUGUUAUAGGAGAACUCAGCCCAAGGCAACCAUUCCGCCCAAUUCUUCGGUUUGCCCUGGAUAAAACACCUGAGAUACGUUUCAAGCCCCUUAUUUACAUUCUCAGUUUGACCAUCCGUUUGGGGAUGGUACGCGGUGCUCUUCUUAAGCACUGUCCCCUGUAAGCGAAAUAAUUCAGACCAAAAAUUGCUGAGAAAAAUACGAUCACGGUCGGACACGAUAGCAGAAGGGAACCCAUGCAAACGCACAAUCUCUUUAACAAAAACUCCUGCCACUGUCACAGCACUAUAGGGAUGGCGCAAACCCAGGAAAUGAGCGUAAUUGGACAAGCGGUCCACAACAACCAAUAUCGAGUUAUACCCCUUUGGUGACGGUAAUCCAUCGAUGAAGUCAAGAGAUACCUCUUCCCACACUAAAUCUGGCAAGGGCAAUGGUUGUAACAACCCCGCUGGGGACUGUUGUAAGGCCUUUUGUUGCUGACAGGUCUUGCACUUCUGCACAUACAACCCGACAUCUUUCCUCAUACUUUCCCAAAACCAAUCUCCUGCCAAUCUCAAAUAAGUCUUCAACUUCCCCGCGUGACCUCCCAUCAUAGAGUCAUGAUACUCGUGCAACAACCCAGGAAUGAACGCUGACUUCUUAGGAAUCACAACUCUCCCUUUGAACAUGAGAGUGUCAUCAACCACUGUUGUACCCUUUGUGAGUUGUGCUCCCCUGAGUGAGCUCUGUUUUUACCAGCUGUAGCUACGAAUCCGCCGCUAUCUCUUGGCGUAGCUUGCUCCAAUCUAACACUGGGCGACAUACUAACGCCCUCAACAGAACUUCACCUGCCUGUUUACGCGACAGGGCGUCUGCCACGCGAUUGGCUACCCCAGGUUUGAACUGCACUUCAAAAUCGUACCCCAUCAGUUUUCAUACCCACUUCUGAUACUCCAACCCAAUUUCACGCUGCUAGGUGAUGAAUUUAAUACUCUGCUGGUCAGUUCUAAUUACGAAAUGUCGGCCUAGGAGAUAACUCCUCCAUUUCUGUACGGCUAAACACACAGCCAUCAACUCCUUCUCGUACACGCACUUCUGCUGAGCCUGAGGACCUAAAAGCUUGCUGAAAAAUGCCAAUGGCCGUUGGUCUUGCAUUAGUAUUGCACUAAUACCAAACCCGGAUGCGUCGGUCUCCACCACGAAGCUUUUCUGCCAAUCUGGCAUGGCCAGUACCGGGGGUUGUGUCAUCGCACUUUUCAAUCUGUUAAAUGCAGCUGUUGCCUCUUCCGUCCAUCCAAACUUAUCUUUCCGCAACUGUUCAGUAAGCGGUUGAGCAAUUUGCGCGUAAUGCUUGACAAACUUACGGUAGUACCCCGUGAGCCCGAGGAAACCCCGUAAGGCACGCAAAUUUGCAGGCACGGGACAAUCCAUGAUUGCUUGCACCUUCUCCAUAUCAACCUCCACCCCUUUCUCUGAAAUAACAUGUCCCAAGUACGAAACUACCCGCUGUCCAAACUCACAUUUCUUCUCAUUUGCGUAAAGCUGGUGUUCGGCUAAUUUACUCAACACCUGGCUGACAUGAUAAACAUGUUCACUAUCAGACUUGCUGUAUACGAGGAUAUCGUCAAAAAAAACCAGCACAAAUCUGCAUAAGUAUGGACGAAACACAUCGUUCAUUAGAGACUGAAAUGUUGCGGGCGCAUUCGUCAAGCCAAAAGGCAUGACCAGAAAUUCGUAGUGGCCGGCGUGUGUAUGAAAAGCAGUCUUAUGCACAUCCUCAGGGCGUACCAAAAUCUGGUGGUACCCGGCUUUCAAGUCGAGCUUUGUGAAAACCUUUGCACCGUAUAGCUCAUCAAGUAACUCUUCAAUGAUCGGAAUAGGGUAUUUGUCCGGUAUUGUCUCCUUGUUCAAAGCCCUAUAAUCAACGCAAAACCGCCAUGACCCAUCUUUUUUCUUAACUAGUAGUACUGGACUAGAAAACGGACUAGUAGAUGGGCGGAUCACCCCAGCUGCUAACAUAUCUUGAAUGAGGCGCUCAAUCUCAUCCUUCUAUGAUUGCGGGUAGCGGUAAGGUCUUACUCCCACCGGAUUACUCCCCUCCCGCAAUGUGAUAGAGUGGCCAUGGCUUCGCUGUGGAGGUAAGCCCGGAGGCUGCUGGAACACGGUGUGGAAGUCAUGUACCACAGACUACAAGAAUUCAGGCACCUCACCCCCCCCCCCCCCCCUUGCUCCACACCCACCCCCCCCUGUNNNNNNNNNNNNNNNNNNNNNNNNNNNNNNNNNNNNNNNNNNNNNNNNNNNNNNNNNNNNNNNNNNNNNNNNNNNNNNNNNNNNNNNNNNNNNNNNNNNNNNNNNNNNNNNNNNNNNNNNNNNNNNNNNNNNNNNNNNNNNNNNNNNNNNNNNNNNNNNNNNNNNNNNNNNNNNNNNNNNNNNNNNNNNNNNNNNNNNNNNNNNNNNNNNNNNNNNNNNNNNNNNNNNNNNNNNNNNNNNNNNNNNNNNNNNNNNNNNNNNNNNNNNNNNNNNNNNNNNNNNNNNNNNNNNNNNNNNNNNNNNNNNNNNNNNNNNNNNNNNNNNNNNNNNNNNNNNNNNNNNNNNNNNNNNNNNNNNNNNNNNNNNNNNNNNNNNNNNNNNNNNNNNNNNNNNNNNNNNNNNNNNNNNNNNNNNNNNNNNNNNNNNNNNNNNNNNNNNNNNNNNNNNNNNNNNNNNNNNNNNNNNNNNNNNNNNNNNNNNNNNNNNNNNNNNNNNNNNNNNNNNNNNNNNNNNNNNNNNNNNNNNNNNNNNNNNNNNNNNNNNNNNNNNNNNNNNNNNNNNNNNNNNNNNNNNNNNNNNNNNNNNNNNNNNNNNNNNNNNNNNNNNNNNNNNNNNNNNNNNNNNNNNNNNNNNNNNNNNNNNNNNNNNNNNNNCUUGUAGCUACACAUCCAUCCAUCUGGUUACAUUCCAUGAGAUACCCACCCCCUUCCUUCCUUAAAGUUCUGAUCAUAGCCUUCAACGACAGCUGAGCCCGGACCAAAGACGGAUCCCCAACCAACUUCACCGGCUGUCCAUUCAUAUCAAAGAUCAUCACCUGAGUUUUCCAAUUGGUAAUAACCGUUCCCAGUCUCUCUAACCACUGGACACCGAGUAUAAUAUCAGAAUUGCCAAGCUCCAAAGGCAAAAAAUCAGUCACGACCUCCACCCCUCCAUCUAAGUGUAGCUUGACCCCUUCACAGAUGCCCUUACCUCGUAUAGCCUCUCCGUUUCCCAAAUGUACCCCGAAACUGCCCGAGUCCGUCACCACAAGGCCGAGUUCCUUUACUACCCCAAGUGCGAUGAAGUUGUGCGUCGCACCCGGGUCAAUCAUGACUACCACUGAUCGAUCCUUAACCAAACCCCGCAACUUCAUUGUUUUGGGACUAGACAACCCAAUAACUGAGUUCAAUGAGACCUCAAGAGUGGGUUCCUCCACCGUGGUUACGACUUGCUCCUCCUCAUUUGGGCCCUCCAUAUCCUCCCCGCCAUCCAUCCACAACAUGCUCAACUCCUUUUUAGUGCAACAAUGGCCCAUGCUCCAUUUACCAUCACACUUGAAACACAGACCCUUAGCCCUCUUUUCCUGAAAUUCCUUGUCGGAGAGCCGACGUACUUCACCUAACAGCUUGGGCAUUGCUACAGUACUGGUCUUAGCCCCAGAAACAAUCGAAGUUGAGUUGGAAUUGUUAUUUUACACCAACUAUGAGAAAGAUUGUAGAAGGGGGGGUUGAAUACAAUCUUUUACAAAUUUAAAAGAUUCAAGAACAAUACACUAAGAACACAAUAAACAGAAAAACACCAAGUAUUAAAAAUACGGGUGGAUUGAAUGAUCCACCCGUGAGAUUUUAUAUAGAAGAAUCUGUGGAUUGUUUUACAAUUCGCACAGCUGCUGGUUCAUCACUCAAAACAAGUUCUAACUCUCAGAUUUUUCUCUCAAGUAAUUGAACAAGUUCAACUGAUGCUACUAACUUGGUUAUAUACUCCAAGUUUUACAAAGCUUUUAGCUAGAUUACAAAAUGCACUCUAAUCUAAAAACAAUGCUGCACAACUUUGUCUUAUGCAUGCUUUCUGAGAUGUCUUCAUCUUUGACCAUCAUCUUGAUUUGAUCCAGAUUGCGCUGCAUGAGAUAAGUAUGUUUCUGCUUCUUCUUUAUUUUCCUAAUUAGGCUUCCAUGUCUAUUUUAGUGUAAUUCGAUCCAUGUGAUUUGUCAGACUUAAGCUCUAGUCACUUUCAACUGCUCUUUGCUUCAUCAGUUGAAAGUUCUGGUUGCUUUCUNNNNNNNNNNNNNNNNNNNNNNNNNNNNNNNNNNNNNNNNNNNNNNNNNNNNNNNNNNNNNNNNNNNNNNNNNNNNNNNNNNNNNNNNNNNNNNNNNNNNNNNNNNNNNNNNNNNNNNNNNNNNNNNNNNNNNNNNNNNNNNNNNNNNNNNNNNNNNNNNNNNNNNNNNNNNNNNNNNNNNNNNNNNNNNNNNNNNNNNNNNNNNNNNNNNNNNNNNNNNNNNNNNNNNNNNNNNNNNNNNNNNNNNNNNNNNNNNNNNNNNNNNNNNNNNNNNNNNNNNNNNNNNNNNNNNNNNNNNNNNNNNNNNNNUAAAAAUGUUUAUGUUAUCAUCAAGUGUAAUCACCCUGAGAAUUGUGGUUGUGGUUGGAAAAAUUAUUGAUUCCUAACAAUCUCCCCCAAUUUAUGACUGGAGAAGAUGCAGACAUAAAUUCUACACUUGAUGAUAACAAAACAUUAAUAAAAUAAAAUGCAGAAUUUAAAUACAAGAGUUAGAAAAGAUUACAGAUGAUUAUGCUCCUCUAGACUGAGCAGUUACUUGUUCCUAGAAGAUCUUCUUCUUCUGGACUUAAGUUUUUCUUCAAGAAUAUUAAUCUGCUUCUGAAAGAUCCUGUAGAACCAUUCUUCAUCACUAUCUUGUCUGUUGAGCUUGGAUUGGAGAGUCUUCAGAGUAUUCAAGCUAGCAACCUUGAGUUGAUCUUUAGGUCUGAAAAAUCUCCUAACACCUUGAUUGUCCCUAAAUUCCAUGACUGGAGUAGGUUCAUGAUGAAUUUUCUUUCCAGUGUAGGGAAUUUUCAGCCUUCUUUGUAGACUAGCAUCUGAGUUCCAUUCCUUCCUGAUCUCAAGGAUUCUCUUUAGUACCAUUUGCUUUGCAGGUGGUGUAAAUCCUCCAGUCCUCUUCAUAGAUCCAUAUAUUUUUGUUAGAGAACUGAAUCCCUCAGAAUUCAGAACUCUGUGAAGAGGCCAGAUGACAUCACCCUUGUUUUUGUAAGAGAAUACCAAUCUUUCAGGUAACUUUGAAGUUGCCUCUAUUCCUCUUACUUCUUGAAGAUCAUCCAGCUCCAGAUCCAACUCAGAAAUUUCUUCAAUGUUAGCAAUGAUGAGAUAGUCAUCAAGGUUCUCAGGUUCUUUUGGAGGUUUAGGAGGGUUAGCCAUCCUUUUAGCCACAGACUUGACUUUCUUCUUUGGCUUGGAAGAUUCUUGGACAAGAAAAGCUGGAAUUGGAAUAUCUUCCAAGUCAAUUGGCUCCUCCUUUGGCAUUAUUGGCUCAUCAUGGAAGUUGACAUCUGGAUGUACUACUGUGGUAUCCUUGAUUGGAGAAGAAGGCUUUGAGAUAGGCUUUUCUGGCACUUCUUCUCUUCUCUUGGCUGCCUCAGGCAUCUUAGUUUUAGAUUUGACUCUCUUUUUCUUUGGAGAAGAUUCAAGAGGCAAUCCUUUCUCAUUUAAAAGCUCAGCUGCCAACUCCUCUUCCAGCUCAAUAGCAUACCUUUCAUCCACCUCUAUUUGGUUCAAAGAGAGUUGGGAUUCAAACUCCUCUUUUUCACAUUCUCUGGCCACCUCUUCAGCUUUUGCAAAUGAGUAGUGAGGAUGGCCAGUUCCAAUAAACAGCUUCUGGCCUUCUCUGUAGAUGAUGGCAAAAUGAGCCUUUAAGGCCACAUCUGCACAAUCUUUAUAACUUUUGAUUUCUUGGCCCAAAAGCUUGUAUUCAUUUUUGUCAGGCCUGGCUAGUGGAAAGUAGAUUGAGCUUGAGUCUUUUCCAGGCCUGGAGUAACCACAAUUGUUUGGAAACAGAAUUGGCUUGAACUCAUUCAGAAAUGAUGGCUCACCCUUUUCUGUCUUGGAGGGAAUAACAAUCUCAGGUGUAAUUACCCUGAGAAUUGUGGUUGUGGUUGGAAAAGAGAUUUGAGCUGUGGUGGCUGUAGAAGAUGUAGACGAUUUCUUGCCCAGUUGAGCCACUCUCUUUGCAAUGGAGUCCAAUUCUUUCAUCCUUGCAAUCUUCUGCUUUUCCCUUUCAGUGUGGAAAGGGGGUAGAANNNNNNNNNNNNNNNNNNNNNNNNNNNNNNNNNNNNNNNNNNNNNNNNNNNNNNNNNNNNNNNNNNNNNNNNNNNNNNNNNNNNNNNNNNNNNNNNNNNNNNNNNNNNNNNNNNNNNNNNNNNNNNNNNNNNNNNNNNNNNNNNNNNNNNNNNNNNNNNNNNNNNNNNNNNNNNNNNNNNNNNNNNNNNNNNNNNNNNNNNNNNNNNNNNNNNNNNNNNNNNNNNNNNNNNNNNNNNNNNNNNNNNNNNNNNNNNNNNNNNNNNNNNNNNNNNNNNNNNNNNNNNNNNNNNNNNNNNNNNNNNNNNNNNNNNNNNNNNNNNNNNNNNNNNNNNNNNNNNNNNNNNNNNNNNNNNNNNNNNNNNNNNNNNNNNNNNNNNNNNNNNNNNNNNNNNNNNNNNNNNNNNNNNNNNNNNNNNNNNNNNNNNNNNNNNNNNNNNNNNNNNNNNNNNNNNNNNNNNNNNNNNNNNNNNNNNNNNNNNNNNNNNNNNNNNNNNNNNNNNNNNNNNNNNNNNNNNNNNNNNNNNNNNNNNNNNNNNNUGCACACACGGGCACUCCGCACUUGUAAAUAGAAGAGUAAUUGACUUAGUAGCGAGAGAGAUGAAAUUCGAGAACAUUAGCACAAUCUGAGGUAUUAUAAUUGGCAAGGCAAUUACUUCAUAGUUCACUCAUUCAUCACGUAGUUGCAUUCAUGCAUUGCAUUGUAUUAUUGUAUAGUGUCGUUGACGCUUGAGGACAAGCAUCAGUUUAAGUUUGGGGGUGUGAUAAGUGGUAUUUAUACACACUUAUAGGCCUUCAUUUCCACUUAAAUUGGUUGGUUGUACUUAAGUGUUUAGUGUCUUUUGAUGUGUUUUUAUUGUUUUUCUGUGCAGGUCACGAGUUGAGGUGAUGAAGUGAUUUUCUAUCAUUUUAGGUUGGUUUUGGUGCAUUAUUUGCAAGAAUAGAGAAUUGUGGAUUCAUCGCGACUUGGGAUUUUGUGGGUAUAUCUUCUACAAACCCUCACGAGAGCACACUCGUCCACUAGAGCUAUCUAGGGGUUUAAAGGGCUUGUUGCAUGUGCUAAAUGCAACCGUGAUCACCUACGGAAGUGGUACUAGAAGCGAGGAAGGACAUGCACGCGAGAACGAGCGAGAAACGAAGAAACGGAGCUGCCAGUGCAGACACUAGCGCGCCCGCGCUAAGUGGUAGCGCGCCCGCGCUACUAACUGCAUCACUAGCGCGCCCGCGCUAGAGUAGCGCGGUGGCGCCCCACUGAAGCUUCCCGGGCCGAUUUUUACAGCUUUUCUGAUGGAUUUUCGCAGCGGCCGAGGCCCGGUUGACUUAGUCAAUGCAUUUUAUUUCUCGUGUGUAAAAACCCUAGCCUCAUAGUAGUUAGAAUAUCGAAACAAUAUCAUAGCUAGUUUUCUUUUGUAAUCGAACACAUUAUCAGUUGUAUUAGAUCGUUCUUCGCGAGGAAGUGACAGUUUCGAGCAAGAUCGUGAACUUCAAUCUGUAACGUGUGAUCUUUAUUAUUAAUUCAAGCAUUUUUAUUCCAAUUAAGUCUUGUCUUUUCUUUAUCAUGUUUUCAUUAGAACCCAUGAUGUCGAUUAGUUCGAUUAUGAACUAACCGCCUUCAUGGGAUUCUAAUGGAUUUAUCGAUGUAGUCUAGUAAAGAAUAUUAAUUACUCGAUUUUGUGACAUAUGUUGAUUUCUUUGCAUGAGCCGUGCUUAUUCUUCUUAGGAGCGUAGCUAACUUCUAAGUUGUUUGUUAAUUCUUUCUGAAGCGAGAGUGGAUGAUUGAAUUUAGAACUAUGCCAUGUAAACAUAGGAUUAUGUGAAUGAAACAUAAUUUGUGGUAGACUUGAACUAUUUUUAUCACCCUGUGUAAUCACGAUAGACGACUUGCUAUUAAACCUCUCUGCUUACACUACCGCUAUAGAGAUAUAGGGUCUGAGCUUUGUUGGUGUCCAUGAGAUUUCUAUCUUAAUUGUGGAUUUCGAUUGGUAUGAUAUGUGUGCAACGAGAGUUGGCAUGUAUUACUUUCGUGUUGUCUGAUUAGGAUCAACAGUCGCAUAUUAAUCAGUAAUUUCAAUUCUAGAUGAAUUCGAUAAUGAAGUUAGAAUCCCAUGUGUUUUCCUAUUCUGAAUUUGAUUAGUAAUUUUAGUUAUUAGUAUAAAAGAAACCAUCCUUGUUAAUUGUCUUGGCAGUGAAAAUUGAUCAUACAUUGUUGCAUAGGUGCGUAUUCUUAAUUCACCAGUCUCUGUGGGAUCGAACUUAAUAUAUUACUUGUGAUCACGUGCGCUUGCGUGUAGAUUUUUUGCGAACAAGUUUUUGGCGCCGCUGCCGGGGACUCGGUGUUAAUUAAUUAGUUUAUGUACUUGUCAUCAGUGUGCAUUAAAAUUCACUGACUAGGAUUCUAUUCUCUUCUCACUUUUCUUCUUUUCUUUAUUUCAGGUACUUGGAUCGCGUUUUUACUAACACGUUCUCAAGCUCGUAAAAAAGCAAUUGAUUCAUCUUCAUCUUCUUCUUCUGAUUCUGAAAAAAUGACAGAACCUGAAGCACAAACAGACAGUAAGGCAUUGAAGGAUUUCUCUAUGCCAAAGAUCGAUGAUAUCCAGUCAAGCAUUGUCAGGCCUGCAAUCGCAGCCAAUGCCUUUGAAAUCAAACCAGGAACUAUUCAAAUGGUCCAGAACUCGGUACAGUUUGGGGGUUCUCCUACUGAAGACCCUAAUAUGCAUAUACGUAAUUUUAUAGAGAUCUGUGACACUUUCAAAUUCAAUGAUGUCUCUGAUGAAGCUGUGAAGCUAAGGCUUUUCCCAUUUUCACUGAGAGAUAAGGCUAAGGGAUGGUUGCAUUCUUUACCAUCUGGCCCUAUUACUACAUGGGAAGAUCUAUCUCAGAAAUUUCUCACUAAAUUCUUCCCCAUGGCAAAGACUGCUGCACUACGAAAUGCUCUAUCUCAAUUCUCUCAACAAUCAGGAGAAACAUUCUGUGAAGCCUGGGAGCGAUAUAAGGAGAUGCUAAGGAAGUGUCCCCAUCAUGGCAUGCCGGAUUGGAUGCAAAUAAACUGUUUCUAUAAUGGUCUUGGACCUCAAUCCAGACCUAUGCUUGAUGCUGCUUCUGGAGGUGCGCUAUGGGCUAAGAGUUAUGAAGAAGCUUAUGAUCUUAUUGAAAAUGNNNNNNNNNNNNNNNNNNNNNNNNNNNNNNNNNNNNNNNNNNNNNNNNNNNNNNNNNNNNNNNNNNNNNNNNNNNNNNNNNNNNNNNNNNNNNNNNNNNNNNNNNNNNNNNNNNNNNNNNNNNNNNNNNNNNNNNNNNNNNNNNNNNNNNNNNNNNNNNNNNNNNNNNNNNNNNNNNNNNNNNNNNNNNNNNNNNNNNNNNNNNNNNNNNNNNNNNNNNNNNNNNNNNNNNNNNNNNNNNNNNNNNNNNNNNNNNNNNNNNNNNNNNNNNNNNNNNNNNNNNNNNNNNNNNNNNNNNNNNNNNNNNNNNNNNNNNNNNNNNNNNNNNNNNNNNNNNNNUUUUUUUCUAUUUUUCUCAAUUUUUUUUAUUUUACAUGUUUAGUAGUAAUUGUCGUAGUCAGUAUCACGAGCAUUUGCAUGAAUUAUGAAGUUAAGCCAAGUUAAUUGCCUAUGAUGAGUUAUGUGCGUAGUUCUUGAUUAGUAGUUUCAAUUGCAAUGCUAGGUUAGUACUUGGAAAUUGCUUGUGUUGGAAAUUGUAAUUCACAUAUGUUCUUGAGAUAGGAUUUAGACGAAAUUCCAUGAAUUCUAGGAUUGAAUUGAGCAUCCUUCAGCUUAGGUCUGUAAAUCUUAAGUUUGGGGGAACUGAGGAGUAGAUAUGCCUUUCUAAAAAAAAAAAAGAAAAAGAAAAAAAAAAGAAAAAAUAGUAGUAAAUAAAUUCACUAAAAAAAUAAGUGGUAGAAUUAACUAGGUUGAGCUCAUUAGUACUCGAGUAAUUAAGUCUGAGGGGACUUUGUGCCUAACAACCUAAAGCCCUUCGUGGUUUGGGAUUGUUGACCCAACGCUCGCUACAUGGGUACUAGUGCAUAAAUCUUUAGGGAUCUCAACCAUUGCACGGUUAAAUAAACCACUAGAAUAAAGUGAAUAAUUGGUGUGUGAAGUCUUGUGGUGUUCGUAACGCAUUUACACUGCGAAGCGCUCUGACCUUAGACCAAGCAAUUAAUCACCAAUAAAAAAAAGAAAAAAAAAAAAAUAAUAUAGUGAAUAAAAUAGAAGGGUGUGGACAUUCUUUGGGACCUUGGCUUUUAGUUGGACUUGAGUGACGGGGUGUUAGUUUAGACUUUUACGAUUCUUGAUUGGGAUUCUGUGGGAGUAGUAGUUUUUGUCUUGUCUCAAUAAAAGAGCAUGCUUGCACACACGGGCACUCCGCACUUGUAAAUAGAAGAGUGAUUGACUUGGUAGCGAGAGAGAUGAAAGUCGAGAACAUUAGCACAAUCUGAGGUAUUAAAAAUUUGCAAGGCAAUUACUUCAUAGUUCACUCAUUCAUCACGUAGUUGCAUUCAUGCAUUGCAUUGUAUUAUUGUAUAGUGUCGUUGACGCUUGAGGACAAGCAUCAGUUUAAGUUUGGGGGUGUGAUAAGUGGUAUUUAUACACACUUAUAGGCCUUCAUUUCCACUUAAAUUGGUUGGUUGUACUUAAGUGUUUAGUGUCUUUUGAUGUGUUUUUAGUGUUUUUCUGUGCAGGUCACGAGUUGAGGUGAUGAAGUGAUUUUCUAUCAUUUUAGGUUGUUUUUGGUGCAUUAUUUGCAAGAAUAGAGAAUUGUGGAUUCAUCACGACUUGGGAUUUUGUGGGUACAUCUUCUACAAACCCUCACGAGAACACACUCGUCCACUAGAGCUAUCUAGGGGUUUAAAGGGCUUGUUGCAUGUGCUAAAUGCAACCGUGAUCACCUACGGAAGUGGUACUAGAGCGUGAUUGAUUUUAAAGGAAAAUCCACAGAACACACUGUCACAGAGGAAGGAAAUGGAAGAGAAAGAUCCAACAAAUCAUCAAAAUGAUGAUGAUCAAUCUCAGAUGGGGGCUUCUCCAUGAAAUCCAAAGAUGGAGAAUUUACAAGUGUGGUGUGAAUUAAUUCCACAUCCACAGAAGAGGUUGGGGAUUGUGUUUGAGUAGUAGAGAUGGUAAGAUCAUAAAUAUGGGUGAUUUGUUGAGAUGAAGAAGGGGGCUGUGACUCCACAUUUAUUGGAGUCACAUCAAUCUGACUUUGAGAAGUUACAGGCAUAAAAUCCAGAAUGGAUGCCUGUGUGUGUGCAGAGUGCUUAAGUUUGUCACUUCUCAUCUUCUUUCUCCCAUAAGCUUUGAUUGGUGAAGAAGUGGUGUCCCUCCCCCUUUUUAUCUGUGUCCCUGGUUGGGGACUAUUUUCAAUAGCAACAUCCUUUUGGGAGGAUGCUGCUAGGGAUGUGUUUAAUUCCAUAUUAACAUCUACAGUCUUUUGGGAGACUGCAGAGUGGCCAGGCUGGUCAACACACACCUCUCCAUCCUUAUUCUUAGGGCUUCUUUUAUGUUCACCCUUUCCCUCCCCCUCACAACCUCCAAUCACACUCCCCUCAGGUUUGUGUUUCUUGGAUUUUACAACAGAUGUCUUUUGGGAGGCAUCUGAGGUUGGUUUAGAAGACUUGUUUUUAGAAGGUUUUGCCACUUGUGUGGACUGUUGAUGGGCCUCUUCAACAGCCCUGAUGGCAGAAAGCAAAGAAGGUGAGGGUUGAGAAAGAGUAGUAGGAAAGCCAUGUACCUCUUUGUGCUUUCCAGCCUCCAUUGUUGGCAGGUACACCACCUCCAAGGAGGGAUAUAAAUUCAUCCUAAAGAGGUCUUUAAAGACUCUCUUUUCCUGCACAAAACUGGGAAGCUUGGCUUCCUUGUUAGUAAUAACUAGCUUUUUGUUGAGAUGAUUAGCUAGCAUCAUGAGAAAUCUGACAUAAUAAAUAUUCCUAGGUCUACCAGUUUUAUCACCUAGUUUCUCCCCAAUUUCUUGGAUCAUCAAACCACCAAAGUUGAAAUAUUCAUUAGUCAGGUACAUGUAAAGCAUUUGUAAAAUCUGGGAAGUAAGAGCAUUGAAAUUACUAAUUUUACCAGAAAAUGCCUUAAUAAAAGCAUCACAUAAAUAACUCCAUUCUCUCCUAAGACCCCUUCUUUCUAUUUUACCUAAGGCAUCAGUUGGCAAAACAUAAUUCAUGGCAUAAAGUAAAUUAACCAACUGAUUAUCACUAGGCAAAGAUAAAACAGUAUCUUCAGGAAUCUUAAAGCAUGCUUUCAUAACAUCAGCAUUGACAGAAUGAAUUUCAUUAUUGACAGAGAAAGUUAGAGUUUCAUGCUCACUAUUAAACUCUGCAGAGGUCCACAUCUCCUCCACUAUUUCAUGGUAGAUGGUAGGAGCUUCAAGCAUAGCAUAAGAGAGCUGGCUUGACUUGAUGAACUCCAUCAUCCUGUGAUACUCCUUCUCCUCCACAGCCUUGGUAUCCACAAAUGACGCGAAGUUGUUCUUCUCAUAAAUAAACCCACUUGGUGCAGUAUACUUCUUCAUUGGUGCCAUUGUAGUUACAGAGAAAGCUUGAGGAAAAAUUAGAGUUUGCUUUUGCACAGAGAGAGAAGAGAACUUGAAGAAUUCGAAAGAGUGAGAUGAAAAGAAAUGAAAAUAAAUUAAAACACUUAAAUACUUUCUCAGAAAAUUGCUGUGAUUGGCUGAGAAAUUACCGUUGAGAAGAAAUUACUCUUAUUUAACUCUACAAAAAUUACACACACGAUCGUGUGUAUAAAGUAGGAGAGAGACAAAAGAAAUUUCAACGGCUCAGAUCUGAUAAUACUUUCAACGGAUGAAAUAAGCGCCUCUUUAAACUUCCUAUUCAACUGAUGAAGAUCAGUUGAAGGCGUCUUCAACUGGUGUCAUCAGUUGAAUGAAAAACAACGCAAGAGGAUAUUGUUUCAAGCAUCAGUUGAAACAAUUUCACUAGUUCAUCAGUUGAAAUAUUAUAGACUUUAUCCAGAAUUAUAAUUAAUUCAAUUUUGAUAAAUCAAAAUUAAUCAAAUUCUGGCUGCCAAAUUACAGAAAAAUUCACUCUAAAUUAGGAGAAAUUUAACAUACCUAAUUUACUUACCAACCUUGUGAAUGUGGAUUCAUCAAGAGGCUUUGUGAAAAUAUCUGCAAUCUGUUCUUCACUUGGAACAAAAUGCAUUUCAACAGUACCAGCCAUCACAUGUUCUCUUAUGAAGUGGUAUUUGAUGUCAAUGUGCUUGGUUCUUGAGUGUUGUACUGGAUUUUCAGUUAUAGCAAUAGCACUGGUGUUGUCACAAAAUAUUGGGAUUUUUGAGAGAUUUAAUCCAUAAUCAAGUAAUUGAUUUCUCAUCCACAAUAAUUGUGCACAACAGCUUCCAGCUGCAAUGUACUCAGCCUCAGCUGUAGAGGUUGAUACAGAAUUUUGCUUUUUGCUAAACCAAGAAAUCAAUCUGUCACCAAGAAAUUGACAGGUGCCUGUUGUACUUUUUCUAUCAAUUUUGCAUCCUGCAAAAUCAGCAUCUGAAUAUCCAAUUAGAUCAAAUCCAGAGUCUUUAGGGUACCAAAUACCAAGAUUUGGUGUUCCCUUAAGAUAUCUGAAUAUUCUUUUUAUAGCAAUAAGAUGUGAUUCUUUAGGAUCAGAUUGAAAUCUAGCACAGAGGCAUGUAGAAAACAUAAUAUCUGGUCUACUAGCUGUCAAAUAUAAAAGAGAACCAACCAUGCCUCUAUAAUUAGAGAUGUCCACAGAUUUCUCAUUAGGACUUAACUCUAAUUUGGUGGCUGUUGGCAUGGGAGUCUUAGCUUCUUUGCAAUCCAAUAAAUCAAACUUUUUAAGUAGAUCAUAGAUGUACUUAGUUUGAUUUAUGAAUAUACCUUCCUUUACUUGUUUAACUUGUAAACCAAGAAAGUAGGUGAGCUCUCCCAUCAUGCUCAUUUCAUACUGACUUUUCAUUAGAUUAGCAAACUUCUUGCAAAGUUUCUCAUCUGUAGAACCAAAAAUUAUAUCAUCUACAUAAAUUUGAACCAGAAUAAAGGCACCAUUUACAUUUCUGUAAAAUAGUGUUUUAUCCACAGUUCCUCUGGAAAAAUGAUUAUCUAACAAGAAUUGAGACAGAGUGUCAUACCAUGCCCUUGGUGCUUGCUUUAGUCCAUAGAGUGCUUUUAAUAAAAAGUAAACAUACUCUGGAAAUUCUGGAUCUUCAAAACCAGGAGGCUGACUGACAUAUACCUCCUCUUCCAGUUCACCAUUUAGAAAAGCACUCUUGACAUCCAUUUGAUAAACUUUAAAGUUUGCAUGAGCAGCAUAGGCCAGGAAGAUUCUUAUUGCUUCCAGUCUUGCAACUGGUGCAAAGGUCUCAUCAAAAUCAAUUCCUUCAGAUUGAGAGUAUCCUUUAGCAACAAGCCUUGCCUUGUUUCUGGUGACAACUCCAUUCUCAUCCACCUUGUUUCUGAAUACCCACCUUGUUCCUACAAUUGUUCUGUUUUUAGGUUUGGGUACCAGCUUCCAUACAUUGUUUCUCUCAAAUUGAUUUAAUUCUUCUUGCAUAGCAAGAACCCAAUCAGCAUCUUUGAGAGCAUCUUCUAUGACUUUAGGUUCAUCCUGUGAAAGGAAUGCACUGUACAAACACUCAUCUUGAGUUGCUCUUCUUGUUUGUACAGAUGCAUUUGCAUCUCCAAUAAUUAGCUCAAAAGGAUGAUCCCUUGUCCACUUUCUUUGUGGUGGAAGUGAUUGUCUUGAUGAUGUGGCUUCAUUAUUGAAGUUCAGGUUUCCAUGUUGGAAAGCUCCCCCUAAAUUUGACAUCUCAUUAUUUCUAGACUGAUUGAAACUUUGAGACAUUCUUUCAACUGAUGAUCCUUGAGGUGUUUCAACUGAUCCCUCCAAUGUAGUUUCAACUGAUGCUUCAGUUGAAUUUCCAAUUGCAGUUGUUUCUUGCACCAGAGAGUCAUCAGUUGGAAUAUUAAUUCCAGGAUUAAUUCCAACAUUUUGAAUAAUGUCAUCAUCAUCAUCACUGUCAUACAGAUCACCUUCACCUUCAUUUUCAAAUCUGAGAUUAUCAUGAAAUCCUUCAUCUGAGAAUCCUUGAAUCUUCUUAUCAUCAAAAACCACAUGGAUUGAUUCCAUAACAAUGUUGGUUCUCAGAUUAUAUACUCUAAAUGAUUUUCCAUCAGAGUAUCCAACAAAAAUAGCUUCAUCUGCCUUGGCCUCAAAUUUUCCAAGAUUUUCACCUUGAUUUCUUAGAACAUAACACUUGCAUCCAAAUACAUGAAGAAAGCUAAUUGUUGGCUUCUUUCCUUUGAAGAGUUGAAAGGGAGUUAGAUUAUGAGGUUUGGUAAUUAGUGAAAUGUUUUGAGUGAAGCAAGCAGUGUUCACAGCUUCAGCCCAAAAAUAGGUUGGAAGUUGAGCUUCAUUAAUCAUGGUUCUUGCAGCCUCAAUAAGAGUUCUAUUCUUCCUUUCAACAACACCAUUUUGUUGUGGAGUUCUUGGUGCAGAGAACUCAUGAAUAAUUCCCUCUUCUUCACAAAAUUCUUUCAUCACAGAGUUCUUGAAUUCUGUUCCAUUGUCACUUCUUAUCCUUCCAACUUUGACAUCUGGAUUGUUGUUUAAUGCCUUGAUAUGAUUGAUGAUGAUUUUCCCAGCUUCAUCCUUAGAAUGCAGGAAGAAAGUCCAAGUGAAUUUUGAAAAAUCAUCAACAAUCACUAGGCAAUAUUUCUUCUUUGAAAUAGACAUGAUGUUGACUGGUCCAAACAAAUCCAUAUGCAAGAGCUGAAGGGGCUUCACAAUUGAUGAAAGAGUUUUGCUUUUGAAAGAGCUUCUCUUUUGCUUUCCUAGCUGACAAGCUCCACAAAGUCCAUCUUUGGAGAAUUCCAGCUUAGGUAGACCUCUUACCAAGUCCUUCUUUACUAACUCAUUCAGGGUUUUGAAAUUUAGAUGAGACAAUCUCUUAUGCCAUAGCCAACUGUCAUCUGAGCUUGCUUUGCUGAGAAGGCAAGUGAUAGAUUCAGACUUUACAGAAUUGAAGUCAGCUACAUACACAUUUCCUUUCCUUUGUCCAAUCAGAACCACAUUGUUGUCAUCUCCUUUGGUGACAACACAGGCUGCAGGAGUGAAAUUAACUUUGUAACCUUUGUCACAGAGCUGACUGAUGCUAAGCAAGUUGUGCUUAAGACCAGACACCAAUGCAACUUCAUCAAUGAUGACAUUCUCUUUUGCAAUCAAGCCAUAUCCCAUAGUAUAUCCUUUGCUGUCAUCUCCAAAGGUAAUGCUAGGGCCAGCUUUCUCCACAAACUUUGUGAGCAGGGAGGAAUCACCAGUCAUGUGCCUGGAGCAUCCACUAUCCAAGUACCACAAAUUCUUCUUGUGGUUUCCCUGCACACAUUUCACAAACAGAUCAAGUUGAUUUUGGUACCCAAAUUGCUUUGGGUCCAGAUUUGUUAGUCUUAGCAGCCUUUUCCACUUUCUCAACCUUUUCCUUGGAUUGAAUUGGUUCAAUCUUUGGUUUUGGUUGAGAAAUUGGAAUAUCAACUCUGUUUUCAAACACAGGCCUUUGAGACAUGCAUAAAUUGUUCAUUCCAUGCAAAUUUGAAUGAAAUUGAGGCAUGUUAAAGGCAUUGAAAUAAGGAUUGAACAUAUAUGGCAUGUUAGGCUGAGAAUAAGGAUUGUGAGGCAAUAAACCAGGCAUCAUAUUCAUAGCAGAUAAAUUCAUGUGAGGAACAGAUGUCAUAGGAAUAGGCAAAGAUAAAUUAGGAGCAAUCACAGUUUUACAAUUAGCAGAUAAAUGAUUUACACUACCACACUUACUGCAGGUUUUCCUAAGAGCACUAGCAUUGGGAGUGUAAUUGGUGUGCUUGUUAACUCCUAUUUUGCCAUUUCUAUUUCCUUUCUUCUUUUUAGUCUCCUCAGAUUUAUGCUCACUAGUAUCCAACUUCUUCUUGUUCUUGUUACUGGAAUUAAGAGUGUUAUUAACACUAUCACUGGUCUCAGAAGAACUAUUCUCACCUUUAACAAAAUUCUUUUUAACAGGACCAUAUUUCUUGUUAAGCUUCUUGAGAACACUCUUGUCAACUGAUGAGUUUUUGUUCAACUGAUGACUCUCAUCAGUUGAGACUUUGCUCUUCAACUGAUGAUCAUCAUCAGUAUUCUCAUCACCUGAACUGUUCUCAGAUAUCUCAAGCACUUUCUUAUUCCUCUUCCACUCAUUCUCUACAAAGGUCUCUCUACCUUGCAUGUUGAUGAUAUUGGUGGAAACAUCCCUACCAGAUUUCCAUUUGGCAAUAAUCUCUUGUUCCUUAUCAAGCUGCUUUCUUAUGAUCUCUUCUCUUUUCAGAACAACCAAGAGAUCAUCCUUGGCUGUCUGACACUCAAUUUUCAGCUUCUCAAACUCAAUAAAUUGAGCUUCUAAGACACUGUUUCUAUCACUAAGAAAGGUGUUAGCUUCCUUAAUCCUACUAUUUUCCUUAGUGAGAGAUUUUAAAGAAACAUACAAGUGAUACAAUUCUGUAGACAUUUCAUUAAUAGUAGCAUUGCAUUCAUCUUUAGUUAACUCAACUAGGUUUGUAGUGAAUACCUGACUACUGCUUCCAGUGUUUUCUUCUUGAUCUGUGGAGUUGGCCAUUAGAGCUAGAUUGACAAACUCCUCCUCUUCAUCAGAAUCAUCUCCAGCUGCCCAAUCAUCCUUUGUGAUGAAUGCUCUUUCCUUUUGUUUGAGAAGUUCAUAAUAUUUCUUUUUGUAGUCAAUGUUUUCACUUGACUUCUUCUCAACUUUAGGCUUUCUGCACUCAUUUGCAAAGUGACCUGCAUUCCCACAGUUGAAGCACUUGAAUUUUGAUCUGUCUACCAUGCUUCUAUCAGACUUGGGAUUGCCUUUAAAAGAUUUUGCAGAAUUAAAAUUCUUUUUGAAUUUCAGUUUGGAGAAUCUUCUUGACAGGAAGGCUAGAUGUUCAUCAAUUCCAUCACUUUCUUCACCAGAAUCAGCUACUUCUUUCUCCUUUCUUCUUCCUUUGCUUGACUCUGAGCUCUCCUCUUUGACCAACUUCUCAGUUUCUUCAACUUGAGACUUUCCCUUGUCCUUGACAGUAUCCUCCAGAGAUGCAACUAGAGCCACAGAUGAAUGCCCUUUCUUUUGGCUUUUCUCAAUCUCUUCAUCUUGUUCCAUUUCAAGCUCAUAAGUCUUUAAGGUUCCAUACAGUCUCUCUAGAGUAUAGUCUUUAAACUCUUGUGUAUUUCUGAGAGAGACUGUCAUGGGUUUCCAUUCUUUGGGAAGAGCUCUUAAGAAUUUCAAGUUUGAAUCCUUAACUUGAUAUACUCUUCCAAAGAGCUUUAGACCAUUUAACAGUUUUUGAAAUCUGUUAAAUGUAUCACUCAAACUUUCACCAGCCCUGAAAUGGAAUGACUCAUAUUGUUGAAUAAGAAGCUGCAUUUUGUUCUCUCUUACUUGCUCAUUCCCUUCACAGAUGGUCCUGAUGGUGUCCCAAACUUCUUUGGCACUUGUGCAGCUAAUAACACUAUCAAUCAUUUCUUGAUCCAAACCAUUGAACAGAAGGUUCAUGGUUUUCUUGUCCUUGUGCACUUCUUCAGUAUCUUCUUGAGAAUAUUCAUGGAUAGGUUUUGGAAUCAUCUUACCUACCAUGUCUUCACCAUCAGCUCCCAUACUUGUGCAGACCUUCAUGGGGACAUGAGGUCCUUUUUCAAUGCAGUUCACAUAGCUUUCAUCAAUGGACAACAGAUGCAGAUGCAUUCUCACUUUCCAGUGAAAAUAGUUGUCUUUGUCAAGAACAGGAAUCUUCACUCCAGCAUCCUUCUUUCCCAUCUUUCUCUAGCAGUGUUGAUCUUUUUCCCUGUUUGUUGGGAACCUCGCUCUGAUACCAAUUGUUAUUUUACACCAACUAUGAGAAAGAUUGUAGAAGGGGGGGGUUGAAUACAAUCUUUUACAAAUUUAAAAGAUUCAAGAAUAAUACACUAAGAACACAGUAAACAGAAAAACACCAAGUAUUAAAAAUACGGGUGGAUUGAAUGAUCCACCCGUGAGAUUUUAUAUAGAAGAAUCUGUGGAUUGUUUACAAUUCGCACAGCUGCUGGUUCAUCACUCAAAAAAGUUCUAACUCUCAGAUUUUUCUCUCAAGUAAUUUGAACAAGUUCAACUGAUGCUACUAACUUGGUUAUAUACUCCAAGUUUUACAAAGCUUUUAGCUAGAUUACAAAAUGCACUCUAAUCUAAAAACAAUGCUGCACAACUUUGUCUUAUGCAUGCUUUCUGAGAUGUCUUCAUCUUUGACCAUCAUCUUGAUUUGAUCCAGAUUGCACUGCAUGAGAUAAGUAUGUUUCUGCUUCUUCUUUAUUUUCCUAAUUAGGCUUCCAUGUCUAUUUUAGUGUAAUUCGAUCCAUGUGAUUUGUCAGACUUAAGCUCUAGUCACUUUCAACUGCUCUUUGCUUCAUCAGUUGAAAGUUCUGGUUGCUUUCAACUGCUCUUGACUUUAUCAGUUGAAUGCCCGGCUCAUCAGUUGAAUGAAUUACAAACUCCAUCAGUUGAAUGCUGUUCCAGUCUCAUCAGUUGAAUUCCUCAGCAUCAUCCGUUGAACACUUUGUCUUCAGUUGAAUGCUUGAUUUUCAUCAGUUGAAACAUCAUCCAGUCUUCAUCAGUUGAAUAGUUACAUCUCAUCAGUUGAAUAUCCUUCACUUAGAUAAAAUUACAUGGCAUUGGAUAUUUACAAUUAGCCAUCCUAUUCUACCCAUCCGUUGAUAAUUCCCAAAGACAAGAAGUGUAACAAUUACAACUGAAAUUUGAUAAAGAUUCUAAGUAAGACAUGUUACAAAAAUGUUUAUGUUAUCAUCAAAAAUUAUUGAUUCCUAACAGGAAUCACUUACCCCAGAGAUGGUAUUGUGACGAGUGAACGGGCUAGUUACAAACCCUGAACUGGUAAAUCCUGUGGCAGAACUCUUCUGCCCUGUAGUUGCCUGCCCCCCUUUAAUACACACAGACCCAUUCUUGGAGUUGCCUACUGCCUUAUAUUUUUCCUCGACUCGCAAAGCCAUCUCCAUUGCCUGUUCGAGAUGUAUCGGGUUCAGGAGUCGUACUUCCGCCCGAAUGUCCUCCUUUAAACCAAUCAGAAAUUGCCAAAAACAAAAUGCUCUCAGGGAUGCGAUCCAAAGGAGCUGCCGUCUCAAUAUAACUACGCUUAUACUCCAAAACCGUAGAGGUCUGUUAAGUGGCCAACCAUUGUUCAUACAACGAGCCCCCAUCCGCAACCCGGAACUGCUUUAGUAUGAAAUCAUUAAGAUCACUCCAAAGCCGAAUUGGCCGCCUCUUAUUCUCCCAUUGAUACCAUCGCAGAGCGUCCCCUUCCAUAGCCACAACCACCGCCUCUAGCAUCUCCUCCUUCGAUAAGCGAUAAAAACUGAAAUAACGCUCAACCCGGAGUAUCCACCCAUCCGGAUCUGACCCAUCAAAGACCGGCAUGUCCAACUUACGAUAACGCCAGUGGCCGGGACCACCACCCGACCCACCGCCCCCAAACCCAUGACCUUCCCCAGUAGGUGGAGCAAAUCCGCGGUGGCCCUGACCGCCUCCACCAAAAGGCAUGCCGAGGUGAGUGGGGUGAGAGGAGCUUCCUUCACCACGAUCGACGCCCACAAAAUUAGUGGAAGUGAGACCUGUGAGAGCAGAUCUGAGUUCAGCCUGAAACUUGAGUUGGUCAUUGCGCAUGAGAUUAAUCAUCUGCUCAUGGCUCUCACGAGAUCUAUUAAUUCGCCCUUCCAAUCGAACAGCCAAGGCAUCGAUAUCCUCCCCCUAUUUGCGCGCUGUGGCGUUCUGCCCUUGAACUAACAACUCGGUGAGCGACGCGCGCACCGCCCCCAUCGCAGACUCAACUGCUUUCGCAACGAGCUCGGCCAUAGACUCCUCGAGCUCCGUCGCCUUCUCUUCAAGCUGAUCAAUACGCUGAGUGACUGUUGGCGGCCCCAUGGAUGCAAACGCUUUGAUACCACUUGUGAUGUUUUUAGAUGGAUCUUCACCAACAAAAUACCAAUUAAAAGGAAAACAAGCACCAGCACUUAAUAAUAAGAUCCAAAACCAAGUUGCUUACAAUGAAGAAAAACUAGAACAGAUAAACUGGACAAUUCGAGAAGCCAGAGUCUUCUUACUAAAUUGAUUAAACUAAAAUGAUAUUCUCCAUAAGCCCCUCCUCUCAACCCUAAUUCCUCUUAUCCCCUCUCUUCCUUUUGCUAUUCAGUUCCCUUUCUACCCUUGGGCUUCCUUCUGUUGAAUACUAGUAGCUUAGUGGGCUGGGCCUGAUCUGUAGGUUGGACCUGAUCUGUUACAUCUGCGCUAUGUGUAUGAUCUACAGAAUACACAAGGCGAUACUCGUUUACUAGAAUUAUCAAAUAUAAACUCGUCAAAAUGAAAUUACUUUUCAAGAGGAGACUUUAGAUCUGAUCAGAGUACCAGACAGACAGACCUUAUUAGACAAUUUGACUUUAUUUAGAUUAGUUGUUAGGGAAUUUGUGAGUCUGUGAUUGCCAGUCCAUAUGAUUCUGUUUGUGAAAUUAAAUACUGAUUUGUCCCAUCCACUUCCAUCACUGGUGUUGCUGUUCCCGGAAAUGCACUAACCUCUCUCAGCCACUUUGCGCCGAUCGUAUGAUUUUUCCUACGGGGUUCAGCUCGCAUCCAUGUACCAUAACCAUAAGGUUUUUCAAUCAGUUCUAUUGGAGUCUUGAACAAUCUUCAGCAAAAUUUCUCACUAUGCUUAAUCAUGCCGCGUAUGAAACAAAAAUAAUAUUAUUUUGAAAUUCCCUAGAUUUGAUCAAUUCUAAAUGUCCUCGUAUUAUAUUAAAUUAAAUAUAGUAUGAGGGAAUGUAAUUCCUACUCCUAAUUUCGGAACCUAAUUAAGAUCUGAAAAAUCUAUAUGUGGUUUCAUUCUGAUUUUUGAAACUAGAUGUGGUUUCAUUCUGAUUUCUGAAUUUGCACCAUCUAGUAUUUAAUGGUUUUUACACCGUUCGAACAGAAAUAAAGAUUCUCACAAGAAUUUGUGAAAAAUCCGAAAUACUUUUAAAAUAAUUACUACUUAAUAAAUUACUCAAAUAUGAAUCAAUAUAUAAUCAUGGUAUAAUUAAAAAUAAACAUAAAUUAUUAUUAAUAAAAUCAUAUAACAAUAUGAAAUAAUAAAAGUACAUAUAAUAUAUAUGAGAAUUGAGGAGCGAGAUAAAAUAUAGAAAAGAUAGCGGGGUUCUGAAUUAAAGGGUCAUAAAAUUUUCAAUUCUCCGUUCGGAAUAAAGCGAUUAAGAGCAGUCGGUGAUAAAUUAAAAUAAUAAAUAUUAAUUACUGAUCGAAGUAUAAAUUAACUUAAAUUAAAAUAAAUAAAUAUUGAUUAGUGAUAUAAAAAAAUAUAUUUACAUAAAAAUUAUACAAACAUAUUUCAUGUAAAAUUGGGAGGUGAUUUUUUUUUUCUUUUGUAACCUGAAAAUAUGACAGGGGAGCGAAAAUCAACGCAAGUCAUAAGACACGGCACAACGUUAGCAAACCAGAAUUUAAAAUAGAAUCCCAACAUAAUAUUCUUCUAUCCCCUUUUACGUAUGUUCAUUUUGAUUUUAAUUUUUAAUUAAACAUAACAAAUUAUCUAUUCAUUAUUUUUAAAAUCUUAAAAUUGCAUAUACAAAAAUAUACAAAAUAUAUUUUCUAAUGAUAUAAUUUUUAUUAUUUUUUCAAUUAUAUAAUAUGUAAAUUUCUGCAAAGUAUAGUCAAUUUAACUGAUAAAAGUCAAAAUGGACACAUAAAAGGAGACGGAGGGAGUAAUUGUCUUCCUAGUUAAAGUUGCGAAGCAAAAGAAGAUAUGCAAUCUUUCUUUCCGACAUCGACCAUCAAUCCCUAACUAUCAUCAAAAUUUUGUUUAACAUCUAAUAACUAUUUAGUUCGAAUGCAAUCUCAUGUCUCUUGACAGUCCUUCCUCAAACUGAUGCGCCUACUAACCUCCUCCUUUCUAAUCAAAGUUACAUCAUACUAACCCAUAAUGAAAAGUCAACUUCAUGCUCGGAAAUAAUUUGUUUCUCUCUUUUUUCCAAACUAAUUAAAUCUCGCUCCAACUUAGCUCAUAUUUUUUGAGAAAAUUAUUUUUUUAUAAACACCUCUUUAAAAAUUUCCCGUAUAAGAUUGGACAGCUUGCUCCUCGUUACCUUUCACCCACCUCUUAUUCAUGAAACACCAAUUAUAAGCGCUUUUGAGUUGGUAGCUUGAAAUACUAAUUUUUAACUUGCCGAAUUUUUUUCCAUCUCUCAACAGGAUAUAAUCACUAAUCGACUUUUGAAGGUGGUAGGUAGAUUUCUCUUAAGUUUGGGGACUUGCCUUCUCAGAAUCCAUUUGAAAGUGCUGUUGAAAAUUGAUAUACUCUUAAGAAAAGUAAAGAUAAAAAAAAUAAUGUUGUGCAAAUUAGAUUAAUGUUUGACAAUUUUUUUUUAUAUUUCCAUAUUUUGAGUUAUAACAUAAUUUUUUUGGGUGAAGUUUAAAAGUGAAAUCUGUAACAGCUUCCUACAAAAUUGAAAAAUCAGCUUUUUUUCAAAAAUAUAUGGGAACAUGCUUUUCUGAAAAAUUAUUUUUUAGCUAAAAACUGCUAUAUAUAAAAUAGUUUUUCACCUGUUUUAUAAUAAAAUGUUGGCAUUGUUGUUUAUAAUAACAAUGCCAAACGAAGCUUUAAACUAAAUUGUUAGGCUUUUUGGUUCCCUUGUUUUUUCCCAACUAAUAUCGUUGAAGUUUUGGCCCAAGUAAUUCGUCAUAUUUAUAUAUUUGUUUGUUGUCAUUGUUAUUGUUGUUUUCACUUUUGUGGCGUUGGUGAAUUAUGACCGCUACAUAAUGCAAUUGUAACUUAAUAUCAUAGUACAAAUAGAAAUAAUAUUGGGAGAAAUAUGCAUGACAAAAUUAAAAGCAAUGCUUGAAAUUUUACUGGUAAAAAAAUUUAAAAAUUAAUUCUUCACGACUUAUAAGCCUAUAACAUUGUGUUAUUAUGUUUUUGUGAUUUUAAUGAGUUGUGUAUUUAACUUAUGUAACUUUCAAUUUUUAUUGUGAUACAAUACUCUGACUCCACAAUAAUUAUGAAAUCAUAUAAGAUAGUAAUUGAAUGUGGUGUUUUAUUUGAAUUAUUAAGUUAAAUAUAUUUGUAUAACUCAAUACUAAUGAAUCUAAAGCAGUGUUCUAAAAGUCGGCGAUUAAUCGCGGAUUAAUCGCUGUUCGGUCGGCCACCGUCUCGAUUAAGCGUUAAUCGGUGAAAAAAAUCGUUUUUUCUGAAAAUCGGGAUUAAUCGGUCAAAAGUCGGGAUUAAUCGGAAAAAGUCGGUCAAAAAUCGGCGAAUUUAAAAAAAUUUAAAAUAAAACGUAAAAAAAUUUUAAAAUUAAUUUAAAAUAAAACAAAAGGCAUGGAAAUGACAAAACACAGAAAUUAAAGUUGUUUUUUAUUACCUUUCACUCUUUCAAUAUUAGCCUCUAAAUUCUAAUUACAUAAAUUUGCAAUAUCUUCCUUCGCAGAUUGAAUCAAAUUCAAGUUUAUAUAUGAGAUGACUAGACUUGUAUAUGUAUAUAAAGGCAUGUUUUGUAUUAUAGAAAAUCAUUAAUCUUUUGAUUUUAUAUGUCUAUAAAUUUAUACUAUAUAUAAUUUUAUUAAUAUAUAUAUAAUUUUAAAAAUAAUAUUAAAUUGAUCACGAUUAAUAAUCUGAUUAAUCACUCCGAUUAAUCUCCGAUUAUCCGAUUAAUCGUUGGACGGUGUCUUCACCGACUAAGUCCGAUUCCCNUAUUAUAGAAAAUCAUUAAUCUUUUGAUUUUAUAUGUCUAUAAAUUUAUACUAUAUAUAAUUUUAUUAAUAUAUAUAUAAUUUUAAAAAUAAUAUUAAAUUGAUCACGAUUAAUAAUCUGAUUAAUCACUCCGAUUAAUCUCCGAUUAUCCGAUUAAUCGUUGGACGGUGUCUUCACCGACUAAGUCCGAUUCCCGCUUUUUACAACACUGAUCUAAAAGUAUAUCUAAAGUUUGAAAGUGAGAAAAAUUAACUUAGAUACACCUAAAGUUUUAGUAAUUUAUAUAGCUUCUAUCCUUGCAUAUAGAAUAUAUAUGUUACACUAUAUUUUUCUAUUUUGGUUUCUAGAAACUUUGUUAUCAAUUUGAAUAUUAUUUUUUCUCUUAUUAAUUCAUGAUAUUUCAAGUUUAGUUUUAAUCUUUAAGUGAAAGCUAACCGUCUGAAAAGCUAUAUUAAUACAAUUCAAUUUAUAUCCAUUAAAAUACAUUAAAAAAUUGAGAUACAUUAACUUAAGCUUAAAAAAAUUAGCUUCGCGCCCACACCAAUAAAAAUUAUGCUUCAGCAAUACAAUAUGAAUUGUAAAUUUUAAUAAUUAUUAGUAAAUCUUGAUUUUGAUGCAGGCUAUUACGUGAGCUCGUGGGUUUAUCCAGUGCGCAUCCGAAGGGUAGCGGCUGCGGGUUCCUACGUUAAAAAAAAUAAAUAAAUUUGAUUUUAAUAUUUAUAACUCAAAUACAUUUACAAGUAUGUAAUAUAUAUNNNNNNNNNNNNNNNNNNNNNNNNNNNNNNNNNNNNNNNNNNNNNNNNNNNNNNNNNNNNNNNNNNNNNNNNNNNNNNNNNNNNNNNNNNNNNNNNNNNNNNNNNNNNNNNNNNNNNNNNNNNNNNNNNNNNNNNNNNNNNNNNNNNNNNNNNNNNNNNNNNNNNNNNNNNNNNNNNNNNNNNNNNNNNNNNNNNNNNNNNNNNNNNNNNNNNNNNNNNNNNNNNNNNNNNNNNNNNNNNNNNNNNNNNNNNNNNNNNNNNNNNNNNNNNNNNNNNNNNNNNNNNNNNNNNNNNNNNNNNNNNNNNNNNNNNNNNNNNNNNNNNNNNNNNNNNNNNNNNNNNNNNNNNNNNNNNNNNNNNNNNNNNNNNNNNNNNNNNNNNNNNNNNNNNNNNNNNNNNNNNNNNNNNNNNNNNNNNNNNNNNNNNNNNNNNNNNNNNNNNNNNNNNNNNNNNNNNNNNNNNNNNNNNNNNNNNNNNNNNNNNNNNNNNNNNNNNNNNNNNNNNNNNNNNNNNNNNNNNNNNNNNNNNNNNNNNNNNNNNNNNNNNNNNNNNNNNNNNNNNNNNNNNNNNNNNNNNNNNNNNNNNNNNNNNNNNNNNNNNNNNNNNNNNNNNNNNNNNNNNNNNNNNNNNNNNNNNNNNNNNNNNNNNNNNNNNNNNNNNNNNNNNNNNNNNNNNNNNNNNNNNNNNNNNNNNNNNNNNNNNNNNNNNNNNNNNNNNNNNNNNNNNNNNNNNNNNNNNNNNNNNNNNNNNNNNNNNNNNNNNNNNNAUAUAUAUAUAUUUGAGUGUAAUUAUAUUUAUUUUAUUUGAGAUUUAUAGUGAAAAUAUUAAAAUUUUCAUUAUACAUGACAAGUAAGAUAUUACUACAAUAAAUAACAUGUAAUAUCUAAUUAGCAAGAAAAAAAUAUAAUAUCUAGAAAAUCUACCAGAUAUGCAAUAUCUAACAAGUAACAUCAUGUAAUUACUAAUUAGUAAGAACAAAACGUGCAAUAUCCCGGGAAAAUCCACAAGAUAUGCAAUAUCCGAGAAGAUUUGUGUAGAUUUAAUUUCUAACAAAAUUUAUUAUUAGUUAAUACCCAACAACUAUAAAUAACAAGCACAUUUCAUUCCCAACCCAUCAUCCUCACAUCAAAGACAUAAUUCUCUGUGUUAUAUUAAUAAUCAGUUAUUUCUUAAGACCUAUUAUAUAUGGAGAAGGCUCUGGUCAACAAAAUUAUUUCUCUUCUUGUGUUGGUCAUGCUGUGUGGUAUGUCAUGUAAUUCUACAUAGUUAAUCUUUCAAUAUAUAUAUAUUAUAAAUAAUAUAAUUUUGUUCUUCAUGAUCUCUGAUACUAAUGAAAUAUUAUUAUUUUUUGAUAAUUUAUGCAGAUUUACAAUUAAUGAGAACAAAUGCAUCAAAUAUACAAUGUCAAAGUGACACUGAUUGCAAAUAUUUUCCUGAAUGUGUCGAUGGUAAAAUGAGAUGUGUAAACGGUGAAUGCAGAUGCAUACCAUUUGGUGUCCCCGGCCCUCAAGCUAGUCACGGUUUUGGUGAUGAUAAGAAAGUUAACAACGAGAUUAGAUGUAAAACAGUAAGCGAUUGUGCAAAUACUUUUCUAUGUUUGGUAGGUAAACAAGUAUGCAAGAAUGGUGUGUGCAAAUGUGAAGGACAUAUUGGUCACGAAAAUGAAGAACGUGGAGGCAUUUAUUAAUAUAUAUGUAAUGAUUUUUUCUUGAGUUUUAUUAACUUAAUGAGUUAGUUCAAUUUCUUGCUCUAAUUACUUCUUUGUUUUGGCUCGAUUUUAAUAUUUUCCGACACUAAUAAAGUAUAUGAAUUUUUUUCCGACAUAAUACAUAUGUUAGGACCAAUGAAAGUAAAACAAUCAUCAUUUGACUAAAAACUUCCGACCUUCUCAACUUUCUACUUAAAUCUCAAAUAAUCUUUUAUUUUCAUUUUCAAGAAUAUGAAAUACUCUCAACUAGCAACACUUCAAAAUUUGUUUUUGGGUUAAUUGAUAGAGGAAUACAGGCAAAAGAAAUAAAAUAAGAGGAUGUAAAAUAAUGAUGAAUUACAUGAUUAAAGUAAAAUACUGUAAUAGAUACAAAACUAAAAUCAAUAAAUAUCAGUAAAAACAAUAUCGUAUAGAGUCGAACCAAAAUUAAAAAGUAAAAAAAAAUAAAAAAAAAAUAACUUUAUAUAUAAAUUACAACAAAACAGGAAAAGAUCAAACCAAUUUGAUCAUUAAAAUAGCAUCCUUUUAAUAAUUUAUAUACAUUUUUAUAUAAAUAAUUAUGUAUUUUUAAUAUAAGUAGUUUCUUAGGUUACUAAUCUCUAAAAUUAAAAUUAAGCAAUGUAUUGUUAAUUUUCUUAAAUGAGAGAAUUCUAGGUGCUGUAUUCAAUUGAAAUAUUAAUAAACUUUAUCUAUGAAGUUUAAUGGAUUGUAUCUGAUUUUAAUUGUAUACGAAUUCUUAAUAAAUUAUGACGGAGUUGAUGAGAUUUUUUAGGAUUUAAACACAUAGUUCAAAAUCUCAUGAAUUUUGUUGGAAUUUCAAAUAUAUUAAAAUACACCGAACAAUCUCACAAAAUUCAUCAUUUUAUGAAGUUCAAAAAAAUCUGUGAGCAUUUGAAUACCAUCAAUGAAUUUGAAAUAAUCCCAAUUGAAUACUAUCGCAUUUUAAAGCAUACUUAAAAUUGUUAUUGAAUACCACCAAAUUUUGUAGUAUAGUAUAAAAUCCUAAUUGUAUAACCUAGGAUUUGAUACAUUUUUUAAAAUUCAAUUGAGUACUCUUAAAUUUCAUUAACAAAAAGACAAAUCUUUUAAAAUUUCAAUUGAAUGCACUUCGUAAUUUAGUGUUAUGGAUUUCUUUAAUAAUUUCAACUUGCCACUUGGGUGCUUAAGCACUUAUUGUCCACAUAUAUUAUAAGGAUACAUUCUCCUUCUGUGGUCACGUUGAUAUGUAAGUUUGAUUCUUACUCAUCAGAUCAUUGGACAAAUAACUUUUUAUUCGGAAUUGUUACUAAGCACUGUGAUAUUUUCUCCCGAGAGUCAGCACAGACUAAGAGCUUUAAGGUUAAUGAUAGAAAUAUUAUUUCAGUUAAGUUUUGCUUAUAUUAUCAUCAGAUUUUAUAAUUUAAACCAAAUUAAUAGUAAUUAGACCACGUUUUUAGUUUAAAUCUGUCGAUUACAAUGGCGCUUUAAAUAUCAAAUAUCUAAUAUAUUUGCUUUUUUUUUUGUCAGAAAUUCGCACCAAAACGAUUCGAGGAUCAUAUUACACGUGAUUUAAAACAACUUUGUGAGGAUAGAGAAAUGUAAGACAUGCAUCCAUAUUAUGGUAAAAUUUAAUUUAUUAAGCCUGUUAUAUUAAUUUUCAAAAAUCUAUUGUGAUUAGUUGGAUUUAAAAAAUUGAAUCGGCAAAGUAAUUAAUUUGUACGAUUAGUCGGUCAAAUUGGCAAUUUCUGUAUUGAUAAGUUGUUCAGUUUCUUAAAUAUAUCUUGCGUUCAAGUGAUUUCGUCAGUUGUUAAGACUUAAGAAGACCAGGUGACUGCGUUACAUAUUAUCUUGUGUUAGUUGUCUAAACUUUAUUUAUUAUGUUGCGGUCUUUGAUUUAUGAAUAUUGUUUGCCGAAGUUCUUGCAAAAAUCUAAUUUUUGUGAUUAAUCUAUUAAAGAUCCUACCAUGCACAAUCAAGCACAUGCACAAUCAAGCAGGCAAAUGGAUCGACGCCAUUCAAGAUUACAAAUGGAUUAGUCUGAAGUCACAUUCUGAACUCUUGGCCAGGGAUUUACUUGUAGUUACCAUUGGUAGAAUUCUGGAACAUCGGUUUCGUCGGUGAAAGUGAUCACAGUGAGGUUACUCUGCUCUGAAGUAUUGUGGCCUGCAGCGGCUAAAAUUUGAGUUAGCUUGAAAAAUGAUGUGUAUGAACACAUUGAAAUUAGCCUUUUGCUGUCUGAAUUGUUCAUAGUCAACUUUAUAGCAUCCUACAUCGUCCUAUUGAUUUUUUUUGAGUAUAUUGCAAAACGCACCCCCUGAUUUUUGCGAAAAGCACUUUUUACCUUAGACUUUCCAAAAUUGCACUAUCCACCCCCAUCAUUUGAAAAGCCUGGCAGUAUGCACCUGGUUUGACCACAACCGUUAGUCUCUCCCGUUAACGUUAAACUUUAAGGGUAAAGCUGUAAUUUCACCGAAGGCUUUACAGUCCACUUCUAUUUUUCUACUAAUUGUUUACCCUAAAUAUCUAAUUCCCUCCCAAAUUGAGACCCUAGAAUUGAUAUACUUGCACUAAACUUUUUGAAGCUUUGUAAUUAACAGCAAUGAGAGGGCGUUUAAGGAUCGGCGUUCAAGCCCGAAAUGAUGGUGACCUUUGGAAAGAGGAUAAAGAGAAGAAGAUUCAGUAAGCCAUGAUUCAGUAAGCCGAUUUGAAGAAGAAAAAAAAACGAAGAGAAAAGAGAAGAAGAUGCUGUGGGGUUGUAUGUAGUGUGCGUAUAUAAAGCCAACAUGAAUAAGACCGUUGCUCAGCAUUUAAUUAAAAAGAAACUGAAAUACCAAGCAUACCCUCAGCAUUAACUAACGGUAACGGAUAUAUUUAGCGGAAGGGUCUAAAAUGUCGCGCCAAAAAAAUUAUCGGGCUGGAUAGUGCAAUUUUGGAAAGUCUAGAGUAAAAAGUGCUUUUCGCAAAAACCAGGGAUGUGCGUUUUGCAAUAUACUCAUUUUUUUUCUAUGCAGAUUAGUCAUUUAAGCAGAAAAACCUUUUAUAUUUUUAUUGACUUUAUAUUUGCACUUUUUUUUAGGGUUUUGGAGAAUGGCUGGUGAAGCAGAAGGGCCUGCAGUUAGGAUUGAUCUUGGGACCAUGUGCUCAUGUGUUGGAGUUUAGCAGCGGGAUUGUGCUGAAAUUAUCUCCAAUGAUGAUAAUAAGAGGAUGACAUGUCUCAUGCUGUUAUUGCGAGUGUUUUUAAUGAAGUUUAGCAAGGACAUUAAUUCUGAUGAGGCAGUUGCACUGGAUGCCGCUGCCAUAGCUGACACGAUGAUUAGUGAUGAAGGUGGGGGAAUGAUUGAUGAGAUGCCACUGGAUAUAUAUUACUUCUGAAGACCUUGGUAUUGAAACUAUUAGUGAAAUAAUGACUGUCCUAUCUCCAAAGAAUACAAGUGUUUGAGGGACGAGGGUGACAAUAAUAUGACAAAAUAUAACUAGUGUUCCAUGUACAAAUUUCAACUAUUUAUACCAAUAAAACUACAGACCAUGGCCACACAAUAUGAUCACAAAUUUAUGCCUUGUCAACCUAUAUGGUAUGCUAUCAUAUCAAAAAAAAAAAAUUCAACCACUUCAGAAAGAACUUAUGCGUCAAUUUUCAUCCAUAUUGCAGAAUUACUGGAUUUGAAGAAACUAAUGAAACUCAUUUAGAAAUUUGCAGUCGACUAAAAAAUGCAGUCCAGUAUAUUAAGCCUUUUGUUCUCUUAAGCUGCUCAAAAGUGGGAAUGCAGAUUUUAUUUUGAAGCUGAGAAGGCUGAUUAUACUAAGCUUCUUGUACUACUAUUUUUAUUAGUCUUUGUUUUGUUGUUGUAUUCCCAUUUAAAAGCGUUUCAGUUCUAAAUGUUUAUGGUCUGCACUGUGAUGAUCUACAGAAUACACAAGGCGAUACUCGUUUACUUCUCAUAGACUCUUUUCAUCAACAUGUAGCUCAAAUGGGAGGAUCAUGUCUAACAUUGAAUGCAGGUAAGCAGUUUAAUAUUCAUAUAAUAAGGAAUAUAAUUUCUGCGAUGAAGACAAAAUGCUUAUGCAGCAAAUAUAAGUUGGUCAAAGUGAAAUUACUCUCUGAGAGGAGACUUUAGAUCUGAUCAGAGUAUCAGACAGACAGACCUUAUUAGACAAUUUGACUUGGUCAUUCUUUUUGCAAGUUGACUAAUUUAGAUUAGGAUGAAGUGCAUGUGUAUACUAUAAGUUGGUAGGGAAUUUGUGAGUCAGCAGUCAGUUUCCUCAACCUCUAACUUCAUCUUAGAGAUUUCUUUCUCUGCAAAUUAGUUAUCUAAACAGAACAUCUUUCAUUUUUAUUUCACUUUCUAUUUUCACUUCUGUAUUCUGCUUUUGCAAAAUGGCUGGAAGAAGAGAAGGACCAGCAGUGGGAAUUGAUCUGGGAACCAUGUACUCAUGUGUUGGAGUUUGGCAAGGCAGCCAUGUCGAAAUCAUUGCCAAUGAUCAUGGUAGCAGGACGACGCCAUCUUGUGUGGCUUUUUCUGAUACAGAAAUUCUGAUUGGUGAUGCUGCACGCAACCAGGGUGGAAUGAAUCCUGAUAACACCGUCUUCAGUAAGUACAUUAUGGCUUAUGCUAUGUUUUGUCCCAUUUCUACAAUUAUUAUUCAAUUUUUAUUCAAGCAAGCAUAGCGACUCAGAUGUGAAAUCACCCAGACAGUGUUUUUCUUUGUUCAUUUGUAUAUAGUUUUGCAUAAUGACAUGUGUAAUACAAGUAGAUUUUUGUUUCUCUAUUGUUAAACUUGCUCAGAAAAUGUCAUGACCUAAGGAGUAAUGAUUUUGGCUAGUGUUUGACAGUGUAUCCCAUUGCCUAUAGAAUUUUUUAUGAACCUGAUGUUUCUUUCGUAUUAUUUUUGUUGCAUAAAGGCGUUAAACGGUUAAUAGGCAGAAAAUUCAGCGACUUGAGUGUACAGAAUGACAUGAAAUUUUGGCCCUUUAAAGUCAUUUCUAAUCAUGGCGGAAAACCUAUGGUCUUGGUCACCUAUAAGGGGCAGGAGAAGAGGUUUUACGCGGAGGAACUCUCCUCAAUGAUUCUAAUAAAGAUGAAAGAAAUUGUUGAGAAGUGUCUUGGAUCAACUGUAAGAAAUGCUGUUAUUACUGUCCCAGCUUACUUUAAUGACUCUCAGCGGAAUGCAAUUAUAGAUGCUGGAGUUAUUUCUGGCAUUAAUGUAAUACGCGUAAUUUCUGAGCCAAGUGCAGCAGCAAUUACAUAUGGUCUUGAAAAGAGGAAGGCGGAUAGUAGUACAGGCGGUGAGAAAAAUGUGCUUGUCUUCGAUCUAGGUGGUAGUAAUUGUAAUGUUUCUCUUGUUGUAAUUGAAGAGGGAAUUUUUGAAGUAAGGGCUACCACUGGUGCCAGUCACCUUGGAGGAGAGGAUUUUGUCCAUCGGAUGGUGAAUCAUUUUAUUCGGGAGAUCAUGAGGAAGAACAAAAAGGACAUAACUGGUAAUGCUAAAUCUAUUAGAAGAUUGAAAAAUGCUUGUGAAAGGGCAAAGAGGACACUCUCUUCGGCUGCAAUGACAUCAAUUGAGUUAGAAUUUUUGUAUGAUGGUGUUAGUUUCUCUGAAAAUAUUUCUCGUGACAAAUUUGAAGAGUUGAACAUGGACCUCUUUAAAAGUUGUUUGGAGCUGGUCGAGAAGUGUUUGAGGGGUGGCAAUAUUGAUAAGAGAAACAUCCAUGAUGUGGUCCUUGUUGGUGGAUCUACUCGAAUUCCAAAAGUACAGCAGCUAUUGAAAAACUUUUUUAACGGGAAGGAGCUCUGCAUGAGUUUGAAUCCUGAUGAGGCUGUUGCAAAUGGUGCAGCUGUGCUAGCUGCAAUCCUUAGUGGCGAAGGCCACGAAGCUGUUCAGGACUUAAUGCUGUUAGAUGUCACUCCUCUAUCCCUUGGGAUCGGAACUAGUGGUGAAACAAUGUCUGUCCUUAUUCCAAAGAAUACAACUAUCCCCACUAAGAGGGAGCAAAUUUUCUCAACCUCCAUAGACAAUCAGCUUGAUGUGCUGAUCGAAGUCUUUGAAGGCGAAAACCCAAAUACCAAGGAUAACAACUUGCUGGGAAAAUUUGUACUCUCUGGCAUUUCCCCUGCACCUAAGGGCGUCCCUCAGUUCACCGUUUGCUUUGACAUUGAUGCAUAUGGGAGGCUAAAUGUGUCUGCCGAGGAUAAGACUACAGGGAAGAAGAUCAAGAUAAAAGUAACCAAUAACGAGGAGAGAUUGUCGAAGGAAGAGCUUGAGAAGAUGGUAAAAGAAGCUGAGAAGUACAGAGCAGAAGCUAAAGUGAACAAGAAAGCGACAGAGAAAAGGUAUGCUUUUAUUUCCCCGGGAUUUUUUCCUUUCUGCAAAUUAAUUACUUUGACAGAAAAACUCUAUAUCUUUAUAUGAGUUUUUAUUUACACUAUUAUGCUUGAUUUUAUAGAAUGGCUGGAAAAGGAGGACCUGCAAUAGGACUUGAUCUUGGAACCAUGUACUCAUGUGUUGGAGUUUGGGAAGGUAACCAUGUCGAAAUCAUUGCCAAUGAUCAUGGUAGCAGGAUUACUCCUUCUUGUGUGGCUUUCUCUGAUACUGAGGUUCUAAUUGGUGAUGCUGCAUACAGCCAGGGUGGGAUGAAUCCUAAUAAUACUGUCUUUAGUAAGUACCAAGUGCACUAUGCUAUCAUGCUAUGCUUUGUAUAUGCCUAAUCCAGGAUCUGGUUUGUGUUUCAUAAUUGUGCAUUUUAAGAUAGUCAAAACAAUAGAAAAACACGACGUAAGAGCAUCUUCAACGGGGUGUUAAUAUUUGGGUGUCAAUAUUAUCAAAUUAUUACGCUAAUAUUUUAUCCUCUCUCUUCGAUAGUACUUUUAGAACCUUUCUUACCAAAACUUACUUCAAUGAUUGGCACUCAAAGUUGCCAAUCAUUUAGACAAAUAUAUUAAUAAUAGAUAUUAAGAUACAUUUAUCUAUUUUGAAAGGGCGUCAAAAGUUGACAACUUUACUUGGCACCACUUCAACGAAGAACCAACAAGAGUGUCAUGCCACAUCAUGUCACAUGUCACAAUAGCACUCUUCUUAAAACUCUCAUCCGACUCAUUCUAAAUAUACAUAUUUCUUAACAUUUGUCUUUUCACUUUGGAAUCUAGUUUCACUGCUUCGAAUAUGUAUAUAAUUUGUUACUGUUGCAUACAUAGAUCAGGAUACCAAUAUACAAGCUGUUCAAGCAUAGUGCAGCUACCUAAAGUAAAAUCACCCAUUAAUUUUUUUGUGAAAUUUGUUAGUUAAUAUAUAGUUCUGUGCAAUGUAACAGAGAAUCACAUUAUAGCAGCAGUAGUAGUAAAGCUUGCUCGAACAAAAAUCAGAACUAAAAUAAAUGACUACUGAAGAUGAUCCUAUUUUAGACUAUACAGCACAAGACUUUUUUAAGGUCUCUCACUGGUGUUUAUGAGCUCCGGUGUAAAAGAUGUGAAGUAGAUGUAAAGAGAAUAGAUUAUAGAAGGGCUGUUAAAUGUCUUCGCCUCCCCUUCCCCGCUCCCAGUAAGAUUCAAAGAAACACAGAGAUCAUAGUGGUUAUGUUUGGGAACUUAAAUUUCAUUUAUAAUUUUGGUUUUGAUCAAAUAACGUGUUUGGAUAUAUGGUAAAAAAAAUAAUUAGAUUUGGAUUUCAGUUAAAUACAAGGCAUUGAAAUACUAGUAUAAAUUUAAGGAUCUGAAAUGACAACUCAAAUCAUUUCAUUUGAAAUCCAACGUUCGGAAUAAAAUACAUGUUCCCGAUAGCAAUUAUUUAUUCACUGAUGUUGGUCUUUUCUUUUCUUUUCCUUUUUUUGCUUCAAAGGUGUUAAACGCUUGAUUGGCAGAAAAUUCAGCGACUCAAAAGUACUGGGUGAUAUAACAUUUUGGCCAUUUAAAGUAAUCUCCGGUCCCCGUGAAAAGCCUGUGAUCUUGGUCACCUAUAAAGGUCAGCAGAAGCAGUUUCAUGUAGAGGAAAUAUCCUCUAUGAUAUUAAUGAAGAUGAAAGAAAUUGCAGAGAAUUAUCUUGGAUCAGUUGUUAGGGAUGCUGUUAUUACUGUCCCCGCUUACUUCAAUGACUCUCAGCGCAAUGCAACUGUAGAUGCUGGAGUCAUUGCAGGCCUUAAUGUAAUGCGUAUUGUUGCUGAGCCGAGUGCAGCUGCAGUAGCAUACGGCCUUGAGAAGAAGAUGGCAGGUAGUAGUACAGAAGGCGGAAAAAACGUGAUAAUCUUUGAUCUUGGUGGUAGUAAUUGUAGCGUCUCACUUGUCGUAAUUGAAGAGGGUAUUUUUGAAGUAAGGGCUACAACUGGUGCUACUCACCUCGGAGGAGAGGAUUUUGUCAAUCGGAUGGUGAGUUAUUUUGUUAAGGAUUUCAUGAGGAUGUAUAGAAAGGACAUAAGUGGUAAUGCUAAAUCUGUUAGAAGAUUGAGAAAUGCUUGUGAAAGGGCAAAGAGGACACUCUCUUCUGCUGCAAUGACUACCAUUGAACUUGAGUAUCUGUAUGAUGGUGCCGAUUUCUCUUCAAAUAUUACCCGUGACAGAUUCGAAGACUUAAAUAUGGACCUAUUUAACGGUUGUUUAGAGUUGGUCGAGAAGUGUUUGACAGAAGCCAGUAUAGAUAAGAGAAACAUUGAUGAUGUGGUCCUUGUUGGUGGAUCAACUCGAAUUCCAAAAGUGCAGCAGCUAUUGAAACACUUUUUCAAUGGGAAAGAGCUCUGCUUGAGUAUGAAUCCUGAUGAGGCUGUUGCAAAUGGUGCAGCUGUGCUGGCUGCAAUCCUGAGUGGUGAAGGAAACGACACGGUUCAGGACCUAAUGCUGUUGGAUGUCACUUCUCUAUCCCUUGGGAUUGGAACUAGUGGCGAAACAAUGUCUGUCAUGAUCCCAAAGAAUACAACUAUCCCCACUAAGAGGGAGCAAAUUUUCUCAACCUCCAUAGAUAAUCAGCUUGACGUUUUGAUCGAAGUCUUUGAGGGUGAAAACAGAAAUACCAAGGAUAACAACUUGCUGGGAAAAUUUGUGCUCUCUGGCAUUCCUCCUGCCCCUAGGGGUGUUCCUCAGUUCAUCGUAUGCUUUGACAUUGAUGCAUAUGGGAUGUUAAAUGUGUCUGCCGAGGAUAAGACUACCGGGAAGAAGAUCAAGAUAAAAGUAACCAAUAACGAGGAGAGAUUGUCAAAGGAAGAGCUUGAGAAGAUGGUAAAAGAAGCUGAGAAGUUCAAAGCAGAAAAUUCAGAAAAUAAGAAGGCAGCAGAGGGGAGAAAUGCUCUGGAGGAUUACAUCUUUAAGAUGAAGAACGUCAUGAGUGACGAAAAAUUUAGCUCCAAACUUCCAUUUGCGAGCAGAAAGAAAGUAGAGAAUGCUAUGAAGUUGGCAACACAGUGGUUGGAUAGGAAUCAGACCGCAAAGGUAGAAGAGUUGGAGGGAAUAAUGAAAGGGCUGAAGGGGUUUGCAAUUGCUUGAAUGUAUACCUUGUUUGAGAUAAAGUCCCUUUGGCCGCUGGCCGGUGCAAGAGGUGAAGGCCGGAGACGGUAAAAGCGGAUUUCCCAAGUUGUUGUAAUUUCUAGAUAAAAUUGAUUUGUUUCUAAUAUGAUUUGAUUACAUUUUCUUAGUGUUAGGGAGAAGGAUGUCCGCUAGGGACUACAGGACGGAUAAAUUUGGAACUUCAGUUCAUGUUCACAAUCAUAAGUCUGAAAGGAAGCUCGGCAAGAAUCAAAGAAAAUAUGGAAGGGCGUUGUAGAUAAUAGUCGAAUUCAAAUUAACAUUGAGAUUCUCAACUAAUCGGUUAAUUUAUUGAUCAUUUGGGAUUCACAAUUAUAAGUUUGAAAGGGAGCUCACCCAGAUAAGAAUUAAAGAAAAUAUGGAAGGGAAUUGAAGACUAUAGUCAGAAUACAAACACUUAAAACAUACUUGAAACAUAACAUAAAUUGAAAAGUGAAAAAUACUACUUAAAACAUAAUAUAAAUUGUAUAGAAGAAAAAGGCAAGAUGAUAAAGUUGAAAAAUUCAUUUAAUUUUAGUUUAUGGAAUAAAAUUAGUAAACAAAAGAAGCAGCAUGCUGUUUUAAUAUUCUUAAACCUAUCACACUAAUGCUUCUGUCAAAUCGACAUAUGCACGCUGCUCACGCCAGGGAGAAGGGCGAAGGCAUACAUGAACCUCAUGUUCUUCUGGUCCAACACGAUGUUUGGGAACCUCGAUCUCAAGCAUUGUACCUGUCUCAUCCCCAUAAGCUUCAAGUUUUGCAUCUUCUGGAAUGCGUGCUGGAAGGGUAAUUUCCCUAACAAAUUCCCCUGGUGGGCAGUGUUCCGGUGUCGGAUCUGUUAACUUGAAUGUUCUAUCUUGCCUUUUAAUGAUUGGCAUACACCCAGUGCUCACACAAGAUAUCUUCACAAUUCCAUGCGAGGGAGUGUUUCGCCAAGUGACUUUCACCCGCUGCAAAUCAGCACAAGGUAAGCUGACAAUAAUCAAAAAACCCUUAUCAUCCUCAUAAAUUGUUUUCGCAGCUGUUACUGGCCCGUAUGUGCUCCUCAUUACCCCAGUAAAUUCAUUAACCCAGUGUGGCUCAAUGGAGUGUGCGUCCACAACCCCAUCUGAAUGUGAACUGUUAUUAGCCAACGUACAAUCAUAAUCAUUUUCGGGUGCAAAAUAAUUUUUCGGCCGUUUGUUACAAUUAGCCAGAAGGUCCAUCCCUUCACCAUUUACAUGGUUUGGUUGCUGAGUUGAUAAUUUCAAACCACACCCGUUAAGCAAUCGUUUUGGUUGCUGAUUAACAUUGUUCUUUAAUGGAGGCAGUCGCUCAAUCUCAAGUUCUGUGACAGGAAGUGUCCUCCAUGAGCUGAAAUCACUAGCCUCAAGAGGAAUUGAGAAAUUCAAAUCUCUUCCAGUAAGCUCCAUCCACUUCUUGCAUUCUCCCUCGUCUAGGCCAGCAAAAUUGGGUGAAGGAACAACUUCUAUUCCAUGAACACAUUGGGGAUUAGACAGACCCCUAUAGUGUUUCCUCUGCAUUCUAUGAGAUCGAACAAACCCCUUAUCAGCACUGAAUGGAAAUGGACGUUCUCCUUGGCGUGAAUGACCAUUCAUGUAACUCCUUAGCUGCAUUUUGCCUAAUGCGUUAUCAGGCCUAUCCUUGAAAACCCACAUAUACAUAUUCUCCAUAUCAUGCUGAACCAAAAAGACAUCCAGCUUCAAAUCAGUUUUAUCAUACCCGGAAACUCCAUUAGUGUCCCGCACAGCAAUCUUAGACUUAGACUUCUCAUUUAAAGCUGGCUUAAAGUAAAAAUUAAAGAAAAACCAAGCACCCCACACACUGUCAAGCCGUUUAGCACACUUCUUUCCAACUUUAGUCAAAUUAAUAUGUGUCUCCGCCUCAUAAUGCUGAGGAGCAUGGCUAACAUCUAAGAUAUCACAAGCAUCAUUCCAAGAAGGCGGCGGCGGACUCGGUUCCGCUGACAAAGGGAGAUUAAUAUCUGGAGGACUCGAGACAUUAAUUGCACGAUUCAAUUCUCUCUCAAUUUCCUCAUGAGACGACAAACUCGAAUCCAUGGACAACAAAGUACACAAAUGACUAUCCAUAGAUAAUGUAGUAAUUACAGCUCCCCCCAUCUUUUCUUUCGUUGGCAUAAUUGUCGCUACUUCGGUGGAAUCAAUAGUCCCACCACAGUCAACACUCAAAAGCAUGAGCACCUCACACACAUAUUCACCCUCUAAUUCUAACCAAUCAAGAAACUUCCAAAGACGACCCUAAUCAAUUGACAACAUACCGAAACACCAUAACCACCUCAAAGCCAUUCUAAACUAAACCCUAAGAGAGAGAAAAACCAAAAAACAAACCAACCAAUUCAGAGAAAACCCAUCAAACCCCAAAACCUAUAAAACCAAUCAAACCCCUUAAAAACCAAAAAAACACCAAGAACUGAUUAGAUUGAACUAAAAUAUAGAAUUAUUCUAAGCAAUCAAUCAAUCCACAGCAUACCCAAAAUCCCAAAAACACUUCAUAGCCAUUCUAACCCAAUCUAAGCUCAAACCCAACAGAUCAAAUCAAUAAAAACUAGCCUAAACCCAAUAAAGAUCCAAUCUUUAAGAUUCAAACAACCCAAUAAAGAUCCAAUCUUUAACACUCAAGAUAUCAAACUAACCUAUAAAACACACAGAUUUCAAAGAUUUCUUAAAUUAGCAACAGGGCGUCCAAUCUUUAUCUUUAGCAAAAGUAAGAUAAAGAGAAGAAAUCAAAGAAAGAAUAGAACGGUACCUUUGAAGACAACGCAUUGAUCCACAAAAUGAGGGAGAUUGAGAGAGAUGAUUGAAAGAGAAACAAAGAGAGAGGAGAGAAAGAGGAGAAGAUGGGGUUAACGGAGUUAGUUUAUAGAGAGAUGGAGUUGGGACCUGCACCAGUUAGAACCGGUGAGGAAGAUAACGGAGGGGCGUUAAAAUAGACGGUGGGAAUGAUGAGAUAGAGAAAUGUAAUUAUUACUAUUAUAUGCAUGUAUGUUAAUGUUGUUGAGAUAAGAGAAGUGUCAAACUAGGCGUCUGUCUGAGUGUGUGAUUGGUUGUAUAAUGUAUGCAAGACUUUUGUGUAAUGUAGGUAACCCUAAACGGGAGUUAUGUUGUGUAUACGUAUACAAGGUUAUCUCUAUUAUGUUGUGUGGCUUUCACUUUUGCCGACUGUGGUAAGGUUAGUUGUGAUGAUAAGUCAUGUAUACGAUUUAUUGCAAAUACAAGUAGUGCGAUUUCGUUUUUUUUUACAAAGAUAAGAAGAUUUCAUUAACUUGAAUAUAAUACAGCUGGAAUAAACCCUCAACUCUUGAUAGUAUAAUGGAUCAAAAUUUAUUAAUAUCGUAAAAGAAUAAUAUUAUAUAUCAAAUUAGAUAUAAAAUUUGUUAUAGAAUAAGAUGACGUGACAUUGAUAAUGUGAUAUUUCCGAAUGACUUAAUCAGAAUAUUCAAAUAUACAUGAACAUAUCAUUUAAGUUAUAAUUAAUAAAAAUAUAAUAUGUGUCAUUUUGUACAUGUUUUUUUAAUUUAAUUUAAUAUUUUUAACAUUUUCUAUUAUAAAAUAUUGAAAUUUGAUAUUAUGUGUCACUAAGCGAUAUUUUGUGUGUAUUCAAUAUACAUGUCAUCUUAACUAAAUGACGUUGAUGAUGAUAAUUAACUGAACUAAAAUAAAAAAAAAUUGAUUAACUAAUUAUCCAAUAAAAUAAUAUUGUGACGAGCAAUUUGAAGUGACUGUAUAUGAUAUAUAAAAUGAUAUAUGUUAACUGCUUCAGCAAUAUCGAGGUUGCGUGAGACAUAAUCAGCCUCUUAUUAAUAGAUAUGAGAAGUGUGGAAAAUAUAAAUGAAUGAUGUUAGAUAAGGGAGAAGGAUAUUAGUAAAGUCUAUAUCUAUAACUUAUAUGACGGUAAUUUUGAUAAUAUUCAUGAUUGGAAUCAAGAGUCUCGAUGAUUUUUUUUGCCGAAAUGUGCUAGUUGUGUGUUAUUUUAGACGGAGAUUAGACUUUUGAGUUGUCUCCUUGUGAUCUUAUGAUCUCUACUCAUGAUUUCCUCAUUUGCUUAUAUACGCAUAUAGGGACGGAUCUAGGGAUUUUAGUCAAGUGGGGGGGGGGGGGGGGNNNNNNNNNNNNNNNNNNNNNNNNNNNNNNNNNNNNNNNNNNNNNNNNNNNNNNNNNNNNNNNNNGGGGGGGGGGGGGGGGAAUCACUUUUUAGAGACAAAACGAGACAAAUUUUCAUUUAACCAAAAUGGUUUGAGUUGAUUGAUGAGUUAAAAUAUAAAUUUAUGAUAAGAAAUAUACAAAAUAUGAACAGAAAUACUGAUAUUAGCCCAGCCUUAUGGGACUGCUGAGAGCAUGAGACAAGUAAAUAUUAGAACAGAAGGGGUUGAGACACGAGAGAUAUUAGCCCAGCCUUAUGGAGCUGUUGAGAGCCUGAGACAAGCAAAUAAGAUAUUAGCCCAGCCGAAAUUCAGAUCGAACCGAAAUUCUAAUAUUUUCCGGACCGUACCGGACCGAAAUUCUAUUAUGAACCGAAACGAAAUAAUUCGGUACGGUCCGGCCAAAAGAACUGAAAACUAAAAUAAAAAUUACAUUAUAAAUAAAUUUAAAUUUUAUGAAUUAUUUUAAAAAAUAAUAUUUAUUUAUCACCAACACUUCAUAAAAAAUAGAUUUAAUUAAAUUUACAAAUUACAUAUUAUUAUUAUAGUAUAUAAGAUAUAUAUAAAAUAUAAAUAUAUAUUAUAUAUUGUUUGGACUAUUCUAUCUAUUCAGUCUGGACCAAAAUAUUUAUUUAAGGACCGGAUCGAACCGAAUUUUUAUUUUGGUCAAUUCGACCCGAACCGAAUAGACCGAAUUUUCAGAAAAUCAAAACACUUCAGUUCGGUUUUCCGCUUCCACUUUAAUUUUGCUCACCCCUAUUAACAAUUACUCUAUUUUUUAGUUCGAUGUUGGAUCUCUAUUCGCUCUCAUCUCAUUAAUAAUGAUGAAUUGAUGAUCUUUCUGCAUGCAAAAGCUCCACACUAGAAAGACCUUUGUUAUUUUGAGCAUGAAUAUUUCAACUUUUUAUUUAAUUCGAUUCGAUACGAUACGAAACUUUUUAUGGCCCGGUUGACAUCAUCAUCACAUACUUAUAUAAUUAGUUAGAGAUGCAACAGUGAGUUUAUAUAUCUAUAUCAAUAAUUGGCUAAUUCUGCUGUCAAAUUAUAGUUUUAGUCAUCCAUAAUCUUCUGACGCGGUGUUUAGAUUUCUAAUCACCUCUUUGUAAGGCCAGUUAUCCGACACACCCACACUCCAUGUUUGUUUUUUCGUAUAUUUUAGUUGGGUGACCUAUUAUGGCACCUAACUUAUCUUUAACAUAUUGUUUAUGUAAUUAUAUAUUUUGUUGUCUACAUGAAAAUGCGGAUAUUCCUUUAAUAUAUUUAUGAAUAUCCGAUUUGGGUCUUAAGAUAAUUAUUUAAAAAAAUAAUCUUUAUUGUUUUGUAAGAUUUAGUCAAUAUGAUUGCAUUUAUCAACAAACUAUACAUAGCUUAGCAGCAUACUAUAUGCUAUCCUUCUUCUCAGUUUUCGGAUUUUUCAUGGUUGUUACUCUCAUCUCAAAUAUUAAUGAUCAUACUGAUUAAACUUUAUUUGAAAAAAUAUUAUGAUAUAUAUAAUAUAAAGAAAUUAAAAAGUAUAACUAAAUAUCUUGAUAUUAAUUUUUUCAGAUUAUAUACUUCUCGUCCUUCUGAUUACUUUACGGUUCUUUUACAUUUCUUUACAUUUAUUUUAAAGUGCAUAUAGUUUCAUAAUUUUUUAAAAUUUUAUAUAAAUAUUUAAACAUUAAUUUUUUAUUCAGAUAACAAAAAAAUUAAAAUAAUUUAUAAAACUAUAUCUUUUAUAAAAAUAUUAAAAUACCUGUCAAGCUCCCAUUACACAUAUUAUGAUAAAAAGUAUAUGGUCAAAGAGAGUAGUAUAUAGAAUCCGUAAAAAAAAAAAAAAAAUAAACACAAUAAUCAUAUUGAUUUUUCUCUUUUUAAGAGUAAGUUUUGAGAGAGAAAAUGAAAUUUUAAAAUAUUUUAAAAUCAUCAUAUAAGAAAUAUUAAAAGCAACAUAUAAAUCAGAACUAUAUAAUUUUGAUUAAAAAGAGUAUUUUACUAGUUAUCUACGAAAAUAUAGAUUGCGGUUAACCUAUUUGAAUGCGUCAUCUAACAAGUGUUUAGUUACUUAAACACUCAACAUGCUAAAAGUGGACAUAUCAUCAAAUAGUAUAAGGGUAGACUUUUCCCUUAUAUAUUUUUGUAUUAUACACACAAUGUAUAAAUUUACGUAUAGGCUAGUGGUUUCCAGAGUAGUUUUUUUUUUUUUGAUAAGCAGCAUUAAUAUUAAUAUCUCGGAAAGUCUUACAGCAAGUGUACUAAGCCACCAAAAGGAUGCACACAUGCAUCUGCCACCUAACCUUGCAGCAAAACAACUAAAGAACCUAGAGAACCUACAUAGCCAACAUGACUUCCAUAAUCUUAGCAAGAGGGUCCGAGACCUAACAUAGAACUGAACAGUUAAUAAACCGAAAAGCUAAUAAAAGCGACAAAAGAUAUGAAAGGCUAGAAGUGGUCAGAUGCUCGCGCUCCUACGCAGCUUUCUAACCCUUAACCCAGCAAGUGUAGCAUGAGAGACAUCGCGCUUUCGUUUGAGUGUUGGGGCAGGGGGAGGACCAUCCUCAACUUCUCCCAGGCCAAAGUUAGGAGCCACUUCAUCGAUCGGAGCCUGCAGCACCAUCCCCAUAUCGCGAUCCACAUGAUAUUUCAGGUCACCAAACCAGCCCGGGGUUUCAGCGAAAACAGAGAGAUGCUGUAACCCAUAGUCUGCUAGAUACCGAGCAGUUGAGUUCAUUUCAGUGGGAAUCCAUAUGAUCUUCCUAUUUGUGGUGUUCACCUUGAAGUGGUUGGCAUGCACUGUGUUGAAUAGCCUGAAAGGUUCCAGUUGGUCAUCACGCAAGAAAACAUGCUCUUGAGUUGAGAUAGUUUCAAAAGUGUUAUGGUUGGACGUUUCUAUAAGCGUCUUUUCCCAUUUUUUGUGCACAGAUUCCACACACGCCGCUUGAAUGCCAGCCAUGAUCGCCUGCUCUUCAUUCAGCCCAUUCAUUGGACCUGAGGCAGUCCACACAUUUGCACCAGCAUCAUCACGGGCAAUCACACCCACCCCUAUUGAGUUUCCAUUAGCGAGAGGCUCAGGAAGAACUUCACAAUGGACAUUAAUUUUAAUGUAACCCUCGUCAGGAAGCUCCCAAGUGACAUCCAUUAAAAACAAAGUGAAAGGAGAGUGAAAAUAGAGAAGGAAAGAGGUGAGUGAGAGAAGAUUAGAAGGAGAGAUGAAUAUAUAGUCAACUUGGGGCAGAGAAAAGGAAAGCAAAUAUACAGGUAAUUGCUACAACCCCUGGACACGGAGAAGAGACCGAUGGACAAUGCACUGGCUCGACUGCAGAAGUUAACGUUGGAAAAGCCAGCAAAUCUGAGAUUAGCCGCCAAUUUUAGAGGAAAUCUUUCAUUGGUUCCCUAAAAUCAGAGACCCCCUCUAAAAAAGCUGGCAUGAACAGUAACAUUGAAAAUGUCAAUACUAAUAGAGCUGUUCCAUGCAUUUGAAAUAGGUUAACUAGCAGAACAACAAAGAAAUGCCCGGGAAAGUGAGAUGGCAAAAUCCAGGGGUCAAGUGUCAAUGUGACUUGAGGCCCAAUAGCAAUGAAAGUUAGGCCUGUUAAGCCCAUCUUUGGCCAACUGGUCUGCAGAAUGAUUAAAAGUACUGGGGACAAAUUGGAUGCUAACUAGUCCUGCCAGCAGUUGGAGAAUGUCAAAGUCCGGUUGUAGUAGUGGGAAUGAAUCGGAUAAUCCUCUGUAUAUAGCAUUUAUAGCUCCAGUAGAGUCAGAGCAUACAACCACCCUUUUGUUAACUAAUUUACUGGAUUGAAUGUAGUUAAGGACAUGUAGAAUGGCCAUAACUUCUGCCUCCAGCACAGAGAAGGCUGGAACCUGGCCAGAGAAGCAGUAAAGAGUUUGUUUGCUGCUAUUUUUGAUACAACCUCCCACCGCACAACAUAACUUUCCCCAAGCAUUAACAUUUUUUGCACCAUCAACCAUGCAGAUGUAAUCAUAAUUUUGGUAUUUAAAAUCCCAGAACGACAUUGAAAUGGUGUGGUGAUGUAUAUUAAUUGCACCAAUUGGGUUCACCUUCCACAGAGGAUCAUCCCCAAAAUUCAUUAGAUUCGAAGCAAGUCCCCAUUUAGAUGAACGAAUGAAAAUAAUCUCUUUCAUGGCUGCUCUCGAAGUUCUCUUAGAUUGGAAAAUAAGCUCAUUUCGCGUCAGCCAAAUUGUCCACAAAGUAGCUGCAAUCACCAUUCGCCAAAUUGGAGAGACAUGUUUCUUGUGAAUUAGGCUAAAUAAUGAGUGUAGAGAAAAUUUGGGCACUCUGGCUAGUUGUGGCUUGAGGCUCCACCACUGUCCAACAUAAUCCCAAGCCCAUAUGGCUGGAGUGCAUUCCCAAAACACAUGGUUUACAGAUUCUACUUCAGAGUCACACCAAGGACAAAGUGCAGACAAAUUCUUUAGCCGGACACUGAGAAAAGACUUGGUUGGGAGAAUGGCCCAAGCAAGUUUCCAUAGGAAAGCGGUAAUUCUUGGGGGUACUUUUAUAGCCCAAAUGCAGUUCCAAUGCUUGGAUGAAGUGGAGGACGAGUGAUUAAUCCCCAGUUGAAAGAAACCCUCUCUAGAGGAAUAUGAGCCCUGGUUGGGUAUCCACUUGAGAACAUCCUCCAUGUCAUCUAACAAGAUUGCCUGCAGGUGAAAAGUGAUAUAAGAAAUAGAUUCCAGAUCACUGCUAGAGAGCUGUUCUGCCCAAAGUUUCACCCCGGUUUCUCCUUGUAGCCAGAUACCAACUACUGAGCGAACAAUUGUUAAACGCAUUGCUGAUUUUUUAUAUAGGCAGGGAAAAAGGACUGAGAGUGGUUCAUCUCGAAGCCAGCUGUCUUCCCAGAAAAGUACUCUCCUGCCGGAUCUAACUCUCCAUUUAAAAUUCCUCCUUUGUACUAGUGGUCCAACUCUCGAAGUGUUAAAAACCGAGAGCAUACUUUUUAUGACUGGAGAGGUCUUAGACAUUUCAACCUUGGAGAGGUCAUAGUUCCACUCCUUACCAUAACGCUGGACGAAGAAGUUGUUCCAAAAACAACCACGUUCCUUGUAGGCUCGCCAAACCCAUUUCGCCAACAGGAGAUUGUUUUUUAAAGAUAUAGGAACUAAACCUUGGCCUCCAGCACUCUUUAAUUGACAAAUACUCUCCCAAUUUAAUAGGUGCAUCUUUUUUUCUGAGUCCUUAAAUUGACCCCAGAAGAAAUUUCGACGCAUUUGUUCGAUAAUGUUGACAAUUUGAGAAGGCAUUUUAUACAAGCUGAACCAGAAAAGGGGCACGCUAUCAAUUACUGCUUUGAGAAGCACCACUCUCCCGGCAAUGGAAACUUUCGAAGCAUCAAAGGACUGCAACUUCCUUCGAAGUUUGUCAAUCAGAGGGGUCCAGAAGGAGAUAGAAUGUGGAGACGAACCAAUCAUUGCUCCAAGAUAUUUGAAAGGUAGGGACCCAACUUGACACCCCAGAACUCCAGCCGAAUUUGUUAAACGUGAAGUCGUUGUAUGAAAACCGAAGAGCUGACUUUUUGAGAAGUUUAUUUUUAACCCCGACAAUAGUUGAAAACAUUGUAGUAUCCUCUUGAUCCCAUACACUGAGCCUUCAUCUCCUUCAAGAAACAGAAUGACAUCAUCCGCAAAUUGCAGAUGAGUUAAAGAUUCAGAACAGCCCAGAAGAGAUAUUCCUUUGAAAAUUUUUUGAGCCUCGCCUCUGCAAAUCAAUUGAGAUAGUACUUCCCCCACCAGAUUGAAGAUUAGAGGGGAUAAGGGAUCCCCUUGGCGGAGGCCGCAUUUAGGACUAAACUCAGCUGUAGGUGAUCCAUUUACGAGGAUCGAAAUUUGAGAGGAAUCAAAAAUUUGUUGAAUCCAGUUGAUCCAUAGAGAGCUAAAAUUCAUCUUGGCUAAAACCUCAUAAACAAAAUCCCAAUUAACACGAUCAAACGCUUUCUCGAAAUCAAUUUUGAAAAUCAUUCCGGAUGCAAUCUUCUUUUGUAGCAUGAAUACAAUUUCAUUGGUGAGAAGUAUACUAUCCGAAAUUUGUCGUCCCCGAAUGAAACCUGAUUGUUGCGGGCCAACCAGAAGGUUCAUAAAUUUACUAAGCCUGAUCGACAAGACCUUCGUAAGGAGUUUCACUAAAGCAUUCAUGAGACUGAUUGGUCGAUAUUCCGAACAUUUCAUCGGCUGUAGUACUUUAGGAAUUAGAGCUAUGAAAGAGGAGUUGCAUCCUUGAGGAAGUGAACCAGUAGAAUGAAAAUUUUGAAAAAACAGCAGGACCUCAUGCUUUAUCUCAGGCCAUAGAAGAGAUAGAACGCCAGCAUUUAUUCCAUCAGGCCCCGGAGCCUUGGUCUUUUCCGUAGAAGACAGAGCAAAUUCUAUUUCGGUUAAUGUGAAUUUGGCAUCUAGAAAGCUACACUGGCUCGGGGACAGAGUAGACAAAGAGCACGAGCCCAGAUUGAAGACCAUCCUUGGAGGCUCCUUUGCUAACAAAUUGGAGAAGUGAGAGUAGAAAGCUUGCUUGAUUUCAACCGCCCUGGUAAGAGUUACUUGCUCAUACUCGAUUUUUCGAAUAGUGUUGUGAGCCCUGCGUUUAGCUAUAGCCCGAUGGAAGAAACGAGUAUUCUUUUCCCCAUAAAGCUGCCAGCUCGUUUUGGACCGUUGACAUAACAUACGAGACCUUAUCCUGUAUAACUUAUCAAGAUCGAACUGGCAUUUGGUUGAUGAUUUCGGGUUUGAAAGUCCAUUGUCUUCCCUAUCCCGAGCUGUCUCUGCUUCCUUUAUUUUGAUAUCUAUAUUACCCAUCUUGGUAGAAUUCCACCUCUUAACAGCCUCUCUUAACGACCUGAAUUUAUGAUGAAUAUUGGAGGACUGCGAGUUCUUCCAUGAAUUUCGUAAAGUAUGAGCGAGUGUGUCAUCUUCCAGCCAGCAAUUAAAGAACUUGAAAGGGCGCGGACCCCAAUCCUGAGUAGAAGUUUUGAGUAAAAGCGGCUUGUGAUCAGAUAAUUUCCGACAAAGAGCCUGAAUGCCCCAGUCUCCAGACAUAAACCACGCAGGAGAUACUAAUGCCCUGUCAAGACGACCUUUCUUAGGAGAGGGACCAAACCAAGUGAACGUGGAAUUGAGUAUUGGGAUAUCAGCUAACCCACAGGAAUUUAGGAAAGAGUUAAAAGCAUCCGAGAGCGCAUGUGAAUGAUUACAACCAAACCUUUCAUCUGCAGAACGAACCACAUUGAAGUCUCCAAGUAAACAGACGUAGGAUUCAUCUAGUAGUCCUAAUGCAGUACUAAGAUCAGCCCAAAGUUGCAGUUUAUCUCGAGCACCUUGAGGUGCGUAGAUAUUAAAACACGCAAAGCGGGUGGAAUUAGAAAUCAUGGUGCCUCUAAUUAAUAACCAAUGACGGGAAACUUCAGACGAGCUAAUGUUUACCUCUGCUGUGUUCCACACUGUAAGAAGGCCCCCCGAAAGGCCUCGAGCCGGAAAUUCAGCCCAUCCUGGAUCGUGGCCCAUACCUAAUCUUUUCACUGUAUUUGAGUCCCACAGAGUACAUUUUGUUUCCUGCAGACAACAAAUGACUGCCUUUGAAGAUUCGUUUAGUAAUCUGACAAAUUGACGACUAUCAGAGCUGCAAGCACCCCUGACAUUCCAGCUUAAGAAAGAGUGUGUAUUCAUAAAAACUUAAACAAUGAAGUAGAGAGAAACGAGAGAGAUUAAGCAGCCAGAUUCUGCCGGAUGAGUUCCAGUGAUUCUUGCCUCGAAUUAUUAGGGAGUAAUCCCAUCAGUAGUCCAGUUUCCAAAAUGGAUUCUGCCUCAUCAGUUGAGUUGUUAAGAAAGAAAUGUGAAAUCUGUUGAAGACCUUCCCCUUUUUUCCUUCUACGUUUCGGAAGUUUGAAAGAUUUGUUAAUCUUGUUUGAGUUGAGUUUACGAGGGCGUCCUCUCCUCCCUUUCACUUUCAGUUUAUCCAGAUCUUGCAAGAUGUCCAUACUCCUAUCCUGAAUUGAGAUAAAUUCAUCCAAGGAUUCCUCAUCCACAACUGAUCCAUUGGAAUCCGAAGCAUUUAAUGGGUCUGAGGGUGAGGUAUCUCUAUCACGGGGAAGCCAAUUUGUUGUGACCAAUGUGAUAGGAGACUCUUCUGAAAAGGGUGUUAGGGGGUUUAUGUCAGAGUUGGAAACUUCCCCUGCUAAGUUUUCUUCUUCAGGAAUAGUGAUAUCGCCACACCCCUCAUCCGUCAAGGUGUGGGUCUCAAUCUCUGAAUCAAUUAGAACUACAUUCCCAGUUCUAUUUUCCUCCAAGAUUACCUCUUCAUCUAAGAUCUCUUCCUCAUCUUCAGCAAGUAUUUCCUGAACUUCCUCUUCAUCAUCAACUAGUUCAUGAUCAUUGAAGUGAUUAUGCUCGGGAAGGGCAGUUGAUCCUGCUGGGUUACUUGAGAUUGACAUACAUUCCCCCUCAGAUUUCUUAGUGGAUUCGCAAGACCUCCUUGACUGAAUGAAGUCAUUAGCAGGAGAAUCCCGGGAAUAACUAAAAAAAUCAUUUGGAAUAGCAUCAUUUAGUUGAGACAAGGCCCCGGUUGUUUCCAGAAAACGUACCUUCCAGAUUUUUCCCAUGAGAUUAAUGUAUUUGAUUUCAUCGAUCUCAGAAACGCUCUGUGUUUCUAACAGGAAUUUUGGGGUUUGGUAGAAAUCCUCCUCAUCACGAGUUUUACCGAACUGAAGAAUGGUUCCAAAGCUACUAAGAAUAUUCUUGAAAUUAUCUUCCUUCCAACCAACAAUAGGCAAACCUCUAACUUCGACCCAUGUUUUCCGUGAUGGGAGGAGAUCAUCCAAAUGCAGGUCACGAACCUCAGCAAACCCAAUCUUUAGGAACUCUCGAUCAGUAUCUUGCAGAUCCAUGUAGUGCGGGAAAUAAGCAAUGAACCUAUCCCCAGAUAAACCUCUGAUUAGAGCAUUGACCGCACCUAGUCCCUCCGCAAUCAUACCCACAGUGUCUGUUGUUUCAUGUUUGACUGUCCUCAGGAAUAAGCUAUUUUCCAUGAUAUGAAUAAAAUCUUCGUCCGGCAAGAGCUCUACUGAGGCAGGGGGGGAAGGGAGAUCCCGAGGCAAUGAGUGACUUACAGAUUUAGGGGACUCAGGUGGGGUAAUAUGUACCUUUGGAGCCCGCGUAGAACUAGCAGAUUUAGGGGGCUGAGAGGGAGGCUUUUGAGCACCCUUAGCUUUAGCCAGAUAUAAUUUCCUUGAGCCAAUAAGUUUGCCAUUAAGAGCGGAAAUGAUGUUGUCAGCCUGUUUCUCAUCGGACACCAACAAGAACCCAAAUCUAUUGCCAAAUUUGUCUCUUUUCCGAGGCAGAAUAAUAUCCCUAAUUUUCCCUUCCUUUUUAAAGAGAGACCAUAGAUCUUUCAUAUGGAGGCUAUCAUCCAAUUCUGUAAAGAAAAUGGAUGAUUUAGGCGCCAUAUCACCCUUCUUUCGGGAAGAUUGGGAUUUUGGGGGAGGGGAUCGUUUAACAGUAGGGGACGGCCUUGCUGAAUUCUUAAGCAGAGCCUCUCUGAAAGUUUGUGAGGGAGACUGAGGAAGGGGUUUCGUUGAAGCGUGAUCACCCGUCAGCGAGUGAUGGUGGAUCUGUCCUAGAGCUAGGGAGAGGGCCUUGUCAUUACCACCUAAUGCGUCUUUAAGUACACCAGGCUCCACCAUAGAAGCAUGAACUUUGAGAAAAUCAUAAGUGAUGAUCUUUUGUUCUUCCACCAUGUAAUCCUUUUUAUUGGGCGAAAUAAACUUUGGUUUCUUUUGUAUUGGCCUAGCGCUGAGAGAGCCAAAAUGAAUCUGAUGGAGGGCCAUACGGACUCCUUCUUGGUCUCCAUUGCUAGCUUUAGCGAUUGUAUUUGGAUGUACCAAAUCCGCAUUCGCCCUUAUAAAGUUUAAAAGAGUAGUGUCAUUAUUAGCUUCAGAAUACUGACCUUGAGAUAGUUGCCGGAAACCAUUGAUGUAGAGGGCUGAGUCUUGAGAAUGUGGCUGAGAUUGCUGAAGGUUGACCGGGCGGACCCUAGAUCCCUGUUUCCCCCUUUUCGCCAUAACUCCUGCUUGUGCUUGAAGCUCUGAAACAUUUGCUCCUUUGUUAUCUGCUCUCUCGCCUUUCGUCAUUGAAAUCCCCUUUUGCUCCUGCCUUGCUAAUUCUAUAGAUCCAUAAUGAAUUUGAUUUAGAGCCAUUCGCACUGCCUCUCUCUGCCCUUGUAAUGCCUCUAUCCUUGUAUUUGGGUGAAUUAGAUGCUCAUAAGCUGAUAAGAAAAGGAGGAGAGGAUCCAUAGUAGCAGAAUCUCCUUCCUUGUCAUUCCUUUCAAUUUCUAGGUUUGAAGCCUUCUCCCACCACCCAUUAUUGUAGAGGAAUUCAUGUAUACUCCACAACGCCUCCUCAUCUCCCUUGACUCCUUCUUCUAACAACUCUCUUGAAACCACUCCCAAGAGAAAGUCCACCUUUGCCUCUGCCAUGGGUAGCAGAGCAUGAUUCCCUUUGUUAACUGCUGCCACUAAUUCAUGAUCAAGCAAGAACCAGAAUUUAUUGAUUGUUUCCAGCUGCUGUUGCUUUUUAAUUUCCUGUUCCGAGUUAUUUCCAAGCUGUGCUUCCUUAAAACCAGAUGAAAAGCUUCCAUUCCCUAGGUUGGUUGCUCCCUUACUCUGAAUCUCACUUCCUUUACUACUCUUCUCGCCGGAGGUGCCCUUGGAGUUGUUAUUACCUAGCGGUCCGUUGUUGGGUUUUGUGACCGUUGAAGCCAUAUUUAUAUCCAUGUGCAACUUUCCUUUUUCGGUUUCCAGAGUAGUUGAGGGAGUAGAGGAUGGCGAGUUGAUAUGAUAAUUGGAGCUUUUGAUGAAGAAAGUGGGCAUGUAACGAUAUUUGCGAGUAGAUUCUCCAGAUAUUUCGUAACAUGGGUUGGUUAUUUAUUUUCAUUAUUUUAUUUUAUUUGUUGUGGAAAUGAGAGAGCACGUGGCUUCUUAGUGGUGGUAGCCUGCCUUAUCAACAUUGUAACCUCAGUUAUCACCUUUCUCAACUUGGUAUUAUUUUAUUGUCGAGAGAAAAUGAAGGCCUUUUUCUUUGGUUAGCCAAACUUUAGUUUUAUGCAUGUGACUAUGUGAGUUAAUAUACUUGUACUUUCUCACUUUUUAGUAGAGCGAGACUUGUUGUUUACAACUUUAUUAUGAAUAUAAAUGAAUUUAGAAUGUGGAAAACAAGUGUAGAAAUAUGGGAAAGCUUGCCCAAGUUGGCAAGUAAUGCAAUCAACUACCCACUUGAAGUUGAAUAACCUAUAUUAAUGAUUUGAAUUAGAUCUUCGAUAUUUUGAAAAUAUAUGUUUCUCAAAUAUGUAUAUUAAAAUAUAAUAUGCUGUGAACUCGAUUUUAAUUUUAAUUUUUAAAAACACAAGUAAGGAAUCAUAGUUUCAUUCUCACAUCCCUAUGUACUCCCUCAGUGCCGUUGAGUUGUUAAUGUUCACCGUUUACACGUAUUUUGAGAUUCUUAUAAAGUAUAGUUCUACAAAAAAAUUUUAAUUUAUUUUUUUUGAAUAAAAAUUUAAAUAUUCAGAUUUUUUUUUGGGAAAAAAAACAUCAUGAAACUAUAUUUUAAAGAGAUCUUAAAAAACAUGCCAAAAAGUAGGGCUGGCAAUUUCGGGUUUCGGGUCGGGUUCGGGUCGGGUUGACAGUCGCGGGUCAAAAAAUUUACCCAACCCGAACCCGACCCGAAAAUUUAAUGGGUCAGAAUACUCAACCCGAACCCGACCCGCAUUACCCGCGGGUAACCCGAACCCGACCCGAAAAUUAAUAUUUAUUAAUAAAAAUAUUUUUUAAAUAAUAAAUAAAUAUUAUUUUAAUCCAAAUAAAUUAAUUUUUAUUAAAUUAAAUAAUUUUAUAUUAAAUUUAACUAAUAAAUUUUAUAAAAAUAAUAUAAAUAAUAUAAAUAUAUAUAAUAUUUAUAUUAUAUAUUAAUUUUCGGGUAAUUUCGGGUCAAUUUCGGGUAACCCGAAUUCAACCCGAAAAUGACCCGAUUUUUCUGGGUUGAUUUUGGGUCAACCCGAAUUAGACCCGAACCCGAAAACCCCCAACCCGAAUUCGUAUUUUGCGGGUCGAAUUCGUGUCGGGUUGUCGGGUCGGGUCCAAUAUUGCCACCCCUACCAAAAAGUGAUGUUAACAAUCCAACGAGACGGAGGGAGCUACGAGUUUUGAAAGAAGUCCCGAAGCUCCCUAAAAUUAUGACUCAAUGUGAUUUAUCAACGAGUAGUGCUACAUGCACAAAAUUAGGUACAUAAUUUUAUACAAAAUGAUAUGACAAUCUAGGUGAGAAAUUUUAAUGGGUGCUAUUAAUACAUAUGUAGGGGCAUUCCAAUCACAAGUUAACACAUACUCAUUCUGUGAAUGUUUUUGUCCCUAAUUCUGAGUAUGUAGCAUUUUCCUUUAACAAUUAUCGUGAUUUAAUGUGAUAAGUGGGAAAUUUAAAAUAUCUAUUUGGAUAAUUUUUGAUUUAUUAAUGACAUUAUGAGUUAUUAAAAAUAUAAUACUAGAAAUAAAGAUGAUUUAUGGGUAACUUAUGUUUUAUGAGUAAUUUUUAUCUAAAAAAUUGUUUUUAAAAAAUAAAUCAAAUAUCUCAAACUAACUUCUGUCUUUAAAUCAGUUUCUGAUUUGUUUUUAAUUUUAAGCAGACUUCUAACUUAUUACCCAAAUAAAUAUUUUGUACGCGCCAAUAAGAUCAACAAAGGCAUUCGUGACACUGGUGGGACACGGAAGUCAUGGGAAGUCAUUGGUCUGAGGCUUCGGGUGAAACCAAUAAUUAGCUCAAAAUGGAAAAUGACUUAAAUCCUGAAUUUUAAGUCGAGAUAAAUAGCAUUUUAAUAUCUUUUUUCCGGUCUAAUUUUUUAUGAACAAAAAUACAUUACACCGUGAUCAAAUAGUUUUUUUGUAUGAACGAAAAUGCAUUAUAAUGUGAUCAACUCAUAAUUGGAUGAACAAAAGCACAGUACAAUGUGAUCACCUGACGUUGGAUGAACGAAAACACGUUAGAAUGUGCUUAGUUUUGAUUAUUGUUUAUACAUCGUAUUCCAUUUCCCUAAAGAAUUGAUUAACCUUGAAAAGGGCCGGCAGCUUUUUUGAAUUGUGUUUUGGUUGAUAGUUUAAUAAUCCAGGAGGUUGCCCACUAACUUAGAACUCCAAGUCUCCCACCAGUUCGUUAUAAGUUUCAAAUGUGUUAAAUUUCCGUAGCCCAUUUCAAACACGGCCCAAAAACUAUUGCAACAAGAUCUUUCAAAAAUAAAUAAUUGACCUUGUCUGAAUGUCUGAUAUCAGAAGUCCAGAUUCCAAUUGCCAAAUGGGGUCCCAGAAAACGCCAAUUUUUCUUAAACAACAAACAUGUCCAAACUAUGAGAGCAAAUCCAAGAUGAGACAAACGUUACAUUUAAAAUAUCUGUCAAACAUUAUUUAAGGGUCUUUUGAUGUCAAUGAACAACUAUUUUUUUGGUAGUAGAGAUUUUUGAGCAUGCAAAAAACAUCAUUAUUAAUGAGAUUGAAAUCGACACAAAUAUGUCAACUAACUAAAAAUUGGUUGUCAGGGUGUGUCCUAGAAAACCGAACAUUUAAUAAUGUUCCAUAUUUUCCCCUAGCUGCAGGCCAACACACUCAGUUUCCAACUCCUCUGCAUCAUGGCACAAGACAAUGAAGGCAGCUCUAGUUCCAUCGUGCCCAAACUAGUCAUCCUCUUAGUCGCCAUAGCUUGUGCUGGCUUCAUAAUUGCGUUGUACCAUUGCAUCCGUGUCGGUUGGUGCACACAAUACCAGCAACGUCCCCCUCUGCAACCGCGAAAUAGGCCUUUUCCUUUCAGACGCGAGGAGCAGCAGAGCAGCGUUGAAAAUUCUAUUGCAGAGCUCAUUCCUGUACGUAAAUUUAGCAAGACUAAUUUGGACUUGGAGGGCGGGGAUAACCAUACGUGCUCCAUUUGCUUGUGUGAAUUCGAAGAAGGGGAGGAGCUACGUACAUUGCCCGAAUGUGUUCACUCUUUUCAUGUAAGUUGCAUUGAUAUGUGGUUUUAUUCGCAUACUAGUUGUCCGUUGUGCAGAACUGAUGCUACGCCAUCUCCACGGGGACUCAUACAUUAUUUGGAGUUGAAUUCGGAAAGGCCAGCUCCAAGGCAAGGUUUAGAAUCCAGUGAAGUUUGAGUUUGUUUUAUUGCCUAUAUUCUGAACUUGUGUCAGCCUUCUUGAACUAAAUUUUAUUUUAUCAAUGAGAUCGUCUCCUCAAUUGGGACUUUGGGGAAGUGAAAUCGUAGUGUUUUUUUUUUCGAACUUGAAAGUAGAAAUGUAAAAGUAGGGGAAGGUUCAAAUGGAAAAUUUGGUCUCUGGAAACUUGUAUAUUCUGUAUAAAAAGUGGCAUCUGCUUAAAAUUUUGUAGCUAAACUUUAUUUCGAAGAAAUUAUAUUUUUUUCUCAUAAUAGUGCUUUUAACUAUUGAACCCAUGUUUUUUUCAUAUUACAAAAUUAUAAUGUUUAAAGUGUUUUUCGAGUUCUCCAUAGAAUCCACAGUUAGUUUAACAGAUCACUGGCAAAUUACUAACUGCAAGAUUUAUGUUCACGAGACAGUAACUAAUAAGCGACAAACUAACUAACUAAAACACUGAACUGAGUAAUGUGUGAAGUACAUAUCACAGAACAACGGGAAAAGAAUUAAGAGUAUAAGUCUAUAAUGGGGAGGGUGAUCCUUGAAACAACAAUUCUGAAAACAAAGAGAUUUUCCUCCCUUAUGAAAUCUGAACUGAAAAUAUGACAAUUAAGACCAUUCUUACUUGAAACAAAAAUUCUGAAAACGAAGAGAUUUUCUUCCCCUUUUUUUCCCACUUAAAAUAUGAGAAUUAAGACCGUUCUAAUGAUCACAGGAGACCAAACUGUAAACACUGCAAAUUCACAGGAGUCCCCUUCCUCGCAAACCCCCUUAUUUCAUCCAUGCACAUGAAUACGGAGUAUACUGAACCAAGACCAGACGUCAUAGUAUUGCAGCAGUACUGUUUUCUAUUCCCAGUACUUGAUGAAUGAUGAUAAAAUUUUAUUGCCAGUUCUGCAUGUGGAUGAACUGGGAACUAGUAACUGUACAUUUUGUAUUCCAGAUAAACCUUUCGUUCUGAUUGCUGUCAUAAACAAGUUAUCCCAGAUCUCUAGUAAGAGAUUUCUUGUAAUGAUAACAUCAUAUUAUAAGUCCAUCUCUUGCAGGAUACCUCUUAAUCUAGAGGAAGAAAGCUUGUCACAUCAUAUGGAAAGCUAAUAUGUAAAAUAAAGAAUAUUUCGACACAUCUGUUAAUUACUUCAUAAAAUUCAAAUUCCCGCUCUGGAAUUGAAAAUUGACUUCCUGUACAGACUAAAUUCCAAGCGGAAUCGCCAAAAUUGUUGUCGUCAUUUUGUGAAAGAGCAGACAUAUUAAAACUAUGAAAGCAUACAGAGGCUUUACAUAGUAAGACAAACACUACAUAAUAAUUAUCAACCCAACAAUGACUAUUUGAUAUGCACUCAUUUCCAACCAUUCCUCUACCAUGGCACAAGACAACUCUAAUUCCCUCAUACCAAAAUUAGUCAUCGUCUUGGUCGCUGCAGCCUGCAUGGCCCUCGUUAUUGCAUUGUACCAUUGCAUCCGUGUUGGCUGGACCACGCGAUACCACCACAAUGAAACACCGCAGCAACAUCAUCUUGGGCAAGAGGAGCAACAGAGCUUUGAGAAUUCAAUUGCAGAGCUCAUCCCCAUACACAAGUUUAAGAAGUCCUGUUUGGAUUUGGAAGGCCGAAAUGAUCAUACAUGCUCAAUUUGCUUGAGUGAAUUCGAGGAAGGGGAGGAGUUACGUACCUUGCCUGAAUGUUCACACUCUUUUCAUGUAAGUUGUAUAGACAUGUGGUUCCAUUCACAUACUAGUUGUCCGAUGUGCAGAAUCGAUGCUACGCCAUCAUGGCACGGACUGAUGCAUUAUUUAGAGUCAGACUCAGAGAGGCCGGCAACAAGGCAAGGUCUGGGAUCCAGAGAGAUCAGAGUGUAAUUUUUUUAUUCUGCAUUUGUCGCAGAUUGGAUUAAAUUUUAUUUUAUCUCUUUGUCGCAUAUUUGGCCAAAGCAGCCGUAUCACAUCAAUACUGAUUUAAUUAUUUUUUAAGAUCAGACCAUAUGCUGAUCAGUUGAUAUAACAAUGCAGAAUGCCGGUUUAAUUAUUGUUCCAUAUCCCUCUAAUGAAAGCCAAGGCAAAGCUCAUUGGAUAUAUAAGUUUCAAAAUAAAAUAUUACACUAAAGCUGUUCAUAGUAUUUAGCUCUAAAGAGAGAUUCGGUUCAUGAGAGUGUGCUAAUAAUUCUUAAAAGUUACAAAGUCGAGUUAAAAGUAUCCUUAAAUUUCGCCUAAAGGAUACCCCUCUCUUAGUCGUUCAAUGUCAAUGAUCGAGUAUUUAUAGAAGUAUGAACUUGUGUGUACUAAACUAUUAUAAAAUCCAACUUCGAUUACAAAAAUUAUACAUGACACUGGCAAACGGACCAAGGAAAUUUUGCCCUUCCCUAAAAAAGAUCAAAAUAUUAUCACUUGGCAAGACAAAUUUUGACUCAUUCACAUUAAACAACUACAAUUAUCUUGUAAUAACCGUCAUGGCUACAUAGAUUUUGAAAUGGCCUUUCUAUCUAGCUAGUAAUUCUCUCCUAAGCAACUGAAAGAAGGUCUUCACUUGUCUUCACAAUGUCUAGCCUCAAUUUUCUGAGUCAUUUUUAUAUCCUCUUUCUUGUAGUUGCAUCCAUGGCCUUCUUCGUUACAAUUUAUCACUGUAUUAUGGUGAGUUGCCAAAAUAGAAUUGAGCGUCACAAUUCUGAUCAAGUGUCACAGUCCACUGUCAUCAGAAUACAGAACUUCUUACUUUGGCGCAAUGGACAAGAACUUAACAGUGCUCAAGAUCGUGGUGCCACGGUCCUGGGGCUUGAGAACUCGAAGAUUGAGCUAAUUCCAAGACAUAAAUUUGAAAAAGGUAAAGGGAUUCUUGAUGCAGAGUGCGCUGUUUGCUUGAGCGAGUUUGCAGAGGAUGAAGAAAUACGAACUUUGCCAGAAUGUUUGCAUUCUUUUCAUGUAGAGUGCAUUGACAUGUGGCUUCAUUCACAUCCUAAUUGUCCAACAUGUCGGGCCAAUGCUUCACCACCAUCCUCCUCCUUGCUAUUACAUCCUUGCCCAAAGUGAUACCGUGGUUAUGGCAUAGCAUAUUAGGAGAGAUGAAGAAUUGAAGAAAGGGACCGUGCAGUUAGCUUGGUUACAUGCAAAUGAAAGGACAGCGCAGGGCCGGCCCUUCAUAAGGCGAUCAAGGCGAAUGGCUAGGACAGCCCUUCAUAAGGCGAUCAAGGCGAAUGGCUAGGACAUCACUGUCCCACGGGCACCAAAAAAAUCUAUGCAUAUGUAAUAAAUAAUGAUAAAUUUAUGCAUUUAUAGACAUACAUUUAAAUUGAUUGUGUUGUUAAUUUUAAAAUAACGUUUUUAUUAAAUCAUUGUAUAUUGAUUUGAAUGUAUGUAAAAUUUUCAUUUACUAUCUUGAAAAAUAGGGACAUCAAUCACAUCAUUAUCAAAAUUCGUCUAGGACACUCAAAUCUGUGGGACGGCCUGGGUCAGUGCGUCUUUCUUUAAUGUAGCAGAACUUGCAUUACAUGAAAACUGAAAGACUUGUUACCAGUUCCUUAUGUCAAAAUUAGAAGAAGAAUUUAAUUCGGUUAUAUUGCAAGCUGCUGCAGCUGUUAGCUGUUACCCUAUCUUUUCUAAUUUCUGUAGACAAUGGUAUUAGAUUUUUACACGCCUAACUAAAAAUUAUUACAAUUCUAAAUCAAUAGAACAAGAAGCACAUCUGUCAUCGUUUGGCCAUUAGUCUGUGACCUUCAGAUGAAUAAAAUCAUGAACUCGAAAUCUUGCUUUAUUUUAGCAACGCAGAAAACAAAGCACAAAUGUAUUGAUGUAUAUAAGAUUUAAUUUCCAUUACACUUUAUUGAGAAUGAAUAAGAAGGAUGGUCAAGACUUGGAUAUUACUAAGUGCAGUUACAUGCCUAAGGUUUCAUACCCCUAAGACCACGUCUGUGAAUUUGAUCUUGUUUCCCAGUACAAACGCAAAGACCAUCGACACACUUGCCUCCAAACGGACACACGUUCGAACAUCCAGUAUCAAUGCAUUUUGAAAUUUGAUCUUGUUUCCCGGUACAGACGCAAAGACCAUCGACACACUUGCCUCCAAACGGACACACGUUCGUACAUCCAGUAUCAAAGCAUUUUGAAAUUUGAUCUUGUUUCCCGGUACAGACGCAAAGACCAUCGACACACUUGCCUCCAAACGGACACACGUUCGUACAUCCAGUAUCAAAGCAUUUUGAAAUUUGAUCUUGUUUCCCGGUACAGACGCAAAGACCAUCGACACACUUGCCUCCAAACGGACACACGUUCGUACAUCCAGUAUCAAAGCAUUUUGAAAUUUGAUCUUGUUUCCCGGUACAGACGCAAAGACCAUCGACACACUUGCCUCCAAACGGACACACGUUCGUACAUCCAGUAUCAAAGCAUUUUGAAAUUUGAUCUUGUUUCCCUGUACAGACGCAAUGACCAUCGACACACUUGCCUCCAAAAGGACACUCUGUCAAACAAUUAGUAGUGCAUCCAUGUACAUGCACCAAUGACACAGUAAACACCAGGACUAGUGUUAAGACUAUAGAAAACUGCUUCAUAUCUGAUGGUUUUUCUGGAGAAUAUAUAUCUGAAAGAUUUAAAAGAGAAAAUGUUUUCUCCUCUCCUUGCGAGUGUUUUAUUUCCGAUGAAGAUCCUCCACAAUAUAUACAGACAUAUUAUACAAUCACUCCAUCCGAAAGACAUAACUGUUGGAUUUCAUAAUAAAUUCAUAUUAAUUGUCAUUAAUAUGAUAAUUAACUUAUGUAACUUGCAACUAUUCACUUAAGUAUAUAUUUUAGGAUGUAUCAAUGGAGAUUUUCAACUGUUCGGUAGGAAUGAAAAAUGAAACCAUCUGGUGGUAUAUCACAGUUAAACUAGCAUAAAAACCCGUGCGAGGCACGGGCCUCUAGUUUGUGUUUCUGUUUUAAAUAAUAUUCAUGUCUCGUCAUAUUAUUUCGAGCGUAACUAUCACGUUUUAUUCAUUGACAAAGUAUGUAAAUAUGAAAAUGUAAUAUUUGCAACCUAGCAUUAAUAGUAAUAAUAAGUAUUAUAUUUUUAAAAAAAAUUAUGGAUCAGAAACUACAUUUGAACAGAUUUUUCUAUAUUCAAAGUCGUUAGGAUAUAGAGGCCACUACCGUACAAUCUACAUGUUCAAAAUUAUAUUCGAAAUUAAUAUUGAAACUUUUAAAUUUUAAAUAUAUUAUACAUCAUUAAAAGUAUCUGUAAUUAAAUUAUUUCAUCUAAUAUAACAUGAUUUUGAUUUAAACUUGUUCUUGAUAUGUGAAUUACGAUAUCUUAAAUCAUGAUUAAAUGAAGAUGUGUGGUCCGUAUUGUUUUAUAUUUAUUUCUUCUUUUUUAAGUGUAAGUUUGCGUAAUAAUUAAGUGAUACAUGAUGUGGCAUAUCAUCAACACAUUUUUUUUUAGCAUUGUUGCACACACCUUGUAUAAGUAGAAAUUGAACUAUGUAAAAAGACUCAUACCCUAUUUUAUUAUAAAAGUGUCUAUUGAAUUACUAACCUUAUAGUUGUACCCAAAAAAAUUCUGACACCUUUGAUAUGGCUUACCCUUUUAAUUUUCAUCUCAAUUAUAUGGUAUUUCAAUGUCUUAGAUUUUUAUUGUUAAUAUGUUAUAAUACUGUCUCGUUAUAAAAAUUUUAUUUUUAUCAUUAGUUAUCUAAGCUUGUUGAUUAGUACUUUUAAUGAUUUUCCAUUUAAUUGUUAUAAACCAGAUCUCAAAAUAAUUUUCUGGAAUUUCAAAUAGCAAAACGAGAGUAUAUAUGAGUUAGGCCUCAAGUUCAUAAAAACAUGAAAUGUAAUUACUUUUUGUAGUUUUGUACAAACUCACAUUUUUUAAAUAUUUUUAUACUCGUAUUUCUUGGGGGUGAGCAAUGUAGCAUAUCAUUUUCAAUUGUUAAAGAUCAGAUCAGGUAUUCGAUAUUCUGGAUUAUGGAAAAACUAUCCUUGUUCUAGUCCCGUUUAGUAAGAUAUUAGUUUUCAUCAUAUCGCGUCGGAUUAUCCGGCUCAGAAUUAAUUAUAUUUUAUUAGUUUAAUUUGUAGAUGAUUAAUUAAUUUAAUUGUAGUUUGAAUCAAUUUAUUUAACUGGUAUGUUAUAUAUUGAUUGAUGGCAUGUUAAAAUUAUAGCUUUAAGAUUUUAAUAUAUAUGACUUAUUUCUCUGUGUUAUUUUAUUUUAACCAAGUAAAAUUUAUAACUCAAUUCUUUUAGUUGGUCUCAUAAACAUUUAUUAUUAUUAUUAGUUGACUUUUGAUUAACAAUAUAGUGGGGCUGUUUGGGAACCGGAAGCAAUUUCUGCUUCUGGCUUCUGCUUUUCUUGACCCGUUUGUGUAAAGAAGUAGAAGCACUUUUAAGAAGCUGAGAAUGCUAACUUCUCUUUCACAGAUUCUGCUUCUUUUCCAAACACUUUAUUAACUUAUUUAUUUCUCACUUCUACUCCACUUCUUUACUUUAAACAUAGAAUCACUUUUUUUAAGCUUGGCGAAACGGCGAAACGGCCCCAGAAUUUUUCUAAAUUCACCUUCAUAUCACAAAUUACUAUAUUUCAAAUUCAUUUAUCAUCAAAAUUACAUCAUUUAGAUAUAUUUUCUAACACCAAAUUUGAUAUCUUUGUCAUUGUUCUUAUAUUUAUAAUUUUCUCAAAAAAAAAUUUAGUUACACGCCGAAUUCUGAAUUCAUAAGUUUAACAUAAAAAAUAUUUUAAGUAAGAAUAUUCUUUCAUUUACAUUAUUUCGUGUUAUUCAAAAUAUUGUAAUCUCUUUAUAAAUCGCCUUUUAUAAAAAAUAAAUAAAUUAAUAUGACAUUGUCCAUGUUGAAAGUCCAUCAAUUAUUUCUUUCAAAGAUGCUAACUAAAUCCUUAGUUUUUGUGCUUAUUUCUCACAUUUAUGACUUAAAAUUUCUGUAAUAUUGUAUUCGUACUCGUUUAGAGUAUUAAGUUGGAUUUGAAUUCUUUCAUUUUUAUUCGAAUAUGAAUUAUAUCUAUUUUUAGAAAUCUGAAUCAUGAUUCGAGCCCGAUCAUUCAGAUUCUUUUUCUAUUCUAAAUUUAUUUACGUAAAUAAUUGAUUUAUAAAUAUUAAUUAAUCAUGUAAGCAAUAUAUGAGACUUAUCUGAAAUAAUAACUUGUCUCAAAGAAAUAAGAAAUUGAAGAGAAUGUAAAUACAACAGUUUUAAUGCACGUGGUUAAUGCUUUUGAAUAACAAAACUAAUUGCUUAUGUAGCUCAAGUGGUUUGAGUGAUGUAUUUGUAUUGGAGAGAUCUUAGGUCCAAGUCUUAUGAAAAACAAUUUUUUUAUAUAUAUGAGGAGGAGGCAGGUUCGGAGUUAGGCUCGGGUUCGGAGCUAGGUAAUUUAUUUGCUCAGGAGGGAGGCUUAACACGAACCUGUUGUGCUAUUAUAUAUAUAAGUAGAAGUCCCCUGCAUUGUCAAUUUAUCAUAGUAACUUUCACUCAUUUGCCGUAAAUUCAAAUUUCCAUAAUUAUGCGUAAUUAAAACAAGUACAUUAUUUUAUUUCCUACCUAUUUUUGAUAUAUAUACUCUCUUGUUUUUGCUUUUUAUUAGAUUUACUAUCAUUUUUACAUUAAUUAAAAUCUAUAAACAUAUAUGUGUGUGUGAUUUUGUUGUAUAUUGAUUUAUAUUUUGUUUGUUUGUUUUUUCUCCGUAUAUCAUGGAAGCGAGCUGUUAUGUGACUUAUGGGUAUUAUUUUCUCAUUCAUUUAUGCUCUGUUGUCUAAACGUCCGGAACUAUACUUGCAUGACUUUAGUUAGAUGAUAAACUUUCUUUGAAAGAAAGAAAUCUGGAGACGGUUUAUUGUAUACCGUUCAUCAGCCGGAACAUAGACUAAAAUUAUCUUAUAAUGACCGUCACGACUACAUAGAUUUUGAAAUGGCCUUUCUAUCUAGCUAGUAAUUCUCUCCUAAGCAACUGAAAGAAGGUCUUCACUUGUUUUCACAAUGUCUAACCUUAAUUUUCUGAGUCAUUUUUAUAUCCUUUUUCUUGUAGUUGCAUCCAUGGCCUUCUUCGUUACAAUUUAUCACUGUAUUGUGGUGAGUUUCCAAAAUAGAAUUGAGCGUCACAAUUCUGAUCAAGUGUCACAGUCCACUGUCCUCAGAAUACAGAACUUUUUACUUUGGCGCAAUGGAGUAAUGGACAAGAACGUAACAGUGCUCAAGAUCGUGGUGCCACGGUGCUGGGGCUUGAGAACUCGAAGAUUGAGCUUAUUCCAAGACAUAUAUUUGAAAAGGGUAAGGGGAUUCUUGAUGCAGAGUGUGCUGUUUGCUUGAGCGAGUUUGCAGAGGAUGAAGAAAUACGAACUUUGCCAGAAUGUUUGCAUUCUUUUCAUGUAGAGUGUAUUGACAUGUGGGCUGUGGCUUCAUUCGCAUCCUAAUUGUCCAACAUGUCGGGCCAAUGCUUCACCACCAUCCUCCUUCUUGCUAUUACAUCCUUGCCCGAAGUGAUACUAUGGUCGUGGCAUGGCAAGGCCAUGUGGUUAAUCUAGCAUAUUAGGAGAGAUGAAGAAUUGAAGCAAGGGACCGUAAAAUACAGGAUUUUAGUGCAGUCUGAUGCUUGGUUACGUUACGUGCAAAUGAAAGGUCAGCACUGGGCCAGCCCUUGCUAAGGCGAUCAAGGCGAACGCCUAGGACACCACUGUCCCACGAGCACCAAAAAAUCUAUGCAUAUGUAAUAUAUACAGUAAUAUAUAAUGAUAAAUUUAUGCAUUUAUAUAUAUAUACAUGCAUAUAAAUAUACAUGCAUAUAAAUUGAUUGUGUUGUUAAUCUUAAAAUAAUGUUUUUCUUAAAUCAUUGUCUAUUGACUUAAAUGUAUGUAAAAUUUUCCUUUACUAUCUUGAAAAAUAGGGGCAUCAUUUUCAAAAUUCGUCUAGGACACCCAAAUAUGUGAGACGGUCCUGGGUCACUGCGUCUUUCUUUUAUGUAGCAGAACUUGCAUUACAUGAAAACUGAAAGACUUGUUACCAGUUUCUUAUGUCAAAAGUAGAAGAAGAAUUUAAUUUGGUUAUUUUGCAAGCUACUGCAGCUGUUACCCUAUCUUUUCUGUAGAAAAUGGUUAUAGUUUUUUACACGCCUAACUAAAAAUUAUUACAACUCUAAAUCAAUAGAACAAGAAGCACAUUUGUUAUCGUUUGGCGAUUAGUUUGUAACCUUUAGAUGAAUAAAAUGAUGAACUCGAAAUCUUGCUUCAUAACAACGCAGAAAACAAAGCGGAAAUGUAUUGAUGUUUAUAAGAUUUAAUUACCAUUACAUUUUAUUGAGAAUGAAUAAGAGGGAUUGUCAAGACAUUGGCAAUCACAAGUGCAAUUACAUGCCUAAGGUUUCAUACCCCUAACCAUGUCUGUGAAUUUGAUCUUGCUUCCCAGUACAAACGCAAACACCAUCGACACACUUGCCUCCAUACGGACACACGUUCGUACAUCCAGUAUCAAAGCAUUUUGAAAUUUGAUCUUGUUUUCCGGUACAGACGCAAAGACCAUCGACACACUUGCCUCCAUGCGGACACACGUUCGUACAUCCAGUAUCAAAGCAUUUUGAAAUUUGAUCUUGUUUCCCGGUACAGACGCAAAGACCAUCGACACACUUGCCUCCAAACGGACACACGUUCGUACAUCCAGUAUCAAAGCAUUUUGAAAUUUGAUCUUGUUUCCCUGUACAGACGCAAUGACCAUCGACACACUUGCCUCCAAAAGGACACUCUUUCAAACAAUUAGUAGUGCAUCCAUGUACAUGCACCAAUGACACAGUAAACACCAGGACUAGUGUUAAGACUAUAGAAAACUGCUUCAUAUCUGAUGGUUUUUCUGGAGAAUAUAUAUCUGAAAGAUAUUAAAGAGAAAAUGUUUUCUCCUCUUCUUGCGAUUGUUUUAUUUCCAAUCGAUGAAGAUCCUCCACUAUAUAUACAGACAUAUUAUACAAUCACUCGGAGUGAUUGAUAUUUACACGAGUGAAUCACUCCAUCUCAAAGACAUAACGGUGGGAUUUCAUAAUAAAUACAUAUUAAUUGUGAUUGAUAUGAUAAUUAGAGUAUAUGUGUUGGUAAAUCAUACAUUCUUUGUUUUAAAAAAUUUGAUUACAAUCAUAGUCGACUUGAUUAUUCCGUGAAAAUCUCAGAGAAAUUGGGUUCUUUUUAAAAAUAUCCAUCUGUAAAAUUACUUUUCUAAAAAUACUACCAUCUUUAUCAUUGUUUUUAAGAAUAUCUUUUCAUAAAUUGUUUUUUUCAAAAAUACGAUUUGCAACUCCAGGCGGCGCCAGCCGUGUUGCAACUUCAUUUGCAACCUCAUUUGCAACUUUUGCAACCUCAUUUGCAACUAUAUAUAGUUUUCAGUUGCAUUUAGUUGCAACUGAGGUUGCAAAUGAAGUUGCAACUGCAGUUGCUUGCAACCUCAUUUGCAGAAUUUGCAACUUACAGUUUUCAGUUGAAUUAGUUGCAAUUACAAUUGCAAGAGUUGAAACUUUCUAUUUUUAUUUGCAACUUUUGCAACCUCAUUUGCGACUUUUGCAGCCUCAUUUGCAACUGAAAUGGUUGCGCCGCCCAAGGUUGCAAAUGAGGUUGCAAACCGUAUUUUUGAAAAAAAAAAAUUUAUGAAAAUGUAAUUUUAAAAAUAAUUCUGAAAGGUAGUAUUUUUGAAAACAAUAAAAGAAAAGGUAGUUAGUUUUGUAGACUUCCCAUAGAAAUUCCAUUUAACUAGGGUAGGAUAAGUGUUAAUUAACUAAUCCUACUAAAAUAUUGAUAGUAAUAUUUACAUGAUCAUAUAAUAUUUUAACAUUUUUCUUAUUUAAUCCAAUUUUAUAUCGAGCUUGAAUUGUGGGUGUACAUAAGUUUGCUUUAGUCUCCACAAGUCUAAACUCAUAUUACUCACUCCGCUCAAUUUAUAAGUCCUUUUGUUUAAGUUUCUUUUACUUUUCCAAGAGUCUUAACUAAUUUUGGAUCAACUAUUACAAAAUAUUAUUUGUUGUUUUAGAAAAUAAAAAGUUACAUAUUAAAAUUGAUUUGAUUUAUCUUUUGAUGAUUUUUUUUGCCAGAGAAAACUCAAGUAUGAAGAAAAGCGAGAAAAUCUGUGUUAAUUACGUACAAUGUAUAGUAUUCUUUUCUUAAUUGCAAUCAUAAAUAUAAGGGCAAUUUUGGACAGAAUCUUGUGAAUAAUUACAUAUCUUUUAUUUAUGGUAUUUCCAAAAUUCAAUUUCUGCCACAAUUAAUGUGAAUUACAUUUCCAAAAUUCAAUCAAUUAAAUUAAUUUUGAAUAUAUCUUAAUAAAUAUAUUAACUCCUAAUAAAACACUUAGUGGAAUCAACCAAAUAAUAAAUUUAGCAGACAUAAGAUUUUACAAAAAAUCGUACUAAUAAAUACAUUAUGAUUCUAUUAAGAAUUUUAUUAAUAUGUUACAAAAAAUGUCAUAUCAAUAUUAUUAAGAUUUUACUAAGUAAUUCACUAAUGACAUCGGAUUUCUACUAUUUUAAUAUUCGAUAAAUUUAUUCCAUAUUAUUAAGUUCUAUCAUUUGAUUCCCUAACUAUAUCAAGAAUUUAUUAAAAAAUUGUUUCGUCCGUUAGUCAUAUAUUGACAUUAUUUAUUAUGUAUUCUUUUUAAACAAUGUAGAAUUUAAUAUAAUAAAUUUUAAUGAUACAUUAAUUAAUAUUCUAAUAAUUAAUGCAUUAAAUUUUCGAAUCUUAAUAAAAUAAAAUACUUAAGAGAAUUUUAACAAAAUAUUUUGUGUUGUAGAUUAAUUAGUAUUAGUAAUAUGUAAUAAAACAUUUUUAAGUGUCUUCAAAUAGAAAUUUUUAUUAUUUAUUUUAAAAGAACAUAUAAUAUAUUUUUAUAUAUUAUUAUUGUCUAUUCUAGAUAUUUAACAAUAUUAUUAAAUUUGUAAUAAGAUUUCACUAACAAUAUAAAAUUAUUAUAAAUUUCUAAAUCAUGUGAAUAAGUGUAUUUUAUAAAUACGUUAAGAUUCUAAUAAAAAGUUUUAUCAGGUUAUUCGUUAGAACAAUUAUUAGAGAUUCGUUAGAAACACGAGUAGAAAACAUUAGAAUUUUUUUAUAUUAUAUAUAAUCAAAUUAUCAAAAUACAUAAUAAAACUUUUCGAAGAAUCUUAGUUUAUUUAUUAAAUAAGUUUAAUAAUAAAAUUAAUAAUAAAAUUUAAUUUAAUAAUAAAAUUAAUAUAUAUAGAAGAUUCUCUAAAAUAUUCUAUUAUUUAUAAGUAAUAAAUAUUUGUAUCAUGCAAGAUUCUUUUAGAAUAUUUAAUUUUUUUUAUAUAUUAUUCACUCUAUAAUAUUCUUUUGACUCUUCAAAUAUUUUUAAAUUAAUAUUAUUUUGAAAAAUUUCAAACUAAUUAAUAUUUAAGAAUUCUAAUUUAAAAUUAUAAUAAUAUUUAAAGGAACACUUUAAGAAACCUUCAAAUGUUAAAUGUUAGAGGUGAAACACUUAACAGAAUCUUAAUAUUAUUAAUAUAUAUAGAAAAUUCUCUAAAAUAUUUUAUUAUUUCUACUAAUAAAUAUUUGUAUCGUGCAAGAUUCUUUUGAAAUAUUUAAAAUAUUUUUGUAUAAAUUAUACAUCCUAUAAUAUUUUUUUGACUCUUCAAAUAUAUUAUUAAAUUAUUAUUAUUUUGAAGAAUUUCAAACUAAUUAAUAUCAAAGAAUCUAAAUUAAAAAUUAUAAUAAUAUUUAAAAGAACACUUCAAGAAUCUUUCAAAUGUUGAAAGUUAUAGGUGAAACACCUAAUAGAAUCUAUACAUAUUAUUAACAUAUAUAGAAGAUUCUCUAACAUAUUUUAUUAUUUCUAGUAAUAAAUAUUUAUAUCGUGCAAGAUUUCUUUAGAAUAUUCAAUGUUUUUUAAGAAAAUAUUCACCCUAUAAUAUUCUUUUGACUUUUCAAAUGAUUUUAAAUUAGUAUUAAAUUAAUAUACAAGAUUCUCUAAGAUAUUUUAUUAUAAAUAUUAUAUGUUAAAUGUAAAAUGUAAAAUAGUAGUUUUCAAAUCUUUUCAAAGUGAAUCUUUUAAAAUUUGAAAUUUGAAAUUCAAACUGAAUAUACAUUAAAUGAUUGAUUGAUUGAUUGAGAUAUGAAGAAUCUAUUUAAAUAUGAUAUUAAUGUGCGAUUGAUUUUAUAUAUAUUUAUGUUACAAAAUUACCCUAUAUACUCUAGAGUUGAUUGACAUAAUUAAUAUGUACAAUACAUAGUAUUAUUAAACAAGUAUACGUGAUCAACGGUGAUUAACAGGGUUCCUCAGUUUUCUUAAUAACAGCAUCUCCAACGGGGUUGGCUAUAAUCGUUGGCUAAAUUGAACCUGUAAGACAAUAUGUAAAAUUUGCCGAACCUGUAAGACAUUGUACUUCAAUGGUGUUGGCUAUAUUGGUUGGCUAUAAUUUAAAAAUAGGAUGUUAUUAAUAUUUUAGAUUUUUAAAAUAGAAUAUAUCAAUUUAAUAUGGUACUAAAUGAUGUGUAAUCUUCCUACAGAUCUCUUACAAGCCUGUAGAGGUUCGACAAAUAUAGCCAUCUAUAGAAGGUUGACUAAAAUUAUUGAUAACAGAUUAACAUGGUUGGAGGGAGACCUUUUCAACAGAUUGGCUAUAUUUUUUAUAUUUGGCAAGACAACUCAUCAUUUAACUAAGAGGUUUGUAUGGUUGGAAAUGCUCUAAGUGGGUUUUCUUAGGAUCUUCCUCAUGAUAAUUAACUUAGGCAUCGAACCCACAAAUCCGUCCAUACUCCCUAUAAAAGACAUAGGCAUCCUCAAUAGUAGCGAAUUGCUGAUUCGCAUAGGGUGUCUUACUGACGCAUUUAGGAGUAUAAUAUUUUAUCCCAUUUGCUUCAACACAUGUCAUUUCAGGUUCCUCAAUACUGUUAAAUUCAACAUUACUUGACUGUGUUGACAAAUGUUCAAUUUCAUCAUCCGAAUAUGAACUACCAAUGUCUGGAACAUCAGAUUCAUGAUCAGAUCUCUCUGAGUCUGAGCUCUCAAUAUGUGGGGCAGACACGGAACCUACAUCGCAGAAGUAUAUCGUUAAACGUACUUCGGAACAUACACGCUAGGAAAAACAAACUCAAAAAACAAUGUAAUUAAAAGAUGUUCUGCAGUAUACAAAAAAUCAGAUACAAGUACAAUGUAAUGCUUUGUAUGUCAAACACUAUUGAAGAACAUAUAUAUAUAUAAUCUGUUCUGCAUUAUAACGCGAAAUACUAACAAAAGCCAGAUUAUAAAUCAGAAAGAGGAAAAAACGAAAAAAAAGAACCAUUCCCAUCAGACACGAUUAAAACAAACGAACACACAAAUCACAUCAAAUCAAAUCAUCAAACCUAGGAAGAAACACAAUAACGUACUUGGUUCUUCAUAUUGAGAAGCCAUGUCAAGCACAGAACACAAAAAUCGAAAAAAUAUUUACUCGUGAAUCUUUGGUUAAAAAAUUGUAUCAAAAACAGAACACAGAUUGCAAGCCCAAUAAGGUGUGACUUAUCAAGCGUAAUUGUUUCCCCAUAAUUCUGCACUGCACUUACGUGAUGUUAACAGCGUUAAAACUAACGGAUUAGAUAAAAGAAACUGUAAAACUAUUUUUUUAUAUUUUACUUAAAAUAAAAGAGACAUAAAAUAAUGACCAUCAGAUUAAAAUGUAAUGGAUGGCCAGGAUCUUGGACUCCUAAGACUCCAAAAAAUGUGUGAACUCCAUAGAACUUACUUCAUAAUAUAUAUAUAUAUAUAUAUAUAUAUAUAUAUAUAUAUAUAUAUAUAUAUAUAUAUAUAUAUAUAUAUAUANNNNNNNNNNNNNNNNNNNNNNNNNNNNNNNNNNNNNNNNNNNNNNNNNNNNNNNNNNNNNNNNNNNNNNNNNNNNNNNNNNNNNNNNNNNNNNNNNNNNNNNNNNNNNNNNNNNNNNNNNNNNNNNNNNNNNNAUAUAUAUAUGCCCAACAUUCAAAAAGAGGGACUCCUUAUAUGGAGUUACAUAGUGCGCCACUAUAAAUCAUCAAUUUUAUUAUAAAUUCUGUUAUAGAAUACAUAUAAAACGUGAUUCUAAUAUAGAAUACUAUAAAAUAAAUCCAUUUUAAGUAAUUUAACACUUAAAAUUUGAUUAAAAAAAGUAUAUUUUCGAAACUGUUCUACAACAGAAUAAUUCUGGAUGAUUAUUAUUCUGUUAUAGAAUCAUGUUGAGAUAUUGCAUAAUUGUAGAUGAUCUUUGGAAUAAAAAAAAUGUAUAACUUCGUUUUCAGUUUAAUAAUCAAAAUUUGUAAUUAUAUUUCAUAAAAAAUAUAACAUAAUAUAUAUUAUGUAUAUAUUUAUAAUGAUGUGCUACGUAACUCCAUAUAAGAGGGUAUGCUAUGUAGUGCUACCCUAUAUAUAUAUAUAGGGAGCUAUUCUAGUACAAACUCAACUAAUCUAAAAACCUACAAACCUGGUCCGAUCCAAUAGCAAAGCCCAGUCCAAUAAACAUAUUAUAACACCGCCCAGUCCAUCAUACAAAACAUCCGCCAGUCAGACAAAUUUAAUAUUAUAGUCAGAUAUACCUAUACAUACAUUACAGUGACGCUGCUUUUGCUCUCGCACUGUUCAUCUUCCUCAAAACAAAAGGUACGAAUAACAUUUUCUUUCAAUUACUCACUGAUUUCUUCGUGUAUUUGAUACAACGGUUCAAUUUCAUAGCGAAAUCGAGCACUGAAGUCGAGCAAUGAAUUAAGCAAAAUCAGUUUCAAAAAUCUUCAAAAGGUACAUUCCUAUGCUUUUUUAGUGAUUUAAGUGAAUAAAUCUUUCGUAGUGAUUGCAUGUCAGUAUAAUGAUGAUUCCCAGGGUUUAUUUUUGAUUUUUGACAAAAGCUAACUGUUCAUUUUAAUGUUUCUCUAUGACAGCAGGUAAAUCUUAUUUAUUUCAUAGUGAAGGCAUAAUUUAAUGGCUAGAACUAAAGGAGGUAUGAUUUUGAAAAUUUUCUAUGAUUGCAUACUUUUUUUUUUAUGAUUUGACUGUUAUUGAAUAUCAAACUGCUAGUGAUUGUAUUUCUCAGCACAUUAUGUGUUAGUGAUUGUAUUUAUCAUAAAAAAUUUUGUUAUUGCAUACUUGUUUUUUAUGAUUGUAAGUUUCAGCACAUUAUGUGUUAAUCACUAUCUUCUGACUCAAAUUAAGUUAGUAAUUAUUUGUUUAUAUUUUAGUGAUUGUAAUGCUGAUUGUGAUAACAAAUUGAAUGUAUUAAGUUCUCCUAUUGAAACUCCAGUGAUUGUAGAGCUAUAUUAGUGAUUGAACAGCCCAAGCUAAUGACAUUUCAAUAAUUAAAUAACAUUGUUGUUAAUUGCUAGUAAAUUUGUAGCCAAAUGUAUACAUACAUUAAUGUCCCUUAAGACUGGAUAAUUGUAACUUUAAAAAAUCUAUAUCUACAUAUAUAAGAAACUACUAAGAGUCAUGUGAUUAAUUUAGUACCUUAGGCUUGUAUUAUAGUGACUGAUUAACUUAUAAUUGUCAUUGUAGUCAUUCUAGACUUGUUUUGUAGUGAUUGCACGCUCUUAUGAUAAAACACAGAGUAUACCUUCACCUUAGUGCUAGCAUAUAUAGUAUUAUCACCAUAUAUGUUGUUGAUAAUUUUGUUAGUGUCAAAAUAUUUGGUGCCAUUCACUAUGUUAUUAGAUUCAAAAUUGUUGUUAUGAACUUGAAAUUACUUUUUUAAUGUGAUAUAAUAUUAUAUCUGCAUAAACUUAAAUGGCAUACACUUGUGCAAUAUUAUGUUGAUUAGUGCAUAAACUACAAAAUUUUUAUGUCACUGAAUAUUUAUGACUUUUAGAGCGGGGGAUGAUUACUUUUAGAGGACGGGUGAUGACUUUUAGGAGGGAUGAUGAAUUUUACAGGGCGGGUGAUGAAUUCUGGGGGGGGAGGGAUGAUGAAUUUUAUAGGGCGGGUGAUGACUUCUGGGGGUGGGGGGUUUAACUAAUUUAGUUUUUAUUUUGUGGUUUUUGUUGGAGUUGUUUAUAGUGGUUUUUGCAAUACCAAUUUGUUUAAAAACAGCAUGAUAUUGUGGUCUGUCUGUUUUAGUUGAUUGUAGAGUUAUAUAUUUUAGUGAUUCUGAUAAGAGUCCUCUGAUUCUUUUUUUAAUUUAGGCAUGAAUAAUAGUGAUUGUAGGCUUAUUUUAUAGUGAUUGUUUACAUUACAUAGAGUACUGUUAAGAUACAAUGUUAAUGUUAAAUAUAGUGAUUAAUCCACUAAAUAAGCUGAAAAACUUAGUGAUUCUAGUCUUGUUUUUCAAUGAUUAUAGGCUUUAUUAUGGAAAGACCAUUAUUGUCAUAUAAACUACUAAAAUACAGAGUGAUUGUAGGCCUAUGAUGAAUUGAUUGUAGCCCCUAGGGGCAUCAUGACAUAUGGGGGGGGGGGGGGGGGGAGCUUCUGGAGUUCUACAUGUCAAAAAAUGGCAUGUAUGUUUAAUCCCUUUCCGAGAUUCAUGUUUGCAGGACAUAGACCACAGCUUAGAAGAAGCUCCAAAAUAAGACAACAAAGUUUCCCCAAAAGUACAAGCACGGAAGCAAUAUAUCUUGUACAAUCAAGCAGUGCUUCAGAGCCUGACGAUAAUAUGGACCGCCAAACAAAGAUAUAUCGUAAGUCGGGAAAUAAGGCUAAAGUCACAGCAGGAAGACCAGUUGAAGAUCCUCAUCACACCACUGUAUAUCUUUGUUAUUGUUCUCAUAUACUUAAUGUUAACAUUUUACAAAAUUGUAUACUACUAAAAUAUUUAUUCUGUAUCUAUUUACCAGGAAUCAAGCGGACGUAACUACACACUAGCAAAUUUGCAAAAAAACUCACCACCAGUACUCUUAAAGAAGCCGCCCACCACAACCAAUGAUUGUUUCAACAACUACUUUUGAUGAAAUCCAUGACGACAACUUGACAAACAAUGAUUGUUUAAGAACUAGUUAGCUUAUUUUUGUGAAUACUCGACAAGCAAUUAUUGUAUGGCAAAUUAUCUGUCGUAUUCUAUCUUAAUUAUUCACUUUUUCAUGAUGCUAUUGUACAAGAGAUUCUAAACUGUUCUACAAGUAUCAAUUUUACUUUUAACUUCUUCAGAGGUUGCAAAUUCAGUUCAGUAAUAUGAGUAAUUUAAUUUAUGCUAUUAACAUGUUCCAAAUUUGUAGUAUGUGCUUCAAAUUUUACUAUAAUAUGUACAAAUCUCAAUCCAUUGAACUGCAAAUACAAAAAUAACGACUAAAAAACAUAACUACUGUUUUUAAAAUACAGCUAAACUUCAGUGAUUGGAACUCACAUUCUAGUGAUUACAACAUCACAUUUUAGUAGUUGGACCAUAAAAAAUUAAUGAUUGGAAAAUAUAUUUACUAUAUAAUCCACAAUAUAUUCAUUCAAAUGAACAUAAACUGUCAAAAACUAAGUAAUAUCAAAUUCAUACUAACUACUGUACAUUUUAAACAAAAUAUGACCACUUUUACAACAACUUUUCUUCAAUCUACACUUUCUUCAAUCUGUGCUUUCUUCUUCUUCUUAUCACAUGUCCUGGAGUCAUGAGUAGUUGCACCACACUCUUUGCAUUUUCUUACUCUUUUUUUGGCUUUCUUCUGUUCCCUUACGAACAUCAAAACCUCCUAAAUGACCAUAAUUCUUGUAAAAUAAAAACGCUUUUUCCAAGCUGUCAUGAACUUGAUUAACAGCUGGCACACAACUAAGAUCAACAACAGAUGGUAAAUAAUAUUUCCGUCCACCAGGAGACAAAACAUAGCUUGAUACUGAACCAUCAUUUUCACUAGAAGAAGGAUCACAACUCGCAUUUGAACUACUAAUAUGAGAUAAGUCACCACAACUAGAACCUGCAUCCGCACAUGAAUAACAAUUAAAAGCAAAAACUACACACACUACUAAUCAACUGCAUAACAAUUAUAAACCUAUAUUAUAUUGUAGUGAUUUACAUCAUCAAACUAUAGUGAUUGUAGAUUUAUAUUAUAGUGAAUAUGGAGUUACAUUGAACAGAUAACUUUGAUACACUACAAUAAACCACAAAAUUAGAUUAAGUUCAGCCAUAACAAAACAACAAUAUCUCACUGAACAAAACAAAUUUAUAUGUGACCAAAACACAGAACAAGUUGAAUAAUAAACCAAAACAUAAACAUGAAAUUAUCACUGAAUACCUAUAUUACUAAUUAAACUCAUCUGAUUUACUAGUUAACAUCAUAUAUUAUUAAAAACUACUAGACAUUCAUACAUAUGCAAAUUGAAAACAAGAAACUACAACUUUCAAACAAAACAUCUAGUACAUCAUCAUCUCCAUAUCUCCAUAUAAUCAUUCACAAUGAGAAACUACAAAUGUAAUAAAAAAAACUGUUAAUCAGCAUCAUUUGGCAAAAGAAAAAACAGUACAAUCACUAAACAACAUAUACACUACCAUCAUAUCACAAACAUUACACACAAGAACAAAAAACUGAAUUUACGGGGAAAAUACAUACUUGACCUCAAAAAAACAAAAAACCACACAGGAUAAGCUAAUUUCAACAUCAAAACAACACAUUUUUUAACACUAAAAAUACUAAACCGAAUUGCAAUAACAACAUUAUUAAAAGCGACAAUUGCAAAUAGUAAAUUAAACACAAAUUUCAUAUAAUCGAGGACAUGAAAGCAAAAAAGUAACUCUUGCCUUGAUUAUCACUGAUUUUGAUAAGAUCUCUUGUAAUCAUCGUGUACAACUUCAAUCACCGACUCCGACAAAAGCUUCAACACGAUAAUGAACGCCUCCAGUACGAUACUACCUCAAUUGAGCAUAAGAGCAAGCAUACGAAAAUCUCUCCAGAAGCUCGAAGAGAACGAGAUGAAAAUCUGAAGACAACAGUAACGAUAAAACAUGAGAGAGAAAGAGAGAUAGUAGAGAGAGAAGCAGCAACGCGUUAAAUGACACGUAAUCCAUAUCUUUUGUUCUUAUUUUAAAGCAAAUAAACGGAUGGCUACGAUUAAAACUAGCUACACAUAUAUCAAGGGCCCAGAUUAGUUCCUAGUUUUUAUUAAAAAAUAGGUUUGUAUUUGAACAAAAGCCUAUAUAUAUAUAUAAUAAUUUUUACCUAAGAGCUCGGUAGGAAGAAAAUUGAAACCCUCUGGUAUGUCACAGACAAAGUCCCCUGCAUCGUCAAUUUAUCAUAGUAACUUCCCCUCGUGUGCCGUAAAAUUCAAAUUUCCAUAACUAUUCGUAAAAAAAACAAGAGGAUAUUUGUGUAAAUAGAGGACAUCCACGUAUACAAACUGAAUGACACAUCACUUUUUUAUAUUACCUGAUCCCAUGUGAGCAUUUCUUGGACAACGUGACAUCUUUAGUCUCAACAUUAAUUUAGACAAGGAUAUGUUAUGCCCACCCUUUUUCCCACUCUUUACUUACCCCCUCCAGCUGUGAUUUUAUUAUUAUUUUUUUCUGCCCAAGUUUUUAGAGUUUUGAGAUUAAAAACUAUUAUUAAACUCAUGGUUAGCACAAAGUCAUAUUCCAUUUGUUGUUCAUUUUUCUGUUUAGUAAUCAUGUGAUUAUCCCCAUUUUAUAGAUUGUCUUUUUUGGUUUUAAUAAAGUUGCAAAGAUAGAGAGAUAAGUUUUUUGUAAUCAUACUUCAUGAUUCAAUAAUGUGAUUUUGUGUAAAAAGGGUCUUUGGUCAAAAGUGUUAUUCACUCUUGGAUUCUUGUUUUUGUGUUGUGUCUUGGUGAAAUGAGACUACUCAUUUAUAGUACCUAAAAAGACUUCAACUCUCUUUCUUGUGUUUUUUUUUGUACUAGUUUUGUGGUGUAAACAAUCUGCUUGCAGUUGAGGAAUCAGGAUUUUGGAUUAGUGGGAGCUGAAGUAGACUAGAUUGAGAUCAGAUGCAAAGAUGAAAUCUUUAAAUACAGUAGGGCUAGCUCUGAGUGUUGUGUUUGGGUGUCUUUUGCUAGCUCUUGUUGCUGAAAUUUACUACUUGUUAUGGUGGAAGAGAAGGUUUAGAAGUAGAGAUUUAGAAGAUGGUUAUAACAGCAGCCCAGCUACAAGAGAGUUCUUUUACAUGUUUUGUUGGAAAAAGCCAUCAUCUUUGAGCUCAACAGCUUUAAAUCCAGGGGAACUCACAGAAACUAGCAGCACCCAUGUUCAAGAAUCACUGUCAAAUGGUCAAUCUAGCAAGGACUUUUGGUUCAGACCAUUUGGUGAAGAUAGUGUAGAAGCUGAGCUCUUGGGCCUGCAGAAUCUCUCUGGCCCACCAAGAUUUCUGUUCACUAUCAAGGAGGAAACUAAAGAGGAUUUGGAAUCUGAAGAAGGUGGUGGCAAGUCAAGAAAGAGCUCAAGAACCAGGAGUUUGAGUGAUUUGGUUCUUAAUCCAGAGACUCCAUUUUUGACACCUCUUACUUCACCAUCUUAUUUUACACCUCCUAGAACACCUAUGGAUACUUUGUACAAUCACAAUGGAUUCAACCCUCUCUAUGAAUCAACAAGUGAUGCUGAGUUCAAUAAGAUAAAGUCAUCCCCACCUCCAACUUUUAAGUUCUUGAGAGAUGCAGAAGAUAAAUUGCAGAAGAAAAAGUUACUUGAAGAAGCUGAGAAUUGCUCUCAUAAGAAAGAAAGAUUUGUGACAGAAGAUGAAGAUUCUUCUUUUAUCACACUCAUUGUGCCUAGACAAAACAAAGAAAGAGACACAUUUUACUCUUCUAGCUCCUCACAGGUUCUUCCUCUGUCUGCUUCACCUCCCUCCUACAAACACUCAUCUAACAAGAAACCAUCUUUACAUUAUAAUUAGAGACAUUUUUGUUGUAUUUGUAAGAUUUCUCAUCUUAUUUUGUAUGAAUCUUUAAUUUUUCAGUAAAAAAAGUGGUAUUUAUUCUAGAUAAGUUUAAGAAUGAGCGAGAAUCGAACUCAGAACCGCAAUCAGAUAAACCAUGGCAACUUGGCUAUGCCAUUCUUUAGUUUUUAGAAAUCCUUACUGCUAGACUUUUUUAGUUAGUUUGUUUUUUGUUACAUGAGUGAUGAAGUUGAUGAUGCAAAUGCCUAGUGCUAGAGAAUUGCAUCCUGAAUUUUCAGAAGGAGACAGCAUUUCCUUAGAGACUUUAACUGAUUGUAAGUUUGGUGAAAUGAUGCCAUUGGAGGGGCUAGUGAGAAUGAUUUGUUUUUAUUCAAUCUAUGUGUCCCUUCAGCUGUGUAAUGAUUCAACACAUGUUAUCAUUCUUGUGGAUGAUGAUGCUAGUUUAGAACUCAUUGUAUGAUAUUGUCAAAAAGGUCAUUGUAUAUUCUUAUCAAAAUUUAAUGUAAAAUCAACUUUUUGUUGUCCAAUAAAUCUCUGUAAGCUGGGACUUAUCUAUUGUGACCAACUCAUUCAUCCAUAUCGUAAGUUUCAUUGGAGGCACUUGCUCCAUUUCCCGGAUGCUAGUGGUCCUGUCUCAGUUCUCAACCAGAAACUGCCUUAUAAUGUUAAUCGAUCAUCAGAACUAACCGAUUGACCUUUUAUCAGAAAUUUAUCAUCAAUUUUUUCGAUAAAUCAGAGAUUUUAGUCUGAUCGAAGUAUGAUCAGUAAAUCGGUAAAAUAUUUUUUAAUGAUCAAUCAGAUAUUAAUCGAGAAUCUUCAAAAUAUUCCUAAAACUUACGGAUAACUUUUACAACCGACAUGAGAUAACCCGUAAAUUUCGACGAAAUUUCUAACUUAUAAUGUUAACCAAUUUAUAUUCGAACAAAGUCCUUUCUUCAAAAUUUAAGAUUCUGCACCUUGCACUGAAGCUGAAGCAUGAGUGGUCUGCGAGCACUGGGGAUAAGGAAACCUCAUAGAAAAAGUGCAUGAGUUUGAUUGUUUGCAUAAAUUAUUAAUAUUCUAUAUUCUCUCGUUCUAAUAAAGUAUUGAAUCUUAUAGCACUAUAUUGUAGAAAAAUGUGAUAGUUUUGGUCAUUUACCUAAACAACAAGGAACGAGAAGCAAGCGUUCGUGACAAUAUCUGGUUUGGUAAGGCCGAAAGGCAAUGCACACACUGAAGAAUCAUUACAGAGUUUACUUUGACAGAGCACUUGUAUAUAAAUAUAUGUUGUUGAAUUUUGUGGGUGAAAUUUACAGGCUUUAGAAUAGGCGCCAAUCAUACACAUGGGUCUGUCUAAUGUAAAAUUAUUACAUACGAGACCGUAAGAUUAAAAAUAAAAGUUAAUUUGUCCAGUUUCUCAUGUCACGUUGCAGGAUUUUUCCAACUGUUAAAACCUGAUUUGUGAGGUUAAAAAAUGCAAGGUACAGAGUUACAGGUGAACUUUUUUUUCAUGAAGGUAAAUAUAAAAAGUAAGAGCCUGUUUGUCCCGACUUAAAGCCGGGAUUUAAAGUUUAUCCAAAUUUAAACUGAAAAAUGUCAGUUUGUGUAAUAAAUUAGAAGUCAGUUUAAAGUCAAAAAUAAGUCAGGAAGUUGACUUAAAGUGAGAAGUCAGUUUGAGGUAUUUUUUUUCAGGGACUUAAUUUUUUUGAACUUUUUUUUGAUAAAAUUUACCCCUAAGUCAUAAGCUACCAAUAAAUCAAUUUUAUUUUUAUUUUUAUAUUUUUAAUAACUUUUAAGUCAUUAGUAAGUCAAAAUUACCCAAACAUACAUUUAAAACUUUUAGUUUAUCACAUAAAUUUCGUUAAGUCAUAAGUCAUAAUUCCAGUCGAACGGGCUCUAAACCUAAAAGGCUUUUAAAGUUAUGUAUUACUCCCUCCGUUUCAAUUUACAUGUCCACUUUUAAGAAAAAUUUUUGUUUCAAAUUACUUGUCCACAUCAACUUUCAAUGCAAAUGUAUAUUUCCAAAGUCAAUUCUACUCCACAUAUCUUUUAUUUAUAUUUCCUAGAUCAAUCUCACUCCACAUAUUUUGAUCAUUUAAUGCAAUUAAUUUGUGAAUAUUCACUUUUCUUAAAUUGUGUGAUUUUUUAAAGUGGACAUCUAAUUUGAAACAGAGGGAAUAUCUAAUAUAUACACCGUCAUAUGAAUAAACAUGAUUAUAAAUUGUUUAUUUGUAAAGGAGGAAGAACAGAUAAAAGUCGCAAGGGACAUGAAAGAACACAUGUGGCCUGUUUGAUUUCUAAUUUAGUAUUUUAUGUACUCAUAUUAUAAUAUUUACUAACAUGCAAGUUCUACUGGGGGAGUGGACUGGUGAAAUAUACACGAUCACUUGAUUUUGGUUUGUGGACGGUUCAUUGAGAUUUGUUAAUUUAUAGAUUGGAAUUUCCCGACUUUAACUCUUUUAAAAGCUUUGAGAUUUAAGAAAAUUUUGAAUCUGAAGCUUUGAUUUUGGUAUGUAUUAUUUGUAUAUAUAAUUUGCAUGUAAUUAUUGGCCAACAUGUUUUCCGAGUAAUAUCAUUGAAAAAAAUUUAUGAACAUUUUGUUGGAUCAGACUUUUAUGCUUUUCAAUAUUUUUCAACAUAUCUGGCUGUGAUAAUGAAUUAUGAACCAAACCAACAUAUUCGUUAUAUCCCGUUUUAAAUCGGGCCUGAAGUGGGUAAAAUAUACCUCCUACCCUUUAACUUAACUAGAGAGGUGCUUUCUUUUAUCUCUCGUUUUGAGAGUCGACUCCCGUAUUAGGGUUUCAGCCGUCACUUCUCCGUCUUCCAGAUUUUCAUCUUCACACCAAUUAACCAAUUCGCUCUCUCAUCCCUUUUAUUAUUUUACUAGUUUUUUAAUAAAAACAAGAUCUAAUCUUGUUUGAGUACCUUGUUAUCAAGGUUGUGUGCCCAUCUUUUUGGGAUGUCAGUGUUAUGUUUUCGUAUUUUUAUGUGUCUUGAUGUGUCGUUCGAUUAUCAAUCUGAAAAGGAUUUAUACGGUAUUUUGGGAGAUCGGUAAGACUCGCAUCGAUUUCGGAACGAUGGUGGAUAUCGCAAGAGCUCACCUUUCACAACAAAUAAUUGUUCAUGUUUUGGAGACGUUUGGUGCUCCAAGAUCAGUUGAUUUGACUGAUAGUUCUGAACAUUGGGCUACAGGUGAUGCUUAUGUGAAGGUCAAUUGCGAUACUACUAGUUUCAUAACUGAUGUAGGUUGGAUUGCUCGAGAUAUCAUUAUAAUACUUUUUAGAUCAAAGAAUAUGAAUAUUCUAUUUGUUAAGCGAUCUGAAAACAAAACGACUAUUUGUUUAGUUCGUUCUUUGUUUCACAAUCAGAUUGUAAUUGACAGUUCGGGGGUUUGUCCUGGCUGGUUUUAUGCUUCGUAUUAAAAAAUCCUUUGUUUGUCAAAAAAAAACUAGAGAGGUGCUUUCCGUGAAAACUCCGACUUAGUGCAUAAUAAAUAAAACAGUGUGAUAUAAUAUUAAUAUAAUACAUUGACACAUGACCUUUUUCACAUGGGACUUACUUAAAUAGUUUCGAUUGUCGAUGAUGGGCGACAAUGAUUUGGAACCAAGAUAUCAGAACUGUCAUUGCACACUUUCUUAAAUUAACUUGAUUCCUUUUUGUGUAAUUCAUUAUUCUCCAUUAUCUACGUUGCUAAAGCAACAACCGCCAAUACACUAACUGCCAUCAUUCCAACGGAGCCUAUUUCUUUCAUGCCCUCACUCCCAUUCCCAUGUAAUACUAUUGUAGAUGCCGACACGAAUUCUGACGCUUCCACCACAAAAAUACGGUUGUCAAAUUUAGAAACAGCGUGAAACCUUGCCAAAUCCUUCAACAAACCAACAUCAGUAAUGAUUCAUUGGUAUGCGCGGGUUAAUAUAAAUGAUUCUAAACUAUGAACGUUGAUCCUAUUUUGAUAUAUAUAAAUCUAUGUAAAUGAAGAAAUUAUAAUAGUAUAUUGAUUUUUUUUCCUUUAAGGAAUGAUGAAAUCAAGUUGCAACCAUAAUUUCUUGAAACAAAGAAGAUAAUUGGUAUCAUAUAAAAUUUACUACCUCUUUCAUAAAAAUUCUUAAUAUUUAUCACUCAUUUUAAUAUAUGUAAAAGAGAUCUAUAUAUACUAUUUAAUAUGUAUUGUAAUUUUAUCAAAUAUAAAAUUUAUAUAGUCUUAAAAUAUUGUUUCUCGUAUCGUAUAUAUUCUAAUAUGUUAAACCUGUAAAUAAAUAGGUCGUAUAUAUUUUUUUGAUAAAUAUUUAAAUAUAUAUAAUUAGAGUUAAGUUCUAUGGAGUACACAAAAACAUUGGAGUAUUCGAGUACAAGUCUUAAUUUUUUAGUUUAAUCAUAAAUAAUAUAUUUGAUUAUACAAAUUUAUAUACAAUCUAUCAUUCAUAAGUUGUCUUGCACAUAAUUGUCUAUCAAUCUUUAAUAUCUUUCAACUUUAACAAGUAUUAACAUUAUUGUUCUGCUUAUUAGUUAUAUUGCAGAACAUAGAGUCCUGUAAUUUAUAAAAGUCAUUAUUCUACCUUUUGUUUACAAUGUUUAUGUUGUGUAGAACAUAAUGUGCAGGUUAUUAAAUGUUUACGAAUAUUAUUGAACAAAAAAAUUGAAAUUUAGAUGAAUAGAUUAUAUUUUAUCCAACUUUGUACUCCAAUACUCCAAUAUAUUGUGUACUCCAUUGAACUUUACCAUAUAAUUAUAAUAAAAAGUAUAUAUAUAUGUGUCAAAAUAAUGAAGAAAUCUAUAAAUGGACAUAUAUCGAUCAAAAUAGUUAUUAAUGCAAUAAUAUAAUUCAGUAUAAAUUAGUUACUCCCUCCGUGCCUCUCAUUUCUUUACACUUUUUUUUGCAUUGUUCGAUGAGCAUUUUAAGAUAGAAUAUAAUUUUAUAACCUUUUUCUGAAAAUUUUCUUUUCUUAUAAAAAUUUAGAUAAUAACUAUUUAUUCUGAAAAAAAAUUGAAAUAUAUUUUCAAACUAUAUUUUUCCCUUCCCCCGACGUAAACGGAGGGACGGAGGAAGCAGCUGAUUUGAGGUCGUUUACGUGAGCUCUCAGGCCCAUGUUACGGCAUGCUCUUUCUGAUCCGUCCAUGGAUUUCCAACUUUGGGUUAUCUACACGGGCCUGUUCAGCGAGUUUACUAUUCGAGAGUCAGAUAUGCCCACAUAUCGUAGUCAUAGUACCACUGUACUAGUAUGCAAGGUCGGAGCCCAUUCCAUAAUAUUUAAACUUCUGAGCUUCAUAUAUAAUGCCAAUGUCUAUACCAUUACUAGCCUCAAAUUAUAUUUUAAUAUUAUUUAAUAUAAAAUGUUCAAUUAUGUUGUGAAUUAUCAUAAUUACUUUGUUUAGUAUGGAAAGUGAAAACCAUCGUAAUUAUUUAGCCAAACACAAUAUAUUUCAAUUUUCCUAAACUUGUAAGAAACAGUACAUAGCAGUAUUCUUUGCGGAAGACUUGGUAAACCUUUGCUUGAUAAAAUGAAAAAAAAGUAAUUUUUCUAAAGUUUCCGCAUGUUUUUUAAAAUAUUACUUUAAAAUUUAUGAGAAGCAAAUCUCUAUAUAAAAUCUUAUAAAAGUUAAUUAACUUCGUGCAUUCUGCUUGCACGGUUUCAAAACUUUUAUCACAUUGUUGUUAGAUUUCUACAGCAACCGAACUUUUUCGCUAGCACUGUUUUGAGGGACACACCUUUUGAACAGGAUUCUAAAAUCAUUACUUACUCCGUCUCAUUUUACCAAUUUCAUGUAUUUUAAGUUGUUAAAAAAUUCACAUCUAAAUAUAAUUUUUAAAAAAAAAAUUAUAAAAAUCUAAAAUUAAAUUUAUAUAAGAAUUGAUUUUUUUUAUUGUGUGUAGAUAUUUUUUUUUACACCUCAAUGUAUUCAAUAUAGGUGUGAAACAGUCAUGGGAAUAACAAAUAUUUGAAACUUUAGUGAUAAUAUAUAAAAUAUUACAUAUUCCCUCAAUUAUGGCGGUAUCGUACACAAACCCUGUUGAGUAAACUGUAAACCAUCAAGACCCCCGCUAUCAUAAGUCAUAACAGCACUUUUAAGCUCUCUGAGCUAAUUUCACAAACACCUGGUGUGCGUUUUGCUGAUCAUCCAUGAAAGGAAGCAAAACAGCUGUAUCUGUCGUUGAAAAAUGCAAGGUAGCAUCCCUUUAUCCCCCUCUAAUAUCUACUUGCGCAUAUAUGUGUGUAUAUAUUUUUGAUAAUUUAAUUUUUAUUUGCUUAUAAUGUAUUAUGUUCAUUUUGUAGACUAUAUUGACAUCAAAUUGGCAAGGGAAUCUCAAUACCAUCAUGGCUGACGCUCAAGGAAGGUAUUCACUGUGCCCCCAUCACGCUGAAAAUAAAUUAUUUUGAAUGUUUGAUCAGUUACAUUUCUAAUGCAGCAAAGGGGAGAUUUAUACGUCGAAAGUUAAUUACUUCAUUAAGAAAGGGAAGCCGUACUUAUGGGUACCCGAAGAGGACUUGCACAAUGUGGUAUGCAACUUGUUUUUGAUUGGUUUAUUUUUGUGGAUUAUAUUAUGUGAAAUUUUUGCAAGCAUGUGUGUUGCUUGUGUUUAUUCGUAAUUAUAUUGGUGUGUUUUGUUAAGCUCCUGAGAAGUGAAGCAGUUCAUUGAAGUGUUUUUGUAGAUCGUUGUUUCUGUUAUAUUGUAUCAUAAACAUGAUAAUUUUAACUAUGUUGUUAUUACUGUAACUGUUAUUUUUGUUGUUAUCGGUGCUGCUUUUGAAUUUGGUUUGGGGGUACUAUAGCCUUGAAUCUCUAGUGCAUUUUGGCUUGCACGGAGAGAGAAAGUUUCGAAACAAUUUUUUCUGGCAGUGUAAGUGUGUAACCAAAAAGACGUGCCAGAUAACGGAAAACCGGUGAGUGGUGGCUAUCGAGAAGUAUGUGUAACAACCAAAAUAACUUAAACCCAAUUGUUUGAUUAAUGUAGAGUAAACCUCAGAGUUGUGGCCAAAGUUUACAUCGAUUUUCAAAACGUUGGCUAUAGUUCCAAAUUCUCAAAAAGAUGGCCAAACUUUGGCUUCGCUUUUUAAAAGUGUGGCUCUCGUUAAAUGUCACUAACGGGAGCCCAACGGGAGCUCAUUUUUAUCCUUUUGUUUAUUCCAAAUUCUCAGAAAAGUGGCCAAAUUUUGGUCCGCUUUUCAAAAAUGUGGCUCCCGUUAAUACAUUUAACGGGAGCCACACUUUUAAAAAUCGGAGCCAAAGUUUGGCCAUCUUUUUGAGAGUUUGAAACUCUGGCCAACUUUUUGAAAAUCGGUGUAAACUUUGGCCACAAUUUUGAAGUUUACUCUUAUAGUUGUGUGUAAGAAGGUGAGACAGGGUGAGACAUAACUUGGAAUUUGAGAUGAAUGUAUGUCUUUAAAUGGCAAGACUGAGUGUAAGAUAUCAUUAAUUGAAUGACUGAAGUACUGCAUGGGCAACUGUUUUCAUUUCUUGUUGUGUUGAAUAUUUAAAAAGUUAUUGAUGUCAAGUAAUUUGGCUUUUCAACCAAUUUUAGUGGAUUAGAGAGAAUCACUAAAUGAGUGAUCACAGUUCUCCAAUAACACAAUGAAAUAACUUUGCAUUUCAUCUAUAAAUAGCUAGAUUAGUCUAGUUUUAGGAUAUUUUACUACCAUUAGCAGUAGUGCUCUUCACUCCUGCUAGCACUGGAAUGCAAAUGUGCACAUUACUUAGCUGUACGACAUUUUUGAUACUAAUCGGAACCAAUUCCUGGUAAUGGCGUGUUAGUAUAGUAACUAACUCCAAGAAUCUUCUGACUAGUCAUCAAUCCAGACGGUGAAUGUAUCUGCAUAUCUUUCUCAAAAGAAAUUAAUAUUUGUGACUCCCGCCAGAUCAUCACCAGCCGCGAACCUAAACUUGGAUAAUAAUUUCAGAAGUAUGAAAUGUCGUUGUGCUUGAGCUUCGUCCAAAAGUAAUUGUUCUUGUGCAUCGAAAGUGAUUUUUAUAAGUUCUGUUUUUUUAAUUUUUUUGUUACAUAUAUAGUACUUGUGAUAUAAUUGACAGUGAAAUCAAAUCAAAUUUGUAAUUUUUGCAACAUGAAUACUGGUUAUUAUUUUUUCUUGUACACCUUAGUUGUUACCGAUCUUCUAUUUAAGCUUCUCCUUGACGAAUUUACAAACAUGUUAUUGGUUUGCUGCAUGGUUCAAAGUCGUGGACAAAAUUAACUGCUCAAUUUGACUUCUCUUACUUUUCUAGUAACAGUGUGUAGCUAAGUAAUUGAACUCGUCUUUGUGUCUUUUUAUUAUGUAGAAUACUAUCAUCGACGAACGCGGAUCAUUUGCUGUGGCCACACCUUUUCCAGGCCCGCUUUUAAACAUACUCCGGUCAAUGAAAAAGGUUUCUUGUAUAUAAUUCUAUUUCAUUCCAUUUCUUCAAUUGAAAUUAUCUCUUUUUUAUUGCAUAUAUAUAUACAGUAGCUGGCCAAUCAUAUAUGAACUUUGUAAAAUAGGAUCUUGGAUUCUUCAGACAAGUGACUUAAGACACAAUGACACUUUUAAUAUAACAUAUUAGAUGGUCUGUUAAAAAUAUUCUUGGUUAAUAUAUAAACUGGAAUUAGAGAAAAAUAUGACUUUUGGAAAAUAAUUUCCUAAAUAGCAUACAUGUGCAUCAGACAUGUAUCACUUAUCUAUAUUAUCAUUUUUUUAUUUUAUUGAUCACUCACUCAAACAAAUUUCUAAUUGUAAACACGGGCUCUGCAAUAGCACAUUUAUUAUAAUUUCAUGUAAUAUUGUGCAGUUACCACCUCGAGUUGCUCUAAUGGGAGACAUUGUUCCUCUUAAAGAUGAAAAGGUAUGAUAUCUAUUAAAUCCAUCAGAUUCAUAUAUAAAACUUCUUUCGAAUGACUUCGAAAAUUUUCUUAACUGUUUCCCUAGAACUGUUUUCUUUUGAGGUGAUAGGUCUGUACUCUGUAGCAUGACAUAGGAUUUGUCACAUUAACUGUUCUGAUAUUCUUCCAAGUUGGUGAUUCUUAUUCCUUUGGGGUUUUCGUCAUCUUAGAGUUUCUUGCUGUUUCAAGUGUUGGUUUUGUGGCUGCAGUGAAAUUUUAAUGGGAAAUUGCUUAAAUAAUUAUUCAGGGUACUUGUGUCGCACAACCUACAGUUACGCCCCAUUAAGUUCGAAGGAAAGAUCAGGGGGACAAUGGAAUGAAAUAUUUACUAUUCAUCAUAAGUUUAUUCCUUUCCUCAUUUUGCUCGAGCAAAUUUUGCAAAUCACACUAUAGCUCAAUUCUGCCAAUCAAGGGACCGAUGCUUGUUCCCAUGUUCCUACCUCCUGCUUACAUCCUUUACAACCCUUAUUUGUAGAUUAUUGGUGCCUGUUCUUGUUCACUUAUUUCUACUGUAACCUUUUAAUCCAAUCUUGAUUUCCUUGCAAUUUCUAAUUCCAUUCCUCCUAGCCGAAUGAAACAUAAGCAUUUAACAUGGUUGCUUGUACACAAGGGAUAACUGACGGGGACCUAAUUCUUUGGGAAUUUUUGUAUUGAGUUUAUUGCAAGUAGUUAUAGACUUUCUGAUGUAUUAUGCAACUUCUAAUUAUCGCAGGUAAAACUUGUAUUUUCAUGAAAUAUAAUUUAAUUUGUUGGAUUUGAAACUCCACCAUUUGAUUAGUCGCUACUCUGUGAAGCACCCCUAUACAUGUGAUGUAGGUUUAGCUUUUUAGGUUAACUGCUAGUAUUAACUCCGUAAUUUCUAUUUUCUUUCCGUCAUGUCGCAGGUUCAGUUAGCUACAGAAUGCCUUAGAGAAACCAUAACUUCUGAACAGAAAGCAUUUAAGGAAUCUAGCUAUUCAGUUUCUGGUGUAUUAAGCACUGCCAAUCUGGAGUCCACUUCAAGAAGCCAAAAUCUUCAGGAUCUCCUUGAUAGCAAUAAAAGCUACACAGUAUAUAAGUUGGAUUUAAGGUAGCAAAUUUUAUUAUUAUAUCGUUUACUUUAUACAAUAUUUCAUCAAAAUGUUGUUUUGUAUGGAACAUAGAAAGUUAGAGAAAAGUACUUGAAGUAUAAGACAAACACACAUCGAAGAGGAUAAACUAUUAAGCAAAGCAAAUUUAUCUGUUAUAUUUCGCUCGUAGAGCAUGAGUCUGGAGUGUAAGAUGUUUGCAGACCCUACCUUGACUAGUUGACUCAUGAAAGGAUAGGCUGUUUAUGCAAAGACCCUCAUCCCUAAGCCUUGACAACGCAAUUACAAUAAUAAAACACAUACAUAAAAGCAGUAUAGACACGAACACAAUACAGUAGGAGCCCUCUAAGUUAAUACGUUCUAAACCUAUAACUCUCUAAAUUGAUAAGAGGUCCCUGUCCCAAGUUGGGACCAAUAUUAAAAUUUAAUAACCCUUCUGUUGUGAUAACUAAUAUAUUUUAAGAUAAUCCCAGUGUUAAAUAUCGGUCCCAACUUUUGCAUAAAGUGAUGUUCUCGACUAUAUACAAUUUUGUAUACACUUUGUGAUCGUGAUUUUUUUUUUUUUUAAAUAUUUAUCGGUGCAAUUUUUUCUUGUUAAACAUCCACACCAUGUAUUAUUAUCUAAAUUACUUUUAAUUCAUCUUUAUGAUAUCUUUUAUGUCAUAUUGAUGAUUUUUUUUUCAAUUUAGGGAAUGUUAUUUAAAUUUAUAUGUGUUAUUUUGACCCCGGAAGCAUGGUUGUCAUGUCGGUCGACUAGUCGCGACUAGUCGGCGACUAGUCGAUUAAGCGAUGAAGGGAUGUCGACUCAACAUUUCGACUAGCUGAAUGUCGAUAUUUCGGUCGCCUGGUCGACUAGUCAGUCGACUAGUCGACUAAGCGGUCGACUAGUCGACUAUUUCAGCUACAGAUUGAGCAUUUUGACUUUUUUUAUUGCCGACUUCUUAUUGUUUCCACUUUCCAGCAGAAUGUGUUUACUGAUAUGUUAAUGGUUUCUGGUUAUGUGUUUCUUGCAUUCUGUAUUUCUAAUUUCUGCACUCCGCAGUUUGAUUUCUGUUACUGUUUGUUCUGCACUUAUGCAGAUUUCUGCUCUUUAUUCUACAGAUUAUUGCUUUUGCUCUGUUUAUUUGUAAUCUGCAUUGUGCAUAAAUAAUUCUGUACAUAUUAUUUCUGUAUAAUUUUGUUGUGCACUGCACUACCAGUACCAUACUUAAUUACAAAUUACAACACAUCACAGUAUCACACAAUUGUUAAUUUGUUAAUUGUUACAUAUUUUACAUGAUCAGAAGUACUUUGCUUUGUUGUUAUUUGUUAACUCUUUCCACUUUUCCGUCAUUCUCUUCACGUGUUCGAUCUUUAAUUCCUUAGAUUCUGGAAUAUAAUAUUGUGAAGGUGUCAGAACUUGGGAAACCUGAAUUACAUAAUGUAUAUAUAUUAUAUUCAAUAUAUAAUAAUAUAUUAUUUUUUGCCGACUAGUCUGCGACUAGUCUACGACUAAUCGACUAGUCAACUAGCCGAAGGUCCAUCGACUCGCUUCGACUUACCGACGUGACAACCAUGCCCGGAAGUGUUAAUGCAUAUAAAUAUAAGUAAAUCACUUGAAAAUAAUGGAUAUGAUAUGUAUUAGUAGGUAGAAUAUUUAUUAUAAUUAUUUUUAUCAAAAAAUAGAAACCUCUCUUAUAUGAUAAGUUGAUAACCUCUCUUAAGUGAUAAACUUCUCUAGUCCCAAAAAUAUAACUUUACAGGAUUUCUACUUAUAGAACUCUAUAAAGUGAAUACCAAGAGGUAAAAUGUCAAGCACUAAAUGGACGGAGAACAAACGGGAAGCAUAUUACACCAAAAGAAAUUAACCAUUAAGCACUCCCGUCCGCACACCCACCCACACUCCUAUACUACAUUACUACCAUCCCCUUUACCCCCAAUUACAGGAACUUUCAACCCUUUAGGAAUGUCAGCUGUUAUGUCCUCAAAUAAGGUUCAACUUUAGAUGUUGAUGUAAUGAAUUUUAGUAUUAACUGCUCCAUUCACCACGAUGAACUAUGUUAACCUUAACAAAUCUGCUUUUUUGUAAUUCUGAAAAUUCGAAUACCACAAAAUACAAUUAGUGUUGAAAUAUAAUGUAGUAAAUGGUUAAUUUUGCCAUUUGUUUUGUCUUUGCUUUUCUGUCUUUCGUGUUCCAAUUCUUACCACCUUAUUCUGAGUUCUUAUAUACAGUAUAUCUUAUUGCUUGUUUCACCCAUGUACUGUUUAUUGCUUGGCUGAGACUAGGGGUGAAUAAUCAUCUUAUCUUCUUAGUAUUUGUUGUCUGUUUUGAAAUUACAAAUUGAUUACCAGUACUGAAAGCUACUUUUUCACCUCCCUUUACUUUACAUGGUAAAUUAUUUAUCUAUGGUCAAAAUGGUAUCACCCUUUUAUUUCUUAAGUAUCUUUUUGCACAUUAAAGAUAUAUUAAUAAAAAGUUUGAGUUUCAGUUGAAACUCUGAUUGGAGUAAUCUAUGUGGGUGAGGUAACAAGGCAGAUAAUAGUUGUAAAGUGUUAAACACACUGUUCACAAAGUUUAAAACUUUCAUAGCAUGAAGCUUAAAGCUAAUCACCGUUGCUAUCCGAGGUACAAUUUUAGAGAUUUGAGACAAUGUAGGCCUGUAGGGCUCAAUUUUAUAUCUACCACUUAAUUUACUAUAAUUAAAGUAUGUACUAGCCAUGUGAUUAGCUAUUACUUAUCUACCAACUUUUAACAUUUUAAAGUCCUGGUUAUCUUCUUAGUCCUGGUUUGUCCGAUUUUUGGCCCUGGUUUGGUGUUUAUCAAGGCAAAGCCUUGAAUUUGAUAAUACUAGUACCUUGUUUGGGAUACAAGAUUCUGAUUAACAAAAAACAUAUAAUUGCUAUAUUUACAGUAUCAUAUGUAUGUACCUGAAACUCUCACAGUUAACCCAAGGGUCAUGUGUUCAUAUCUGAAAUUCCUCUACCGCUGUUGCGAUUCCGAUGAUGAUUCCAAAAUAAUCCCUACCCUAACUGCUUCCCCAACAUCACAGUUUUCAGUUACUGUCCAUUCAACUCGUGUCACCAAUUUUCAUCCCAAUAUUAACAUUUUUAUACUCUGGAACUCACUGCAAAGGAUUGAAGCAGUGGAGUUCCUAAAUAACAUUAGAUCUGUAGCAGUUCCUCAGACAUAUGUCAUUUCUAAAAAGCGAUAUGUUGUAAUAUUGUGAAACCUGAUUAUUUGUAAACCAUAUACUCGAAAGACAAUGUAAUGGGACUCAAACAGAUUGGUAAGUUUUGAGAUUUAUUCUUUCGGUAUAUAAAAUUAAUAUCAACAUUGAAGGAAAAUUUAUUCAUGAAGUCACAAGGUAAAAUACGUUCAAGCUGGAAAAAACAAUCAUGCGUCUGGCGUAAAAAUGAAAUCAGACCAAUUUUCCAAUGGAUUCUUACUUGGGAUACUAGGAUGACAUUGUUCAGUAUGCUUACUCCUGGUAGCGAAAUUAAGACUUUCAUGCAAAAGAGUUUUAUUCAUCCCGUAUUGACAUUACAAAAGGACCCUUGUAGAGAUGGCAGAAAAAACCGAUCCGAAUGGAUACUCGACCGUUUCGACCCGAAUGGAUAUUACCGAACCCGAUAUUUUGGAUUUGGAUUUGGAUACUAGGUUUUCCUUAUCGAAACCCGACCCGAAAUCCAAACCCGAUCCAAACCCGAAGCCCCAAAAAAAAUCAAAUAUAUAUAUAUAUAUAUAUAUAUAUAUAUGUGUGUGUAUGUAUACUAAUAUACUUUUUUUCAAUUUUAAAUCUACUAAAUUUUGUUUAUAUAUAUAUAGGUAGAGUGUGAAUGUGUAUAUUCUUGGGUUAUAGUGACUUUUUUUGUUUAACUAAUGAGUUACUUUAAAAUUUCAUACUCCAUAUAGCGAAGAUUUGUGUUUAGAAAUUAUUAAAUACUGUUCAAGAUUUUAUUAAUGUGUAAUAAUUUAUUAUUAAAGUAGUUUAGUUUUAAAUAUAAUGAAAUUUAAGGGCGAAAAAUCAAAAAUAAUAUUUUUACAAUAUUAUAUAAAUUUCGGGAUUCAGGUUUUGGAUAAACCCGAACAAACCCGAACCCAAUCCGAAACCAAUCCGACCCGUUGCCAUCUCUAGACCCUUAGUAUGUAAAUAAAUAGAUUUUAGUCGAAUCAGUAAAGGUUAAGUUAUUGAUACCACUUUCUUGAUCUGAAAACUUUUCUGCUAUGUGUAUCUCUCCGCAGCUCAUGUACUUACAUAGACAGCAACGGAAGUACCCAUGAAGUAGAUUUGGAGACAAUUAGAAAAACUAAAGCAGACGCUCUAUGUAAGUUCAUAAAAUUCUUGUCUUCCCUCCCCCCAUCUAAGCGAGUCACUCAUGAGCAGUAAUACCGUGUGUGUGUGUGUGUGUGUGUGUAAUAGUUGCUGGUAACUAUAAUAUUUUAGUUUAAUCCUUCUUAGUCCUUACGCUACGAAAUUGUCUUCUGUAGCACCUUUCUCUAUGAGUUUAAUCGAUGGAAUUAAUCAAAGUGAAGCAAGGAGGAGAGCACUGAUCUUUUUCUGCAUCACAUAUUUAAAUAAGAAUGUCAAGGUAAGUCAUUAAUCAUCAAAUUUCUGUGAACACCAAGGAACCAUGUAUAGUAUGCAGUGAGAUAUAGGAGAAAUCAAAUAGGGCUUACUUAAGGCUUUUCUCUGCACAUUUGAGUAAAUAAUACUUCCUCCACUUUCGAUGAAUUGAUAUAUGAAGUUUGGAAACAAUGAGAAAUUGGUUUGCUGAUAUUAUAAUAAUUUAGAAAAUUCACUAAUUAAAAAAGCAUGAGUUUUGUAGUUCAUGUGUAUACAGACAACUGGAAACUUGGGUAAAAGCCGCUAAAUAAUCUUUACAUUUUAUUUCUGGAGAGAAUAAGUUGAGAUAAAUGAUAAUUUGUGUGGUUAGUCAAUAAGUCAGAUAGUUGUAGUAACUGAUAACUCUAAUAUGAACACAUAUUUACAUAUUCUACGGCAAGGUUGCUAUCUUAAUGGGAAUGAGGAUACUAAUAUGUGUUCAAAGGCGUAGCUUGUGACUCACUCGAGUCUAGCAGAAUCAAAUAAGAAUUUCAAAUAAAUGAACUUGAGCCAUAUCUGAUUGAGGCAAAACAAAAAUUAAUUGGAAUCUGAGCGAGUUAUAUGAAUUCGAGUAGAAUCUGACAAUGUAAGUAUUCGUAGGCAUUUUAUUUGGUUUCACCCCUCUCCUAGUAAUUAAUAUGUGUGGAAUAUUAAAAAUUUGGUGCGUUCACUUGCCUAAAUAAAUUGAGGUUUGAGGUUGUAAUUUGAACACUUUACUUGCUGGAAAAUAAAUAUUGGAAAAUAUUACUAGUUCUACUUUGAAUCACAUGAUAACAGACUUGUACCUGUACUGUAAUUUAUGUAGUAAAAUAAUAAAUUGUGGCAACAUAUACUUCCUAGAAGGCUGAAACUUAUUGUAAAUUCUAGCACUGAUAAUUUGUAAUCCAUCAUGCAAGCUACAGAGAACUAAAAUGUUAUACUAUUAUCUCUGAUGGAAUAUACUUGAUCGACCAUGAACUUUCACGUUCUAGUUCAAAGCUAUGUGAUGUUAAGUGCAUUGCUAAAGUCUUGGACUAUCAAUCCAUAAUAAACUAUUGUCAGCAGUUUCCUAGAACCUGUUAUUCUUUCACCCAAGUUCUUUCCCUUGUAUCAUACGGAUUCCUUCUUCAAGUAACCUUUACGUUUCCUGAACAGGACGCGUUAAUGCUCUCUGCCGAUAGGAAAGGCUUUGACGUUCUAGGCAAGACUCUUGGGCCAGUGAUGAAUGAUGGUUCCCGUCAGUACCUGUGGGAAGAACUCAGAUUUGAGCUCAAUGAAGAAGCAAAAGAUAUUGAAUCAUUCUGUCAACAGCUUGUCUCAAUGGAAGUGGAGGCCCUUAAAACUGUCUCCAAGUUCAGUGGUAUAUGAUGCGCAUAGCCAUAUUCAUACCAGUAGUGGCCUAUGAGAAUGAGACAUGAUGUCUGCAAAAUUGAGGUAAGACUGGAGAAUUAGAUUAAUUUUGCCAAAAUAGUUGUAUGCUUCUGUCUUUGUAUACUACAUUUAUGAUUGUGUUUUUUUGAAAAAAACUUCCGAUCCUUGAAAUUUCUAAUCAAUUCGUCCAAGCCAGUUUUCUUAGGUUCAGCUCUCACAGAUAUACACGGUCAUGGACCUUUGGAUAUAUGAUUUGGUGGAAUUGGCUUGGGUUGUGAAACUGGUGUACCAUAAAUUUUACAGUUUAAGAUUUUCUAUUCACUUCAUUGUGCUAAGUCUGCAAAUUUGUCUGGUGGCUGCAAUACUCCAGAGAGAUUUACAAGUAUAGGAAAGGAUUCAAAGUGAUGAUCAGUACACAAUAAAAGCUAUGAUCUUGUACCACUAUUUUUUUAAAGCCGGAUUUCAACACAAUAUCAUAUUCUCAUGCAUGAUUCGUAAAUACGCAGUAAUAUGUAUAAUUUCGAGUAAAAUGCAUGACUGCUAUUGGGUUGGCUUCGGAACUUAAAACUUGUCAGUUCUGUGCAGAAAUAUCAUUUUGAACAAUGCAUGUAACAAAGAUUUGUCCUCGCUUGUUCAAAAUGUUGUUUUUUAUUUGAAAUUAGUUAAAAUCCAUAUAUUUUUUUGUAUUUCGUGUUCCCGUGUCACGUGUCAAAUCGUCGGGUCUAGAAAUAAGUCAUGCGACAUAAACCCUCAAAGAAAGACUUCAAGACUAUAAAGUCCGUUAACCACAAGAAAUGGAUUACUAUCAAAUAUAGAAAAAAAUGGGGGUUUACUAUGAGCAAACUCGUGCGUUUACCAGCUUCUUUUAUACAUAUAAGAGCCAGGCAAGAAAUGAAGAAGAUGAAUGGGGAGACCAUUCAGAAGUGACGUGGCACGUGAAGAAAAGCAGUAGGAGACUACCAAGUCCGACCAUAAGCAUCUUCUGCUUGCGGUAGAGCCUCCUCAGCUCAAACUAUAUACUUUAUAUAUCUUACUUUAUCAUAUGUGUCCAGUGGUGAUAUCAGACACGACUCGAACCCGACCCGAACUUGUAACCCAUUUACUGAAACAAAACUCGAAAGUGACUCGAAAAUUACCUUCAAUUUUCGAAAUUUUCAAUUUUCAGUUUUAUUUAAUUUUAGAUGAUUUUACCUUGACCCGAAAUCGACCUAAUUGCUGACAUGAACACGACUCGUUAUCCGAAAUUGCCACCCUUGCCUCUAGUAAAGUUCAUACUGCCCCAUAAUUUCGUUGUUAUUUUAUUUUCCGCAAGGCUCAUGUAAAUUGUUUCUGAUGACCCCCCGCCCCGCCCCACAUUUCUUGUUCAUGAAUGUAGAUGUAUUGCCGGUGGCAAAAUCGACCAGGAGAUUCCAGCCUAAUGUUUGUACAAUUUGACUUUAUUAUUUAAGUAGUUUUUAUGGUCUUGAUUCAGUUAUAAGGAUUUUAUGGUAAUGUAUUUCUUCUCGAUUGUUCAAAAAAAUAGUUGUAAUACUAUAAUAUGUAUGAGUAAUGUUAAGUACAUCAAAAUCUUUUCCCAAAUUUAAUAAUAUUUUCGCAAUAUGUGAAAUAAUAAUAUUUAAAUUUGCGGGACGAGAUUGGAAUUAAGAUGAACAUGAUCACAACAUCCAGCAGUCCCUUAUUGCAGCUCGAUCUUUAAAAAUUCCGUGCCUUGUAAGAGUGAGAUUCUCUCCCAAACACGUCACAUUCAGAUCUCUUUGUAGCAAAAGCAUAAAUCACGAACAUCAAGCUCAUAGCAAAAUGUUGUGGAGCCUUACAUAAUAUAUAUAUUCAUGCAUAUGUUCGUUUGCAUGUGUAUCAUGUCUUGAGGGUCGCAUCAGUCGGCUGCACAUAUUUUCAUCCCCUUUCGUCACCGGAAAACUUGGAGCUUCAUAGUUGAGACCUGAAUGUGUUUUCAAAUUUUGGUCACGACUAGGGUACUCCUGUGUUUAGAAUUUUAAAUAAAGUGAUGUGACACUUUUUAUGUUUAGACGCUUUUUUGAUUUGGUCUCAAACAAUUGUUUUCUGCAGUAUGCAUUUUAAAGUUCGAAAAACGCUUCGCUUUGCACCCCAUGACCAUUCUCCGUUUAAUUGACCGUUAAAGUUAACAGAUUUCAGAUUUUCAUCAGAUUUUCAUUUUGCACCCACAAGUAUAAUUUUUUUUCAUGAGCAUUUUGAUUUUUUUUUCAUGAAUCAAAAAUUUGUUUAUCAUUUUCGUCUGCUAGGAUAUUAAUAAUCCAAAUUAUCCGAAACUUAAUGUGGAAAACGAUACAUGCAGAUGGAUAAGCCCUCUAUACUCGGGGAUGCUGCCCUAUUGUUCUUAUCGUAAGAUGAAAAACAAUCAACAUCACCGCAAAUGACAAGAACAUUUUGCAUUCAUGAAAAAAAUAUAUUUCAAAAUACUCAUAAAAAAAUUAAAAUUGUGGGGUGCAAAGUGAAAACCUGAAAUAUGUUAACUUUAACGGUCAAUUAAACGGAGAGUGGUCAAAAAAGUGCAAAGCGAAACGGUUUUCAAAUUUUAGGGUGCAUACUACCAAAAAAUUUGUUUGAGACAAAAUCAAAAAUGCGUUUAAAUAUAAGGAAUGCAAAGUGUCAAUCACUCUUUUAAAUAUAUAAAUGAAAUUUAGAGAGCUAGCUAGGCUGUAUAUGAACUUAAAUGUAAACCCGAUUCAUUCGUUUUCAUGUCUUAACUAGGAAAAUUUAAAGUGCAUGAGUAUCAACUUAUAAACCCCAUCCAUUUAUAUAUAUAGUCUUUCUCUGUGUCCUAAUUUAUUAGAAAAAUCUAGUGCAUAUUUGGCAUAGUCUGCUUCUAACUUUUUUCAAUAAGAAACCUGCUUCUACUUUCCAUCACCCGUUUGUGUAAAAAAUCAGAAGCACUUAUAAAAAACUAAGAAUACUAACUUUUGUUUCGGACUUCUACUUCUUUCCAAAAUAGUUUAAUCAUUUAUAAGUCUUAAUUUACUUCUCACUUAUAAUCCACUUCUUUAUUUUAAGUAAGUAAGAAGCAUUUUUUUUAAAUUUAUCCAAGCGGGCUUACUCUAGUUCCCCCACCCCAGAGAUCGACAGAUCAACUUUCUCAAAUGUUAUACUCUAACAUUGCGUUAACUUAGAUGGAAUAAAAUGGAAAGAGAAUGUAAUGAAAUUUAUGCUGGGGUAAUCGAAAAAAAGUCUAUAAGAUCAAUUUCUUCUAUCAUUACAUUCCAAAAUAUUUAAAUAAGAAAUUUCAUGUGUUUUAGAAGGAAUGCUCAUUUCACUUCUUCACUAUAAUUUUUUAUUAAUAGAAAAUUAAACUUACCUAUAUUUAGUUAAUUACUACAUUCUCCUUCUUUUCUUUUUCUUCAUAAUACUUCUUUGAUGUUUCUCAUAUUUCAUUUCAUCCAAGUUCAUUUCAUCCAAGUGAAUACAACCUAACUGUGCUGUGAUCAUUACAACUUUAAUCCCUAUCAUAUAUAAUGUUAUAUGUGUGACCACUACAACUUUUGGUAACCGUAUAAAAUCACAUAAGAAAUCUUCCUCAAAACCCUAACAAAAUUUAUAACUAAAGUGAGAGUGGGCUAUAUAUAUAGGUAGCCAUCAAGAAAUAAAUAAACAGACACACACUUCUUCCUUUAUCUUUUCAUCCUCCACUUCUUGCUUUCUCUCUCUCAGCUUUAGUGACGCAAAUUUCCACCAUAAACCACCCAAACUUUAUCAAAAGAAAGAAAAGAAAGAUUAAAAGAUCAAAGCACUAUGGUUUUCUCAUCUGUUCCAGCCUUUCAAGUACUGGAUCCUCUCAAUUGGCAAUACCAAGUAAGUUUUUACAUUUAUCUCUUCAUCAUGAUUAACUUUAUAUCUACUUCUUGGAAAAAUUUGGAAUCUAGUAGCUAGUUGUAAGAUGUGUAUAUACUCUUAGACAUGUUACAAGAAAGAAUUCCGCACUUUCACAUGGACUUUUGACACCAAAUUUGUCGGAUUGACUUUAAAUUUAAGUAUGAUAUAUAUAUAUACAGAGAAGUGCUCAAAUACAAACUAUAAUCGAUUGGUUUUGGCUUUAAAUUUACAGCCACCAGGAGGAUCAGUAUCGGAUAACAAUAACGAUGAUAGCAAUCACAACCACCUCACACUACCACCUAUGCCUCCGUCUCACGGCCUUCCAAUCGGGCCUAAUUCAAUGGCAGAGAGACCUAAGUUAACAAAGCUUCCACCUCAAGAAACAGCCUAUAAAUGCCCGCGUUGUGCAUCCACCAACACGAAAUUUUGCUACUACAACAACUACAGUCUCUCACAGCCAAGGCACUUUUGCAAGGCCUGUCGUCGCUAUUGGACUAGGGGCGGUGCACUGAGAAAUGUACCUGUCGGUGGUGGCUUCCGGAGGAACAAGAAAAGUAAAAGAAUUAGGUCAAAGUCUCCGAUUACAUGUAAUAGCUCAGCAAGUGGAGUUUCUUCUGGUAGCUGUACCACGAACAAUAUUUUAGGUCAUUCAGCCCCUUCAAUUUUACCACAAUUUCCUUUGUUGCCCUCGAUGAAAUUCACUGAGAUUCUUGGAGCUGAGGAUAUUAACAGCUUGAUUUUCCGGGGAAUUCAGUCCCCAGCUGCCGCGUCUGGUGAGUAUAGUGAUCAAUGGAGAUUGCAGAAAUCCGCUGUUGCGCCUGGAGUACUGGAACCAUUAUCAACAGGAGUGACGUAUCAGUUUCGAGGUGAAGGUCUAGGGGAAGCUACCACCAGUCAGCAUGAUUUUAAGACAGCAGACUAUUCUAGUGGCCCUUCUCAAGCUGAGUUGAUAAAAUUUGGAGAAGAUCAAGGAUUCAUGAGUUUGCCGAAGAACGUUUUGGAUUUUCCGGGGAAUGAACAACAAGAGUAUUGGAGUUCUGUCUAUGCAUGGAAUGAGCCAAAUGGUUUAAAUCCUUCUACAGGUCAUCUCUUGUGAUUUAAAUAAUUUUUUGUUUCCUUCGAAACCCUAUUUUAUCCAGCGCUGGACUAUAUAUUAUUUUUGUUUGAUUAAUCUCGUGUGUUUGAUGUAUAUUGAAUAUAAAUCUCUCUGCUAUCUUAUACAUGAAGACUACCGUAAUUUAAGAAUUUGUACUCAGAUCAAGGGUGAAAGAAGCAUUGGCCGAGUGAAUGAACGUGUUCUGUUAUUUCUACGACUGAAAACCCUAAUGAAGAAGAAUGGAUUAGUAUGUUUGUUUUGAAUUUUGAUAUGUAUUGAUCUUCUCUAUAAGAAAGAUAUUCUUGUGUAACUACAAUUUAAGAUCAACAUAUCAAGGGGAUGAAUAUAUGUUUAUUUAUAUAUAGUAGAUAACCUUUGAGCACUGAUAAUUGGUUCCUGCAUGCGUACUUUUAUGUUGUGUCUGGUUAAAGUGAAUGAAUUAGGAGAAACGGAAUGAAAUUUUAAAUAUGUUAUGGACAAUAUAAUUGUUUAUAAUUUUCAUUCCUUCCCCCAUUCUAUUCCUCCUUAGCUAGUAAGUACUUUUUACGAGUAUAGGCUCGUAAAAAUGUUUCAUUUCCACAGAUGUGUAGGCAGUUGCCAGUCACUCCCCAUGCAUGUUUGUUCAAGCAAAUAUAGUAGUACGUCUAGUAGUCCUAGCUCGAUGAGCAUCAACUCAUAAAGAACGUACUGAUGAAUUAAAUUUUGUACUUCUCUCCCAUGCCCUAAAACAACCCUCUUUCUUGGACAGUUCAAUUCCCAAUGUUGAAUAGUAAGAUGAUCACUUCAGAUUCAUCAGCUUUUUAUGGUGGGAGAUAGGUGUCGUCAAAGUGGAGUAUUCGAGUAAUUAAUGAGGUUCGGCCAUGCUUGAAUACUACUCUACUCUCCCUUAAUUUCCUUUCUCAAAGCUAGCUUCUGGUAAUUAUAAAGAUCGACAAUAAAAGCCUAUUCUCCAGUACACGCACUCUCCUUUAGAUUCAGCACUUCUGUGCAGGGUAAUAACAUAAAUUGGGACCUCAAUGUAUCCCAUGUUUUAGUGUUCGAUUAAUUUGCAUUUUAGCUUUCCUAAGUGAGAACUGAGAACCUCAUAUUCAUCAAGUCGUAGGUAAAUAAUUUACAAUACAUCUCUUUUUGUGAUACAAUAGCGUUUCCAUUCUUAUUUACCUCAACCUCAUAUUCAUCAAGUAGGUAAAUAAUCUACGAUACAUCCCUUUUUGUGAUGCAAUAGCGUUUCCAUUCUUACUUACCUCAAUUCGACUAUUCUCAUACUCUUCAUUCCAUUUUCAUUAUCAUCCGCCAUCGGACAAUGCCCUUAGUCUAGAGAAGCACAUGAAUGUCAGUGUGAUGGGAAAUAAUUUUGUAAGAAUGAUACAACAAUGAUCCAUAUAUAUGAUUGAGACAUAAUUAAAGUGGUGGCAAAAGAGUAAUACAUAAAGAAGAGCCGCUGAGUGUAACAACUACAAAUUAUUUAGUAACAGAAUCUGUACUUAAAGUUUGUUGGGGCUGCCAAUUGCUUUUGUGAUAACCAGGACAAGGCAAAGGCAAAGCAAAACCUCGCCCCCCUCCCCCUCUGUCAAAAAGCUUCUGCGCAUAUAUUACACGCACGCACUCGCUUUCUAUCAAUGUGUGCAUGAUUUGUGAAAUAAUUUAGCGAUGGUUGUAGUGGUUGUGUCCAUUUGCUGAAGAUAAAAAAAUGUGGGGCGCGACUGCCACACAAUCACUUCCUACACCGUAUUUUUUAUCUUUAAAAAACACGAUACUUAAUAUGAUUAUCAGCGAAUUCUAUGAAUAUACCAGAUAUUGAGAUUAUAUAUCGAAUAUUAUUUUUCAAUGUCUUUUAAUAUUGAGUCUAUUUUAAAAAUAAGGGUGAGUGUACAAGUCCGGACAUGUUUUGUAUAAAUAUAAUUCAGUCUCGGUUAGAAGAAUUGAACACAUAUCGGAGCAAGAAAAAAAGAUGUCAGCCUUAUCGGAUAUAGGCUGAUUAAUUAAAUGUAUACAUGAUAGUUUUAAAUCUUGCAGGUGAUAUAACAUUAAAUAAGAAAAAUGGAGGACGGCGUAUUAAAGUUGUUGAGUCUUGAUCCAUGGUUUAGAGAGUAAGUUCACUUUGAAAAAAUCUUGACUUUGGUCUCAUGGCUUACAGUGGGUCACUUCAUUUUGAAGAAUUUCAUAGGCUAUGUCGACUUCAAUCUGAAGUGUUAUGUCAUUUUGGUUUGAAAAAAAGGCUCGUAUCAUUCGAUGACAGAGAAUUUCAUGACAAAAGCGAGUAUCAUGUUUAGAAAAUUAUAGAUCAAGAUACUAUUUAGUAUUUACAUAUAUAUAUAUAUAUAUUACACUCACACACACACACACACACACACACACAUAUAUAUAUAUAUAUAUAUAUAUAUAUAUAUAUGAGGUCGAAAAUGACAUUUGAAAACUGAAACUUGAAAUCAGGAAUUCAGUGGNNNNNNNNNNNNNNNNNNNNNNNNNNNNNNNNNUCCCUACACUUUUAUAAUAAAGACAUGGUUUUCGUAUACAUUUUACCCUUCCCACACCUUAAUCUAAGUGGGAUAUAGUUUGUAUGUUUAGUCUGGUUUAGUUUAUCUUUCAGUAAAUAUAAACACAUUUACGAGUUACGACUCAUUCUUGAUUUUUUUUUUUUUAAAUUCGCUCACCUAAUCCUAAAAAGAAUUAUCUAUUAAUUUACUGAUUAUAUUUCGAUUUAGCUAAAAAUUCCUAUUUAUCCAAUUUUUUUUAAUAAAUUCUAAAUUAAUAGAUCAAUCGAUUAAUUUCGAUACUAAUUUUUACGAAUAAUUAUAUAUGUUGUCACAUCGGAGCUUUUAUUUGUGUUGCAUGUUCUGCUCCGCCCAUACCAUGGUCGAUGUACCCUCCUUACUUCUGAUGAUAAACAUACUAAUUAAAUGUAGUGUAUGUAUGUUUCUCUUUUGCUAGCCUAUUGUUUCUUUAAACAUUCAACCGGUAGUCAUUCCAAUUGUUCAAUUUUAAGCAAUAAUAAUUAAAUUAUUCGAGGACUCUCAACACUACAAAAAAAAAAGGACAAAAUCGACCGGAUAAAAUCGACUGCCUAAAAAAAAUGUCAACUUAAAAUCGACUGGCAGCAAUCGGUCGGUCAUGAGACAGCACGACAUCGUUUUGCCUUGCUGACAAGUUCCAAGAACUCUCGUGAAUCGGAGAUAUGCUCUUUCUAGCUCGCUCGUCCGCUGAGAGAUAUAGCAAAAGAUAACGUGCAUGAGAUCAGGUAGAUUAGUCCAACACAUUCGUUUUAUAAUAUUAACACUUGUGUCUUGGUAAUUAUAUAUCUAGCAAUUUUACAUACGCUACGCGUUUGAUUGUGAAGCGAGAAGCAGUUGACUAGGCUGGUAUAUCAUCCAGCGACUCCUUGCGAGUUUCCGUCUCACAUUACUAAAUUACUGUAUUUUCCUAUCACGAAAAAGACGCGAAGAACUCAUAUAUUAUUCUACACUUAAUUUUUUAAAUUUUGUUUAAAGUAAACUUCAGAGUUGUGGCAAUGUUUACAUCGAUUUUCAAAACGUUGACUAGAAUUCCAAAUUCUCAAAAAGAUGGUCAAACUUUGAUUUCGCUUUUCAAAAGUGUGGAGUCUAAUGAGAGCCACAUCUUUGAAAAACGGACCAAAAUUUGGCCACUUUUCUAAGAAUUUGGAAUUCAUUUUUACCUUUUUGUUACAUUCCAAAUUCUCAAAAAAAUGGUCAAAGGUUUUCUUACAUAACAGCGUGGUCUAGGAACAAAUGAUGCAAGUCGACUUGUUCAUUUGGAGUUUUAUGCAGCUUCUGCUAUUAUCCGAUAGUGAUCUCAUUUUAGCCUUUAAGCUCAAGAGAAAUUUCUGUUCGCUACUUCUUCAAGCAAGUUGCAAAUAUUUAGCUCACAACCACAUCACUAGUCAACCAGAGCAGCUGUCAUAUAUGUUUAAUUUAUCUUCAAAAAUGUAUUCAUAUUUGUUAAGAACUUUCUUUUUAUUUUUUUUAUUUUUAAUCAUCGGUCAACGUACGUACGAGGCAGUUGACCACAAGCCUGGCUAAACAUUCAAAGUAAACCCUACAAGCUGGAAGAUGCCCAGUACUUAUAAAUCCAUCAUUUUUCUCAAACUCAAACGCUGACUUUACACUAUAAUUCUAUAAAUAUAACAAGAACAAGUGUACAUAAUUCACAAAACAAAAAACACACAAAUUUUCUACACUAAAGAGAUUAUACAGUUGACAUAUAUAGCUGAGGAUAUAUGGCACCACCUCCAACGCCGCCCGUCGUAGCGCCGCUAGUAAAACUAGUGGUGAGAGUGCUUACUUUCAUUUGCUUGCUCAUAGGACUCAUCAUCCUCACCACCAACACCGCCUCCAUUUUCAUCAACUUUGCGGAAUUUAAGAUCCGUUUCCAGGAUGUUAAAGCCUAUAGGUAUAAAUCUUCAUACUUUUUUUUUUUGCUAAAUAUAAAUCUUCAUACUUGUGUUUAGUAUUUUCGGAUGGAUCCUAGCUAGUUUAAAUAAAAUAACACACAACAAAUUAAUACGUAAUUAUUUAAAUACAUUGUCAUCCAAAAAAAGUCUGUGACAGCGGGUACAAUCCUAGUUUUACGUAUUUAGUGAUGAAUUAUAUAUAUUGAUCAGGUACAUGCUUGCGACUAUUGUAAUUGGCAUCGCGUAUACUCUCAUGCAAACUGCACUCACCGUCUAUGAAGCAACCAGAGGAAACCGCAUUGGUGGCCAAGGCUUCCUUCUCUUCGACUUUUACGGUGACAAGGUAUUCACACCGAGAACUUCAGAUUUCAGCACAAAAAGAUAAAUAUAUCCAAAAUUAAUUAAUUGAGAAUUAAUGCAAACAUAAUUAAUUCAAAUCUGUGCAAAUGUGCAGUUUAUAUCGCUGUUGCUGGCAACGGGCACCGGUGCAGGGUUCGGCGUGACAGUAGACUUGAAAGAUCAGUAUGGCGCAAUAACUUCGGGCUACGACAAGUUUUUUGACAAGGGUUAUGCUGUUUCUAGCAUGCUUCUCAUUGCAGUUCUCUUCUCGGCUGUUUCUUCUAUUUUCUCAUCUUUAUCGCUGCCUAAGAGAGCUUAGUUCCGUUAGUGAGUCUUGUGUUAAUUCAUCGUUGUAUUUAGAUUUGAAUACGAUAAGUUUCUGUAAUUUAGAUCAUUUGCAGUUGUUGUACUUCCAAGAUUAUUCAUUGUAGUAUUUUAUAUUCAUUGUAUUCAUUGUAAUUGUUGUAUUAUGUUGUCAUGCAGCAAGAGUUCAUAAUCUCGAAUAAAUAUAUCUUCACGCAAGACUAGCUAUUAUGGUAGUUUAUAUGAAAACUGAAAUGAAAUUCCCUUGGUAAAUAAUGUUCAUGCGAUUCAUCUCACUAUUACAAUUUACAAAGGUCACAAUUACUAAAAAUUUGGAGAAAUUAAGGAUUCUCUGAUUUGAUGAUAUCGGUCCUCACAAAAUGGGUGAUCUUCUGUAUAUCCAUGCCGAGAACUGAAUCCAGAAUCAGUUUUUUCCCUUGCAUAGUCCGGUAUGAAUCUGUAACCUUCGGAAAAUUCUGGUAAAUUUUGUACUCUUUCGUCGAAAAAAUAUCUGUUGUUUGGGUCGUCCUUGUUGUUUUGGGAAGUAUUGUAAUGUGAAUUGCAUCUUCCGUAUUGUUUAGAGUUUGAAUCUGCGGAAAUAGAACGCUGGCAAAAACUUCCUGAACCUUUUAUCCCACUUGUUAUCUUUCGAGCUUUAUCCCUCUCUUGUUUAAGAUAUGACUCGUCUUUAAGCAGCUUCAGUAUUCUCUCAGAUUUGUUUCGGACACUUAAUCCCCAGUUGAACCUGCAUCACAAGUUAACAUGCAUUACUGCCACAAGAAUACUGCAUAUAUGCGUUGACCAUGUUGACGGGACCAUCAUGAUGUGGUGGCCUGGUGGGCCCCACAAAGCUGACUUGUCAAUGAUGCAUGUGUGAGUCUCGACCCACGUGUCAUUAACAUAUGAUGACUUCUUGAUAGAUAAUAUUUUUAAUAAAUAAGUAUAUGUGGUUGUACUGAGACUCUAAACUCAACCUCUUAUUACCGAGAGAAAAGAGAUAUCCAGCAAAAUACAGUGCUAGAAACUCAACCUCUUGUUAUCGAGAGAAGGAAAGUAUUUAUUAGAAUAUAAGACUUGAACUGAAUAACCUCUUGUUAUCGAGAGAAGAGAGGUAUCCACUAAAAUACGCUAGUUGAAACUCAACCUCUUGUUACCGAGAGAAGAGAGGUAUCCACUAGAAUACACCGUAAUGGAUCAUCUAUGAAAUAAUCGCAAUUUGUGACAUUAGCUAAUAGAAAUACUCACCCUUUCUCAUCAACAAAUUUGAGGCUUCCCAUCUCCCAAAUAAUGUCUUUAUCCUGCUGAAAAUCCUCUGCAACUCUCUUGGGACCAUGCGUUAGAAGUCCCUCCAGCAAAAUAAGCGCCUUAUAUGAACACUGCCACUGCUUUUUGUCGUACAUCCACAGCCUGCUAGCACAAAAAAAAUUCAAUCAACUUUUGUGAUCCUUCUCUAAAUUAAUUAUUCUUUUCACAAGCUAAAAAGCAGCAUAAACCUCUUAUGCAGAACGUCCACAAUUCUCCAGUACUCAUCAACUUCAAACGCUGCACGCGACAAGAAUCUGACAGUUCUACUAUCCAAUGUCAUCAAACUUCCAUCCGUAGCCUCUUCCGUCAGACUUCAACAGAACAUGCACAUGUUAACAGAAAUAAAAAUUGAUAAAAUUCGAUACAGAAAAAAGAAUUUAACAUACAUUUCUGCAGGUGUAACAUCAGUGAAGGCGAGCCUGGCGACCUUGAUCUGUUCUUUGAAGAAGAAAGAAGUCUUUCUCUUGAAUUCAUGUAAGGAAGGACUAGCCAUUGCUUGAAUUCUUGUAGAACUUCAGAGAAAUACUUAUGAGAACGUAUAAGAAGCUAUGAUCUGUUAAGAAUGCAUGUUAAGUAAAUAUGGAUGCUUAAUUAUGUAUAAAUUUAAUAAUAAUCAGAUAAUGCAAGUUCAACUGCUCCAUUACCUUUAGGCUUUAACUAAUUUUACCAACUACAUUCUCUAAGUGGAUUUGCAUAUGCAAUGAGCUAGACGCGACCUGAUAGAGACAAAUUAAUGGUUAUUGCAUUCUUUUCCUUAUCAAACAAUUUUUUUAAUUAAAUUCGAUGAUCAAUUUCUAACUUCUGGUCUGCAUUUUCCAUUUAGUACUAUAUAUGAAAUGCAUACAAGUAGAGGUUGACAAAUAGUAGAAGUUAAGAUACUGACUAGCAUUUGAACAAAUUAAAAACUAAACAAAAUUACAUCAGACACUUUGUGUAUAUUCAUGAGAUAAAUCUAAUAAUUUUGUGAUGGAUUCUUGUGGAUACAGAUCAAAUGGCAACACAACUGACAAAUGGAGGUCGAAAGCCACUUUGAAGUGCAUUGGGAACUUGUUUUUGUUUAAUUUCAAAACAGGUACCAAAUUUUGAAGUCCAAAAAUACCAAACAGGACCAAGAUUUUUUGGCUUUCAAUAGAAUUUCGCCGUGCCUAAAUUCUGAUCAAUCCUGUUGUGAUCUUGUAACAUUCUAGCCCUCUCAUCUCACAUGCUUGCAAGAGUCUCCUUUCUUUUCUCCAAAGCUUGAGAGUUCAUAUACCAAAACACCCACAUCGAAAACAAGGUUCCAAUCAGCACCCAUGUCACCAAAAGAUUCCUCCACCAGCUUUUUCGAAAUCUCUUUAGACUAAAAUACUCAAAAUAGAAAUUAUAAAUCUUAUAAGCCCUGAUCUUAGUGCCUACGUUCAUUGUUAUAAGAAAAUGUUAAUUAGCUUCUUAACAUCCGCACUGUAGAGCCAGCUAGACCUGUCAAUUCGUUCAUAUGGUAUACUUAUAUGUCGUGUACUCAAAGACCAAAUAUAAAACCGACCCAUUUAGGGUUCGUGUACUUUCGUGUCAUAUUCGUGCGUGUUUCGUGCCGUUCUCGGGCGUGUUUCGUGUAAAAUUGAAUAUAAAUAUAAAUAAAUAUUCGUGUGUCGUAUACUUUUUCGUGUCGUGUAUUCAAAUACCAAAUAUAAAACCGAUCCAUUUAGGGUUCGUGUACUUUCAUGUUGUUCUCGUGCGUGCAUGUUUCGUGCCGUUCUCGUGCGUGUUUCGUGUAAAAUUGAAUAUAAAUACAGAUAAAUAUAUUGACUUAAAUCUAAGAUUGAGAUCAAUUUGCAUGUUUUAAAUUUGAGGAUAUGCAUCCAUUUGAAAGACCAAAUGUCUAUAUAUAGUGUGAAAUGAUUGUCGGAGCCUGUCAAACAAUGGCCUAAUUAAAUGGGCUAUUUGCUUUUGGGUCAUUAUCAUAAUCUAAGACGGUUGCCAGAGCAAUUGGGUGAUAUGAAAUGGCUAAAGGAGCUUGAUUCACGCCGCAAUUGAGGAACUGCCAGAUUCAAUUACUCAGCUCAAGGAGUUGGUUCCAAUGAAUUUGGAUGGUUGCAAGAUGCUUAGAAAGCUACCACAGCAGAUUGGAAAUAUGAAAGGCUUAAUUAAGGACAUUUCUUGCGAGUUGUAGUGCAGUUGAACAACUUCCAGAUUCGUUUGUAGGCCUCGUUAAUUUGGAGAGACUGGAACUGAGCUGCCGCAGAAACCUUGGGAAUCUUCCAAAUAUCAUAUGGAAGCUCCAGUUGCUUCAAGUACUAAAUCUGGGGCACUGUUCAAAGCUGGAGCGAUUGCCUGAGCAAUUGGAGAUGAUGCAAUGCUUAGAAAAGCUUAAAGCAAAUGGAACGGCAAUUGAAGAAGUACUAGAUUCUAUUGGGCUACUUAAUUAGUAGGUUAAGGCUGUUGAAUUUGUCUUAUUGCCGUAAGCUAAAAUAACUGCCAAGUAAUGUGUGGAAUGGUGCAUCACUUGAAAAAUUAAUUCUUCCCCGAGAGGACAUCGAUAGAAUUAAUUUGCCUGAUGCAGUGAAAGAUACAAAGUUGGUUUCGUUAACUUUGAACUGUAAUAUAAGAUUAUGGUUGCCUACGAUUCUAAGUUUUCCUUCGUUGAAAAAGUUAUUCAUCUGCGAUGAGACUGAGAAUUUAUCUUCAACCAAUCCUUUCGGUCUCUCUGGGCUUUACAACCUACAAGUUCUCGAAUUCUCUGGUUGUGCAAUUUUUGGUUCAUCGUUUCUGGAACAUCGUCUUAAUAUAACACACUUAUGCCUAUCUAACCAUGCAACACUGGUACAUCUACCCGAUUUAUCAAGCUUGAAACAGUUGAAGAAGUUUCAUAUAUUCCAUCACAUCAGCCUUGAAUCACUUCCUCAUCAUCUUCAAACACUUACAGUUUAUUAUUGCCCAAGCUUAAAGAACUCUCAAACAUGUCAUUUUUGAAGGAAUUGAGUUAUUUGAAUUUUGGUAGCUGCAGCAAUCAGAAAUCAUUUAGUACCGAAAGAGUCCCCUGCAGGUAUGUUUCCGUUUGAUCUCCCUCCCUCCCUCUGUCCCAAAAUGAUACACAAUCACACUUCUAUAAAUCCAACUACAUUCUUUCAUGUCACAGGUAAUCAAAAAAUGCCUCCGUUUAUACGAAGCUGAGGCACCAAAGAUGGUAAAUUGGUUGAGCUACGAAAGCAGUGGGCAUACGAUCUCUUUUGGUACAUCCCACCACUAUUGGGAGAUAACUUAUUAGGUCUUGCGCUCUCGAUUGAUUUAUCAUGCAGAGAGCUGGUUCCUCAUUUGAGCAUUAGAGCUGCACUCAUAAAACAAAUGGUACAACAAAGUGCUGUGUGAUCCCUUUACACUGUAAUGGACCUCAAGUAUAUUCACUGGUGCAAUGCUUAAGUGGAGAUGAAAUCUCAAUAAGAAGUGGAGAUGCAUAUAGAGUUGAUGCACCAGAAGUAAUUUAUUAUGUACAAUUGAAGGUGAAGAUGUACGUUGUUCAUGUGAUACCAAAAACACUCUCCACCCCUGAUUUUUGCUCUGUUUUAAGCAACUUGAUUAACUGAUGUUUUACAUCUUUACAAAGUAUUUGAUUUUAUCUCUCAGUCAGUUCAAUAUAUUUUACUAUAUAUUACAAAUAUUUCAAAUAAGUCUCUGUUUACGUUGCUUCAUGUUUAACAUUUUUCUUUUGAUAAUUUCCUUUUUUCGACUUAUAUUUCAAUUUUAGAAGCUACCAUGUUACUAUAAGAGUAGUAAUUAUUGACGCACAGAACCGAAAUUGGAAUCUGCAGACACAUAUAUCAUUUAUGAAACAAAUUCGAAUAAGACAAAUUUAGAACCUAUCAAAAUAGAGGAGAAAAUUUCUAAAAGUAAAAUUUCAUUUAUUAUAAUAGAAUAUAUACAAUAUUGUUUACGUAGGAAUAGAAUCCUAAAAUUAAAUAUGAUCAAAUCUGAAUAUAUCGAAUGAUGAUAAAUAUAGUUUCACAGUGAAGGCACUCGCAGAAUCUUUACUACUUCACAUCGUUACUAUGCCUUCAAAGAUGAUAAUGCUCUUGAAAAAGGCCUAAUAAAUAUGUAGUUAUUUCUGGGGAUUGGCAUCCACCCCGUCCGGCUCGACCCCAAUUCGACCCACGCCCCGUUCGAGUCGGGGAUUCGAAGAAUUUUCGGGUCGGGGCGAGGAAUGAGGAAAAUGUUAUAAAAAAUUUGGAGAUCAGAGCAGCAGGGUCGGGGAUUCGUGUCUCCCCACCCCGAUCGCCGACUCCAAUUAUAUAUAUAUAUANCGACUAAGAAAAAUGAGGAUUUUGAAUUUAUCAUAUUCUGGCUUAAAAGCUAGAAAUUGACUUAUAAUUUCUUUACCCAAAUCUAGGGAUAGGCAUUUACCCCGCCCCGCUCGACCCCGCUCCGAUCCCCACCCCGUGCGGGUCGGGGAUUCGGAGAAUUUUUCGGGGGCGGGUCGGGAAACGGGGGAAGUUCUAUAAAAAAUUUGGGGGUCGGGGAUUCGUAUCUCCCCUCCCUGCACUUCCACUUGACAGCUAUCGUAAUGAUAAAAAACCCCGAUUGUAUAUAUAAAUAAUAAUAUAUUUAUAUAUAUUAUAUUAAAUAAAUUAUUAAAAUUAGAUAUCUUUUCUAAUCUUAUUAAAAUUAAAAAAAUAAUCUUUAUUUUUAAUAAUCGAUUAAUAUAUUGUAAUAUAAUAUAUUUUAUAAUUUUAAAAUUGUCGUUAUUUAUAUUUUAAAUUAGUUUUAAUAUGAUUUGAUGUUAAAAAUAUGAGAUGAUAUCAUUUUAUUAGUGUAUUAUGAGUUAGUAGUUUUAUUAGUGUAUUAUGAGUUAUUAUAUUGUAUUAUGAGUUAUUAUAAAUUAUAAAAUUAUUUUUUUUUUUGAUUAAAAACUAAAAUGCGAAUUCCCGCAGGGAUCCCCGUUCCUCGUUCGGGGCAGGAAUGGGGAAGGAAAAGAAUCCCCGUUCGGGGUUCGGGACGGGAUCGUGGAUAACUAUCAAAUUCGGGGAUCGGGAGGGGAUAGCUAUCCCCGACCCCGAAAUGCCACACGUCCAUCCCUAUUAUCUCUCAUAGCUAUGCUCAUUCACCCUGGUACCUCAAUGAGCUUGUUGAGAUCCUUAGACGCUAGAAAACGGUUUAUUUAACCUAAGCUAAACGACUCAAAUUACGUUUAAAUUAAAUUUUUGAAGCAAUUAAAUAAAUAGAAAAUUCAUAUUUAUUUAGUACUUAUAAUCUCAUUUUUUUCAUUUUUAGUAAUAAAUAAAUUAUACUCUCUUUAUCCGGGCGAAUUCUUUAUAUUGGGGUUGGAUACGGAGAUAAAAAAAAUGUAUAAAGUAGUAUAAAGAAUAAGAAAAGUGGAGAAAAAUUGGGAAUCAUGAAAAAGUAUGGGUUGGAUUGAGUUUUAUAUUAUUAAAUUUUAUUAUUUUGUGAAAAUUUUGUAAUGUAAAAAAAUGAAAGAGACGUUCAACAAAAAAAAUCGUAAAGAAUGCAGCGGGAGUCUUUUUUCCAACUCCGAAUGGGUCGGGGUCCAAUUCUGAGUGUGCAACCCUCUAAAGCGCCAAAAUAGAUGGUAAUGCAUGAAAGCUUGGUGUUUUUAACUCAACAAUUACUACCAGGCUACUGCCAUUUUGAUGAUGAACUCAUUUUUCUUUACAUUAAUAAGAAUGCUCACUUCAUUACUUCCUUCACAUACCUCCAAUUAAUGUCAUUAACUUGUACUCAUUUCCUUUUCUGCUAAAUGUGAUUAUUAAUAUUAACAAUUAAUAAAACAAAAAUGACUUGAAACUUCCAGGCUCAACGUGUUGUUGACAUAACAUACAAAUGGAAUAGAUAUAAAUUUUUCAGUCCCAUUUUUUGAAAUUGUACCAAGGCAGCUAGCUCUCACUUAAGUCCUCUCUCUGCAUAAAUACAAUUGUGUUAUGUGUAUGCAAACAUCAGACACAGUACUGAAAAGAUUCCUAUAAUAAAUAGUAAUAAAAGCCUCAUAUAACCGAAAUGCUUCAAGAAAUGAAAUGCUCUGCCACUGGUUUGGUGGCACAGUAUAAUCUGAUCAUGGGAGUUACGCUUGUCUCAUUAAUACUCCCUUCUUAUCGCUUUGCUUUUGCUUUAUCUAUCUCUUUCUACGUGCUUCCUCUUCAAUUUUAUUUUCUUUUACUGCUUUACCACAGAUAACGCGUUCUUUGCAUGUCUGUAUUAUUGUUUUCUCAUGUGCGAACAAAUUUAUGUCCUUUCCGGUGUUCUAAAAAUCGGCCUCGACCGAGUAAUUCUUACGAGAGGUUGUACCGAUUAUAAUAUGGAUAAUAGUCCUGGACAAUCGAUUAUUAGCGACAUAUCAUUAGUGAUGAAAAAUAAAUAAUAAAAAUAUUAGGACAGAUGAUUUUUCCGCUGAAAGAUAAUGUAAAUCCUCCUGCUUACAUAAAAAAACUAUAAUUAAUGUCUUUCGGCGGAAAAAGCAUGUUGAUAGUAUGAUGCAUCAUAUGCAUGGUAUUAAUUUUUCGAUAAGAUCUGAUUCUUGAAUUCUACAACAAUGAUACCUGCAGCAACAUUUUAGCUACUUAACUUUAAGAAUGAACUAUAAAUUUACAGUAAUUUGACUAUACGAAAUGACUUGUGUUGAUUUUGGUGUUUGGAAUAUUUUGAAAGAGAAAAAAAAGAGGGAAAAAUAUAGGUGAAGUUGUGCAGAGGUAAGUUGGGGGUUAUAAAUGCAUCUCCUGCCAAAGCUUACUACCAUCUUCUUAAAUAUCACUAGCCCUAGACAAUAUUCUCACAACACUCUCUCCCCUCUCUAAUACUUCCUCUCCAUUCUUUCGAAAAACUCCACAUAUAUCAGUAGCAAUGGGUGUUUUUCAUUCUUGAAGAGUUGGUGUUUGAUGCUAGCUAAUACAUGUUCAUACUUGUGACACAUAUACUAUGAUAUUGGCCGGGCUCACUCAGAUGCGCACAUAUGCACUUGAAUAGUUAUGAACGGUGAGUCUGAUUGAGCCGCGCCAAUAUCUUAGUUUUGUUUCAUUCAAACUUCCGGAAACUCAUCACUAGGUUAAUUGCGUUAUCUAUGUAUAUAUAUUUGUUAAUAUUUACCAAUCAGUUAUAUUUGAUUGGUUUAUAGUUCUUACAAACAAUCACCUCUAUUUUCUAGUUAACAAGAAUAUUGGUUUUUCAGAGACUGGAAAAUGAAUGACCCUUAAUUUUCAUUGCGAGAUGUCCGCACAAAUUUCAUUAUAUUCUCUCGUAUUUUGAUAUCUACUUUUCCAAACAUCACAUUAUGCUAAUUACAAUCAAUAGGAAAAUAGAAGACGGACAUCUGCAUUGUACAACACCAGUUGCUCCUCUAUAUGAUAGUUCAUCAGCUUUGAUUUAUGUCUCAAUUAGUCUUACAAAAAUUUUCAGCAUUCUGGCGCCCGUGUCCAGCGUCUAGCGUCCGGUCAUCUGAUUAUGCAGCAACUUGAAAGUGCUGGUUAGAGGAUCAGGGUGGAAAUGUCAGGUGGUGGUUAAUGUGACAAGGUAUCGGCUGCGGUUAUGGUAAAAAUAUAAUGCUAAAUAACAUUAUACACUUCACUCCAAGGAAACAGGACAAAACCGACCGUGCAAAAGAAAUACCGAAGUGUAAAUGCUACUACACAAAAAUUUACACUUGUAUCAUUGAGCUUCUAGCCUUCGAUCCUACUCGAAGGGUUCAUUAUAGAUGCAAAUCGAGUAGGGUUAAUAUUAAUACUAGUGAAGCAUAGGUAUAUAAGUGAGGCUAAAAUCUCAGCUUUCACUCCAAAAAAUUUCUUCUUUUUUUUUUUGCUAAAUAAAAUUUUCUUUUCUUUUUCUUCCAACUUAAAUUUAUUAAGGAUAAAUUAGGAGAAGAUUAAUAUGAUAGUCCUCUUGAAGUUGCUUUUGUAUAUUCAAAUUUAAGAAAUUAUUAUUAUUUUUACUAUUACAAACGACAUCUGGUAUCUUUAUACUGAACUAGAAUAUGGGGCCGUAAACUUGCUUCUCUCAAGUCUCAUCUGCAUGGGCUAAUUCCUUAGAAGUAAAAAUAAUUUUACCUGUUGUCACAAAAAAAUUACGUACCUUCAAAAAGAGUGAAUUUGAACGUUCUGUUUUCUCAAAAUAUUUUUCGCAACUGCUUUAUAAUUCUUUAAAUACCGUCAAAAACAAUUUGUGUAUGUGAGUAAGUAUGUUAAUUUUUGAAAAAAGUAGGAAAAUUACAUCAUUUUCCAGCUCUAACUUGUUUUUAUCAAUGUGAUAAUCGAUUUAAAGCAAUAUAAAUAUAUUUAUAUCCGAUGAUAAUUUUUAAAAUUAGAUUAUUAUAUAUAGCAAAUAGAAACAACAUGCAAUUGUUAGAAAUUGGAAAUGUAAAAGUUGUUUACUUUGUGUGCAGUGGGAAAAUCAUAAUCUAAAAAUCGAGAUCGGCUAUAUUAUUGUGUUAACGUGGUCUUCUGCCUGCAAAGGACAGUGGCUAAUUUGUAGCAUUCAAUAAGGCGUGUUCGUAAAUUACAGAAACGAUUACAUAUUAUGUGUGAACAUCAGACUAUUAUUGCGCAAAGUCAUGUAAACAGCCAAACUAUCAUCGAUGAUUGUAUAUUCAUUAUGUUACACUUCCCUUGACAGGUCAUAAGCACAGUACUGUUUUUGAUUCUUUUGUCGAUUGCUUCUCGUAUCAAAAAUCGAACCGAACCGAGAGAUCGAAGUAUACGCAUGUUUUAAAGACGAAGCCAAAAAUGGUCCGGUCUGUCUUCGGAUGACAAGUCUAUUAUUCUUGGAUGUCAAUGCUUUUGUUCUGAUUUCUGUCUUGGUCCACCCCCGAAUUCAAGCGGUUAGACCUUACGAAAUCGACAUUAUGCGAAAAAGAAUCUGAAUUUAACCAACUGUGAUAACAUGAGUUUCCUCUUGAGGGUAAAACUAGAAAUCAGUGAUUUCGCUUGCAAUGUACUCCCUCCGUCACCCUCAUUUGUUUACAUUGAGGGACGGGAGUUCGACACGCAUUCUAAUGCUCUUGUAAAACAUAGUUCGAUAAAUUAUUUUGAACUUUUUUUUCAUCUAAAUAAAAAAAUUUGAUGUUUAAAUUUUUAUAAAAAAAUAAAAUUUUUUAAAAUAAAUCAUAGAACUAUGUUUUUUAUACGCCUUAUAAUCCAUGUCGAGUAGUGUGAAAAAAUUAUAAAGAAAUGAGAGAAAGAGCAGGUCAUGCUUUCGGUCGGCUAUCAUGUUUUACACUUACUAGUUACUACUAUGAUUUUGUGUUCAUAUGCUUAUCUGUUUCUGAUGUACUGAGGUUGACCUUGGGGUGUGGCUAAGAUUACAAGAAAAUCAUUAUAAAAUUAGGAAUAUUUUUGUAAAAACAGGAGUGGAUUUUAUAUUUACGGAUUCAUCUUUAAUUUGUUAAAAUAUUGCCUGACCUCGGGUUAGCUUCCUGUGAGCACUUUCGGGCCAAUUUUCUUUUAAUUAAAUCAUUAAAAGUGAUUAUAUUGUAAGCAUGAUUAGAUGAGUGUUCAUAUUUGAGAGAAAUAAAAUCUAGUUAUAUGAUUAUUUUAAUUAUUUUAGUUUAGAAGUCAAUUGUUGCUAGUAUAAAAAUAUUUUUUAUAACACAACUACAAUAUCGGUAGUAUAGAAUACGGACACUCUUUUAUAUUAAAAAUGUCGAUUCUUAAUAUAACCAACAUCAUAGAUACUUAUGAUAGAUUAAGAGUAUCGGUUCUAGCGUUCUACACUUAACCUAAAGUAUAAAUGACUAUUACGUUCUUGAGUGGUUUAUUUAUAUUGUGUUUAUUUCAUCGACGCUGUAAAGCGGGUUAUAUACAUCGGCCAAUUAAUUUCAUUGACUUUGUAAAGUAAUUUAUUUAUAUUAGGUUUGAAUUCGAUGUUAUAUAUCAAAUUUAGUGGUGGGCAUAUUUGACUAUGAUAAAUAAUUUAAUAAAGUUGAAAAUAUUGAAAUUAGAUAUAUAGGGAGUGUUUGAAAACGCUUAUAAGUAUUUUCGGACUUUGUUUUAACACUUUAAAAUAUUUCUACUUUUUACGUAGUAAUUGGCAAAAGAAGUUGAAAUUCUUAUUUUGAAUUUUUUAAGUCAGAAUCUCAAAGUUAGAAAUGUUGACUUUUCUGGACUUUUUUUAAUGAUUUGCAUUUUAUUAUGAAAUUUUUAAAUUUUAAUAUAUAAUAAAAUUUAUUUAUUAAUUAAGUUUCUUUUAUUUCAAAAUUUUAAUAUUUUUAAUUUAUAAAUCUAAAUUAACAAACACUUAAUUAACUAAUAAUUAAAAGUCAUCCAAAUAUUUUUUAAUAAAUUACAAACCAAGUUCAACUCUCACUUUUCUUUUUCUUUUUUUUUUAGAAUGAGUUCAACUCUCACUUAUAAAUUAUAAUCAGACUUUGUUAAUAUAAUCGAUAAAUGAAUUUUUCGAACUCAACCCAACCAGCCCCGUAAUCUCCCAUUACCCAGCUCAGUCGAUACCCAGUCUUCGACUACCAGUCUCCCGAGCAAUCUGUGGUGCAUCGAGACAUCAAAUCCAGCAAUAUAAUCACAAGUAACGCCCACUUUACCGAAUUUACAAGUCACGGUGAGCAGGUUUAGGGGUAAUUCGCCCAAUUGAAGUCACUCUGCUAUUUAGGGUUUGUUUUCAUUCUGCUCUGCUCUGUUUAUGAAUGUAUUUAGGGUAUGUGGUGCUUCAAUUGAUUAUAUAUGUGCUUUCAAUUUGUGUUGUUUUGUAAGCUACUGUUUGAAUAAAUUCUAAUAAACAUCUACUGGAGUUCUGUAACUUGUCUCCAGUAUUGUCAUGGUAAAACCAUUACGAAACUUAUAUUUUCUCCCUAAAAAUCUUCUAUAAAGCCUGAAAUUACUAGGAAGUUGAGGAAUAAAAAUACAUAUGAGGAGCAAAUAGAAGGAAAACUUGAUGCAACUCGUAUGGUAAAUAAGCAGCCCAGCGGUGGACAAUGGACAUCACAGCCUUAACUUAAUUAUAACCACGACAAAUGUUUCUGUGCAGCUGCUCUUCGAUUGAACACAGUUUGGUUAUGUGUAUAACUUCUAUGUUCACUGAAGUGAAAUUUUUAUCCAAAUAAGAUCUAUAAAUAACAUUGAAACCCAUUCUAUUCUAUCUUCACCAAAUCACCAGUAACACUGUAAAAGAGGUCAUGCAUUCUGGAGGAUCUCAGAGCUCUGCUUUUAAGCUAAUGUUUUUUUCUGCAAAUUUUCUCUUGUUUUUUGAAACUGAUUAGACCUAAAUGAGAAAUUUAUAAGUGGAGUUUAGUACGUAAUAGAGCUUAAUUUGAUACAGUACUUUUUAGGUGAAAAGGAUGUAAUUGUCUGUAAAUUGGUUGUGCCUCACUAAGUUGUCUGUUGGCUGCAAUUAUAUACGGCUCUGUUAUACAAUGAGUUCUUAGCCUGCAAAAUGAAAAUGACACACAUUAAGCCCUGAUAUCACUGUUUAUACUUUAUACCUUAUACACACUGAACAUUAAAUAGUAAGUUAUAAAUCAGCAAAAAAGUAACGAUAGUGGUCAGAAAUUAAGCAGAACAACCAUAAUUCUCUCCCUCCCUCCCUUCCCCUCUCCCCUCCCUCCCUCAUAUUUAUUGAUAUGUUUGUUUUUAUGAUUCAUCACAUGCAUAUAUGUAUCAUUACUUGAACUGUAUAUAUCUACACAUGCUCAUUAAUUAAUGUUCUAUUAUUGUUUGUUUGAAUAUAUGCUUCAUUCUUGUUUGAUUUGAUUGAAAAGUUUCCACCUUUAUCUGAUGUUUUAAUACGAGGAUGCCCUUUUUUUUGUGUCUCAUUCACAGAUCUGUACUAUUGUUGUUGAGUAGUAAAGAAACUAUUCAUGGAGUAUUGUUUUUGCAUUUUUUGAAGACUAUAGUUUCAUGAAUUAGCUCAUAAUAAGGUAAUGCUCUUAUUUGACCUUCUGGCAAUAUAAUAUAUCCUGUUUAUGUUCUUAUGUUGCAUAAACCCUCUUAAUUUACUCCCUUUUAUUAAUUUUCCAUGAGUAAUAUCUGUAUCUUUAUUGAUACAGGGCAUAUCGUUGUGAGGUCGGCCUAAAGUUUUCAUUUUGCAGACACUUUCACACUUAUCAGUUAUCAGGUUAGACUUUUCACUUUUAUCCAUCUGUCUGUGCUAAUUAUUUAAUUGGUUCUUUUUAUCAUAUUUGAAUUUAUGAUUUGAAUUUUUGGUUGAAUAUACCUGCACUAUUGAUUUUGCGUUUAAUAUUUGGGGGAUUUUUUUUUUAAAAAAAAAUUGUGUCUCCUUUUUCCAAGGAUCAUUGGUGAAAUUAAAUGAUAGUUUAUGUAGCUAGAUUAAUUUGCAAAGUAUAAAUCUUCACUCAUCUGGGCAGAUUUUUUUUUUUUUAAUUUUAAAUUUUCUCUUCAAUUGUCACAGAUCUUGUUUAUAGCUUUUUUUUUAAAACCAACCAACAGCUAUUGCUAUUUGGAACCAAAUGUGACAAGUACAAUGGAAAAAAUUGUCAAUGUAGGUGAAACAGGCGGUAAAGAAUUAAUGGAAAGCUAAAAGUGUCUUGGUGAAAUCAUAGUUGUUGAGAUUCUUAUCUGUUCUGUUAAAGUUACAGUUGAAAUGUGUCUAUUGCCAAUUAUGCGUAGUGCUGUAGUCUAAUCUCACAGCACCUUCUCAAACUAUUUGAUUGCUAAUUUGUUAAAUGAAUUUAGUUAUUGUAUAAUCAUGGCUGAAGCAGCUCAACCUGAAAGGUAGACAUACAUUUUAUACGGAGAUGAUUCCGUUGAACUAGACAAAAGACCCGUGUGUGCCCUGUGGGAGGAUAUCUGUUAAAGAUGCUUGGGAUUGCUUCCCGAUUUCCAGUUGGGAGUGCCUCUCUUAAUUUUGACACAAGGUCCUUGACGUGAGGCACACACUGACUUGUGAGGUUUGAACUUGGAGGAGUGCAGGAAAAUAGUUAAUACAAAGUCAGGAACAAGCCUUGUGUAGCAUUGAACUUGUAUUUCUGAAACACAUUCAGAUCACUAGAUUGUAUAUACGUUUUUUCAGUUUAAGUAUCAUGACACUUUUUUUCUGAAUUUAUUAUUAUAAAGUGUUUGCAAGAAGUGAUUGACCUGAGUUUUAUUACCACUCAAUUGCCUAAGUCCAUAGUCUCGAAGACUUGGAGAUAGUUUUUGAGCAUAGCAUAAAUAUGGGGGUUCGAUCAUCAGUCGCUUGUUGAUCCACUAGCAGUAGUAUUCUUUAUUAGUAGCGGACUUGAGGUUGAGGAUAGAGUCGUCAGUGGAGUCGUUGCACAUACACGUACCUAAAUUCUUGCAAAAGGCCAUUUCCCUAUAAAAGAAUGUGGACCAUAAACAGUUGUGCAUUAUCAUACAAACAUCUCAUCUCCUUUAGCAACUGUUGGUCCAUAGUUGAAUUGUUCACUAAUUACUAUAUGGUCAUCUGUUUCAGUGAUGAAACGGGUAGACUUCCGUUUUAUAAUCCUAUUUUCAGCAUUUCUUCGAAUCUUUCUAAUUAUAUAUGGAGAAUGGCAAGACACUCAUAUGGAGGUUAGAUACACAGAUGUCGAUUACUUUGUCUUUUCUGAUGCUGCGGCGCUAGUGGUUUCAGGAGUCUCUCCUUACAAAAGGUCUACAUAUCGAUAUUCACCCUUAAUCGCAUAUCUUCUCACACCAAAUUCAAUAGUUCACCGGUCAUGGGGAAAAGUUCUCUUCUCUAUUUCAGGUAUCCCUUAUGUUUUACACUAAUUACAAUGGAUCUGUCAAUAUUUUCUCUUUUUGUGUUUAUUUUUUUUUCAUAUUUUAAAUAUUAAAUCGUAAAUAAACAAGGACAGAGCAAAUUGACAAAAGGCAUUCAUUUUAAUCUAUAUUGGUAACAAGUCAAUACCUUUUCUUUUGGUCUUAAUUUGUUCUCUUUUCUAUAUAUAAUUUGUAUGAGACCAUCUGAAAAUACUAACUGUGUUAUACUUGUUUUGAAGAUCUGCUUGUGGGAUAUUUUAUCCGGUCAAUUCUGAAGCUACAAGGUGUUUCUGAUGAAAUAUGCAUCUACUCCGUAAUGGUAUGGCUUUUUAAUCCGUUCACCUUCACAAUUGGAACCCGUGGGAAUUGCGAGCCUAUUAUAUGUGCUAUGGUUUUGUGGAUUAUUUUAUGUCUCUUGAAAGGUAUUUCAUCUUCUUUGUAAUGACUUCCCCAAUCUACUUGUCCUUUGUGUUUUUUGUUGCUUUGUUAAUUAAUUAAAAUGUGGACAACUCAAGUCCUUGUAAAAUAUAAUCUUCAUUGGGUUGCUGACAGAACUUACAGUUAAAAGGAAGAAAGGAAGCCAUGCAAAAUAAAGGAUAAUAUGCACCAACUUUUGUCAAUAUAUAUGUAUGAAUUCCUUAAGACAUUAAUUUUUUAAUGUGUUGGUAAAAUCACAUGCCCUAAUUUUACCUGGUUAUACAAUUUGUACUGUUUUGAAAUGUAUGAAACUUUUGAACGAAACGGUGCCCUCGGUGUGCAAGUGAAGCAUGGUUUUGAAUUUGCCAGUGACAAGUUGGGAGGACUCCAUAUUGUUAAAAUAUAUUGCUGAGCCCCCACCCACCCACACACACACACAACACACACAGAAUUAUCUCUUGUUACUUCUAGGCAAUUUGUGGUUAGCACUCCCAGUACUAGUCACAUUUCACGUAAAUUGUAUUAGGCUGCUCCUCAAUAGUUUUCUCUUGAGUUACGACAUAUUGUUCUUCAUUCUACAGGCAAGUUGUUACAGGCUGCAUUUUGGUACGGUCUUGUUGUCCACCUGAGAAUAUAUCCUAUUAUUUAUGCACUUCCAAUCGUCUUGGCCCUUGAGCCUUGCAAUUUUCAAUCUGGUAAAAGGCUUAUCCUUCGAAAAUGGAGUUCUAGAGAUAUUAAGGCAGCGCAGAGGUCAAGUACCAAGAAUGUAUCUGACCUAGUUCAGAAAUUGGGAGUUAUUGCAAGGUUGCUCACUAAAGAAAGAAUUCAGUUUGGGCUUCUCUCAGGGACUGUUUUCUUCUUUUUUACAGGAAUUUUCUUUUACCUGUAUGAAUUAGAGUUCUUGCAUGAAGCCCUAUUAUACCAUCUUACACGUACGGAUCCGAGGCAUAACUUUUCUAUAUACUUUUAUCACAUAUAUCUCCAUUAUGAGCGAGAGUUUUCACUUCCAGAGAAGCUUGUCUCUUUUCUGCCUCAAGUUAUAGUGCAGCUUGUUCUCAUAUCCCGCUUUAGGAAGGAUUUGCCUUUCUGUUUCUUCUUGCAAACUGUGGCUUUUGUAGCUUUUAACAAGGUUUGUUAUCUAUAACUCAUAAGUUUCUGAAUCUGUUAUAAUCAGUCAUUUGUCAGCUCGAGUUAUUUGAAGGAAUCUUGAAUUUUGAGUCUACAAAAGCUACACACCCUUGUGUGAACAUAAAGUCCUUGUUGUGCUUCAAAAUCAUGUAAGCAGGCAAAUCAGUCUCUUGGAUUAAUUGAUUCUGAAUUAUACCAUUUUCUCUGACAGGUCAUAACAGCACAGUACUUUGUGUGGUUCUUUUGCCUAUUGCCUCUAAUACUCCCUUGGAGUAAUAUGAAGCCAAAACAAGGCUUAGUAUGCAUUUCUCUGUGGGUUGGAGCACAAACACACUGGCUACUGUGGGGCUACCUUCUUGAGUUUAAAGGCAAGCAAGUUUUUUUGUGUCUCUGGGUGGCAAGUCUAUUAUUCCUGGCCGCCAAUACUUUUGUCCUCAUUUGUGUCAUCACCCAUCAUACCUGUUCCCCGUUAUUCAGACCCUUGGAACAUGUGAAUCGAACGAAAUCAGCAAAAUACAAGCAAUGACCUGGAUCACAAUCUUAACCUGUAUUAAUGAUUUACUAUUGAUUUUAGAAACCCAAUUUUGCUUGAAUUAUAGUUUUUUAGUGUCAAAGUGUCAUUCUUUGAGUUGUAUACAGUGGUAGCGUAAGCCGUCAGGCCAGUUUUGUAUGAUUGUAUAUCUACUAGAUAUUAUGAUGAAGUAGUGUUGAAACUUUAUUAUAACAAGAAACUUGGAACAUGAAUUUGUGAUGAAAAUGCUUUGAUAUCAUAAGAUAAAUCAUUUUCUGGCAGUCUGGCUGAUUAAAGGUCGCUAGUUUUGGUUGCUUCCCUAGAUAAAUUGAUCCCCUACUCCAUUAUCCCAUGUGGUUUACGCCAUACGUACAAUGUGGUGGUAACGGAUAACCCAGUGUCAAAGACAUAUUUAUCCGUGUAAAGACAUAUUUGCGGCUUGUAAGAGCAAGUCUAAUAGGUUACCUAAACUUGCUCUUAAACUUACAUUUAGGUAAUGUAUUAAAAACAAGCACUCCAAUACUAAAUCACUGACACAACCUCAAAUAGCCAUUAUUUAUUUAUAGGUAAUCCCUAGCCAUUACCUAUAUAAUAUUUAUGAAUAAAACAAUCAUUUCUCUCCUUAUUUCUUUGUCUUUUCCCUCCUCCCCCAAAUUUAUUAUUAAAAUAAUCUUAGGAGAACAAAUACAAGGAUUGCUAUUGGAAUUGAAACUAAAAUAAAUUACCUAAAUCACUAAGACUCACUAUGAUUCAUUAUUUUAUAUUAUUAAUAAGUAAUGAGAUAAGUAACCUAUUCAACUCGCUCUACAAGGUCAAUUGAUUUGUUUACAUCAAAAGGUUACAAGGCGGCAAAAAUAGGGAAUUGAAAAUAAUUAAUUGAUAUACCGAUUCAGUGAUUGACAUACCGAUUCAGUAUUUGGAGAGAUUUAUCUGAUUUUUUGAAUAAAUCAGAGAUUUUUAUUCAAAUCGAAAUAUAAUUGAUAAAUUAAUAAAAAAAAUUAUUAGAAUUAAUCGGAGUUUGGAGUCACCAUGUUAUAAUAUUGGCAAAUGGAUGUUUCUUAAUGUGACACCGGACCAAACAUUUGGCAGAAGACCGGAUGGUGAGAAAGUCUAAACUGCGGGAGGGCGCACAGUACCGAAUGUGCCCAACUGAGUAUUAGUUUUUCAUGUGCAGAACAGAUGAAUGUUAUCAACAACUCAACAUAGUCGGGAAAGAAUGGUGAUAGGAGUAUGAUGUAAUAUGAGCCUAGACUCGGACUCUUCCUGUUAUAGUACAGUGAGAUAUAUCUCUUUAAUUCCGGGAUCUUGGAUAUAAACUACUCCCUCUGUCCCUCUCAUUUCUUUACGGUUACUAUUUUGGGAUGUUCCCUCAUUUAUUUACAUUACUAUAAAUAGUAAGUUUUUCUCAUCAUUACACCCACUAUCUUCUUCCACUAUCUCAUAUUUAACAAUAAAAAUUACUAUUACACCCACUACUUUCCUCCACUAUCUCGAAUCUAUUAUUAAAUAUUGAUAGGUCCCACUACUUUACCCACUUUUCAUCUAACUUUACUCAAUUUUCAUACAUGUCUUGGUCUCCGUGUCCCCCUCCAAUGUAAACAAUUGAGGGGGACGGAGGGAGUAGUAAUGAAUGGCACCAAGGUGAGCGAAAACCCGAAUAAAUUCGAAACAGAAAUCGCGAAAAAUUGUAAAAAAUCAAACCGAAAUCGAAAAUAAAAAUUUAAAAACCGAACUGUGUACGUGUGUGCAAAGUAUAACGAAUUAAUUUAAACCAAGCAAUUAAUCCGAAAUCAAAUCAGAAUUAAUUUCCUGCAUUCGUGUCCGCAGGUCGCGCGGAAAAGCCCGAGGCUUGCGAAGCCACACACGCGGGAAAAGCCCGAGGCUUGCGAAGCCACGAAAUUUCCCUCGAAAUCCCACAAUUUGCACCCCUGCGCGCACGUAGGUGGUGGAGCACUAAACAUAAGUUAAACACCUCAUAUGUGUUCUAAUAUAUAAAGCCAUGGAAGGCCCAUUUUCUUUUCUAUGUGGGACACUAGUUUCUUUUCCAACUUUCCACUUCUAAGGAAGCAACUUUGGAUCAUCACAACUCAUCCAUUCCUUAAUCAUUUUGAGUGAAUAAACAUGCAUUGGAAAGUUCUCUCGGAGGAGAACAUAAUCCAAGCAUAACCCGCCACGAACACGUAACUGAGCCUUACUCAAAUUUGUGCUCAAAAUGACAAACUUCCAACAAAAUAUAACAACUGCUAUUUGACAUCUUGUGCCUUGCUAUAUUAACAAAGCAAACAUGCCAUUCAUCAUAGUUGAAGUACGAAGCACUUUUUAAGAAACGGAAUUCUGUGAGUAGGAGCCUUAAAAUUUGAAUGCUUUAGUUGUACCAGAAUGUCACUUAUUUUUAUUUAUAAAUUAUAAAAAGGUAACUCUGUGCUCCCCAAACUGAUGUUUAGUUCUAUGUUUCGGGGUGGGAGGUUUCUUAGUUAAUUUUAUUCUUAAUCUCUAUUGCAAGUGUACGAUAAACAUGUUGUCUCCUUGUGAAAUUCUUAACAAAGCUUCACCUGGUGUUGGAGCUUCGACUCGGAUGAACUGAUUUGUGUUGGAGCUUCACUUAGUGUUGAAGCUUUUCAUGCGAUUUUUAACCGAAACUGAACCAAGAGAAACCGAAUUCGAGGUUUUGAAAUCGAAACCGACAAUGAGAUUAUGGUUGAGAUUUUUUAUUUUUAAAACUGGGGACAUGGGGUUCAGGUAAAAUCGCACCAAACUCACAUCCGCUCUCCCCUAAAUGACAUGACUCUAGCUAUUGGGUGUCGCAAAUUGAUGAUAAACUCGAUUUUAUAUGGAAAAUGUCAGGUACCUCAACAAAAAAUAUUCAAAAAAAUUCCAAAUUUCACGUAUCAUUUUGCAAUUGGAUAUUGAGUCAUUAUUUAAUGGAUCUGCAUUUAGAUCAAUCUCAUCAAUAUAAUUAUCUCAAAUUAAUGUAUCCUAAAAUAUUUUUGAAAAAAUAAUUUGAAUUAUCUAGUAUAGUCCAUUUUAUAUUUUAAAAAUAACAAGAAUAGUUAAAAUUUGUAUAGCUCAGAUCCCGAAACUAGGUGGUCCAAUAAGUGGGAAUAAUUGAUUAUUUAUGUCUGCCACAAAUCUUGGUAACCAUAUGCCAUACAUAGGCAUGUUUGAAUGCUGCUUUUCGCCGGUUUUGUUUUUACAAUUUAGAAUCAGUAUCCUUGUGUAAAGAAGUGAUAGAGAUCAACAUGUGGUUUAUAAAUUAAAAUUUGAUAAGUUGGAAAUUCUAAAAUUUUCAAUUGUUUAUUUUCAAAUAAUAAAUUAAUCACAAUAAAAAAAUUGUUUAUAAUAUCUUAUAAUAAUAAUAGUAAUAGUAAUAGUAAUAGUAAUAAUUUCUAUAGCUAAGAAGUUGUAGAGAUAAAAUAAUUUAUAUAAACAUAUAAAACAAAAAAUUAUUUCUUUUAUUAAUAACAUUUCACUUAUAAGCAAUAAGAACUACUUAUAAGUUAAACCAAACAGCCUUCUGGCUUCCCACCGUUCUAAAUUCUGUUUAAGCAGAUUUUUUUGGCAGCAAAUGUUUUCAUGCUUUUUCCUCUUUCACUUUCAUUUAAGAAUAACCUAAAUCCAUCCAUCUUAAAAGAAGUAGAACUUCUAAUUUUUAUGUGCAUCACGAGAUGUAAUAAUCUUUUAAAAUUUUCUGAAUUAAAAUCCUAUAUUUUUAUUUUAUAAAAUAAAAAAAUAUAUAAAAAAAUGAUCGGAACGGAAAUAGCCCUAGUUACCUAGGUGCAGUACUGAUACUCCCUCCGUCCCCCUGAGUAGGAUACAUUGGGGGACGGAGACGCGGCACGGAUUUUAAUGCUCCUCUAAAGUGUAGUUGUGUAAUAUAUUUUUAAAAUUUUUUUUUUUUGAAUUAAAGUUUGGAUUUUAUAUUUGAAAAAGAAAAUCUCAAAAAUAAAUUACGGAACUAUAUUUCAUAAGAACAUUGAAAUACGUGUCGAGCAGUUGAAAAGAAACGUACACUGUUAGAUGGCAUAGAGGGAGUACUACUUUUGACUUAAUCGACUUGUAAAUGGAGAAAUGACAUCCAAUAUCCAACAUCACUGCAGAGCUGAUACUACUGUUUAAUACUCCAUUUGAUAUGACCGAGUACUGUUUGAAUCCUGCUUUAGUGCUUUAACUUCGUUUUCAAAAUCACAAAAGCAAAAGCCAAAUCAAAUCACACUUUAUUUUAAUCCAUUUUUAUCUUACCAAAGGGGAUGCUCUUGCAAACUAAAUAUUUGCAAUCCAAACCUCUGAAUUUUCGUUCAAAAAUGAUAUUGUACUCAUAAUUUUGUAAACUUAAAUCGCACUCCUUAUAUUUAUAUUUCAAAAACGAUACUCACCCCCUCCGUUAAAUUCUGUUAACUUCUAUUAAAAUAUCUCAUUCGUCUCAAUUUAUAUGUCCCUUUUACUUUUUGAGGAGUCAAAUUGACUAAUUUUUAACCAACUAUUAGAAAGCAUUUAUUUAUUAUUUUAGGAAAUCAAAAGUUACAUAUUAAAAUAGACUAGAUCUACUUUUUGAUGAUAUUUUUUAAAAAAAAUUUGUUCAAUUUUUCAAAGAGAAUAAAUUAAAAUUUAUAUAUUUUAUUCAAUAUAUAAAUUUAUGUGUUAUUUAUAAUAAAUAUCACAUAAUAUUUAUUUUUUAUAUUUAAAAUAGUGUAUAUUUUAAGUACUUAAUACACACACACUAAAAAUUUAAAAUUAUUUGAUAUGUAAAAUUAUUUUGACUUGGGGAUAGCUUAAUUAAACAAAAAUUUAAAAAAAAAUAACGUCAAAAAGUAAAUCUAGUCUAUGUUAAUAUGUAACUUUCUAUUUUCUAAAAUAAUAAAUAAAUAUUUUCUAAUAGUUGGUAACGAAAUUAGUCUAUUUGACUUCUCGAAAAACAAAAAUGACAUGUAAAUUGAGACGGAGGGAUAUUUUAACGGAAUUUAUCGGAGGGGUGCGUAUCGUUCUUGAAAUGUAAAGAUAAGAGGUGCGAUUUGAGUUUUCAAAAGUAUGGCUGCAAUAUCGUUUUCGAACGAAAGUUACAGAGUUUGAAUUGCAAUUAUCUCUUAAAAUAAUAUGAAAUAUUGAUAUAUUAAAUUUAACCUGCGAGAUGUUGUGUUUGUGUCCAUAAUCAUAUCAAAUCAUUCUGCAAAUGAUUAAAUUGAAUUUUAGCCCGGUCAAAAUUGAAUAAAAUAUAAUCCAACAAUUUCAAUUUUUUCUAACUGUAUUUUGAACAUCCCCGCUUUGAAAAUUAUGUUCUAUAAUAUAAUUUAAAAGUUCAAAAAUUACUUUUAUAAAUUGAGAUACACGAUGUGCAUGUUUGGGGAAGGGCAAUUCCGGCUUGUUUUGACAAGGAGGCAUUUCUACUUUUCUUGACCGUUUGGGUAAAAAAUGAGAAGUAUUUAUGAAAAACUAAGAAUGCUAAGUUUUGUUUCAGGAUUUCUAAUUUUUUUCCCAGACAGUUUACUCACUUAUAAGUUUAAUUAUUUCUCACUUCUGAUCAGCUUCUUUACUUUAAAGAAGACAUACUUUUCUUAAGUUUACUCAAACGGCCCCUUCGUUCUAGUAUAUAAUUUAAUGAUUGUUAAAAUCGAUAAAUGUUAACGAUUAAUUGAUAAUGAUGUUUAAGGUACACUAUAAAUUAUAAAUUACAUAAGAUAAUCAAACAUCAAACAUAUUAAUUAUAAUUAAAUUUAAAAACUAUAAACAAUGUUUCUCUAGCUUAAAAACGAAUUUUCACAUAACCCAACUCUACAGCAAUAUUAAUAAGAAAAUAAAUUAUUUAAAAUUUUAGGAUCAAGAGAGGAAGAGGUUCGACAAAUAUAAUUAACAUCAAUAACAAAAAAUAGUAAAGUUUAGAUAAGAAAAAUAUGUGUUGGGGUGGGGACUUUUUUGUACAUAGUCAAUUAUUUUUAUUUAAUAAAUUUUCUUGUCCAUUUUAAUUAAAUUUAUAGUGUCUUGGAGAUGCCGUUAGACUUUGUUAUUUUAAAAUAUUAAAAAUGAAAAAGGUUUUUUCGUCAGAAAUAAAAAUCAAGAAGUUAAAUUUUAACAAAAACUAAUAUUCUUACAACUAUUCAUAAUUGUGUUUGAUGAGCAGUGUUAUAGAAAUCGGAAAUUGAACAUAAUCGGCUGAGCUACCGACUCAGGGAUUAAUUGGAAAUCGGAGAUUAAUCGGAGUGAAAAUCAUAUUUAUUUUAAUAUUAAAAUAGUAUUUAGUUAUUAUGAUAUUAGCUAUUUAGUAACUAAUAUAUUUACUAUAUUCAUAAACUCUCCAAUUAUUCAUAUUUAAAGUAAUAUAGUAUUUUACUUUUAAUAAUUUAUCAUAUACACUUCGAUUAAAAAAUAUAUAUAAAAAUAAAUCGGAUUUCAAAAAUCCCGUCGAUAAAUACCCGUUGUUUCUAAAAGAUUUGCCAUCUACAUCCCUGCCUCCCAAAAAAGUACUUCCCCCCGUCUCUAAAUACUUUUCCUGUUUGUACUUUCACGUUUGCCAACACACACUUUUGAUCGUUAAUAUUUUUCAUUUCAUAGUAGCAUUAAAUAUAAAAAUUUCACCGUAUUAAAGUACUCGUGAAUACGAAUCUAACAAGAUCACUCAUGACUAUAUUUAGUUUUGUAGAUUAGAUGUAAAUUGGUAAUUUAUCUCUUGUUAUGAACAGUACCGACAUUACAAACAGGAAAAGAAAAAAGAAACGGAGGGAGUAUAAAAGUCCAGCAAAUUCCCACAAAACACAAUUACAGAAAUACCUAAAAAGAAAAAUCCCAAUAAAAUAAAAUAAAUUUAUACAGAAACAAAACAAAAGAGGCGGGCCCACAGAAACGAGUAAAGCACGGGGAUGGGCGUAACUGCAUAAGUGAACUACAAAGUCCAGAAGGAAAAAAGAAGAUGCUCCGGAUAUUCCCUCUUACAAUCACUCAUCUCCCAUCCCCAAUCCAAUCCCUUUCCCUAUUCGAUAACUCAUUAUAAUAAUCUUAUUAUUAUUAUUAUAUUACUCAUCUCUUUUUCUCCCUUUAUAAAUUCGAUUAUUUUCAUUCAACCCCUCCUCAAAAACACACACAAAAAACACACACAAACCUUAAUUAAGACAACUGAACAUGCCGCUUUCAACUGACUCCUCAUCGUCUAUGAAUCAACAACAACAACUGCUGGAUAAACUCAAAGUCUUCAAGAUCCAAGGCCGUGACAAACGUGGUCAUAUCAUCCUUCGCAUCCUCGCCAAAUUCUUCCCUGGUAAUUAUUUUAUUUUAUUUUAUUUUUGUUUAUCACAUGCAUGGGCACCAUGUUUUGUAUUCGAUUAAUUUUUUUUUUGAUUUAUUAGCUCGAGAUGUGAGCGUUGACGGGGUGAACAAAUACUUGGAAGACAAGAUAUUCCCGGAGCUUGAGAAACGCUCGUUUUCCGUUCUUUACGUCCACACCGACGUCGAAAAGAGCCAGAAUUUCCCCGGAAUCUCCGCCCUCCGAUCGUUUCACGACGCGAUUCCGGCCACCGUCAUCAACAAUCUCCAGGCUGUCUAUUUUCUCCACCCGGGACUUCAGUCCAGGCUCUUUCUCGCCACUUUUGGCCGCUUCAUGUUCUCCUCAGGGUACGUGAAAUAAUUGUUUUCACGCUAAAAUUGUUCUCGACUUUUUCAAAUUAAUCACACCUAAUUUUCUCUGAAUUAAUUUAAUCAUAUUUGUUAAAAAAAUAUUAGUAAAUAUUAAUGUUAUGUUUUUCGAAAUUCUGAUUCCGUCAGUUACGAAAGAUUUUAAUACGGAUUGAUUUUGUUUUGUACAGGUUGUAUGGGAAACUGAGGUAUGUGAGCAGAGUAGAUUACUUGUGGGACCAUGUAAGGAGGAACGAGAUUGAUCUCCCAGAGUUUGUGCAUGAUCAUGAUGAAGAUCUUGAGUACCGUCCGAUGAUGGACUAUGGAUUGGAAAGUGAUCAUCCGAGGGUGUAUGGUGCGCCUUCAGUGGAUUACUCCCCUUCCACUUACUCCACCAGGUGUAUUUCGUAGUUGGGGGAUGGGACGACGUCGUUUUGAAGUUGCCUGCUUUGAAUUUUGUUGUUAUGGUGGUUUGAAGCUUUAUGGGAAAUAUAGUGAAUGUUAGGUUGUGAAAGAUAGUAAAAAACGAAGUUUGGAAGCAAAGAGAAAAAUGGAAUGCUUCUUGUAGUAUAGUUUUGUUUUCGUAAAUUAAUUUCAUAGUUUUUGUUCAAUCUUUUUAUGGAAUGGUUAUAUACUCGAAUAAAUAUUUCUUUUUUAAUAUCAUUACUAAGAUUUCAUUGGGUAAGCCAAUACACAAUAACUUGUGAAGCUAUAUCAGAUUAUCGAAAAAAUUGAGAAUCGGAAUUAAUAUGAUUUAUGAUUUAUUGGAAUUUUGUCGGACAUUUUAUUAAGAGCAAUGCUAGGUACCCCAAAAGAUUUAAUCUACAAGGGGCCUCAUUAUUUUGGGAGUAAAUGCAACCAAUCAGGAUUAGACACCUCAUUUGGGAAAAAAAUUUGGGACAAUUUUUUGAGGUCCCUAACAUUUUUCUUUUAUUAAUGAAUAGAUAAUUUUUAGUUAAUCAAAAUAUAAAUCGAUGAACAAUUGAAUACGUGCCGAAUUUCCGUCCCCGGUAAACAAUUGAGGGACGGAUCACGGGAGGAGUAUAUUUUUGGCCAAUGAGUAGUGUCCACAAUGUUGUGAUAACUGAUAACGGCAUAACGCUAACUUCUCAUACAAAUAUACAUUUUUUUGACUUUUUUUUUUUUUACAGAUACAUAUUUUUGACUUUGAAAGUUCAAAAUGAUACAAAACAGGCUCUCGUUCAAAAAGUGAAAGCUGGGUCAUCAUCAAAGCAUUAACCCUAUCACUAAGCAAGUGGUAUGAAUGUCAAUAAAAUUAUCUAGCAAAUGAAACAGAUAAUUCAGAUUCAGAGUACUAGUCAUACAAUCAAGCCUUACCGUAGAAAAAAAAAAAUGAAUGAUAAAUUAACAUUGUGGAUUGAACGAGAAACCAAAAAUUUCAUUGACAUUCAUUGUGGAUUAAAAAAAAAAUGAAUGAUAAAUUAACAUUGUGGAUUGAACGAGAAACCAAAAAUUAUCACUAAGCAUUAACCCUAUCACUAAGCAUUAAAAAAAUUGAUGUAAAACAAAAACAAAAAUAUCAAUUUCAUAAACAAAAGAAAGACAUCACAUCGAUUCUCAUAAAAGAAUGAUGUAAAACGUUACGAUACACAUCAGUUUCACAAGUCUUUCGAUAUUAAUAUACCGUUCUAUUAUAUAAUGAUAUUGAUGACAUACGAAUGAAGAACUGAAAUUAUAAUAAAGGUAUAUACUUUUAAAGUGGCUAGAUUAAAGUUGCGAAUAGACAUAAUGAAAUUUAAUUUUCAAUAAUAACAAAAUAGUAUUCUCAUCCCAUUUUAUUUCAGUUAUUUUUUUUUUGGUUGAAUUUUCGAAAGGAAUAAAUCUUUUAUUCACAACCUCUAUAUAAAAUUAUAAAUACACUUUUGUAUAAUAGUGUAAUAAUUAUUUCACUUUUCAUGAUUCAAAUUAAAGGCAAACAUUUCAUUCUUAAAAAAUAUGUUGCUCAAACAGGUUCAUAUAAAACGGGAGAUCGAGGGAAAUGAAAAGGAAAGCAUAAUAUAGCAUUCUAAACAUGUUUUAAAUGUAUGUGAUUUGAAAUAAAAAAAAAUUAUUUAUGAAAAAACUGUUUUAUCAAUUUUUACCGAACAAGAAUAUAAAAUAUUAUUAUAAAAUCAUGAUAAAUUCUAUUAUUCCAAAACUGGCUGCUAAUCUUAUAAAAAAUAAAAUAAAAUUGUCCGCCACUAAAUUCGUGGGCAAGGUUUAUCAAACAGUCCAUAAUUCCACCCUUCAACUACACACUCACUCAGCUCCGCUCACAUUUCCGGUCAGUUUGCGACAAUCUCGCUUAUAUUCACGUCUCUUUACUUUGUUGCCCAAUUAUCUUGGUUUUUUUUUUAUUAUUAAUUGCAGCUUGUAUAUCAAUUAUUACAUUUUUAAUUGUUAAUACACCUGAUGAAAUGAACAUAAUUACACAUGAACAAUUUCCCUCGUGAAAUCAGUUACUAAUUUUGAAGUACAAUUGUGCGAUGCUGAAUUCUGCGGUGCUAAUUGUCGAUUAAUUAACUUAAUAUGACACCUGUAGUUCUGAAUUUCGAUAUUUAUGAGUAAUUUUUAGACUGCAUUUAGGUUAAUGAUGUCCGUGUUUGGAUUAGCCUUGUUAGCCGAAAACAUGUCAAAUGUGUGUCUUGUAAGGGAAUAGAGGCAAUGUAAAAUCUACGGGAUGAUAAUCAUAAUAAAUUAAUAAUAAUGGCGAUAAUGAUUAAGUGGCUGUUUAAGGCCUAAUUGUUUGUUGAUUUCAUUUGUUAGGGUAAUUGUUGGUGGAUGUGAUAGACAUGGAUUUCUUGCGUUGGGCGUGUCCAUCACCGGAAGAACAGAAGUCGUGCAUCAACAAGUAAUGCAAGCAAUUAAGUUGAUUUCUAUAGCUAUGAAUUUAGAGAGUUAAUGAGUGUGAUUGGCGAUUUUUUUCUAGGUCUGUUGCUUUUAAUUACGAUAUUAAAUAUAAAGGAGCUAGUGCGAAGCCCGCGUCUUCGCUUCAAGAAAAUGAGGAGCUUAGUAAAGAUGGUUUCUUUGUUAAUCACGCAAAAGUUUUACUGGGUUCGGGGCCUGAGACUUAUGAGAAAGGCAAGACUGCACUGCAGACUUGGAAGUGAGUAUAUAAAAUUCUGGAUAGUAGCUAAUUUAAUUUAAAGGAUAUUUUGGUAUCUAAUGGAAAUUUGGUUUGUAGGCAUUUCGGAAUGAAUUGGGCUUUUGUUGAUCCUCAGACUCCAGUCCAAACAGGGGAGAAGUUGUGUGUUUGUGUCAAAGAGAUUGUACCAUGGAUCAUGAUGCCCCUGCAGGUUGUGUUUGUAAAUGAAAGCAAAAUGGCUAAUAAGCCUGUGGCCUCUUUCAGUUUCGGUAGCGGUACCCUCAAAGGACACCUACUGGUUAGUGCUUCUUUGCAAGUUCUGAGCAUGUAUUCACUGCAAGUCCUGGGCUUUUAGUCAUGCCAAUAGAUAUGAGUUACUAGAAAAUAGUUUUGUUUUCCAAACUCAUCAUAAUUAUUUUUUACUUGAAUGAGGCCUUGAUCUUCAGUAGUCUUUGGAAAGAAUUCUCAAAUUCACCUUUACUAAAAUCAUCAAGAGGUUCAUUGUCAGAACAUUUAAACUGCAUUGUUUGUUUGUCACAAAGAAGUGUACCUCGUUAAGCACCAAAGUCCCCAUGUAUAUAACUCAACUUGCAUCUACUCUUUAGUCUCAACUGUUAUUACCUUUUUUGCAACCUGAAACCUUUUCCUUGUGCAAGAGGAACGGUGUCCAGUUCGUAAAAAAUGCCAUAGUUUUUUCUAUCAACAGCUACAGUUAUGACAUUUAUGCAUUAAUGCUAUUAGCUAUAUAUAAUUGACUUUCUUUCGGUUUUAGUUGUUUAACAAUUGUUGUUCAUACAUACCAAGUCUGGUAAUGUAGGUUGGUCUAUUGCUCUCGGUCUCGGAUAUUGUAAAUUUUCAAUUAAUGCUAUUCCGAAUUUAUUAGGAAAAUAUUCUGUAGUGCUGCAAAUGGUUGUAAUAAGAACAUUCCAAAGUGAAAAAUUAUUGUUGGAAUCCCACAUUGAUAAAAAGUUUCAUAUCUGAAUAGAUCUCCAAGUGAUAUCAUGCAACUUUUAGACUAUUCAGAGGUGUCAAUCUUAUAAACCAAACCAAAUGUACCCAGUAUGUCCCACUUAUCGCAGAGGGUAAGAUUUUUGGAGUCUUACCUUCAUUCAAAAGAAUGAAGAGGAUGUUUUCAUAAAGACUCCCGGCUUGUGUUUGUACAUGUGUGCGAUUAUGUACAAAGUGAAAAUUACUACACAUAAGAAAACAAGAUAUAUCAAAUACAUGUACAAACAAAAUUUGAUCAUAUAAUUUGUAAAGUGAUCAAGUCAGUAAGUAACCGAGCCCAUAAUUUUCUUGACACGGGACUUACUUGUGAUUUGAAUUGAACCAUAAAAUCUGUAGAUUUCACUGCUCCAUCAAAAAUCCCUAAUUUCUUCAAUUAUUUCCAGGGUCUUAUUCAUCUCUAAAUGUUAAUAAAAUAAUCUCGAUUUCUGUUAGCGUUGUUGAUGUCCCUGUCAUGUGGUUGUGCCUUGGCAGCAAUACACUCACCCACAAUUUUAUACACAAAUUCACACACAUAAUAUACAUAAACCUUAUAAACUAGAUAGAAAGGAAUGGUUAAAGUUUGUUAUUUGUACUUCUGAUUUGACAGUCAGUAAAUAAGGAAGAUGAAAAAUAAUGAUAAUCACAAGUAAUUUGUAUGGAUCCAAGUAGAUUUGAAGAAAUGGAAAUGACAAUGUAAAACAAAUUCUUUUUCACAUUGGUAUUUGGGAUACUAUGGCCCUGUUUGUUUAAGAGAAGCUGAAGCUGCUUCUGGCUUCUGCUUCUCUUGAUCCGUUUGUGUAAAAAAGUAGAAGCACUUUUAAGAAGCUGAGAAUGCUAGCUUCUCUCUCACAACUUCUGCUUCUUUUCCAAACACUUUAUUAACUUAUUUACUUUUCACUUCUGCUCCACUUCUCUAGUUUAAGCAAGAAGUCACUUCUUUUAAGCUUGUCCAAACAGCCCCUAUAACUAUUGGUUCCAUUUUCGUUAAUUGCUGUAAAAUAAAGCAGUCUGAGUUUCUUAUGUACUUUUUAAUGCUACCUGAAAAGCUUAGCAGUUAACCAUUCUAAUGUUAUCUAUCAAUUGGAUAUAAUUUGUUAUAGCUCCAGCUUAUCUGUUGCAUGCAUCAGCCAAGUCUAGUGUUUAAACUAGUGACUAAUUGGUGGGGCUGACAUUCAGAAAUUGUGGUCAUGCUUAUCCUUUCAUUGGUUAUUUGCUAAACUGGUGUGUUCAGUGCAUUUUUAUUGUUUUAACUUUAGCAAUCAAAUCAUUCAUCAAGUUUAUGUAAAUACCUCUAGUACUCUAUAGUUGCUGUAAUAAGUUAUUAGCUUUGUGCUCAAUACCCUCAAACAAUAUAGUUGCAUAAUAAAUAUUAAGAUUUUACUUGGUUGUAUAUCUUUUUAGUAACAAAGAGUUAAUGUAAUAUAUUCCUUUGUUGAAAACAGGCUGGUGAAGAGCGUUUCUCAGUUGAGCUAGACGAGAACAAUCAAGUUUGGUAUGAGAUACUUUCUUUUUCAAAGCCGGACCACUUUAUCUCGCGAAUUGGGUAUCCAUAUGCGCGUCUCAGACAAAAGUACUUUGCUAAUCAAUCUAGUUCUGCAAUGCAAAAUUAUGUAUCUUCCAACUAAAUUACUUAAUAUCCUUGUCACUUUUUAUUUUGAACUUUUAGCAAAUAUUAUGUCCUAUAGAUCUGUAUAAUUUGAAUAUUUUCAGUUAACUUUAUAUACAAAGAUUAAUAGGCUGUUUCUGGAGUCAAUAAUUCUAUAGGUGAACUGUUGACCAUCAUUUCAAUCAGGAAUGCCGUUGUCAAAGUCGCACAUUGGUUGACAUAUAUUGAACGAUAUGGUGGCAUCAACUUUUCACACUUAGUGACUUACAAAUCGGGAUGAACAGAAAGUGUGAUAUAGUGCAAAAGCAAUAAUCAUGUUGAUAAUUAGUUUAAUUACAGGAUUGAUAUGCAUUUUGUUAGUAAGAGUUGGAAACUUGAAUAUUAAAUAUAGUUAUUAGCAUUUUGGUCUCAGUUCUGAAGUGGGGUAGUUGUGGAUAAUGUAGGGAACUAUUAAAUGAGAAUAAUAUGUGAAAAAAACUAAAUAUUAAAUGAGAAAGAAUGAAAAACCAACACGAAAAGAUUUCUCCUUAGGUUUGUAUCGUAAUUCUUAGCAUUUCAGGUCUAUAUUCUUUAAGCACAUAAUGAAACCACUAAACUUCUGAUGCUAUGAAGUUUCUUGUGGAAAUUAGGCUGCUGCCUUCAUCUCGAAGAACUGAGAGAGUUAUAUAAUGGGAAUUUUUAGUUGAUCGGAGUUUUGCAACGCCUAGAGUCUUUUAAAGAUAUUGCUAAGAAGGUUUAUGCAAUUCAUUUUAUGCUUCUAUUCAGUAGCAAAAACAUACCUGUAGGAUCUUGAUGCUGAAGUAUGUCAUGUGUAUCACCUAUUAGAUAUGGUGGAUCCAGAACUGAAAGGAUUUCCUGAGGAUGAAGUCAUUAGAUAUAUCAAAAUUGCAUUUUUCUGCACGCAGGGAUCAGCAAGUAGGAGGCCAACAAUGGGCCAAGUUGUUGACAUGCUCUCAAGAAACACCAGGUUGAAUGAGAAGGAACUGUUGGCCCCAGGUUUUUCCCAAGAUAUGGGUGCACGUUCAUCUUCGAGGAACAAGUCAUCUGAUACCCCAACAAGCACUCAGAUGAGCUCUGUCCCCAUCUCUGUCACUCAAAUCACCCCUAGAUAAAACUCGAGUUUCCUUAUUUUGUAGACAAGAUUUAAAAAGGAAUUCGAAGGCAAAAAUGUGCUACAUAUGCNUAUUUGAAGACCAUAUCUUACACCCUUAAUUAAAACAAUAAACAACGGCAGAUGUGAAGACAUGUGGCAAGUCUUUAAUAUUUUAAUAAAUGUAGAUAACCUCAGUAUAUCAUACUGUAUGAAUUGUAGUUUUGCAAACUUCAGUGAUACAAGACAUUCAAUUGACAGUUAAUUACUCGUCAUUUCUCCUGCUUAAUUUUUUCCGUCAGAUCAAAAUCCACAUGAUCAUAGGAUAAGAUCGACAACGCGAAAUAGUGCAGAACAACUACGACAUAAGUCGGAGAACCGUCUACAAGUAACGUGUUAUUGGGAAACUACAGGACAUGAAUCAAAUGUGAAGAACUAUAAUCUGUUAAUUUUUCGAUUGUUUUGUUGUGUUCUUGUUUAAGCUCGACUGGAUGCUUGCUGCAUGUCAAUGAAAAUAAAAGAAAAUGGGGCCAUUAUAUGACUUUGAUGUUCUUAAAAUGACUGUGUAAUAAAGUAUUAUCGCUUGCUAAUAUGGUGGUGUUGUUUAGUUGUUUAUGCAUGACCAAGCAGUUUGAUAAAUGUUGUAUUGUUCUGUUUGAACUAUGAUCUGCUCUAUUUUGUGUAUUGUUCUUCAGUCGCAGUAUACUGAGGGACAAGUAGACUGAGAAUAAGAAGGAUAAAUAUCAAAGAUAAUCUUGGUGCUUGAAUUCAUGAGAACAGAACAACCGCCUGAUUUCACGCUUGAUUUCUGAGUAACCGUUAUAAUGUAUUUAUACGGUGAAGAGAGUAUAAGAAACAAUAAACAAGUAAACAUUCUUUUUAAAAUAAUAACCACCAUUAGAUUUGAAGAAGAUGGACGGACCAGAUGGGGUCUCCAAUACUCCAAAUAAAUCCGGUCUCCACAGAACUUAAGCCUAUAUAUAUAUACUUCCAUUAUUUGAGAUAAAUAUACAUAGGCCCUCCAUCUCAAAAUACUCAUAUCAGUUGAGAAGUAUAAAUCAGAUCACAUUACUGAGAGACAAUGUUCAAGAGACCCUUAUCCUAGUCAGGAUCCCUGGUAUGUGUUAAAAGUAUAAAUUUCAUUUGGUGUUUUGUUAAAUACAUAUAGGUUCAAGGAGAGUGAUAAUGUAAAUUGGCAUCAGAUUCUAGGUUUAUUUAGAGAGGUCUGUUGUUGCUCCUUGUUACAUUGGGAUUGUGCCCCCUUGAUUAAUAUGUUAUGGUGGCCCCCUUGUGCAUUCGAGGGGAGUAUUAGAGGUAUAAGAUUCAUUUAGUGGAUUCUAUCAACACCUAAUUUUUUUAAGAAUUAGCUAUCUAACAAUAUGCUCUCUAUGCCAUUCUCUGUGACUCAGAUGCCUCCACUCUUUGUUAUUUACAUGAUUCAGUCUGCCCUUCAUUUGACCUGAGUCUCAUUAAUGCUCCAUCUAUGCUAUCUAGUUAAUUAAAACAUAUGUCAUGUUCUCUUCCUGCUUGUGACAAGUGACUACUAUGUUCCCUUGGACUUCAAGUUGGUGUGAAAAUAAAGAUCAGGACAUGCUGUAAGACUUUUGAUGUUCGUGGAAGUAGAAAUAUUUGGUACUAGAAUCACCAUGGCUAGGUGGUCAUCCUGAUUAAUAAAUUGCAAUGUACUCCAUGUUGCACACUUGCCUCAGGGCGGCAAUCAACUUUUUGUGAUCUUUUAACCUCUCUCCGGAAAAUGUGUACUGGGGCAGUGUAGCCUUCAGUGCUUAACUAUCCAUUUCUUCUCCGUAGAACAGACUGUAGGUUUCACAUUCACUCGUGUGGUAACUUAUGACAUGAUAUAUGUUUACAUUCAUAGUUAUCAGAUUUUUGAUGAAUUUGUCAACAAACUUAUCAUAGCAUUACUCAUGUUGGUUCUGAGAGAUGGUUUGUGGCAAAUCGAGAUCAUUUGUCCAUAUGUAAUUUUUUUUUUAAAAUGGUAACAAUUUUCUUGGCCGUUGGCACAGUUGAUACUUCAGUUUCUCAUAUUUUGAGUUUAUUCAGAUCCUCUUAGAUGUCAAGUGUGCUAGGAUGCAACCUACUAGGCAAGCUAGUUUGAGUUGGGCUCUUAUUAAAUUAUAUAGAGUACCUGAAACUUCUAUUUACUGCUGUAUAUACCUUAGUAACCAAGAUGAGCUAUAAACUAGUGUCGGAAGCGUGAUGAUAUGUCUGGAGAUGGUAUUCUCUGAGUUAUAUCUUCUUGUAAAUUGCAGCAGUUAUAGUUAGAUUAAUAUCGAAAACAUUUUAUACAUAAACAUGAUAUACAUGGUAAGCCCUUUUAUAAUGUCUAACGAGCGUCUCUAACUCAACAUAAUAUCAUGGUUUUGUUGAACCAACCGUUUCAGAAAUCCACAUAAAACCAUAAAAAUGGCCUUUGAGUACCGGUAAGCAUGAUAUGCAUAUUAAGUUUUCAUCCUUAGCACAUCUAGAUUUUAAGAGAAUCGGUAUUCUAGCAAAAAUCGUUGGUCAUUUCAUGUUGCCCACACGUAGCCCACACUGACUUCCACAUUUUCCUCCUUCCAACACCUUUACACAAAGUUGCAUCAAUGGGGAAUUCCUCAAGUCACUAAAUUAUUGUAAUCUAUAUACGACAAAAUAGUGCAGAUUCUUGAGAUCUGUUUAGGGAACUAAGAAAUAAGAAUGAAUGAAGAUUAUAUAUAUUAAGAUUAUAUACAUAAGAAGAUAUAGAGAUUGGCAAUUGAUAUUAUAUACUUUCUUUGCACGUAUGGCAUUUUAUAUAUGUGUCUCCACUGCAUUCAUUAUUGUCUAUUGAUAUUUUUAUAAUGCAAGUAGAUGCCUGACUCGCUUAGCUCAUUUGAUAUGUCAUACUUAAUGUCUUAGUUCCUACCUUAAGUUUGUUGCUUGCUACAUUUGUAUUUUAAUGAAAGGAAUAUUCGAGAAUCAUAUAGAUGGAUUCUAAAGAAGAGUCUCCAUUUUCUGCUAUCUUCUUUACUUUUCCAUCUCAUUUGCUUUUCCAAUUGUAGACACGAAUCACAAUUUCUUUUUUCAAGAAAGAAUUCAUUAAUUUGAUGCUGUAAUUGUCUAAUAGGAUUUUGCUUGGGCGAUUCACACGUUGCGACUUACUGACUCUUUUAUUGUUCUUUAAACACAAAAAAUUGCUUUAGGUGGGUUUCACGCCCAUAAGUUUCGUGAGGUUUGUUAUUAUAUAGCAAGGCUCUGUUGUUGCAAUCCAUCAUCAUAGUUUCUCAAGUAAAAUAUUAUAUUUGAUAUUGUAGGUUUGCCUAGUCGUAUAUCUCUGUUUAAAGAGGGAUUUAGCUGUUAAGACAAAUAAUGCAUACUUGAGUCUACCUGUUAUAAUAAAUGUUUGCACGAGUGGUAUGCCUCCUUUGUUUCCGGCACCGGGGUUUUGCUACCUGCCAUAUUAUCUGUAUUUUCUUUAUAUAUUAAUGAUAUCUUAUCAAUGCAGCCAAAUAUGCUUUGUACUACAUGCAUUAUCAUGAUCCUUUUAAAUAUUCAUGUUGUUGCUGCUGUGACCUCCUUGAAUUACUCUUAGAUUAUAAAUGUUACUAGUUAGCAAUAUAUCUAAUUUUUCAGACCCGAAGCCUUUUCAUUCCUACCUUCUCAAUUUUCAUACACUAACUUCCCUUGCCGGCUUGCCAUGCAUUUGAAAAUUUUAUAAAUUAGUUGUGAGAUUUUUCCUUCUUGUUUUGCUGUACACAAUUGUAAAAUAUCAUAGAUUAUUGUUUUUAGUUUUUAUUGAGACUUGAAUAGAAAGUGAGCUGCUAUGCUAGUUACAGUGGCAGGGACGGAACUGAACUGGAGGGGCACGGGUGACGGCCGUCCCCCCAAAAGUUGCUAUUUUUUAUCUAUAAAAUUUCAAAAAUUGUUAUUUGGUCCCCCCAUUUUUUACUUGAUUACUUAUGUUAAAAGGAAGUCGCUGGAAAAAUUGACAAUGAAUCUGUCAUUGAAGUGUUUUACGAGAUGAAAAUGUUGUCAAAUGCAGUUAAAGUAGUAUCUAUGUAUAGUUUGCCUCAUUUGAUGUUUAAAAGUUGCGUAUAUGAAGUGAUAUUUUAUCUAUCCUUUCAGAAUAAAUUAUGCGAUUUAGUUUAAAAGUUCGGCCCCUCCAUUUUUUCUUCAAGUUCCGUCCCUGUUCAGAGACAAUGACUGCUGCUGGCUCUGUCAUUGUCGACUCUCCCAUACUUGAAGUAUUAAAUGGAACAUUGAAUUUAUUUCAUAAUUAAGUAACAGGGGCCGGCCAAGUGCCAACUAUGUACUAUCUAACAGUCCUUUAUGAAUUUUGUCCUAAUGUAUAAUCUAUUUUUUGGUCAUUGAAUUAUGUAUUUUGUUCAAUAAAUUCAUUACUAUAUAUAUUGCUGAGCUUUUCCAAUAAAUGAAGAUCGUUUCGUUUAGUCUAGUUACCAUUAAGAAGGGUAACUGUUGCUCCUAAUUAUGUCUGGAUGGGUGGAACCUUCGUAAGAUUAUACUGGAGAUUGUAGAAAUGAGAUCAAACUGAGAUCACAUGCUUAAUUGUUAAUCAAGAUUCACAUUGAUAUAGUCGCUGAGAUAAACAUUGAAUAAUGUUUUAAUUUGUUUACUUAAAUGUUGCACGAAUGGUAUUUUGUCAGUAUGUCAACACUGAGGUUUGUUACCUAAAACUAUAUUCUUUUUGGAAUCUGGAUAUAUAUUAUCCUCUAAUUAUUGUGUUGUAGCAAUGACUUUCGUUGUGUGUGUGUGCACGCUUUUUGUUUAGCAAGUUUUGUCUAAUGAUUUGUGCUUUCAGACCUCGGUUAAGUUUUCUCUGAUUCUUCCUGACGUUUAUAUAACUUGCUUUUUGAUUAAGCAGUUAUCCGACACUGUGUGACAUGAUAAAACUUAAUCAUCUUAUCAGGUGAAACUCUGAUCAAUUUCUAUCCUGUUACAUUACCAUGGACCUCGAAUGUAGGCCAAAAUUUAGAAUCUGGGAUGGCUGUUUAGAGAUAUUGAUGUGAUAUGGACUAUAAUAAUGCAACUAAUAUACAAUAAUUUGUUUGCAUAUGGGUGGUGGUUUCUACUUUCUAGAUAUUGAAUACUGGUAAAGACAAUAUGAUAUUUGUGCAUGGCUGGCAUGUUUCCAAAGUGUUCCCUUUCAGGUUUGCACUUGGCCAGCCAAAGAAGUGACUACAGCUAAGAUGUUGUAUAAUUAUUUAUUCAUUCCUUCUUUGCUUAGAUCUGUAUUGUUUUUCUAUAUCGAGGUUCAUGGAGACUGACAUUUUCAUCUAUAACUGAGGAAAUAAUUUUUAACUGUUUAGUUAAUUUAUGUUUUUACCAUAAUUAUUUCUUUGAGGAAUGAAGUAGGUUGAUUCUCUGAAUGUCCCUGCAGGCCUGGUUAAUUAUCAGUAGGAGAUGCAGGCAUGCGAUUCCAAAUUUUAUCUGUUUAUAUAAUUUUGAAAUGUUUCUAAAUUAUUAUUUUUUCCUUCGAAAAGGUUAACAGGGAAUCUGCAGAAACUGACUCCCUACUUUAACUUUUUCUAGUAUCAUAAUAUAUGCUCAUAUAUCUUACCCUUUCCAGAUUCUAAUUCAAAUGAGAUAUGCAUUAUAUGCUAUAUGUUUCAGUUACUAUGUCAGAUGGGUUUCAAUUGGUUACUAAUAUACUGAUGGAAUUUUAUAUACGAUGUGGUGAAGAAAUCAUAAAUCAUAAUUUGGAUGUAAUAAUUAUUCACUUCACCAAUUGUUUUGGAUAUGUAGGAACCCAUGAACAUAGAAAUUUAAUGAGAUUAGUGUAUGGGAGAUUAAACUUAGGAUAAGGCUUUUUUGAAGGAUUAUACCAUAUCAUGCUUUGUGAGAUAAAUUUAGUGACAUUGAUUUAAUUCUUAUCAUAUCUGUUGCAAAAUUCCUCCAUGGAUAUGUUUUGCAUUAUCAGAUAAUCCUGGAAAUGAAGAACACAGUGACAGUAUGGUGGAGACCGAGGUAUGUGAAACAUUGAAGUACUAUAUUGGAAUUGUGUAUAUACAUUCGAAAAUGAGCAUGUAAUAGCUAAUAGUUUUGUUUACAUGUUUAUACAAUGCAAAAUUGAGUUCCACAAGCUUAUCCUCUAAUAUUCGGAUACUUUUGCAGAUGUCAAGAAUCACAGAUCAUACUACUUAAUUACUGGGAAACAAUGUUGAGCAGAGACGCUCUUGUUCUAAUGAAGUGCCUAAACAUGCUCUCCAAGCCAUUCUCAAUGCCUUCAACAUCACUCUCCAAGGUCUUUACUCGAUCCACUUCAUUUACAUCAUGCUGUUGAUCUUCACUUGACACAGCACCCUUGUGCAUCAGUUUUGAAACUUGCAACCACUUUGUAGUAGCCUUUGGCUUCAAUAUAGGUGUAGAUAAGAAUAGCAAAACAGAUUGAAAGACAGAAACACUUGCGGCAGUGACUUCUUUUAGUGAUCUAAUCACUGCACCUAGGUGCUGAUCUUGAUCAAAGAUUUCUAAUACACUGCUUUUGGUAUCCACUUGCUUGAGAGAUGCAGUCAAUUUUUUCGAAUCCUUGUUAAUCGCCUUUCUGAAAGCUGCAAAUUCCGCGCUUGAGUCCCCCUUCUUCCUUCUUAAAGCAGACAGAAGCUCUCUGGCAUGAACUUUAAUCUCUGACAUAACAUCUCUUGUAUUCCCACAGAUAUCCAAAAGCCUCACCGAUUUAUCCAUCAACUCAUUGACACACUUCUCGUUCUGAUGGUGAGAAAGCGCUUGCUGGGUCAGUGGCAAAUUCAGAAACUCAUCUGUAUAUUUGUACAACUCCCCAAGCCUGCACAGACCAUCACAAACCGUGUCCGCUGUCAAAACAUCAGAAGCCUCCGCUUCCCAUGAUCUGAUCCUGGUAAGCCCUUCUUCGAUCUUGCAAGCACUCGGAUGCAACGUCGACGGGAAGCUAGUCGAUCGAACAGUGCAACGUUUGUUGAAUUUCAUUGAAGUAGCCAUUUUCUUAACUUGUCAAAACUUUUGAUCUGCCAAGCUCUGAAAAUAUUUGAUACCUCAACCUUCAACUCUCUGCUAUUUAUAUGCUGAUACCCUAGGAUAUUAUACAAAUGUAUCUAGAUAUUAUUAUAAAAAUAUCGGCAACUAGCGGAUGAAAAGGACGUAUUUAAAAUUUCACGGGUAACUCUUCGCACAAGAUGGCUCCGCCCCUGUCGAUAGUAACGUGGCUGGCAUUUCAUGUGAAAUGGACUUAUUUAUUUCAAUUAUUUCAUCUUUGUCCCCAGCAAGCUCAACAAUAAUUUGCCACAUUUUUUUAGCAUUUUUAUAAAAAUGCAUUAGUCACGCCAAUUUGGCCUCCCAAUUAUUGCUCUUCGAGUGCCACAUUUCACUUUUUUCCUACCAUCCACAUACGUGUAACUUUUUGCAUCAAUGUGGAAAAAAGAUGGUAUUAUAAUCGCAACAGUGGAGAUCUGGAGAUCUUUCAGCAGAUUAAAUAAGCUACGGCUAUGGUUUAUUUGCAAACGUGUUUCCACCGUUUCAUCUGCCUUGCUGCCUAACUUGCUUACUCUAGUUUUGAUCUUUUUGUACAAGUCAGAGCAAGAUGCCUAAUCCGCUUAAUUUUUCUGGCGAGUUAUCGUUUCCACUUGUUUAUCAUUUUCGUCGUGUAUUCGGACUCUCAAAUUCUCGACCUCUUGUUAUUAUCACUAAUCGGGUUGAAACGGGGAUUUUUCGCGUAAAUUUGAAAAUUUGGCUUCUAAUUAUAUAAAAUUGUUUAAAUUAUAUUAUCCAAGCUGUUUAACGUAAUUAUUUGUAUUAAUUCUAAAUCAUGUUUAUGUUGGUGUGCUAAUUGUUGGUUGUAUGAUUAGGAAAAAAACAGGUAGAGUGGGAUCUAAGGUGAUUAAUAAGCUAAUUAUUGAUAGAUAUGGGUUUACAAACUUACAAUGAAUGCAGACACAUGUUUAAUAAAUGUAUACACGAGUGCUAUGUUCCACAUUGUCUGCGCUAAGGUUUGCUACUAGCUGGCUUUCACUUGUCUCGUCCUUCAAGUGUUCUCUCUAGUCUCUACCGUUGGAAAAAAUUCUAUUGAAUAAUUUUUUAAUCGUAAGUGUUCAAGAGCUUAAUAAGGGUAAUUUUGCGAUAAAACCAGAUUAGCUGCGCUUAAAAAGUUAAAAUUACUGGUUUGUUGUUGUGGGCCUCUACUUAAUAGGUUUAAAUCAUUUGAGUAGCUUUAAAAAUUUUGUGGGCUUAAAAGUGGGCUCUGCAUGCACCACAUGGCAAGAUAGUGUUAAUAGAAAAACAACUUGUCAAGAUAAUUAUUAUUUAGUUUAUGUUAGUUUAAUCAAUCAAUUAUAAGUUUAAUAAAUUAUUAAAUUCUAAUCAAUAUCUAUUUUUUGUUUUUUUAAACUUAUAUUAACUAAUAUAUCAGUCAAUUCCAUUAAAAAUACUCUGAUUUCUAAUUAUAAUUUCUACCUAGUAACCUAGAAGAAGAUUAGAUUAUAUAAUUAGAUUUUCAGGAGCCGUAAAACAUCGUUGUGAGAUGGAAAAUUAGUUGGAAUAUAAAUAAUAAAAUAAAUCUAUUAAUAUGAGAUCUUUUAAGAUGCGCUCGAAAAUAAAUUUGCAUAAAUUCAGUCUAAAAUAAAUAAUAUUAUAUUAUUUUGAAUUAUGACUCACUCAACAGCUUAAUAAACAGUUCACAAUUUCAGAUUAAUAAUAAGUCCGACUCUCCCAGAAUGGCCACGAGAUAGACGAGUCAUCCUGCAUUUUAUUUUUGAGCUCAUCUCGAAAAAUUUCACAAUAACAAAAUUAUUUGACCUUAAUAUUCUAACUACCUGCCCAGGUGUGCCAACUCCCCACACUUGCUAGUAUGUUUAAUACAAAACCUACAUAGUGGUAUCUUCUUGUUGAAAGAAUAUUAUAUAUUAUUUACAAAGUAAGGACCAGUUGAUUUGUCUGAUUAUGAAAUUCUUGAGAAAACAGAUAACUUUUUUUAUUUAAUAAUAAUAAUAAAAAACAAAAAUACUUUUUCACAGCUAAUAUAUAAAAUUGUUACAUACUUGGCCUAAUUAUUGUAAAUCUAACUAAUUAUGGUUCCAAGAAAAGGACAUUUUUUAAAUAAAUCUAAUAAUGUGAUAAUUAGAACGCACUCCAUGACAUGGUUCACACAAAUAAGAUCUGAAUAACUUCAAACUUGGGUAUUUAUAUACGACUAUAAGAGUAUUAUAGGCGCAAAAAAAAUGACAUAAUAAUUGAGUGGAAAAAUUUAAUUGAUAUUAUUAAUAGAUGUUUGGACUUUUUUUUAAUAAAAUAUUAACACAUACUUACUUUGUGAAUCUGGUGGUACACAAUUUCAUAUAUCAAAUAUUUUUCAUUGUAUAUACAGACGUACAUUUCUCACACUGUCGCACAGAUUCUUAACAUACCGAUACAAAAUUACAUGCUGAAGCUCCUUUCCACCAACAAGGCCUGAAACCGUCUAAUAUCCAAAACAUUCAAUCAAAAUCUUUUCUAUUCCCUUUUGUAAUAUCAGCAAAAAGUCGAAGAAAAAAUAUAUACAGCCUAGAUACAUCUUCCUAUAAAAGAUUUCAUCCUAGAUUUUCUACAGGCUAAUUUAUAAUUUGGUACCACCGUCAACUUAUUAUUCUUGUAAAAGGGUUCAUGAACCCAUGAAAGUCGGUUGCUAAUUUAAAUGAAAUGCAGAACUUGUACGUACAUUUGUCUGCAUAGGAUGUACCUUCAGUACACAAUAACAUUGAGAUUUUUGUUUAGAUUAAUUGUCUGGGGAUAUUACAUGUUUUUAAAGAAAGAGCAAUAGGAUAAGAUUAUAUAUGUCAUAUGUAUGUAUGGGUUCUUAUAUUAAAGUUAUUAAUAUAUUAUUAUAAAGCAUGCAGGCUUAACUUUGGCAGAGAAGAUGGAGUUAUAUUCUAACUUGUGCAUGGCUGUCAAUGUUUAAGCAAUGUCCCCUGUUAAGGUUUGUAGCCGUAGAUAAAAAUUUGAUCUAAGAUGGCCUGAAUAAGAAUCAGAAUAUUUUCCAAUAAUAUUAACUUAGUCCAAAACUGGUGUUAAUUUUAAUGAAUAAAGGCAGCUGACUCGUGCAAGAGCAACUUAGAUUUACUUUUAACAAAAAUAAGUUCCUUUUAUUCAAGAAAAAUACACUUCUAUUCUGUUAAUAUAUAUCAAUAUUUGCUGACUCUAUAUGAACAUAAUCAACAUACUUAUAACUAGAAAUACUUGAUUAUUGUAUGUAACUGCUCCAAAACAAUACAUCAUUUAAAAAAGUGAAAUUUUUCCAAAAUAAUUGUUCAACACUUUCUUAACAAAUGCAAAACAAUUGGUCCCACUGUUCUCACAUGAACCACUAUCUAAAUCUAUAUAUAAAUACGAUUCUAAUACAUGUAUAAUAGAACCAUUAAAGACUCACUCAUAUUGGGUUCACACAAUUCUUAAAUAAUAUAAGAGAUAGGAAGUUUAAAAGGAUGCAUUUCAUUUUAUAUAAUAAAUUUUAAAUGACAGUAUUUGAGUUGUUAUUUCAAAUAUCCAUAUGAUGAAACCGGGUUUCCAAACAAAUUAUAAAUAUAGUGAUAUUAUUAAAUAACCUUGAUCUCUGAACCUAAACGUGUUAUCAUUAAGAAACCGGCUAAGGUUAUGAAAUUAGGUUAGUUUGUUUCAUGAAAUUAUAAUUUGUGUAAUUAGUCUCCUCAUUAUUAAUUUUAAACAUCAUACAUUGUUAUAAACUUAUUCAUUUUUCUAAUAUAGUAGGAAUGUGAAUUGGGAGGGAAGGAAUUGAAAGGAUCCUCUGAAACAGUUUCACGUGAUUUAAUUUUGAAACAAAUAUAAAGAUCUUUAAGCUUAUCGGUUUAGAUAUAACACUUUGGAUCUUAGUUGCAUUCAUUAUUUAUACAUAUAGAAGCAAAGAAGAAGAAAUCAUGGAAUAGAGAAGAGACUAUAUGUGAUGGAACUCAAAUGUUUGUAUAUAUUUACUCAUGGAAAGAACUAAUACAGUUCUUUCUCUUUACAUUUCAAUCAGCAUCUAUAAACUAAUCAAUCCUCUAAAAUUCGGAUAGUUUUGUCAAAACAUCUAAUCACUGCGAAACAAUGUUAAGCAGAGAAGUUCUUAUUCUAACAAUGUGCCUAAACAUGCAUUCCAGUUCGUUUUCAAUUCCUUCAACUCCGGCCUCCAAUGCCUCUAGUCUUUGCUUCAGCAAACCAGACUCUUUAGUUGAACCCGAUGUUAUACUUGAUAAUUCCGCGUCCACCUUCUCCAUUUCAUUCAUUUGUUGAUGAUCUUCACAUGCAACUCUGUUUUUGUGCAUGAAUCUUGAAACUAAUGACCACUUUGUGGAUUUCACCUUUGUGGAUGUUGCUAAGAACACGAGUACGUAGUUGAAUACAGAAAUAGUGGUGGCAGUAACUUCAUUGAGUACUCGAAUAACUGAAAUUAAGUGUUGAUCUGAAUCAGCAAAUUGAGAGCCACUUGUUCUGUUAUCUAGUUGGUUAAGAACUGCGGCUAGUCUUUUGGCAUCUUUGUUUAUUUUCUUUCUGAACAAUGUGUACUUGGUAAAGCUACUUGGAUCGCCUUUAGGCCUCCUUCGUAGACAUGAAUGAAGAUCUGCAGCGUUUACUUUAACUUGUGACAUAAUAUCUUUUGCACUUCCACAGAUAUCUAGGAAUCUGAUGGAUCCAUCCAGCAACUCGUUGAAUGGGUCGUCGUGUUGAAGGGCAGAGAGGGCUUGUUGAGUCAGUGGCAGAUUGAGAAGAUCGUCCGUGCAUCUAUACAACUCGCCUAAUCCAGAUAGGCCGUUGCAGAUGGUCUCUGCUGUUGGUGCAUUUGUUGAUACUUCAGCUUCCCAUGUUUUAAGCUUGUUCAGCUCCUGAUCCAUCUUGUAAGUACUCGAAUGUGGCCUGCAAGGUAAGCUAAUUGAUCGAAUGCCACCACGGGGUUUGUUGCAUCUCAUUGAAGCAGCCAUUGUUUGUUUCUGUGUUAAGAAUAUGAAGUUAUGUGAAGUGUUGAUAUCCAAACCUCUGUUGCAUUUUGUUAUAUAUAGACAAAUGCUAAGACAAGAGCAAGAUUAGUUUUAAAAUUAUGGGACAAAGUAAUGGGCAUGUGAUCAAGAUGACCUUUGCUAUUUUUUAAGUCUUGGUAUUUGGUGAAAUUCAUUGGUCAUUUUUGGUGUGGCAUGCUCUUUGAGUGCCACAUUGCCAUCUUUUGCGCAGCUUCAUCUACGUGCAUUCUGCAUAUGCAAAAGUUGAAUCAAAGGGGAGAUUUCAAGUCAUCAAGAAAGUAUUUAACAAUAGAUUUUAAUAUGAUGCUGCAGAUUGUGUGAUCUUUCUGGGGAUUAAUAAAUAAUUACAGAUGCAGAUGAGAUUUCUGGAGUAGGAUUGAAGAUACAUACCAGAUUAGUUUAAGUGAUUGGCCAUAAAUAUUCUAAAAUGGUUGCAGGUAUGUGUCUUUUGUAGACGUGUCUCCACCGUAUUGCUCGAUUUUCUCUCUUAUUGGAUGUCAGUUGCUGCCCAACUUGCUAACUCUUAGGUGAGUCAUGUCUCUUUCUAUUUUUUAUGUCUAGCUCCCACUUAUUGGUAAUGCAGUGCUCAUCUUAGGCCCUUGUUAUUGUUACAACUCACCGUCAGAAGUAAGGCAUGCGUACAUCUUAGUCAUCGGACCUCCGAAAAAUAGUAUAUUCAGUUUGAUCUUGUAACACAAUCUUCUUUCACUAAUACAGAGUUCUCAUCCAUUUGACUUUAGAACAUGGUAAAUUUUUAACAUAGCUUCAGGUACAAGAAGGCCCCAGACCAAUGCACCAGGGAUUAUCCUAAAUGCAUGUAUUAGGACAACUAAACUAUUGAGAUUAACAACAAUCUUGGUAACAUAUAUCUCAUUAAUGAUUGGUUUUUGUUUUAUCUGGAGCUAUAGUGCUCAUUGUUUAUUUUGGCGCCCACAUAUGUGUAAGGGACUAAGGGUCAUAUUGAUUGGUCUAUUUCAUGCAUGCAUCUAUUAAUGACACUCUCACCCUUGUGCUUAUACAUAGAUCUUCUUGGAUUUAUCAAAGUCGGCAGCCAUUAAAUUUGCAGACGGUGGCUUGCAUUUAAGUUGUCUAAAUGAGAAGAACCUUGUACAAAUAAUGCAGAGAAUUACUAGUACCAGUACUCUGUGGAUUUAGCUAGAUCAUUAAGUUCUUAAAUUAUUGAUCUAAGAUUAUGAUGGAUAUGGUUGUUAAUUCUACAUGUUUGCAAGAGUGGCAUGUUUUACAAUAAUGUCUGCACUGAGGUUUGCUUGGAUUAUUGUACCUUUCCAUAUGCAAAGUACAUUAGUACUAAACUACAAGAUCUACAGCUAAUAUAUACGUUUUCAGAUUAAUCAAUCUUGACAAAGUCUUCCUUUUGUUGAUGAAUUUUAAUGGGUGCAAUUAUGUUUUUGUUGUUAAUCAUCAAUUUUAUGAUUAAGAAGCUUACGAAAUAAUCAUGUACAGAUGUGUAUAAGAUAAUCAUGUUCUGAGUGAAAAUUAUUUUAGACUAAAAUUAAUCAUGCACAAAUUACCGGUUACAGUGGUGAGAAAAUAACAAUAGUGCAGAUCACUUGAACCAUUGAACUUUGUUAGAAUAUAAUAUGAUCCUGGUAAGCCCUUCUUCUAACACCUCGAGGUUUUAGGAGAAUUGAUCACUUAACAUGGUAUUAGAGCUCUGUAUAAUAGAGAGUUGUGAAGAGUUUCUAGUUUCUAUUCAAGCCCAGACAUGUACAUAUAUGAUACUGAAUAUGGUUUAAACCUGGUAACUUAGCAAAAUUUCUGCCUAAACCUUUUACCCGUCUAAAUCAAGUUAUCAUGUGUGCGUUUUAUUUGUUUUUUUUACUUAAUCUCGUGGGUCUUCUUGAUCCUGAUGAACCUUUGGCAUAACUGAACCAAGUCUGUAGUUACUUAUUAGUAAUAGUAUUGCAAAAACCAUAAGAAAGCACAAUACCAUAGUCUACAGGCUGAUAUAAGUUUAUAUUUGAUGAAACACUUCAGCAAAAUGAAUGGAAUAAAUCCAAAGAAGAGAAAAUGUUACACUGAGCUAGCUUGAGCUUGAUGGAGAUCUUAAUAUUUACUUUUUAAUAAGUUGUAGAACAAGGAUUGCAUGCAAUAUUAUGAUGUUCGAAGAGCCAAAGGUAUUCUGAGAAUAAACAAAAGCAAAUAUAUAUGUAGCCGUAGAAGAUUAAUCUUGUAAAUGUUCCAGUAUAAGUAUAAAUAUCCCUCAUUUACAUUUCAGUUGAACUAAUAAAUGAAUAUGUAAAACUAAGGCACUUUCUGAUGCUAGAUCUAUAAGCUGGAGAUGAUAUUUAGAAAAGAUGCUCUUGUUCUAAUCAAUCUUCUGGACAUGCACUCGCUUGCAGAUUCAACGAGUUCAAUGCCAUCAUGGAGUGCCUUUAGCCUUUCUUGCGCGAUUUCAAUCUUUUCACUUUCACACGAAUCAUAUGAGUCUAGUGCAGAAUCAACUUUUUCCAACUCAUUCUUGUUUUGGAGUUGCUCUUCACAGGUUACAGUUCCCUUUUGUAUUAAUUUUGAAACUAAUGACCAUUUAGUUGACUUGGAUUUGGAAACUGGUGAAGAAAAGAACAACAGGAGGGACUGGAAAACUGAUAUGGCCACUGAGCUAACUUCCUUUAGUACUCUGAUCACCUCUGACAAGUGGUAAUCUAAGUCGAAGAUUGCUGAGCAUGUGAUUUUGAUAUCCACCUGCUUUAAAUCUGCAAUCAAUUUUCUAGCUUGUUUUUUCAUCUUUCUUCUGAAUGAAUUAAAUUUUGAUAUGCUGGUGGCAAGGGUCAAGUCUCCCUUCUUUCUUCUUAUCGCAGAUUGAAGAUCCACAACGUGUUCUUUAAUCUGCGACGUGAAGUCCCUUGUGGUGCCACAUAUAUCUAAAAGCCUCACAGAUCCAUCCAACAACUCAUCAACCCAUUUCUCUUGGCGAUGGUUAGAAAGGGCUUGUUGCGUAAGUUGCAAGUUUAGAAGAUCAGCAAUACACUUAUACAGACCUUCAAGUGUCAAUAGGUCACUGGAGACCGCAGAUGCAUUACAAGAUGAUGAUACAUCGCGGGUUUUGAGCUUCCUAAGCUCCUCAUCAAUUUCAACUAUAUUUGGAUGUGAUCUUGAAGGCAAGCUAAUCGAUCUGAUAUGAUGACUGUUGUUGGCUUCUGAUGCACAAGCCAUUUUUGCUAUAUUGUCAAAAAAUUCAGAAGAUUUGAACUUUGAAUGGUAUGUAAAAACUGCAGACUUUGCUAUUUAUAUCACCACAAUGCAGGGGACAGAAGAUCAAAAAAAUGAUGCUAGUGUGGGCUCUCCCUUAAAACUUGUUAAUCUGUUACAACUUGUCUUACAAAAUGCACUAAAAUUUGACAAAAAUUGCAUGAUUCAUCUCCUUGUAGCUUCCUCAUAAUGUGGUAUGAUUGACACCAUUACAAAAUGUUAACUAAUAAAAAAUUGCAGCUGCAUCACCUCCAUAUAAAUUAGCUGGCAAUGCUGUCUCUGUCUCAUCCAGAACAUACUCAUGUCAUUGUAACAGCAACACAGCAUAUUUCUUUAUUAGAUAUGAUAAUGCAGGGAGAUACAUGAAAUUUCAGAGAGAUUUUCAUUAGCCAUUGCAGAAAAUUAGCACACGAAUUGUUUGUCUGCAUCGUACAACAAUCUUUCAUUUCGUGCUACUGCAUUGUUAUUUGGAUGUCGAUGAGAAUAUGAGAUUGGGGAUCAUGCAUAGACAAAAUCAAUCUAGCUCUUUCUUUAAUAAUGCAUGAUUAUAAUGCAGGCUAACAGGCCUAAUGAGGGAUUAUAUUAAGUUUUAGCAAGCGUCCAGGGGCUCUAAAUUUCCGGGAAAUUUCAGUGGAAUUAUUGGGAUCAUACGGAGAUGAUGUACCAUAUUCAUAUAUUAAGGAUCAUAUUGAAAAUAAUUAAAAGAUUCCAAUGGAUUUAGUUGGUAAGAUGGUCUUUGUUUUUAAUAUCUGUACACGAGUGGUUUGCUGUCAUAAUUCAGUGGGUGUUCUUUGGAUCAGGGUGAUUCUAUUGCAUUGUCAGAUGAUUCAAAAUCUGCUUGUUUUUCGUUUAAAAUUAGAUCUCAGCAAAACGAAAGAAUCAAAAUAGUUGCAAGAACCUCAAAAAUAAGAAUGACUUCUCCCUCUUCUUUUUUCUAAUAUACCUGAUAGGGAUAAGUUAUAAUGAUUCUGACUUCUCAUCCGUUGAGACGAAAUUUAACGAUCAGGUUUUAAAUUGAACAUAGUACAUUAUUGGGAAAAAAAAGUUGAAGCAGUUUAAUUUUAUUACUACAUGGAAGCGUAUAAUACAAAUUAUUUUUGGCCCUCACUAGACCAAAACUUUAUCACAGAAUAUUAAUUUUUUUUAUUUUUAUUAUUAGCCUCACGACACUAAUUUUCUGACUCCACCAUAGAUUACAAAUUUUCUGUAUUUUCUAUUUGCUUCAAUCUUUCAUUUCAUACCUUUGAUCCCUAACAAACUGCCAGGCUCUAUUUCUGAAACAUGGCUAAAGAGAUCUCGUGUUUUCAUAUUGUUCUUGAUGUUGGUGCGGCUUGGUGGUAGAGCCAAGAUUCCUCUGACAUAUAAUCUUCACACCGGCACCAGAAAAAGUAUUAAUGCAUUCUAAGUUUGUAACGAAACUAUGAGAGCACAUUGUAAUGAAGGCAACCACUCGUAUUAAGACAAAAUCUAAUGUAUUCAAAGUUUGUAAUGGAACUAUGAGAACACAUAGUAAUGAAGACAAUCAACUCUGAAAGUUAGUAAAGAAAUCAUAAGAAGACAUUGUAAUCAAGGCAACUAACUCAUUUUAAGAUAAAAAAAUUUAAAACAUUGCAACUAAACUAUGAUAGCACAUAGUAAUGGAGGCAACCAACUCAUACUAAGAAGCAGCAAGCAAAGAAAUAGAAAAUUGUUAGAGCCUUGUUGGCCAAAUGCAUAACAAGAUAAUCAGAUCACAGAGGAGCCCACAUGGUAAUCAUACUGCAUCCUGUGACACAUCUUGUCUCCUCUCCUGUCUUUUGUGCAUGCAUAUAUAGCAAUGCCUAUAGCAAGUAGUUCUCAUCAAAAAAACUACAGUUGAUAAAAAAUCAAAACACAGAAAACUAAAGCCAUGGCUAGUACUAGCUACCAUGUUAGAUCAAUAAGCUUGCCUUGCAGAUCACAUCCUGCGAUAAUCAGAGUCAAAGAGGAGCUUAGCAAGCUCAAAACAUUGGAAACUCCAUGCUGCCAGACAUCAGAAGCAAUUUGCAACAGUCUGUCUGGCUUGGCAGAGCUGUAUGAUUGCACAAAUGAUCUUCUUGGCCUUAAGUUAACCAAACAGUCCGCUCUGAUGGAUUGUCUGUUAGACGGGUCUGUGAGGCUUCUUGAUAUAUGUGGUGGAACAAGGGAUAUUGUUUCACAAAUUAAGGAACACACAAGAGACCUUGAAUCAUCUAUUCGAAGGAGAAAAGGAGACAUAAGCAUUGAAAGUAGCGUUGUGAAAUUCAAUUCCUUUAGGAGGCGAAUGAAGAAGGAAGCCAAAAGAUUGAUUGCAUCUUUGAAACAAAUAAAAAAACAAUAUGAGGCUUUGGCAAUGUUGGAUUCAGAUCAGAAACACUCAUCAGUGAUAGGAUUGCUGACAGAAGUUACAUUGUCAAGCAUUUCGGUUUAUCAAUCCUUGUUGAUGUUUGUGACGGUACCAGUUUCAAAGACAAAGGGAAGGAGAUGGUCAGCUAUAACAAAGCUGAUCCACACAGAACGAGUGUCGUGUGAAGAGGAAAACAUGAAUGAGUUGGAAAGGAUUGAUGCAGCAUUGAUAAGUCUUUGUAGAUCAAGGAAAGGGGAGAAGAUUGAAAGUGCACAACGAGGUCUAGUAGCACUGGAGACUCAUUUUGAAGGCAUAGAGAGUAAUUUAGAGUGUCUGUUUAGGCGCUUGAUCAAAACCAGAACCUUAUUCCUAAACAUGGCAUCAGACUGAUGUUCUUUAAGAUGCUUCACUUGAAAUUUUCCCAGAGGCAACCAAAUUUUAGAGGAUAUGCAUAUGGAUAUGUAAUUUUCAAGAGUUGUGUACAUUAUAAUAUAAUUUUCGGAAACAUAAUGUGAAUCAAUGCUUUCAUCCAUCUGUUUUACAAGUCCAGUUACUUUUCUUUUAAUCUCCCAAGCCCCACUACUUCAAUUUUGUUACUAAAAUAAAUAUCAGUUAAGUAGUUAAGUAGUUAACUAAUAACAAGAACAUAGCUUAUUGACAAAAACCUGAUACAUAAGCAUCACACAGUGCCACAAAGAUCUUAUUCUAUUAGACAACUUAUAAGCUUCCUUCCACCAAUGCUCGCUGACAGCCUGAGGAGAAGAUGGUGGUGAUUAAUGCAUUACACCCGGAGUAACUUCCAGGACAGAAUACACUUAUCCAACAAUGCAAUUUACAUAAAUAUUUAAAGGCCUCUCUGAGAACUGGUAUUACAUAUAAUUAGAGGUCAGUUUUUUAAGUAAAAUCCACAAAUAUUGAGUAGUAGCAGGUUCAAAAUUUGCUCACAUGUAAAUAAUAGGCCAAGUGGCGGAUUAACAAUUGGUCAGCUAUUUCCUAUAAAAUGGUUCUUGUGGAUAGAGAGAUUUUUAGUUGUGUUGCAAACAAGGACAACCAUCUUUACGUGUACAUGUACUUAUUGAAUUCAAAAUCUCUAUCACAACUUAAGAAUCAUAGCUAUGCACAAACAACCCUUCAAUCCAAAUCAGCUUCAGAUUUCUUAAUCACCUUCUCACACAAAUCUUUUAAUUUGUAGUAAGUUUGGCUGUGGUAGAUGUUUGUGAUGAUUGAUGACAGUGUCCUCUUACGCAUGAAACACCUAAAUUUGCAAUUUGGAGUUUGUGAAGGCUGAUAAGUCAUUCAUACGAAGCAACCAACACAGUUUUGCCUUCUUCCAGAAUGAAAAUAAGAAAAAUUUAAAAGAUUGAUUGCAUCUCUGCUGAAACAAGUAAAUAACCAAAUUGAGGCCUCGCUAUUGACCUAUCUAGAUCAGCAACACUUAAAAUGUUAAGAUCAAUUAGUUUUGAGAGCAUCACAGUGCUGGAGAAGAAAUCAAAAAGACUGAAUGCGUAUUUAAAGCAUAUAAGGAACCAUUAUUGGAUUAUUCCGCAGAAGUUAAUAGCAGUAGCAUACAAAUAAUUCCAGUACAACCAACUGGACAGCAUACAACACCUCGACAAAUUAUUCAGGAUUGCACUGUCCAUUUCUCUAAUUUGCUCGACUAUAAAGGAUCAGUGAACUUAUAACCGAGUAAAACGAAUACAUAAUCAUGUACUUUAGAUUAUUGGAAGCCAUUCUGUGCAAAAAAUAUAACUGGCACGAUAGAUUAUUGGAAGCCAUUAUGUGCAAAAUAAAGCCAGGAUGAAUUUAUAGGCAUGGAUCAAUUAAGCAAUGUGAGGAAAUCAAGUCCAAAAUGUCAGAAGUGGGAUUUGAACCCACGCCCUCUCUCGAAGACCAGAACUUGAGUCUGGCGCCUUAGACCACUCGGCCAUCCUGACAAUGUUGAAAUAUUAUGCUCUACUAGCUACUUGACUCCUGACUAGUUGCUUGAAAACUAGUAGGACAAAGAUAUGUAAUAAUAUCACAAGCAUAAUAAAGCAAAGACUAUCUCCCUGUUUGUCAAGAUAUACUUAUGUUCUCUACAUAUGCAAAAAUCUGCAGUAUCAGUGUAUUACAGUGUACUAACGUCUAUGAUAAAAGAGAAAAAAUAUAACCAUCAAUGAGUCUGCUUUGUAUAAUGCAGAGUUAAUCGCCAUUCUGAUAACUAGGAUACAGUUAUAAGUUGUUGCUAAAAGACAAUUCCUGCGAAAACCACAUUUUUAUAUACUAAUUUAUCUUAGUUUGACCUUAUUGUAGGUAACAAAUUUGGCUGAAACUCUCAGGAUUCUUGGAAACAAAAGAAGCAAAGCUACUCAUUCACAGAUGCUGAAGGUACCACCAGUAGUAGAAGUAGAUGGGAGGUUCAUGCAUAAAAGCAGGGCAUUAGUGAUAGUUUGUAGUAAUAAUUGGCAUAAUCAGUGAGUAAUCAGUGAAAUAAGAGUUGCAAAGUUCAGGUUGUGUUCCAGGAAAUUAGAUGCUGCAGAAAAUAAUCUGAAUUUAAUAAUUUUAGAGAUGUAGCAAUCCUUUUAAUUUAUAAAUCGGUUACAACUCAGAUUUCUUAACUGACAUUUUUCUCGGUGUAUUUGUUCUUUUACAUAUAGCGCGGUAAGUGAGAAUUGAAAUCUAGACCUCUUUUACCAGUAGGAGCAACUCUGCCACCGCUGAGCCUGUCCUAAUUCUUUUGUAACUCAGUUUUUCAUAAUAUAAACAUCAAAAUCCUAUCGAAAAUUAGCGUGAAGGAAAUGCUGGAGUAACUUAAUCUAAAAAAAUUAACAUGCAAGACAGGUGCAUGAGCACUGAUUAAUGAUUUUUGGGCUUAGCUUCCUUGAUAAAUUAAGAUUGAGCUGAACGUUUAAUAUAAAUAUUUGCAGCAGGAGUCGAAAUCAGAAGUAUUUUAACUGUACUCUUCUUAUAUCAUAUUUUUGUACAAGCAGAUUCUGUAAACAAGUAUAAUCCUAUGACCCCUAGAGAAUAAGGGGGUGAUUGAGAAACUAGCAAGUAAGAACAUUAAGGAGAGACACUCUAUACUGGAUAAGUCGCCUAAUUGCAGCGUCUAUUCCAGACUCGAGUCCAUCAAUGCUGACUGCAAGUGCCUCUAACUUAUUUUGUACAGUUCGAACUUCAUCUGUAACACCAGUACCUCGAGCAUGUGCACUAAGGCUGCAAAGGGCAACAUCAACUCUCCCUACUUCGUUAUUGAUCUUCUUUCCCUUCUCAAUAACGACUAAACCUACUGGCAUCAGUUUGGAGAUCAAGGAGCAUCCUCCAAGCUUGGUUUUCAAAAGGGAUGGUGUGGACAAAAACAAUAAGAGAUGUCGAAAAAUUACAUUUGUAAUACUGCUUAGUUCUCUAAGCACUCUGAUCACCAUCAACAAAUGAGGAUCUAAUUCUAAUAGAGGCAAAAACACAAAUUUGCCUUCGGCUCUCUUUAGUAAUCUAAUACACUUCAAAGCAUCCUUCUUUGCCUUCUUCCUGAAGGUGGUGUAUGCAUUUACAUCUUGUUGGAUGGAACCUCCACCUCUUCUACGCAAAGAUGACUGAAGUCCUUGCACAUGUUCUUUCAUCUUCGACAACAAAUCUUUAGCACAGCUACCCGCAUCAAGAAGAGUCACUGAACCUUCAAGUGCCUCUUCAAAAACUUUACUAUCUUGAUGGUGUAAAAUGGAUUCUUGAGUGCGGCUAGUCUGAAGAAGCUCCUCGACACUAUUGUACAGCUCAGCUAGCCCAACCAGACCUUUUAGGAUAGUCUGGCCACUAAUCGAUUCUUCCAAGGAUGGCAAUGAGGCUUCCCAAAUUUUAAGCUUGUCAAACUCUGUAUCAACUUUGAGGGAAGUAGGGUGCAAUCUAGAGGGCAAGCUAAUGGACCUCACUGGGUGCAACCCAAAGGAGCAAUUCAUGGUCUAGUGUUUGUUUUUCACAAAUGGUUACAAGUACUCUGUGUCUGAGAUAUGUCGGAAUGCAAAUUAAGGAUCAAUCUAUAUAUAGAAGACACAACAAAAGCAAGCUAGAGAAUCAAGUUAAACAACUUCCAUGUGAGGCCAAAUUGAGUGUACCUACUGGUUUAAUGAACUUGUAACAAAUUUGGAGUACAACAAAAUUCUUUAAUCUUUUCUCUAAUUGUGGUCAUUAAAUGAACAACGCUCAUCCCUGAUUAUCUUUCAUUAUCCACCCACCGAUGUAUGUAGAAUUGAUAUAAAAAUUAACCAUUAGUUCGGAUUUCUGCCUACAUGCCCAACUUCUCCCCAUGAUCAAUUCACAAUCUACUACAGAAUAUUCCUUAAUAAAAUACACCAAUUGAGCAAUGAUAAAUCACUGACCCUGCUGAUAAUAGCCUUGUUACAAAGAAUCACAGAGGUGCAUAGAGGAGUAGGUAAUAUAAUUUCGACAAGGUUACGACAAGAAAUAGUAGCUUAAAAAAAGUUCUUAGGUCGUACAACCCUAGGAUUUAGGGACGCCACAUCAAGUAAAAUUAAACAGGAUCAGAAAAUUAUGCCUAUGGUUAUUUUAAAAUGCCAUUUUAAUAAUGUUGGCUGGCAUGUUUAGGAGACAAGGAGGCAUAAGCCAUUAUCAUUUCCUUGUCAAAUGGCAAAUACAGUUUAAUAAUAAACCUGCAUCUUAGAAUUGAGAAUGUGACCUCAUUGGUUAGGGGAGGUGGAAUGACUGACACAUAAACAUAAGAUCGGCACUUCUGUGUAUAAGACAUGUUACUUACAUAUGGUUCAGAGGGUCCAUAACUUAGCAUGAAUCUCGAAAAUUGAUAUAUGUUUUACUGAAAUUGAGGCUAGUUUCAGACCACAAUCAUGAACGGAGACAGCAUAUUCUUUGGCCUUUUCUUGCCUGUAAAAAAUUGAGACUAGAGAUUUUUAGAAGUCUUUGAAUGAACAUUUAGGUAUUGAAACAAUAUAUGUAAGAGAAUUAUAUAAUGCAUGUUUAGUAGACAAGGAGACAUAGUAUAAGGUUUUUAUAAGGUCGGGUAACUUGGAAAUUGGAGUGAGUCACAUAAAAAAAAUUCAUGAAACGUUAAAACCAUAAUCUGCUGUUCAAGAAUCCGGGGAAAUCGAAUGACAAAAAUGAUUAACACAACAUGGGCAACAUUUUGUAUUACUAUGAGAUGUACAUUGAACUUGUAGUAUUCAUGUUUGCGUAAAAUGUCUUCAGUUAAGCUGCUUGUCACAUUGUCUGAUAACAUUGUGGACUAGUAGUUCUUGCAUAGCAGAAAAGAAACGCAGGUUAAGACAUGUAUUUAACGAAUGAUCAAGCAAACAAUAUUAAACAUAAUGAUGCAAACCUAUAAUUAUUUUAUAGUCUAACUAAAUAAUGAUGGCAAACUUCAUUUUUUGAUUUUUUUUUUCCUUUAUUUCUCUAUCGUCAUCACUAAUUCCACGUAACUACGUGAGUUACGUGAUUAUUUCUCUCAGACAUUUGAUUCCUCACAAGUGAUUCUUGCAACCAUCUAUCAACGAUUUUUAAAGUUGAUUGGACACUGAACGCGGAUGAAGUGUCCCUUCCGUUCACACAAGAUACCUCAUAGAUGGUUGAAUACUCAAAUCAGCCGCUUGUCAGGAAUCGAGACCCAUCAGUUUUUUUUGUAGGUUUAUAUAAUGCUCAACUUACCGGUUAGAGUCAGACUGAAAUUUCAGAGUGCAUCAUAUAAUAUAACCCAAUCUCCAAUGUCAUGGCCGUCCCAACUCCCAACCCAACUUCAGAGUUCACCUUAAAGUUAAAUUUUAAUGACAAGCGUCACAAGCCCUCAUAUCAUACUGGACCCUAUUGCAACUAUAGCAGUCCGAGAACCCAGUCAAGCCCAAUGAUGGACUCAAUUGAAUGCCAGGAGUUUUCUUUUUCUGAAGAAAAAAAUGAUACAUUUAAAAACACCAAAUUUAACUGCAUAUCACAUAUAUGUUCAAAUAUUGCAUGCUACAUCAGUAAAACAUGUAGAAAGAAAAAUGUUCAGAUUCUGCAUGUCCUGGUCUUCUCCCUCAGAACAAACUUCUGAAUCUUUCCUGUUGAAUUAACUGGUAAAUCAUACAUAAAAACCAUCUGAGGGACCAUGUGAAGGGGCAGUAGUUCCCUGCAAUACUUGAUAAUCUCUUCACCACUCACAUUAUCAUCAUAUUCAUCCCUUAACUUUACAAAAGCACAAGGUGUCUCACCAUUGACACUGUCAGGCCUUGCCACAACCGCAGCUUCGAGAACCAUAGGAUGAUUUAACAAGACAGCUUCAAUUUCAAGUGUCCCUAUGAUUUCUUUCCUAAACUUUAUCACAUCCACUGCGCGAUCCUUCACCUGUAUACAACCAUCAGGGAGUCUAGUGCCAAGGUCCCCGGUUCUGUACCACCCAUCUUCAAAAGCCUUUCUAGUCAUAUCCGAAUCUCCGAGGUAACCGGACAUCAUAGUAUUGCUCCUAAACAUCACUUCCCCAAUGGUUCUUCCAUCAGAUGGUACACUUUUCAUUGUUACUGAGUCUUUGACAUCAACUUCUUCCAUGAUUCCUUGUCUAAACUUUAGGCUUAUUGUUGACAUACUCAACUCUGCAUUGGACAACUUAUUAACAAUCACGGGUCCGAGAGCCUCUGUCAUUCCAUAUCCAUACGUGAUGUUAAAUCCCAAUUCUUGAACUCUGGACAAAAUUUCAAUUGCUGGCAGUGCUCCAGCAAUUACUGCUUCCACUUUGUAGGCAUUUUUCCGCGUAUAGUUAGCUGGCGCCUCUGCAAUCUUGUUCAGGAUUGAUGGCGCCCCGCAUAAAUGCGUUACUUGAUGAAGCUCUAUAGCAUCAAAAAUGACUUCUGUUGUGACAUUUCGGGUGCAAAUAUUCGUGCCACCUAGCGCAGCCAUUGCCCAAGGUAAGCACCAACCAUUGCAGCGAAACAUGUCAACUGUCCAUAAGAACACCGGAAAUUUUCUCAUCUCAAAUCGAAAAAUUGCAGCCAGAGUAUUGAGAUAGGUUGCUCUGUGGCUGUAGAUUACUCCCUUAGGCUUCCCUGUUGAGCCAGAAGUGUAACUCACUGAUAUGGGAUCAAUUUCGUUCUUCGGUUUAACUACUUGAAAAUCAUUUUGGCCCAUAGCAAACAGGGAACUAUAAUUUAGGCAACCAUUAGGAAGUUUUUCGAAAUGUGAAACUUCUUGAUCCGAAUCUGGUAUCAGAAUUAGGAUGGGGAGCUUGGUUUGUGCCAACGACAAAGUUUCGAAUGCUGAAUGCACAACUUCGACGAAUUCAGAGUCUACGAAAAUCACUUUGGCUUCCAGUUGCGUUAGUAUUGAAGCCAACAUUGUUGUGUCCAACUUUGUGUUAAGUGCAGAAAGCACACCUCCACUCAUGGGAACUGCAAAAUGUAACUCAUAGAGUGCUGGGAUAUUUGGUGCCACAGCUGCAACCUGUCAAAUUUAACAAGAUCUAUACUUACAGUAACUCAUUUAACGGUUUUUCUAGUCUGUGUCCAUAAUCACACAAUAAUAACCGUUUUUUAGUUAUGUGUCGGAUUUCUAAUGACAAGUGUCUUUGCCGAGGCAAUUCGGGUUUGGUACAAUUUUUGAUGCCUAAUUUGGAGUAAUUAAGAUGUCAAAGAUGAAAUGUUAGCUUUACACUUGCAAGUUGCAGGGAGAUAUUAAUUUUGUACUCCCUUUGUCCUAUUUAAUUGUAUACAUUUCUUUUCAACUGCUCGACACGCAUUUCAAUGCUUUUAUAAAAUAUAGUUCUGUAACUUAUUUUUGAAAUUUUCUUUUUCUGAAUAAAAAUAUAACAUCCAAACUUUAAUUCAAAAAAAGAAAAUUUUAAAAAUAAAUUACACAACUACACUUUACGGGAGCAUUAAAGUCCGUGCCGCGUCCCGGUCCCCCAAUGUAUACAAUUCAAGGGGACGGAGGGAGUAUUAGAUAAACUCAACGGUGUAUAAAGUCAAAAUAUAAAAUAGUCUAAACUACUCAACUUCAAAUUGUCAUUCCCUGAACUAGAAUUAGGAAGCGUAAACAACGUUAAAGAAAUAAAAAAGUCAGACCUCAUAUAUUCCACAGAUGUAAUAUUUGAUGGCCGUCGUCAUAGGUUUAGUCUGGAGUGUAAACGAAUCUUAACCGACGAGUACUUUGGAAGGACAAUCCCUCCAUUGUUUUCCAGACAGGCAGAGCAGAUUUUUUAUUCGAAUAAAGAUGUCUGAGCUCGAGCUCGUUAAUUUUUUAAACUUGAAUUUUUAAAAAAUAAAUCUGAUUGUUCAGAAAUAAUUAUUUUUUUAAUAUAAAUACUUAUACGUUAUAAAUAGAAUACAUAAAUAUAAAUAUUACUUGAAUAUGUUAUUUAACAAAUAUAAAUGAUAUUUUUCAAAUGAGCCGAUCUCCACACACAGAAAUCAUUAUUCUCAAAUGAGCCGACCAUAGUCGGAAGAAUGGGUCAUAAAUAUCAUCAAACAAAUACUUAACUCAUAUUAGUACAAUAUAAUGUGUUUUAAGUUAAGAAUAAAGUUCAUCCUUGAAUAUCUUCAAAAUAUUUUCAUAUUAACGAAGUUGAUUGAUCGGUAUUCAAGUCGUAUAAAGUUUAGACUAAAUAUCAUAAUACAUAAAUUAUCGUUUUUUGUUCUAAUUUUAUCGAAGUUGAUAAUUUAUGUAUGAGAGCUAAAUCAAAUAUUCUUACAUUUAUAUACAACUCGAUAAUUCUCGAAUUAUCGAGAAUUGAUAGUUUAGUCUCGAUAUAUGCAAGUUCAGUUUAUAUAUAAGAACUUAAUUAUGAGAACUAAAUCAAAUACUCCUACACUUGUAUAUAACUCAAUUAAAUUGAGAGUUGAUAAUUUAGUCUUGAUAUAUGAGAGCUCGAUUCUAAAUCAUGUUCUUAUGUAUAGGAACUUAAUUAUGAGAACUAAAUCAAAUACUCCUACACUUGUAUAUAACUCAAUUAAAUUGGGAGUUGAUAAUUUAGUCUUGAUAUAUGAGAGCUCGAUUUUAAGUCAUGUUCUCAUUGCAAGUGAGUAAUACUCCCUCCGUCCCUUUUUAUCUGUCCAUUUUGGAAAGAAAAACACAUACCAAGGAAUACUUAAUUGUAUAAACUUUUUCAUUAAAUACCUCUAAUUAAUAUCUUGAAAAUGGUGGAAUACCCCUACUUUAUGUCUUGAAAACAUGAAUUCAACCAAGUUUUAAAUAAGUCAAGUCUUGAAAAUUGAAAUUAUGGAGAUAUAUUUGAAAAACUAUCAUUAAAUUAGUUUUGAAAGUAUAAAUGGACAAAUAAAUAAGGACAAAUCACUUCAAGAUAAAACAUAUCACUUCAAGAUUUCGAGGAGAGUUAAAGCUUAAAUUUACGAGAAUAAUCAAAGCAAACUAACGUCGAACUUUGUCCUUCAUUAACGAGCAACAAAGUACUGAAGCCUUGAAAAACAUGUAACGGCAAUCAAUUAGUAGAAGCUAAUUAAGGAAAUGAGAAAACUUACAACAUCACCACGGUUAACUCCCAAAACAUGUAGAGCAGACGCGAUCUUGAGGCAUCUUUGACGCGUUUCACGCCACGAAAAUUUAGUGUUUCGAUAAACGAUAGAGACCCUUUCGGCAUGAACCAAUGCUGCUUGUUCCAGGAAGUUGAUCGGAGACAAAGGCAUGAUCAUGUUGUUUGCUGAGCAUUGAAUCACACACUUCAUUUUCUCAAUCUUCUCGUCAAUGGUAGCUACAUAUACAUGCACAAACCAUAUAAAAUAUUAACCUGAGAAGCACUAACUCUUUUAUAUUCUAGAAUUUACAUUAUAUUAUUAAUAUAUCAUACGAUAGGAUGAACUCUUGAAAUACAGCGCAAAAACACAAGACCUGCGCUAAUGGUUCAUACUUGGUUAUGACGUUUAUUUUUGCCGUCAUCCAUUAAUUGUCAGUUUUCUGUGACAAGUACGAAUACGACUUAAUAUUAGGGGUGUACUUCAUGAAAUUCGAGUAUAUUUAAUUGUGAUUAUUCAAAUUCAUUAAAAUCUUUUGCUAUUCAAUUAAGAUUUUAAAUUAUGCUACAAAAUAUGGUGAUAUUUAAUUGAGAUUGUUUGAAAUCAACUAAAAUAUGGUGAUAUUUAAGUGAUAUUUUUUGAAAUCCCACCAAAAUUCAUGAAAUUUGAAAUAUUAUGCUUAAAUCCUAAAGAAUCUGCAUAAACUCUACAACAUUAAAAUCCGCACAAAAUCAAAAUCACAUACAAUACAUUAAAAUCUAUAGAUUAAAAUCCUAAUUAAAUGCACCCCUCUUAACAUUUCAAAUAUAAAAUGUGAGAAAUUCUUAAAAAUACAGGAACAAUGAGGUAAUUACGUAACAUAUUUAACAAAACUAGACCAAGCCACCCGUUAACAAAACAAUCUACGAAGAUGAAAAACAAAUCAAUGAAAUACAAUGUAUUAAUGAAGACGGUAAAAGAAGUGUACCGUUCACUAUAGUCAAUUAGUCAUAACCGUGUACAAUCAACAAGGCAUGAAUGGCUGAAUUGUCAGGCCUUCAAAAAACAAGUCCCGACUGCUAAAUAGAUUUUUGCCCACUUACACUAUGAUAGUGUGAUCGUUGGAGCUAGUUUAGAGAAAAAGGAAAGAGUUUAUGAUUUGUGAGUUGCAUACAGGAGUACCAUCUUAUGAGUUGUUCUUCUAUUUAUAAGACGAGAAUAGGAAGUGUAACGGCUGCAGAUUUAAAUUGUUGUAACUCAGCCGUUAUAAAUUAUUCAAUUAAUUCUCAUCCGUUACAGAAUAUAUAUAUCUUAAUUCUCAACUGUUACAGAAUAUUUAUAAUUAAUAUAUACUCACCUGAUAAAUAUACAUAUUAAUUCUCGAUUGUUACAAAAUAUUUAAAUUCAGUUCUUAGCUGUUAUAUUUUUUGCUGUUGUAGAUUAUAUGUUCUAUGGUAGUUCACUAUUUUAUUGGAGUUCUUGGAGUUCAUAUAUGUUUUGCAAGUAAAAUAUAGCUUAAAAUUUUGCAAAACAUAUUAUUUUUCAAAUAAUGUUCUACAAAAUCACUAUUAUAUUAAAAAUAUUGCGGAUCUCAUACAUUUUACGAGUAGAAAGCAAAAUAUAUUAUUCUAUAGAACAUGUUUAGUUUGUAGACAUACGUAUUUUACUUAUAAAUGUAUGAGAUUUGUAAUAUUUUAUUAAAGUAAUGAUAUUUAUGAAAUAUCUUUUGCAAGAUAACAUUUUUUACAAGAUAUUUUAUUUGUAGAACAUCCCGAGAACUCCAAUAAAAUGGUGGACUCAAUGGAACUCUAUCCCCAUACAUAUUUUGAUAAAUUUAAUUUAAUCAGAUUCGACUGUUACAGAAUAUAUAUAUAAUAUAUUUAAAUAAUUCUGAUUUUGAAUUUCUUUUUUAGUUUAUUCAAUUAUAUUUAUAUUAAUUAAUCAAUUAAAUAAGCAAAUAACAAAAAUUUCUCGCCAGAUCGCCUCACGUAUGCAAGAUAUUCACACAAAUGACCCCGAGUCGAGAUGUGGCAUGGCAAUGUGACUACAGGUGGCAAUCGUUUUGUUUCGUAUACUUUCGUUUCGUGUAAUUUCGUGUUUCGUGUACUCGAAGGUGAAACCCGUAUCCGCCCGUUAUUAAUUUCGUGUACCUAAUUUGAAACCCGUAUCCGAUCCGAAUCGUUUCGUAUAUAUUUCGUGUACUUUUCGUGUAUAUUAUAUAUAAAAAUAUUAAUAUAUUUUUUCAUCAAAAAAUGGAUUUAAUAUAUAUUUUCCUUUAUAAAUUUAUUAAAUGUGGAUGAUAUAUUUAUUUACAAUUCUCUAUAAAUUUGUUAAUGUAUCUACAAUAUAUAUCCACACAUACAUAUAAAUAUAUACUUUUUACUCAAUUAUAUAUCUAAUAUAUCAUAACAUAUAUAUAAUAAAUAUUAUCUACAAAUAUUUCGUGUACUUUCGUGUAUUUCGUGUACCCCAGAUGAAAACCCAUAUCCGACACGAAAUCUAUCAUGUAAUUUCGUGUUCGUGUAUUUUUGUGUUUCGUGUAUCAAAAAUUGAAACCCAUAUCCAUUUUUUUCGUGUCGUUUCGUUUCGUUUCAUGUUAGCGUGUCACGUGUCAAAUUCACAUAUCAUGCACAUGAUAUCUAAUAAAAUCACAUAUCACAUACCGCUCUUUAUUAUUUAAAUGUCACACAAGUCAAAUUACUCAUUUCAAACUUUUUAAUGUUCCUAUUUUAAUCAAUUUCUCCAAUAAAUUACAUUACAAAAAAUUAUUAGAUUCAAAUAUGAUAAUUUAAGUUUUCAGUUUUAGAAAAAACCUCUAAUUAUCAGAAUUCAAAAAUUACAUAAAGAGCAUAAUAUAUAUAGCCUAAUUUUUUUUUAUCUUUCUAAUAUAAAAUACGUGUGGUAAUAAAUGAAAAUCAUACAGAGAAGCUAAAUCUCAGAAUAGGGUAGUGUAAAUGAACACUUUGAAAUUCAUAAAACAUUUUGAUUCUGAUUGAUGUGAAUGCGAACGUUAUUACUUAUUUAUAAGAUAAUUUUAUCCACGGAAUGUAUUAGGCGCUUGAUUUGUUUGACACCAAUUUCGAUCAUGAUUCAAAUCUAAAUUUAGAAAAAAUUUAAAUAAUUAAAAUAUUUAACAUAAAUGAAAAUUUCCUUUUAUAUUAAUCGAAUUAAAAUCUCAUAAUCGAAUAUAAACAAUCAUUUUCUUUCAGCUGAAAGAAUGAUAGAAAUGACUUUUCUCCGCUGCCAAACAGGAUGGCCUCAGGCUACGCACAUAAACUGAUAAACAUAUAAAACCCUGACACUGCAAAUUUAACUAAAAUAAUCGAUAAGUGAGCUAAUAAAUUUUCUUAACUAAAGCUAUAUAUAUUACUUAAAGAUUUAAAGAUAUAAUAUAUUAUUAAAAUAAUAAUUUCAUAAAUUACAAACAUGUACAUUCCGUGUAUACCGAGUCAGACCAUUUACUGAAUUAAAAAAUAACUCUGCGUGUUUUGGCCGGUGACGACCGACUUUAAACGAGCAAAGUCAGUCCACCAUCAUAAUUUAGACAAGCAUGUAUACAACUGCGUCUGCAAGUCUAGGUCUUUUUAGCGCACUAUUUAAUAUUGCAUAUUACAAUUGUGGUAAACAUCGGUGCAUAAAUUCGAAUCAAUGAGGUAUCUUAAUUGUCCAUCUGUGGAGCAUGAUCGAAUCAUCCGGUCCUGGUUUCGAUUUUUGAUAACUUAACAACUGAAGUUCUCAAGUCAAUAUCAGGAACAUUAUUCUCAUACAUCACAAGACAAACCGCAUAUUAAGAAAAUACUUGAAACACAAUUACAUAGCAACCAACCUCUCUAUGAAAGAAGAAGGAAAUAGCGCCAGGGCGAAAACCACAACAUAUUCAGUAUUCAUUCAGCUUUCCACGAUGAAAAGGGUGGAGUAUCCGAGUUCAGAUAAGAGGCUGCUCCGGUUGGGUAUCUUUCACCCUGGACAGAAUUAGCAAUGGAUUCAAGUUCCGCCAUUUCGUGAGUUGUUAAUUUUAUCUUUAAAGCUCCAAUAUUUUGGUCAAAAUUUUCAAUUUUGGUGGUUCCGGGAAUAGGACACACAUCCGAUCCCUGAUGAUGGACCCAAGCCAGUGCUAGUUGUGAUGGAGUACACCCUUUAUUUGAUGCAAUCGCAUUAACUCGAUCAGAUAAGAUUUUAUUACGCUCUAUAUUUUCCUUCUGGAACCUUGGUAGAGCCUGCGCAGAAAGAAAGAAUUAUACAAAUUGAUCCAAGGAGCCAAGAACUAAUAUUUAAAACAUAUUAGUUCAGAAUACGGAUUAUUAUAAAUAAAUAUUCUGAUUUAUGAAGUAUGUUAAGCAAUUGCAACUUUUGCAUUCCUUCACGGGUUUACAUAAUCUAUUUUAUACAGCUAGUACUAGCAGUACGAGGUUCAGAAUAGUUACUAGCAACCAAACCUUCAAAACAAAUCAGAUUGUUAAAGUUUCUUUAACGAAAGAGUUUCAGACAGUUAGAUUGUAGUUGUUCAUGAAUUGUUUUAACUUUGCUUGCUGUGUUUUCAUGAAGAUCCAAGCUACUAAAAGAGAACUCGGCACUCUGCAAAUAGUGAUCAGUUUCUUCAAUAAACUUGAUUUUAUUUACUUUUUGGCUAAUUUAGACAAUAAAACUGAAUUUUAGAUUUUGAAAUUAAAAUACAAGCUUGAUACUUAGUAUAAUAGAGAAAACAACCUUUCUGUAGUCAUCUUUUGCUAAGCUGUCAACCAAAUUUGAACCUCCAGACAAGAAUCCCCGUCCCAGAGGACUAUAUGCAACAAUCCCAAUGCCUAGUUCUCUGAAAAAUACAAACCAGUGAACUAAGUUUCUGAUUUUUUUUAUAGGUAGUUGGAAAAUAUGAUGAUUUAAACAGAUACCAUACCUGCAAGUAGGAAUUAUAUCUUCCUCCACGCCCCUCGACCACAAAGAACACUCCAGCUGCACGGCAGUGAUGGGAUGAACAGCAUGAGCUCUUCUGAUUGUAGAUGCAGAGGCCUCAGAAAGCCCUACAUACUUGAUCUUACCUUCUUCAACCAGUUUUUUCAGUUCUCCCAUCUUCCAAACAAAUGCACAUUUUUAAGGCACAAUGGGUAAAAGGAGAAAUAGGAAGAAACAACAUAUUAUGGUACCAUCAUCACAUAAAUCAACAUUUCUUUGCACUAUCAUGGUUAAUGGCAUCAACUUACAACUGUAUAAUAAAAACAUAGCACUUUGACCUCCCGGACGACUAUGCGCCCCAACUGAGUCGAUGAAGAUAGUAGUCAAAUGAUUAAAUAACAGUUUUUUGAUGGACUACUGGCCUAGAGCUCUCACAGAUAGUCUUCUAAGUUGGAAAUGAUUUAAUACAAAGUGAAACUGACGAAUUCUCGACACAAUCAGAUCCUUUCGCAAAUCCUGCUAUCAUGAGAGUUGCUAUUUAACAUUUAACUGGCCACUGUGUGCACACACUUUCACAAAUGAAAUAUCACAGAUAUGCUCACUGCAGCCAUUCCAACAGCACACCAAGAAAGACUCAUCUAGGAUUUGGGUAAAAGCAGCAAAAUCAUUCAUUUGUCUAUUGUUGAUUUAUGAAAAUAACAUUUUUUAAUUAAUCAAAUUACCAGUAAUGAGGACAGAUUAAUACAACAGCUAUAAAAUUUUUAGCAGAAAACUUAAAAACAGGGCAAGUAAUUUGGGACACGACAACUAUGUAUUGACAUACCGUAACUUCAAUUGGCACUUGAGUGUCAAUACGGUGCUGAUAGUACAAAUCGAUAAAAUCAAUCUCAAGCCUCUUCAAGCUAGCCUCACAACACGCCCGCACGUAUUCUGGAUCGCCUUGCACUACUCUGAUUUCUCCAUCCAUCCUGAUCCCAAACUUGGUAGCCAGCUGAACUUUGUCCCUAACACCGUCCUUUAAAGCCUACAUUCACACAAUCUCAUUCAAAUCCUUUACACAUUUUGAACUCAAGAUUCAUUUACAUAUUGAACGGGUGUCAACCCAAGUCCCACGUCAUAAAAAUAAAGAAGAUUUAUCUUGAAUAUAAACAGUCAACGAACUCUAUUAAUAUGAAGCGUUUUGGAAGUAGCCCCAAAACAAAUCCUUGCGGGCUUGCCAUAAUCAUCCCCUUAAUCAUAUCGAGAUGAUGAAAAAAAGGCACAUAAAAAGAAAAACGGACCUUAGAAAUGAGGAUUUCGUUGGUGUGAGGUCCAUAAAAAUCUGAAGUGUCGAGAAGAGUGACACCGCUUUGGACAGCAUGGUGGAUGAGUCGAAUCAUGUCGGAAUCAGGCUUGGUCUGACCGUAGAAGUAGGACAUUCCCAUGCAGCCAAGACCCUGAGCUGAAACUUCAAGACCUUGUGAACCCAACUUCAUUCUGGGGACUGCAUCACCCAUUGUAAGGCUAGUAUAAUUUGGAAUUAUUUAUGUGUAUCAGAGAGUUGAGCCGAGAUUUUCCUUGACAAAAGAGAGAGUCUAGUAGAGAUGAUUUUAAGCAUGAGUCUGGAGAUCUAUGUUAUUUAUAGGUGCAGGACCGGAAGCACAGAACCGAAUGGAAUCCAACCAAAAAUCAAAAGUUAUGGAAUUCAUGGACCUAGUAGAGGACUACUAUAGUCUGCACUAAGACCAGACCAUGACCAAAUAGAUAAUCACUUAUGACUUAUGACUUAUCUAUGAAAAACAAAAAAGGGCUGCCGGACGUAAAAUCAGGACAAAGACGAGUAGUGUUAGGUAAUCAAAAUUUAUUUUUUAAAUAAAAUGUGAUAGUUAAAUAAUUUGGUUCGAUUUAUUGAUGUAUGUAUAUACAUAAAAAAUCUCAUAUUAACUUAAAAAUAAUACUCCCUCCGUUCCAUUUUAACUGUUUUUGACUUUUUUACACGUAUUUUAAAGUGUAAAAAAAAUCACAUCUAUAUAUAAUUAUUCUUUAUAAAAUUUAUAUCAAAUAAAAGUUUAGAAUCUAAACUUUUAUUUGAUAUAAGAAUUGAAUUUUUUAAUUAAGCGUAGACAUUGUCUUUUUACACCUCAAUAUACGUGUUAAAAAGUCAAACAUCACUUAAAAUGGGACAGAGGGAGUAUAACUUAUAUGCAUAUGAUUGUUAGAAUAUAAUAAGAUUUUGGUAAGUUCUCUUCCAUUUAAAAUUUUAGAACAAUUGCUCACUUAACUUAAUACUAUCAAAGUAUAGUCUGGUGGAGCCUUUUUGAGAUUUUGAGAGAAUUGAUUAUUUAACGGACACAGUUUGGAAUCAUUUAUUAAUACUUUACAUUUUUUUUUGUGACAGAAAUACAUUGCAUUUUCCAAUCAGGACAAUAAGUGCAGUUUUUAUAGUAACAAAUUCAAGCCACCAAACGUCAUUGCUUGCGUUUUAAUAUUUUCCACUCUACUUUCCAAAUAUGGAAACAUUAUAAUAACUCAGCUUUAAAUUUAUGUCAGGCCGCCGGGGACAAAAUCACAAAAUACAGCAAAGUUAUAGUAAUGUAUAGCAAACUUCUUCAAUUAUAGCGCUCCGAUAUGUAGAAUAUGGUGGCCCGUUGGGUAGAAAACUAGAUACAACAAACUAAUAUCAAUUGAUGCAGCCACUAGUCAUGUGGAAUCCAGAAACUAUUUUAAUUCUGAUUAUAUUAUUCAGUUUAAAAGCGGAGCAAAGUUUAAUUGACCACUUUUUUGAAAAUUUGGAACUCAUUUCUGCCCGUCUGUUACUCCCGUUAGUAAUAUUUAAUGAGAGCCACAUUUUUAAAAGAUUAAUUGAAAUUAUUAAUCAUGAUAUUAAACAAAUAUAUUAAAUAAUAUAAAAUAUCUAAUUUAUUAAGAUUAUUAUAUUAAUUUUAGAAAGAUAUGUUAUGAUUAAUGGGAUUUAAAAGAUCGAAUCAACUAAAUAUCUUGUAAGGUGAUUUUUAGAAAUAUCCUAAAACGUUUUACAUACAGGUGAUAUUAAGGAGAGUAAUGUCAGGGACAUCAGAAUUUGUACCGAAAUUCUGUUCUCAAAUUACAUGGCAGACAUAUGACGGAUUUUAGUUGAGUGGUUUAUGCAGAGACGGAAUCAGAAAAAUAAUUUGAAGGGGCGAAAAAUUUUUAUGUAAAAAAUACAUUCCGACAAUUUAGAUUUUAUUGAUAAGUUUAUGAAUUUGUAUGCACAAAAUUCAUAUUUACAUGAGAAUUGGGAACAUAUUUUGGGUUACUUAGUAUCUUCCUGUUUAGAACUAUGCUACAAGGUUUUACAUGCUGGACUGCUGGAGUCUAGAUCAGCACUCCUGAUUAACAUGUGACCCCAAUUUCUUGUAUUAUACCUAUUUGGAUUAGAAAUCAUAACUUAGCUAGGAACAUAGAUUUUAUUUCCAGAAGGAUUAGGAUUUAAGAAUGUGAAUCUGAUUCGGACAGCAAGCUUCUUACACUUGUUGCUGUUUUUUAUAAACGAACAUGGUGGUUUUGAAAGUCUUGAAAACAUACGAAACAACAAUGGGAAAUUUUGUACUUGAUGCUCUAAGAACAUCAACUCUGUCAAUACAAACAUCAUUCCAUGAAAUCAAAGUAUCUUUCGGGUCCAUCAAAUCAUUAUUAGUACCCUGGACAAGAUCAAACAGUAACAAUUCCAGCCCUGUCAUCUCGAAAACAAAGUUGCGCGAAGAUAUCAAAGAGUUUGAUGAGUCUAAGGUUGGCGUAAAAGGCCUAGUUGACGCAGGAAUCACAUCGAUUCCACGUAUCUUCUACCAGCCACCUGAGAAUCUAAUUGAUUCGCGCUCUCUCACGCGAACCUUGGAUAUCCCUGUCAUUGACCUGGCUGCGUCUGACAGGGCUAUUGUUGUGAGACAAGUUCAAGAAGCAUCGUCUAAGUUUGGAUUCUUUCAAUUAAUCAAUCAUGGAAUUCCUUUGUGUCGUAUGGAUGAUGUGAUUUUGUCGAUCAAGGCUUUCAAUGAGCUUGAAACAGAGCUGAAAUCGCAGUAUUAUAGUCGUGAAGGAAAUGAGAAGAGAGUACUUUACUAUGGUUCAAGUUUGCAUUUAAAUGAAUUAGAAGGCGCCAGCUGGAACGACACGUUGCUGGUAGCAUUGGGACCGGAGCCAGCAGAAUCAUGUUAUGUUCCGGAGGUAUGCAGGAUGGCGGUGGCUGAGUGGGAUGAAGAGAUGAAGAAACUAGGGGGUGCUUUAUUAGGUUUAAUGAGUGAAGGACUCGGGUUGAAGAGGGAAGCACUAGAGGAGAAGUUGUGCAUGGAUGCUAGAAUCAUGGCUGGAAAUUAUUACCCUCAUUGUCCACAGCCAGAUUUAACUCUGGGCUUAAAAUCGCAUACUGAUCCUUCUAUUUUUACUCUGUUGUUGUCUAAUCAUGUACCUGGCCUCCACGUUAAAGUUGAAGGACAUGAGUGGGCUAAUCUGGUGGCUCAUCCGGGGGCUCUUGUGGUAAACAUUGGUGAUGUUCUUCAGGUAAAAUCAAAUAUUUCGUAUUACAUCAGGUCUUGUUUUUAUAUUUUGCAAAGUUGUGAAACUAUGUGUCCCUGAUAUGAAUAUUUUUUUUUGCAGAUUAUUUCAAACGACAAGUACAGAAGUGUUGAACAUCGGGUGUUGGCCAACUCAUUACAAGAACCACGAAUAUCAGUUGCAGUUUUUUUCAACCCAGCUAACGAUGCAGACACUUAUGGACCGUUACCUGAAAUUACAUCACUGGAUGAACCAGCUCGUUAUCGCGACUUUGAUUUACUAGAGUUGAGACAACAAAUGAAAAAGGAAGUGGGUGUCAAAAGUUUGAUUAACAACUGCAGGAUUGGUCCAAAUUUGAAGUGGAGAGAUUGGAAUCCGCUCAGGCUUCUACAGUCUUAUGUAGGUUCUAGUCAGAAUUAGAUAGAUAUUCAGUUUCAUCAAUUUUCAGGACUCGCUGUUCCCUGUAGUUUAUCACAUUUUGAUUCCCGUCACUGGUAAUCCGGCUAGGAGGUCUUUUAACCAAGAAUUUCAUAUGUUAAUCAGAUCUUAUCUCUGCGGCUAGUUGUAACUGUUAAUUACCAGCUUCAGAAUAGUUCUUUUGAUUGUUUUGUCAUGUGCUUAAUUGUGCAAAAUUUUAAAAAAUGGUUUUGAUUGUUUCAAUCAGCAUGUUAUUGAGUCAAUCCUACAGAGGUUCUUUUCAUUUACAUGUAACUGCUCAGUUAUCUUAGCCUUUUUUUUCUUUAGGUAAACCAAACCAAGAAUGUAAUACUUUGUCAAAUAUUUUUAAUACACACGAGUUUAUACUAGAUGAGCAUCUCUAACAAGGGUUGUCAAAAUAAUUGUCAAUAUUGUCAAAUCAUCAUAUAUUAAUAUUUAUUUCACUCAUUUUUUAUCAACUUGACAACAUUCUAAUUCAAUAAUUAGCAAAUUUUGAAAGUUGUCUAUGUGGUCCUCUCAAUUGAAUUAUAAAUGACUCAUGAACUAAUAGAAGUAUUAAUAAUCUACAUUUUCGGCACUUAUAUAUGUAUUUUAACUAUUUUGGAAAGUUACGAAGUUUUGACGAUGGUGAUAGGCAGCCUCUUGGCAAUCAUACAACUUCAAUAGAUUGCAAUGAAGAUUGUCCUACCACAUAAGAUUUAACAACCUCUUAGCAAUUUCUAUCGGAGAUGCUCUAAGAUAGAUUUGACACCCCUUUGACAAAAUCUCUAUCGGAGAUAUCAUAAGAUGAACAAAUUUUUUUAAUAAUUAUAUAUUUAAAAAAAUUAUUGAGUAUAUAUAUUUAUAAUUUUUAAGUAAAUAAUUUAUUAUAAUAUCAGUCAGUCGAAUACUCAACCCCCACCGCCGCAUAGGGUUUGCAAGUUGUAACUGAAGAGAAAAUAAAAGCAAGACAAGAUCGGUGCUGCUUAUUACAAAGAGAAUACCCAGUUAAACACACUCUCUCUCGUAACGUUUAAACAGGUUACUUAGCAAAUGGCGAACAGCAGUAAAAUUCUUCUUGAUUUGGAGGCUGAAAAAUCUCCCGCAGGUCUUUUUUCUAUCUCUUUCCAUCCCUGUUAAUUUUUAUAUAACUUAUUUGUUUGUGUUUGCUGAUACUGUUUCGGGGUUUUACAUUAUUUGCAGAAUCCAAGUUUCUGUUUUGUAUGAAUCAUGAUUUCCCGCGGCAGCCUAAGCCUACAAAAUAUGAAUUGCCUCAGAAAAAGCCUAUAAUUACCUCGGUUCCGAAAAGCCAAGGUAACCAUUUUCAUUCUUUGUGCUUUAUUUGUUUUGUUUUAACACUGUGUGGUAAAAACUCGUUAAAUUAAUACUCGAUUAUGUGAUAACAUCUGUUAAUUGAUACUCUACUAAAAUUUGUAGAAAUUGCAGUAGAGGGUACUGUAGGGGUGUAAACAAACCAAACUAUUCGUGAGCUACUCGAGCUCGGCUCGUAAAAUAUUUGAAUUUGAUUCGGUAAUAAUCGAGCCGAGCUCGAGCUCGAGCUAUUUGGAAGUUUUACCGAGCCGAGCUCGAGCUUCAAAUUACUCGGGUCGUAAAGUUCGCGAGCCUUAUCGAGCCUCUUUUAUUUUUUAAUUUUUUUAUUAUAAAUAUAUUUUUACAAAUAUUUUUAAUAUUUUAUUUAUAAUUUAUAUAUUUAAUCGAAUCGAACUCGAGUCGAACCGAACAUAUUUCGAGUUUUUGUCAAUAUUUGGUGACUCGAUUCGAGCUUUCGAGCCGAACUCGAGCUUAUCGAACUAUUUACGAGCCGAGCUUCGAACUUGAAAUUAAAGGCUCGGUCGAACUCGAGCUCGAACCCCGAAUUUUUCAGUCGAGUUCGAGCCGAGCCUGCCAGUGUUCGACUCGGCUCGGCUCGAUUACACCCUUAGAGGGUAGUAUGCCUAAUUAUAGUUACUUAAUAUCACCUGGAGUAUUAUUGUGUUUAUUGCUGAUUCACAUUAUGAUGAUUGGUUCCCUAUUAAAUUAAUAUGCAAUUAAAAAAAGGUUUAAAAGAAAUGGUUCAAGGAUUGCCUCAGUCAUGUCUUGCUUUAAAUUAUUGAUACAUUCAGUUUGCUUAAAGGAUUGUAACUCAUUUGUUUGAUGUAUAGAUGUUUGAGGGAUAGGGGAGCAGUGGGAAAAAUAUUUUGAUUGUAUAUUUUUGUUAUGAUUGUAGACUGUUGUUUAUCACCUAACUGAUUGAGCUUUCGUUACCCUUUUGGUGGGCAAGGUUGUGUUAUGGUUGGGAUGGUGGGAAGGCUGCACAUUGGUUGUAGGGUGUGAUGUUUCUAGUUUCUAAAUUGUAAAAACUACAAUACUAUGUUUUUGAAGUAUUAGAAUAGGUGGAGUUAACUAAGCAUGAAAAUAGUAUCUUUUAUGGUGAACUGAUCUCUGCAUACCCAUUGGUUGGUAGCAGAGAAAGGCGAUGAAAUGUGAAUUAUAUGGAGGGUUGUAUAUAAAAUGGUGGAAGACCUUAGCUGGGGCACGGGGCAAAUCUUGUCAGUGUUGGUAUGUUAUAUUGUUGCUAGAUGUUGGGGAAGAACAAGUGAGUGGUUUUUCAGGGUGAUAUUAGUCAAUGAAAUAAGUCUGCAAACACCAUUAUGUGUAAAGUUAUAGUUUCUUAGUGCUUUAGUGUAGCAUCCAUAAUUACUAUACUUGAUUUCAACACGGUAUUAUAGUGUGUAUUACAGAUGCACAUAUUAAAUUUGACUGAAAGUAUGAUUACUUUAUAGAAACUUCAGGUUAUGACAUUUUUCUUGCUUAAGUAUCUAGAUAUUAAAAAUGACUUUGACGUCUAAGUUAAUGUAGGAAUAUACUUAUAAACUAUUGUUCUGCAUACUUUAACCCCGUUUUAACAGUUCUGGGAAAAUUGAAGGAUUUCUUACCAGUUAUGUCAGAUGCAAAUAAAAAACUGCAGCUCGCUGCCAUGGUACGCUAUUGACUGUAGAUGUAAUCAGAUUGUUUGUCCAAUUACUUUCUUUCCCCACCUUAAAUUAUCAGGACCAAUAUGUUAAAUGUAGGACAAUGCGAAGGUAUUUGAUAUUGAAUCACUUGAAGACAAUGAUUCUGCACACAUUGAAAUGGUAUAUUUCUCUUACACCUAAUGAUGAUUCUAGCAACCAAUUUCUGUACUUAAUUUUGGGGGUAACCUAAUAGGAUCUGAUGCUGGGGGUAGCUGACCUCCAUACCCCUGAAGCUAUUGCUGCUGCCGAGUCUGCUAUCAAUGGUAUUCAGCCAGUUUUACCAUUUGCAACUACUAGUAAUAGUGAUGAAGACACUGAUGAAUACGAUGACAGUGAGAGUGACAGUGAGAGCACUUAUGAUGAUGAGGAUGGGGGAGAAAAUAAGCGUGACUCUGACAAACAUGAUCAGGGCAAUGAUGGUAUUGAACUAGCAUGCUCUCUUGCAAACACAAAAAGAGCCAAAUCCGUCUGCAAGGAAUCAUCUGAAGAUUUGGGAAAUGCAAAAUCAAGCAAGCGACCAAAGAUUGUCGAGCUUUCAUGAAACCUUUCCGGACAUAAAAAAAAAUGAGGUCUGAACUCUGAAGAUGUAUCUUCCAGAAUCAUGGAAUAGGAUGGAGCUAGAAGAACUAUUACCCCAAGUUCACUGAUAUCAAGCACGGAUGAAACCAGCCUGUUGGGAAGCUUGUUGGAGGACUGUAACAUGUUGAGUGUAAAAUAUAUCUGAUGGGUUAUACAUUUUGUUGCUACAAAUUUGUGGUGUUGAAUUCACAGUUCAAUUUGAUUAUUGUACCAUGUGAUAAGUUUUUUUCUCAGUUUAUCAAUUGAAUUUACUCAUGAUGAGGAUGGUAUUUUGGAAAAGCUUUAUUUCCUGAUCGGAAUGUGGUGGCGUGGUGCAGUCAAUUUGGGUGGUGUGGCACCCUGCACCACCCCUGCUUACCGCAGUAACUUCUGAAGCCAUUUAAUCUAAUUAUGUUAUGAUAAUCGAUCAACAUUAAUCACUUCAUCUAAAUACUAGCAGAAAACUGUUAAUAAAACCGAAGAAUGACCCAUAAGUAUUAAUAGUAUGUACAGCUGAAAGGUAAAUUUCUUGCUGCUGUUGGUUGUAAGUGGUCGAAAGAAAAAAUUGACAACAUGAAAUUAAAUUUAAGCGUGUACAAUUGUGUACAGCUGAAAGUGAAAACAGAUGGUCUCACCAUUCCUGUGACAAUAUAUUUAAAUGUGAUUUGUAUAUAUAACAGUUCACGGUGACCUUCCGCCCUUUUCAUGACUAUCUUGAUCGAGAUGAAUGAAAUCAUUUCAAACUACUUUCACUGGCAUUGUUGUCCAGUGAGCGGGUAUCGGAACUUGUGUGCGUCAGUAUUUAAAUUAAGGAUCUUUCUACUUUUAAUUUAGACGAAAGAGAAAUUUGUUGUGUACACAGACACAUAUCAGAAAAUCCGUUAAAUUAAAACGCUUGUUAGUGUAGGAAGUGUUUCUGUUUCAUACGUGGAUGAAUAUUAUAUGAAGGUGGAGAUUAGAGUAGUGUUCUGGCUUUGACAUACGUGUCUUCGGGAAUCAGGUCUCUACUCAAUUCCCAGUAAAACAGUGGUUACUGUCUCAAAUUCUGCAGACUGAAUCACUCUGCUUUUCACCCUUGUAUCUUCUUUAAUUCCAUUGUGCAACUCAAGAAGUUUUAGUGCCAUAAAUUAUGAGAUUUCUUAGAAAUACUCGUUUCCUUCAAGGAAAUGAAUGUCUGUCAGACCUAUACUUUUACUACCACAAUUUGCAUCGCCGUGACUGAUUAACUAAUAAGAGGUCGAGAUUUAAGUGUCGGGAAAUUACACUAGCAAGUGAAUUUUCCAGCAGAGCAGUGCUACAGGGACAAAAUUGGAUACAAAAUUUUGUACAAAAUGACACAGCACGUUCCAAACAAAACUUAACACAUGUCAUUUUGUGAAAGAUUUUGUACAUAAUUUUAUGCCCGAAGCACCAAAUUGAUUAUAUCUGUUCUGUUGUUCUUACUGCAUUAAUGUAAAAACUAGUGACUCCAAUACUAGGUAAAGUUAAAAUGAUACCUUGGCAUCUAAUAAAGCAGGCUCCUUUAUAUCAAAAGGUUGACAUUUUGUAUAAUCAAUGGACGACUAAACAAAUUAAAGAAAAAUAUAUUUAAAAAAAUUAAGGAGAGAUAUAGACAUGCUUAGCUAAUGAGCCAUGGCAACCGGAGCUGCAUAAUUGAUAGACCUCUGGUUGGGCAUUGCAAGCAUAAAAGUGUGAUCCAAGAAAUCAUUCAACGCGACCACAUGUUCCAGUACGAACCUAAGCUCAUCAGCACACGAAAACGCCAUGUUUCCAGCUCUCCUCACUGCAUACACAUAAAAUGUUAAGCACCCUUUCCUGAAUUUGAAUCUUGCCAUCUCACAACCGGUUAGACCCCGGAUGAUCUUUCGGUUUACUUCUCCCAGCGGUAUUUCCUGUGGCCAUAUCCUGUCAACUGCAUUCUUCAAAUUCUCAGACUCGAACACAAAAAUAAGUACCUUGGAUUUUUUGGUGCCUAGGCCUAGUGUAAGAGUGUGCCAUGCAUGGUGUGCUAAGAUAGUAAAAUUUGUUGGUAAAAAUGCAGAGGUGGACCGGAAACUUGUUGAUGUUCUUGAAUUCCCUGCUGGGCUUUUUUCGUCUAGGGAGAGGAGGUGCAGAAGCUGCAAUGGCCGCGCUUGGCGGAUAGUGAAUGAUUUUACAAUAAAUUGGCCUCCAAAACGGAGGCCUUUAACAUCAGAAGAGGGCUUGAAUGAGAAAUCUGAGGCAUUGGUGGCAAUCUUGGUGGUAUGAUCCUGAUUUGGAUGCUGAUAUUUUUGCUUCUUGGCCUUCUUUUUUUCUUUUUCUCCCAUGAAUUUGGUAUUUGUCUUGAGAAAUAGUGUGAGUGGUUAGAGGUGCACUGGUUAUAUUUUUGUAGGGUGGGGUUGAAUUAUAGCCUUUUAGGGAGUAUGAUAUGAUAACAAACCAAUUUUUGAGAGGUGGCUAGUGGGUUUCAUGAUGUUUGUGUUUAUGUUUCCAGCUUUGGGCUUUAAAUUUUAGGUGAAAGUUGAACCGUGAAACUAAUCAUACAAUGACUAGAAAUUGUUUUUUAAAACAUUUAUAUAAUUCAUAUGUUGUACAGUAGGUUGGAGGGUUGAAGUUAUUACAAGUCCCUACAUAUUUAUGACAUAUAUCUCAAGAUGUUGGCAGUUCAUUCACUGCAAUUUAUGAUUCUCUUCAAAAGUUUUGAUUUCUAAAAACAAAAAGAGAAAAAAAAAACAAUUUUUCUUAUCUGCAAAACCGCAUAAUUAUUAGUACAUAGUAAAUGUAUAAUGUAGUACAGUAGAACAUUUUAUAAGAGAACUCAGCUCUUGUCCUAUCUUAAGCAAAUGAAGUGUCUAUCUACCAUCUCAAUCAAAUGGAAAUUAGGAAUUUAAGAGGUUUUAUGCAUGAUAUAUAAACAAGUCUUCCCAAUAAAGUUGUUUCCUACCAAAGGAAACCCCACUGCCUUUAAUCAUUUCAUGGAAAAUUUUAUACACUGUUGGGUAGACCAGGCUGUGAUUGUCCCACAAAUGGUCCCAUAUAUAUUCUUGCAGAUUAUAUGUCCUUGGAUAUUUACAUAUAUAAUAUCUUCUUAUUGAUCAAAAUGAAAGACAUCUCCUACCAAACUUAGGUAGGACACUAAUUAGAUUGUAUCCAUUUAACAAUAAUGUGUCUGAUUAAUGCCUCCUAAUUCAAACCGGUAAGAGUUAAAUGAUAUUGAUUUGAAUAUGUAUCUUUCAACAUAUUGUCAAUUACAGGUUGCACAUGAAGGUGGUAAUAUGAUUUUAACAUUCACUAUAAAUCCAGAAGCCACGUAUAGCUUCAAAUGACUCGCUAACAAUGUUUAGCAAAAACAUUAUCUCAAACCAAACUAACAUUAGCUGCUUUAUCUCAAACCAAACUAACGUUACAUCAAACUAGCAUCAGAGUGCAGAUUACCUACAUUAUUAAUCAACAUAAAGAAAGCAGUAUUCGCCAAGAUGUCAAAAACAGUGAAUAUCCUCCGAUGACAUUCCACAAUGCUCGGGCAAAAACUUUAUUAAAUCUUAUUUCAACCCGACAUUGCCCAUACAUAUUACAACUCUUUCAAGAACUUAUUCAUGCUCAAAAAUAACACAAGACAAAAGUCAACCCCCAUGCAUCAUCACCAAUUCACCAUACACAGGUUACAUAUACAAAUCGACAAACAAAAAAGAGGGAAGAAAAAAAAAAGAAUAACAAAAGCAGAACAUAGAACAAAUUUGUAAUAGACUGAUGCUCCAUGUUCCAGCGUUAUCCAAGAAGCCCGACUAUCUCAAGAAACUGAUGCUGUAGAAAACUACACCCUUCAACAAUUUCCAAGUCCAACCAUCUUGCAAUAUCUGAUGAAAAUAGGUCAACAACCUGACACCCAAACAUGGGAUGGGGAACAAAAACAACCCCACAUAAUGUGUUUUAGCUACUUAUUUGAUGUAAAUAUGAACCCAUUAUCCCUGGUCCAUAACAACUUAUUAUCUCCCCCAAAACAAUUAAAAAAAAAAAAUCUAACAGGUCCUCACUGGUAAAAUUUAUGUAAAACGAAUUUUAUGUAUCCUAAAAAAUUAAUUUCCUCGCGGACAAAAUUUGUAAGACUCAGAGAGUCUUGUAUGAUAUGAGCCUACGCCGGUCAAGCUUCAAUAUACGACUCUUGUCACUGUUUCUUGGCUUCAGUAAUCGCUGCACUUCCAUUUCAGAUUGAAUUGAAGCUUGCAGUCUCUUUAAAUGCCCAUAACAUUGCCUGUGAUCAGACCUCGCAGUGGCCCUCAGUUUCUCAACUUUCUCUUCAAUUGGACAAUAAUGCCUCUGAUAUGGAGACUGCCACUUCGCUUGCAAAUAAGCAAGGGAUCUCCAUGGAGGGAAAGGCAUCGAGUUCUGCUUGAGAGAAGACCUUGCAGCUUCAACCAUGACUUGAAGGUAUUGUUUCAAUUUGCUCAAAGAGCCCACAUAAACAACUGGAAGGGUAUUCAAUAUCCUGUCAUAUGAGUCAACAGCUCUAGCUAUUUCAAAGUGACUCCUAAAGUCUAUAUCAAUGAUCAGACGCUCAGAGCUUCGAGCAUCAUUGUGAUUAACAACAUCAAUAUACUCAUGGUCCCCUGGAUAAAAAAGUUAAUAGAGGAAUAUCAGUAGCAACAAAAAAUGUAAUUAACUCUACAACAGUACCCGAGCUUACAAAAUUAUAAAUUACUUAGUCAAACCCAAGAAUAAACUCUACAUAUCCAACAAGUCACAAUUAAACAUGCAACAUCAUCUGAGUAAAAUCAUUUGUGCAACACCACCAUAUUGCUACCAUUACCAUAUAAGAUAGCAUGCUUCCCUUUCAUUUAUUCAUUCCUGAAUUCAUUAUCUUAUAUUUUAACUUUCUUACAUACUCUGCUAAAGCCUAGGAAUCUAGCUUCUUACAAGUUUAAAGCAAAAAAAUGGAUUCAAGAACAUACCCCCAGGAACCUUUCCACUACCCUGCCACUUAGAUGAGCACACAGCAGCAUCAUAACCAGAAAGUCUCAGAAGCUUUACAAGGGAAUAUCUGAUACAACUAGCAUUACAUGGACCUGGCUUGACAAGGUGUAGGUCUAUCUCACUGAUAGAUUGCAUCAAAGAAUCCACAACAGACAACAAGUCACGUUCAUACUGAUCCAUUGACAGCUUAUAACACUGUGGAACAAGAAAUCAAGACUAGAAGUCAGAAACUUUAGAGAUAAUCUUCAGUACAAACUUUCCUCUUCUAUUUAGAAGGAUAGAGAUAGAGGGAGAAAUUCAAAGUGCAGCCAUAAAUAUUUAGGUUGGCAAUGACAACGUAACAUAUUUAAUUAAAACCCCAAAUACAACUUAUUAGACUUAUUCUAUCUGAUGUUCAUUUUCAAUUACCUUAACAAUUUCAUCACAACAUAACCACCACAAAAUAUUUUCAAAAUGUUCAUUGUUACCUUCUUCCAUGUUAGAUUACUUCCUUUUACACUUAUAUAUGAUUUCCACUCAAUUCUAAUCAUGAAGGAAGGUAUAAUCAAUGACAAAUCAUAUAUCAAGAAAUUAUUCCAUAGACAAGACAAAGCUCGAAAAAAUUUCAAUAUAGAUCUGGUUAGUGAUCACUCUACCCUGUCAGGGACUAAGUAGUCCAAUAAACUUUAUAUGUAAUUUAGAGAGAAUAAGUACUAUAAUUUAGAAGUACAUUUACAUCUUCCCUGCACCCUAUGGCGUAUAGAUUAAGCCGCUCACUCAUCAUAUAAAAUAGCAACAACAAAUCAAUAAAAAUCAUCACUAGAAAAUAAAAGACAGUCAAUCAAAAGACUUCAAAACACAUUAAAGAAUUGUGUAGACCAUAAAAACAACUUAACAGCUGCCUCUGAAUGAAUAACGACAGUGCACACACAUUUCAUAUGUGCACUGGAAAUUUAAUAACUUAAACCAGUAAAUUAUUCUUCUAAUGUUUCAAAAAAUUAAUAAGAAUUUCAAAAAUGUAGUUUAUGUGCUUACUAUGAACCUUCAAUAUCUUAGUCCAUUCUAAAAGAGGGAGUUCUUAAUUACAAUUUGUUGUCUUCAUAAAAUACCAUCUCCUGUUACAUUGAUUACAAAUGUCUCCGUACAUCAAAUACAGACAUCUCGUAACAACGGUAAGUCACCACUUUUGGCCAAUUACAAUCAAUUUUUUCAAAUGAACGAUUUGAAGACCCUGAAACCUUGCUUCGUGCCUUUCUACGGAAAGAAAAAAGACAAGCUCAAUCUAUGCUCAAAUCAGAUUACGAAAAGCCUGUCUCGAAUUAUUAGCAUCAUAAAGCCUUACAUUUAUGCAUUACAUAAAAGUGAUAAAUCCAUAUUAUAAACACCUUAAUACUCAUCAUCAUAAUAGAAUUAUUAGUAUACCAAUUAGGUAGUCUCUUAAUUUAUUACAACACACAUGACACAACACAUACAAAAUGCACAUAAACUUACGUAUAUUAAAUUAAACUUUUAUUCAAUUAAAGUCAAUAAAAUUAGGCAUUCAUUUAAAUCGCAUUACGAAUUUACAACCAAUCAACCACCUAAUCCACAUAGACACAACAUGGCCAGUUCCGCAAAAUCAACACACGCAAAAUUCACAAAAAAAUAAACACAAAAUUCACCGAAACACGAAAUACGAAACCGAAAAAACCUUGAUGUUAUCGGCCAGGCUGGGAAGAUCGGAGAAGCCGGAAUCACUAUCACUACUAUUAUGACACCGAUGCGAAUCACCGCUCCCGUUCUCCAAAAAAUCACUAACCAUCACCGCGAGAUCAUGCUCGCUCUCGUGACUAUAACCUCCGUCACCGCCGGCCGCCAUUCUGAUAAUCGAUAAUAAUUCUCCNCCCUCCGUCACCGCCGGCCGCCAUUCUGAUAAUCGAUAAUAAUUCUCCCCGAGUCGCAUAGACUCCACAAUCCAUACUCACCGCCAAACACAGCCUUACAAAAACAAUUAUCACAACCUAAUUAACAUAAAAUCGAUAACAUAUUAAAGUUUCGAAACGAAAUGAUUGAUGAAAUAUUAAAAUUUCAUUUGUUUGGGCGCCGAGCCCUAGAAAAUAUCGAAUUGGACGAAAAAAUGCCAAUUAUUAGAUAUUAAAUAUAUACGAUUGAAUUAUUGAGUUUCGGUGAUUUGUGUGUAUAGGUGUAUGUAUAGGUUUGGUGGUGGAAAAACCCAACGCGGAGAGGAAGGAUGAAGGGGAGGGGGAAAUGGUGGGAAUAUAAAGGGGAGGGGGGGAUGGGGGAGUGAAAAGACGAAAAGGGGCUUAGGGAGUGUCGUAAUGACCAAGGAAACGUGUUGAAAUGUGACAGGGGGAUGGGGACGAGAAAGUGGAUAAAGCUGGAGAUGAACCUGGACGCUGUGAACAAACCAGGGGCUGGGCUUGGGUUUGGGCUGGAUUGGGUUAUUUACGGCGGUGAUUUUGUUGGUUUUAUUGGCAUCGUGGACGGCAACUGGUUUUUUACCGUUUCAAAUUUAUGGAGGAGUUCACUUUACUAAUUAUCUUAUCUCCUUGAUAUAUUUAUAUUAUCAUUUUCAUUGGUAAAAUUAGUUACAAAAUCAGGCGGUUUUCAAUUUUUUCCAAAAUAAAAUAAGUUCAAAUCAAGUGUUAGAACAAAUACUAAUUCGGUUUGGCUAGUGUGUGCCCAUGGGCACAUGCUAAGCGCGUAAAUUUUUGUAUUUGGGACAUUUUGAUGUGUGUGGUCGGUGUAUUUGCAGGGGGGUCCACCAUUAUCAUGAGAUAGGAGCCAAUCAAAAUGAUUUUCCGCGCUUAGCAUGUGCCCAUGGGCACACCAUAGAAAAACCGAUACUAAUUCAUAAAAUAUAUAUGUGUCAAUAGUCAAAAAAGAUAAAGCUCAAAGUAUUUUCAAAACACAAUCUUCCGUGUAUCAUGCAAAUGUUGGAUUAAAAAAAUAGUUUUAUCAGGAGAAUUUUAAUCUAUUAAAUAUAUGUUUCAUAUAUUUGGAAAUUUGAAUUUUUCAUGUUUUUUCUUUCCAAAAAUUAAUUGUUUGGUCACAGUGGAAUAAGCUUUUAAAUUCACUUAAAAAUUCUAUACAUUUCACUUUCCGAAAAAUAUAUAGGAUUAAAAUAAUUUUGGAGAUAAACACAAAUGUGGAUAUCCAUUAUCCGGUGGCGCAACUUUAUCCUGGUCAUGGAUUAAUAUAAUAAUAUAUGAAGAACGAGUUGGGGACCAAGCCAAAACAUGACGGGGUACUUGUGAGUUGUGAGCUGUAACAGGAAAAUUCAUAUGAUCAUAUGUUAUCCGUAUUCGGCUUCCUAAUAUGAUUGUGGAUCUUUCAUGUGAACAUCCGCAACUGGUAUCCUUUUUUAGUCACCUCUUUUUCAUUUCUUUAUUGCUCCAUAAUGCCAUCUCUCUCGUAAUUCUCUCUCCCAUCUCUCUCGUAACACUCUCUCUCCUCCCCCAAUGGUUUAUUCGGAUUUUCGUAAGAUUCUUUUGACAACUCAAAGUAUAAUGAUUAAUUAUUUUAAUCAUAAAAUAAUAUUUUAUAAAAAAAUUGAAAUAUAGGAAUUGAUUAAACUAACUAAAAUGUAAAUCAUAAAACAUUAUUACAAUGGUAGGCCACUUGCUUGGCCCAUGGCACAUUAUCAAAGAUACCAGUUGUACUUCCUCUCCAAAGAAAUUAUACUACUAGUUGUACUAUUAUAUUCAAGUACAUGAGAAUAAAGUUAUUACAGUACUACUAUAACUCACGAGGGCCUGAUUUUGACUCUUGACUUGAGAUGAAUGGAUGGUACUUGGUACUAGUAUGGUAAUAUAUCUUGGUCAACCAGAGCUGCUAACCUUGGAUUUAUCCUACAUGUCCUGGUCAAGGUUCAAAUGUGAUGACUUUGCAUUUUAUACAUCAGUUCCAUUACAAUCACCGUCUUGUUCUUUCUCGACUCAUAAUUAAUACACUGCCCUGCUCGUUAGUUUGCUUGGCUCAGUCGGCCAGAUGAACAAUUCAGGGGUGACAAUUUUGGUAACAGGUCGUGUUCGUGUCAACAAUCGAGUCGAUUUCGGGUCAAAUUAAAAUCAUUUAAAAUUGAAUAAAACUUGAAAUUGAAGUUUUUAGAAAUGAAAUUCUAAUUUCAGGUCAUUUCGGAUCAAUCAGGUGAUUUUCAGGUCACUUUCGGAUUUUGUCUCAGUAAAUCGGGUUACGGGUUCGUGUCGGUUUUGAGUCGUGUCUGAUAUUGCCAGUAAACCCUGUUUAAACACUCUAUUUUAUCUAUUAGUCAUGCUAAUUCAUAAAAUAUAUAUGUGUCAAUAGUCAAAAAAGAUAAAGCUCAAAGUAUUUUCAAAACACAAUCUUCCGUGUAUCAUGCAAAUGUUGGAUUAAAAAAAUAGUUUUAUCAGGAGAAUUUUAAUCUAUUAAAUAUAUGUUUCAUAUAUUUGGAAAUUUGAAUUUUUCAUGUUUUUUCUUUCCAAAAAUUAAUUGUUUGGUCACAGUGGAAUAAGCUUUUAAAUUCACUUAAAAAUUCUAUACAUUUCACUUUCCGAAAAAUAUAUAGGAUUAAAAUAAUUUUGGAGAUAAACACAAAUGUGGAUAUCCAUUAUCCGGUGGCGCAACUUUAUCCUGGUCAUGGAUUAAUAUAAUAAUAUAUGAAGAACGAGUUGGGGACCAAGCCAAAACAUGACGGGGUACUUGUGAGUUGUGAGCUGUAACAGGAAAAUUCAUAUGAUCAUAUGUUAUCCGUAUUCGGCUUCCUAAUAUGAUUGUGGAUCUUUCAUGUGAACAUCCGCAACUGGUAUCCUUUUUUAGUCACCUCUUUUUCAUUUCUUUAUUGCUCCAUAAUGCCAUCUCUCUCGUAAUUCUCUCUCCCAUCUCUCUCGUAACACUCUCUCUCCUCCCCCAAUGGUUUAUUCGGAUUUUCGUAAGAUUCUUUUGACAACUCAAAGUAUAAUGAUUAAUUAUUUUAAUCAUAAAAUAAUAUUUUAUAAAAAAAUUGAAAUAUAGGAAUUGAUUAAACUAACUAAAAUGUAAAUCAUAAAACAUUAUUACAAUGGUAGGCCACUUGCUUGGCCCAUGGCACAUUAUCAAAGAUACCAGUUGUACUUCCUCUCCAAAGAAAUUAUACUACUAGUUGUACUAUUAUAUUCAAGUACAUGAGAAUAAAGUUAUUACAGUACUACUAUAACUCACGAGGGCCUGAUUUUGACUCUUGACUUGAGAUGAAUGGAUGGUACUUGGUACUAGUAUGGUAAUAUAUCUUGGUCAACCAGAGCUGCUAACCUUGGAUUUAUCCUACAUGUCCUGGUCAAGGUUCAAAUGUGAUGACUUUGCAUUUUAUACAUCAGUUCCAUUACAAUCACCGUCUUGUUCUUUCUCGACUCAUAAUUAAUACACUGCCCUGCUCGUUAGUUUGCUUGGCUCAGUCGGCCAGAUGAACAAUUCAGGGGUGACAAUUUUGGUAACAGGUCGUGUUCGUGUCAACAAUCGAGUCGAUUUCGGGUCAAAUUAAAAUCAUUUAAAAUUGAAUAAAACUUGAAAUUGAAGUUUUUAGAAAUGAAAUUCUAAUUUCAGGUCAUUUCGGAUCAAUCAGGUGAUUUUCAGGUCACUUUCGGAUUUUGUCUCAGUAAAUCGGGUUACGGGUUCGUGUCGGUUUUGAGUCGUGUCUGAUAUUGCCAGUAAACCCUGUUUAAACACUCUAUUUUAUCUAUUAGUCAUUGCCUAUAAGAAAAACAGGCUCAAUCCCAUUUUUCAGCAAUAUCAAGUUAUUGAAGCUCACCCUUACCAACUGCACCCACAAUCUUUAUACAAUAAACCAGCUUACGCACAAUGCUAUAAGCAAAUUUUGAAAUGAAAUUGUGUGCAACAUGUAUGACAAUAUUAGUAGCCGACUGGAUCAAGAAGUUAAAGGUGGAUUUGCCUUGCAAGUAUGUGAAACCUUCACCCACUAAAAUCUUACUCUUCGGAGUGAAGCAAAAGUAAAGAAUCCCCUCCCCCCUCCUUAUUUUGUGCCCCAAACAAAAUGAAGUUUACUUUCUGAUAUCAUAGUGUCGCAAGUGGAGAGCAGGAGGAGAAAAUUACCAACAAAAAACAGCAUCUUUCUUAUUAAUCAAUUAAAGAGUCAAAUCCACAUAAUCUUGGCUCCUAAAUCAUGUCAAUACCUCCAAGCCUAACACUCUUAUUCAAUAGUUCUACAUAAACUAGUAGAAGGGCCAUCAGUCAUUACACUUGCAUCUCAAGAGCAAGAGAAGCUUUAUGAAUCAAAUAAAAACUUGAUCCAAAUCAACUUAUUGUAUAACAAAAUUGCUAUGUCAUUAGAAAAUGCAAGAGAUCAACAUUGUUACAUGGUCAUCAUUCAAGAUAAAGAAAACAUGACAGAUGAUAAAGGGUGCUCCACUGAAAUUUGAGAGUACAAAGUCACCCAAAUAUUCUAUGGGAAACUGAAUGUUCUAUUAAAUAUUUAACAACAUUACAGGACAUAACGAAUAUAUUCCCAAACCUAUCCCAGUGUACUGUCCGUUGUUUCCUCGAGUCAUAAUCAAUGGUCUUCCAUCUUUUUCAAUCCUUUCAUAUCAGUUGUCUCCACCCUGUAUUAAAAGCAAGGUCAUAACUUAUACUCGAUGCCACAAAUACACUUGCAAAUUUAAUUACUACAAGAUAUUCUAGGAAAGUAUGUUCGCCAAGGCAUGGUGCAUCUGUCCUAUGCUAUUUUUAAUCAAGCCUUAGAUUACACACAGAGCUUAGAAACAAUUUAUGUUAUCUCUGCCCAAUUAAGUUGUGUAUAUUACAGGUCCACUGGAUUUCCAAAUUUAAUGGGAAGUAAAAAAAUCAAUAAUGUGCCUAAGCCUUUAAGGGAUAGGAUUAUAUCAGAAAACAUUGACAAAUUCCGAUAUCCGCAUAUAAACAAAGUUGUUAGACCAUGUAGUGAAGUUCCACAAAAGGACUGAAGUGAACAGAGCCCAUGCUUAAAAAUCGAGCUUGACGAACUACGUUACUAAAUAGAAAAGAAAAUGUAAUAACAAAAUUAUACAGUAGCAUAAAGCAAUUAUCAAACUAGAUUCAAAAGCACCAACACAACUUAAUACAUACCAAGUCUUCAAGCAAAAUAACAAUUGAAUCCGCAGCAAUGUAACAAUGUAUUAUGGAUAAUAAGUCUACCACACGGCAAAUUAACAUAUUAAAACAAGAGAGUAAACUCAUAUUCGUCAAGCUUCAAAUUUUCCUUAUGUUUGUGAUUUUUCAUGAGCAACCCUCUCAGUGUUAGUAGGUUGGUGGGGGAUAUGUACGUACUUCCGCAUCAUCAUUAUCAUCAAAAAAUAUCCAAAAUUCAGCCUAAUUUACUUUUUUUAGCUUUAGCAACUGAAAAAAUAUUAAUCAAUUAAUAAAGACUGUAUACUACACUUGUGUAUAUAAUAUAUAGAAUAAUAGAAUGCAUUACUUUAACCAAAAAGAUACACCAACUCCUACAUCAUAGUUUCUGGAUACACUAUAAGUAGCAAGACAGCUGGGUUAGCAAUUAGGCAUCUAAGAGCAAGUCCAACACUAUGCUAAGAGGUUCCCUAAAAAUAUUAUAAAAUAAUAUGUCUUAUUGAUUUAGCACACGCUUUAGUACAUGAGCUCCAAUAGUACUCCCUAUAUCCAUUCCCUAUUAUUAUAAUAAUAGGGAAUGGAUAUAGGGAGUACUAUUGGAGCUCAUGUACUAAAGCGUGUGCUAAAUCAAUAAGACAUAUUAUUUUAUAAUAUUUUUAGGGAACCUCUUAGCAUAGUGUUGGAAUACAAUUUUAUCCCAUAUUCUCUAUUUUCGGAUUUAAGACUUGAUUUAGCACACCUAUUGGACUUGCUCUAAGGAGAUAGACCUCUAGUCAAAAGUCAACUAAGUGCAAAAUUAAAAGCUGAACAAUGAGGGCUUAUAUGGUCCAUCUGUGACUAAGAAUGAAGUUGCAGCUAUGUAGAAUAUCUGAAGUCUUUAGCCACAAAAGCUAUCACUGUGUCUUUUGGCAAGCAAACAUCGUAAGUUAACUCUGUUUCACUUACCAAUCGCAUCCUUCGGCCACUGUCCAAGUGGUCAACUAGUCACCAACCACACAACCGUGCAGUUGACAAGUAUAAAAGAAGCAAAAUGAAAUCAGGAACACACACACGCGCGCAUAUUCAUCCAAUUUCAGGUAAAUUUGGUUUAUAAUUUGUGGAAAACGAUUCAAAAGGAUUAGAAGGAGUAUCAUCAACAUAAUAACUUGAUAGCGUUGCUGUGCUAUGGAUACUCACUGUACACUCAUGGAUAUCUAAUACUAUAGUCAUAUAGGCUUACUACUAUGCAAUAUUUUACAUAGAACACAAAAAGAAGUACACAUACACGACAGGAGAAGUGAUUUGAAAAUAUAUGCACUAUCAGUUCCUAGCUAGCAGCAUAACAUAUGCACUAAUUUAGUUUGUAGUUACCAUUUUAACACACAAAUAUAUAAGUAGGCAGAUUGUUUUGGUUGAGCAGAGCCUGGUAAGAAAACUAGACCAACUGCUUAGUUCUAUAUUCAAUAGUUAACUACCACUUUGCUUGAAUCACAUGAAGGAUUUCAGGUAAUUCGGGUAAAUUCACGAGGUUCAUUAGAAUUAAUAACACUUGGUCCAGUCUUGUUGCAAGGAACUUAAAGUCCUCUCAGAUAUACUCAAAAGGUACUAAAAGCUCAGUCACAACACAGUAUUGUCACUUGGUCAAAUAAAAUUAUUUGUUGCAUUUGAUUCUCCCCUAAAAAACUAAACAGAUUUAAGAAUAUGAUUGAUCAAACACAAAGAGAGCGUAAAAGUACUAAAGAAAUUUAAGUAAUCAAUUUCAACUGAUAAAUAUUUUUAUAGAGCUUAUCAUAUUUGAUCACAUCUAAACUAUUAGGUAAAAAAAAAAACUAUCUGACCAAAAAUGGCUCAAAAAUAUUGUGUAUGUAGAGGAUUCAGUAAAGUCUCCUAUAAACAUGGGUCCUGCUCCCCAGCAUCAGCAUGUGUAUGCUGGGGAGCGCUUAUCUGCCAUACAAAUUUCAGACCGUUGGAUGAGAUACCAACAGCCAGGAUUAUAACAAAAUUUCACCUCAUCCAGCGCUUUUUAACCGCUAGACACCUAAAUCAGACAAUUUGGGGAGCUGUUUUUUUCACUAAACCAGACAAUUUUCUGGAAAAUAUUAUGAAACUGCCAUUAGUAUGUUCAGCGCAAAAAAGCACUUAACGUCCAAAAUUUGAAAAAAGAAAAUACUCGGAUGUCCAGUACUUUUUAAUCACGGAGCAUAUUGAACAUAUUAAAAACAUUAACACAUCCAGUGGAAAAUAACCGCUUGAUGCUAGGUGUUCAGCAGUAAAUUGUGCUGGACGUAGCUUAAAAAUCUUAUAAUCCUGGAAUGUGUAUGGCAGAUAGGAGCUCCCCAGCAUACACCUGCUGGGGACCAGGAGUCCAGGACCCUAUAAUCAUUCGCUGGAAGUCUUUAUUAAAGAUGUGAAAUAUCAGAAGACAAAGUGAUAAGGUGGAAUUUACUGGUCAGUAAACUAUAUAGUAUUGGACAAAUUUAUUAUCCAAGAAGAAGAACAAGAAGCAUUUCUCUACAAUGUACUUGUAUGAAACACAUAACAGCCCAUUUGAUACUUACGUAGUUCCAUAUAAGACAAUCUUUUGAACUUUUGUUGUCUCGCAUUCAGAUUGGUUAUCCUCGAUAAAAAUUGUCAAGCUGAUACAAUGUCCAGAGACAAAACAGUGAGAUCAUUUCAAAAGAUAAGUAAAAAACAUUGAAAGGCUAAAAUGCAAUUCUGAAACUUACCUGCGAACAUUCUGAAACUUGACAUACUUUAAAGCAACUGGUUUUCCCUAUAUGUGCAAGUAUACAAUAUUUGUAUGUUAGCAUUUACAACAUUGUCUGAAACAUGCAAUGGCUUUCACAAAGGAUUCAUCAUAUCACUGGAAACUCUUACCUUGUUAUCUUCAGAGGAUAAUACUAUGGUGUCAUUUGGAGCAUAGUCGUUAACAUUACUGCAAAUUACAUCAUUUUGGCAUGGUAAUAAGGUGCACGAAAAUUAAACUAUGACAUAAUUACUGCGUGCAACUACAAAUCCACAAAUCAGUUACCUGAAUCCCAUAUGCUCCCUAUUUGUAUACAGUUUAACUGUUUUUGGACCUGGAAAUUGACACAAAGUUCCAAAUUUGAAGACAAAUUCCAGUAUGAAGGUAUAUGCACCCAUGGUUCCAAGUUAUCACAAUUAAUUAGUGGAGACCCUUUUACGCAGUUUCUAUUAUACACAAAAGGGAUGCACAAACACAGUAAAUCACUGCAACAAUCCAGGAAGUAACUGGCAAUCCCGGUGGGUUGUGACAUAGGGGAAAAAUGUAUUGACAUCUAAUCAAUGUGCAUGAUUAUGAAGUUUUAGCAAUUAGCAUACUAUCACUUAUUACCAUAUUCACAGAGUAGGCACAAUUUAAAAAAACUAAAGCUAGAAUAUGUAAGACUAACUAGAAUAAAUGCUAAAAAGCAAACAAUUGUAAGAAACAAGUUCACGAAAAUAUAUACCUUCCUCGUCAAGUCCUUGAAUGGCAAUUGAGUGUAGUUUGAUGACUUGGGUGAAAGGUAUAUAAAUCAAAAGUUGUUCAUCUGCAUCACUCUCUAAAUUCAACCCAUCAUCUUCUCUAUAACCCUAAUGCACAAAAAAAAAAAAAGCAAAAGCCAGUUUAAGUCACUGAUACAAUUACUAAAUGGCUGAAGAAAAAACUGCCAGAAUAUUCGAUAUUUUCCAAUAAAUAUCAUUUAAAAUUCUUAUGUAAAGGUUUCUACUUCCAAACAAGAAAAUGUAUAGAAGCAAGGUAUUCCCAGCUUCUUGAUAAUUUCCACUACCACAAAGUCUGCAUACAGAACGAUUUUGUCUCUCACAGUUAUGAACAUACACUUGAACUCAAAUAUUUUUCUCAAUACAGAUUGAACCUAUGGUAACAAAAGCGUGUCAAAUGCUGCCUUUAUUCUUUCAGUACAAAUUUCACCCACAUGAAUCAUGGACGUUAAUUACGUUGCAGCAGUGAAUGAUGAAAUUUUCCGCAACUCUGCAAAACCACUGUUUUCUAAUCAUUCAAAUUGUGCACUAUAUGGAACACCGCCCCACACUUCUACUAAAAAAAGAUCAUUUAGUUUUCAACCCCCUAGCUUACAUGAAUAGCCCAUUUCUAAGAUCAAUUCGAGUUUGCUGGAAGGCAUCGCAUCACCGUAAAGAUGACAAGCUACUUCCUUAAGGUUUCCAAUUGAGUUAUUUGGUGUUUCCUUUGAUGCUUGAACAAUAGCAGUAUAUAUUAAUUAAUUUAAUAAUUUUAGAUCCAUAUUAGAUUACAAGGAAAAAGGAGGUGUUUUUCUUUGUAGAAAUAUAGCAGAUUACUUUUAAAAACUAGAGUACUAGACCAUAAUGAUUAGCUUUUUUUUAGUUAGGAAAGUACUUAGCUUUGAAACAAUAAGAUCUCUGUAUAAAUUCUUGUAAUGCUGAAAACAGUUCUACCUAAAGAUGAUUGACGAUUAUCACUUAUUUGAUGGAAUUUUUUGAAACUACGAGGCUCGCCUCCAUCAAUUCCCAGCAGAGGUAGAUUUUAUCCCUUAAAUAUGUACCACAAGUUUUUAUGACUUCACAAAGUUAUAUAUCAUAUUCAUCACUGAGUUCAAAAAUACUCAUAUCAAGAACAAGAAAACCAUUAACAAGUUGCUCUAAUUUGCAUUGUAAACUAGUACUAUUAUACUAUGUUCAGCAUAUAUAUUAACUAGUAUGAUCGCCCCAAUCCCAAAACACGAGUAUUAUGCAAUCAAAAAACCACCAAAUGUAUCACACAAUAAAACCCCUUGCGAGAAACAUAUACAACCAAAUACAAGUCAAUACAAGUAAAAUUGGAAACAAAUUUUAAAAAAAAAGGGGGGGGGGGGGGGGGGGGGGNNNNNNNNNNNNNNNNNNNNNNNNNNNNNNNNNNNNNNNNNNNNNNNNNNNNNNNNNNNNNNNNNNNNNNNNNNNNNNNNNNNNNNNNNNNNNNNNNNNNNNNNNNNNNNNNNNNNNNNNNNNNNNNNNNNNNNNNNNNNNNNNNNNNNNNNNNNNNNNNNNNNNNNNNNNNNNNNNNNNNNNNNNNNNNNNNNNNNNNNNNNNNNNNNNNNNNNNNNNNNNNNNNNNNNNNCGGUAUAUAUGAAGACCUUUUUGAGAGCAUUGGCAUAAGCCUGGGUUGAAGUUUGAUUCAGACAUUCGACUCCAGUCCAAUCUAUGAAGUCCACUAGAUCAACCUAAGACGGCAACAGAAAUCAGACAUAUAUACAUACAUACACAUAUCGAUACAGAUGUAAUAACGAAAAGACAGAAGAAAACAUACUUGGUUUCUUUGAAUUGCAGAGGCGGGUUCUCCAGACAUUGUGAAACGGACCAAAGAGAAAACCCCUCUUCUGUGUGUACGAGAGUCAAACGUAUGUAUGUAUCUUGUGUAUAAAGUCCGAGGUAGUGGGCGCGGCGCGGGUGUCUCACGCAAGGAAUAACUCAAUUGGAUUAUUGUGCCUGUUUGUCGAUCAAUUUUUUUAAAAAAUAAGUUUUUACUUUAAAAAAAAUUAUUUUUUAAAUAUAAAUGUCAAGAAGUUGUUUUAUAUUUAUUAUACUUAGUAAAAAAGUAAGGACUUAUUUCAGAAAAAAUAGAGAUUACUCACAUCAUAUUUUAUUAAAGAUUAGUAAAACAAAAGUUUUAUUUUGUUAAAGUAAACGUUUCAAAACAAAAGUUCUAUUUUGUUAAAGAUUUACUAAUUUCGUGGGAUAUCACACAUGAACUUGCGUGUUUUAUGAGAAUAUAAUUAUUACUAGUAUUAAUCUGUCACUGGUGAGUGCAUCUUCUCGAUGAGGUUCAUAAGAAUUAAGCACAUAUGAGAAGUGAUAAGUUGAAAUUGCAUUCAUGAAGAAUACGCAAAGGCACGCUAGUUUUUAAUACAAGAUGAGAUAUAUUAACCUGCAUCAACUUAAUAUUUAGAGUGACAACUUCAAUUUUCGCUUUAUCUUUUGAAAAUGAACUUGGACGUACUUUCUAGAAUUGGGGUUUUGCAAAUAUAACGUUCAAGCAAUCUACAGGUGUGGGAGUGAUCAUUAAGAAUGCAGAUGGCCCGUAUAGUUGUCAUGGUCUUAGGAAUCCUAGGGCCUCUGAAUCAGAGGACCAAUGAAAUAUAGGCAAUUGUACUUGGCACUAUUUAAGAAUGAGAAAACGGACUGAGCUGGAGACAGAAUCAACUGAGGCACUGCGUGAAUGAGAGGAUUGGCGAUGUUUAUUGAUGUUUACCAUUAUUGAUUGGUUGAGUAACUGAACCAGCGCCUUAAAGACAACUACCUAGUGCUUCAUAAGAAAGUUAUCGCGGCUAGUCAGAAUUGCUUGGCUAAAUACUUGGCUAAGAACAUUGUAGAAAUCCGAAAAAGUCCUCGAAGGAUCUUCGGGCCAUUUGAUCGAGUUAGGGGUAUUUGGUACCUUGAUAUGUUUCUAGGUUUUGUGAGGGAUGGAUUCAUGAAGAUGAUUAAAAAGAACAACAGUAACAGCAAAAUGAGUGGGUCAUGCAAGCGGACGCGCGCAGUAGUCUCAAGCACCAAUGAUUCAUCGGUUGGCAACGAAAACAACAAUCUGAUCAUCAUUGACUAAUGUGCUAGUUCGAUCACCCUGCUCGUGUAUUUAAACCAUGCCCCUCUCUCAGUUCAGGUAACUAAUUUUAGUUAUAUUAUGUUUUAGAUUAGUAUGUUCUCAGCAUUAGUUCUUAACCUGCUUUGAAUAGCAUUUAUAUGUGAUGAUGUUGGUGCAUGGAAGUUUGCCUUGGAGACCAUGAGGUUCCCAGGUCUUCUUCCAUUUUGAUUCCAAUGAAAAUGUUUAUCCGGAAAUGAAUCUGUUAGAAUUUUUAAGAAUUAAGUAAUUUGCCUUAAACAUUAGUUGGAAAUGAAGGAUGUUCAGUUUUGAGUUGGUAGUAAAGCUCUGUAUUGAUUUGCAUACUAAUGAUAUUGCACGCUCACACCCACCACUCACUCUUCUCUACUUCGAUACACAGUACCUGGUAUAAUAUUUGAUCAAAAAAGUGUUUGAGGCCAUAAUAUUUAAAAUGAGCGAAUGGUCUGUGUGAAGUAACCAGGUUGUUACAAUUGUUGCAAAAUUAUUUGCAGAUGUUGUGACAGAGAGUCUGUCUCACAUGAGUCCAUGUUGGGUUCUUUUCGUGAGUUAUGAUCGAGGAGUUCAUUUGUCCAAAAUUUGAUGGUCAUAUCAUUUUUUAAAAUUGGAUGGUAAGCGUGUAUAAUGACCCAAACUUCAAAGACAUGAAGGUAAUUAAGCCUAAAUUUCAAAGGCGACAACCAACAUUGAUAAGUCCAUCUUCUAAUAAUUUUUACUUUCUCUGUCAAUUUUUUUUAUAUAUCAAUAUUAAAACAUUGAAUUAUAUUUGAAUAUGGUUAACAGUUUAUCGAAAAUGCUCAAUUUUAUACGAAAUUAUAACAACACGUCGCACUACGAAGUAAUAAAUCAGAUGUCAAAAUGAUUUUUUUUCCACAUAUAGCAUAUUUGAUCUAUAAUAUCAUCAUGUUCUAGUGUGUACUAUUCUAUUUUUGACUUCUCGAAUAUCUUUCUAUUUUUGUCUUGUGAAUAAUACCUUUAUAUUUUAAAUUUAAUGUAUAUCAUAUCAUUAUCUUACUUAAAUAUUAAAUAAAUGUUGAAAUUUAAUUAAAUCAUCUAAUUUUUCAUUUAAACUUCAUUUUUUUCACAUUUUCAACACUCGUAACAAGUUACUACUUAAAAUAUCUUAGAACAAAACGUAGUUUAAAACUUCUGUAUAGUGUUUUCAAAAUAUUCUUUUUAAAUUCCUGUACAAUCAACUUUUUCAACUAACAUCAUUACUUUUUGAUAUAUGUGGUACUUUAUAAUUUAAUUUUAAAUUAACUUUUGUGUAACAUAAAAGUAAAUAUAAAAAUACCAUUCAUAAGUAGUCGAAAAUAUGAAAUGCACCACGCAUAAAAUAAAAAAUAAAAAGGUAUUUAACUAAAUAGAUAUAUAUUUUUUAUAUUAUUUUCAUCAUUUAUUUGAAAUUAAAUAAUUAAUUUAACUAAGUAUGGCAUAUUAUUCUUAAUAUGAUAAUUUUUAUAGAUUAAAUAAAUUAAAACGCUUAUCUUGAUGGAUUUUAUUAUAAACGUGAUUAUUAAUUUUUAGAUUGAUAAGAUGAAUAUGUUCGUCUUGAUUCUUGAGUUUUUUUGUGAUUUUUUAUGGACCUAUAUGAUUUGACAGUUUGUCCAAUUUGAAUUAUGACUAGUUAUUACUCCCUCCGUCCUCCUGAGAUAUAUACAUUGGGGGACGGGGACGCGGCACGGACUUUAAUGCUCCCGUAAAGUAUAGUUCCAUAACUUAUUUUUAGAAUUUUUUUUUCUGAAUAAAAAUUUGAAUGUUAUAUUUUUAUACAGAAAAAGAAAAUUUUAAAAAUAAGUUAUAGAACUAUAUUUUAUAAGAGCAUUGAAGUGCGUGUCGAGCAAUGAAAAAGAAACGUAUACAAUUAAAUGGGACAGAGGGAGUAUCAACGUAUAGAUAAUGUUAUACUUUCUCCGUUAAUUAGUCAUUAUAUUGGGGGUGUUUGGCAUUGAGAAGCAGAGCUUCUUUUCCAUGAAAAAGCAACUUCUACAUUUUGAUGACUGUUUGGGUAAAAAAGUAAUGCCAAAUUUUCUUGAGCUUUUGCAGAAGAAUUGAGAAGUUAGGAAGUCUAACUUCUCUUCCCCGGCUUUCAGCUUCUUUUUUUUAACUUGUAUGUAAAACAAAAACUUACCUACUUGCAUGUAAAACAAAACUCACCUAUCUUUUCGUUAGUAAUUUAUUUUUUGAUAUGUACUUUAAAUAAUGAUUUUUAUAUUAAUAAUAGUUUGAUAUUUUUAAAUAGAAAAAAAAAAUUAUGUUUAAAAUUAUCAAAUCUACCAUUUAUUAUAAGUCAAGUUAUCCAAACACCUAAGUACUUAAAAUUCACGGCAUCCAAACACCUCUAAUCCGAACCAACUUCUCACUCCUCUUCCACUUCUUUACUUUUAAGUAGAAGUCACUUCUUUUAAGCUUAGCCAAACGGCCCCAUUGUCCAUUAAUUUUGCAUUACACUUCAUGCGUUGUGUUAUGCCUAGGGCUGUUAACGAAACGAAUUCGAAACGAAUAUCUUAAUUUUCGUAUUUGUAUACGGUUUAAAUACAUAUAUUCGGAUUUGUAUUCGUUUAUUAUCCGAAUAAUUAUUUGUUUUUUAUUCGGAUUCGGUUAGAUUCACUAACUAUUCAUAUUCGUUUAAGGUACUCUUUUAAAACAAAAUGGAACUAAAUAACUGAAGUGCUAGCUCGUGACAAAAGUAAUAAACUCUUAUACUACACCAAUUCAAGCAAACUAUAAAAUACUAAUUACACAGACUACAAUCAUCCAAUUCAAAGAAACAAAAUUCAAUUACAACCAAAAUGUAAAAUUUAAUAUGUCUUAAUUAACUCUAAGAUCAUGCAACAGAACUUUCACUGGCUCAACCUUUUAGUAUAUGGACGGGUAGGGGUGAGCAAAAAUUCUCCAAACCGACCGAAACCGGCCGAUCCAGUCCGCUCAAACCGAAUUUAACGGUUUAAUAACGGUUUGGUUUGGUUAUGGUUUCAAAUUAUAAAAACCGAAUUAUUUCGGUUUGGUUUCGGUUUUUACCUCCAAACCAACCGAUAAAUCCGAACCGAACCGAUUAACCGAAUGUGUAAAUUUAAAUAUUAUAAAUAUACAUGUACGAAUAAUGUAUUAUUAAUAAUAAAAUUAUAAUCUACGAAAAAAUGUAAAAUCUUAAAAAUAUAAAAGGUAUCCUAGUAAAGAUUUUUUUUAAAAAUAUUAUUUAUUCUAUUUUAUGAUAUUAAUUUCGAUGUAUGUAUAAUAUUUCCAUUCUUUUUAUUUAUAUUUUUGUAAAAAUAUACGAAUCACAUUUUUUUUAAUUUUCUUCCGUCUCUUUUUAUCUAUCAAGCUAAUAUAUUCUUGUAUCCUCUUUAAAUAUGAUUAAAUAGAAAAUAUAAAUUGAAUUUUUCAUUCCUUAUUUUCAAGUUAAAAUUUAAUUUUGUUGCUAACUUUGUUUUACAUAUAAAAAACGGUUUAAACCGAAACCAAACCGAACCGAACCGUUUUAAACAGAUUGGUUUGGUCUGGAUUUUAAACAUAAUGGUUUGGUUUUGGAUUGAGAUUUUGAAAAACCGAUUAUUUCGGUUUGGUUUGGUUUAGACCUUUCAAACCGCCCAAACCGCCCGAUGCUCACCACUAUGGACGGGGCUGGUUUAAUUUAAUAUCUGGUCUCAAAAUAAUCUAUAAUCCUAUUAAAUAAGAAAUAUAAUAUUUUUAUAUAAUAUAUAUAUAUAUAUAAUAUUUAAUUUCCGAAUAAUUAAGUGAAUAGCGAAUACGAAUAUUUAUCUACUCGAAUUUGUAUUUGUUAAUGAACCGAAUAUUUUUUAAGAUUUGAAUUCGUAUUUGUAUUUGUUAAUAAACGAACACGAAUAAUACUAAACGAAUUCGAAUACCGAACAUUUCAUUAAAUAUUCGUUUCGUUAACAGCUCUAACUUAUGCCCUGAAUUUUACAAACGUGACUUGAAAUAUUAAUUACAAGAAUUUGGAUAAUGGAUGGUAUAAAAAUAAAUAUUAAUAUAUUUAUUUUUGUUACAUUUAUUUUUCCUAACAUGGCUGCACUUGAUAAACAAAAAAGAAUGGGCCUGAAAUACAAACUGGACCACGAUAAUUAUUUUGGACUACGGCUAGAGGAUCUUCAGCCCACAUGGAGUCAUAAAGCAGUUGAAAGUUGUUGGAUAAGUCAUGGAAUGGAUCGUAACUCGUAACAAUCUGCAGGAUUACAGAAGUACAAUUCAAAUAAGAAAAUGAGAUAAGGAGGCACCAAAAUUGGAGGCGGUUACAUGCACGUGGGUUGGUGGAGCAAAAGUAGGAAGGCUGGAGUUGUGGAAUAAACAGGAUUCUCAGCAAAAUAAUCACGAAAUAGGCGCUCAUGCCCCCUGGUUAUGAUUUCGACGAAUGAACUUGCGAUGUCGCCUGUUUUCAGAAUACUGUCUAUAAGCCCUUUCACUUUCAACAUCUGUAUCAUCUUUUGAAGAAAAGUAUGCUAAGAUUUUGCGAAACAAUGAUCUAACCAUUUAAUGAUAUGUGAUACCACAAAGAAAUUUCUACAAAUAUUUGAAAGAAUUACAAGUUAUUGAUGAACUGAUGAAAGAAAGGAGUAUAUGAGAUAGGAAUAUAUAUUACCGUUAUACAAAUUUAAAUUUUGUAAAAGAAGGAUACAUAAAAAAAAUAUUAAAAAAACAAUAUAGAGAUGGAGAUAAGGACUGGAAUGUGAUAACGUCUUAACAGAAAACUAAACUUUUGGGAUAAUUAUGGGAAAUUACUAUAUAUAGUAAGUUUUUGGGGUUAAAGAAAGAGACCCCAAUGAGAAUGCUCUAAAUAGUAGGUGUGUAAACGAAGAGAGGACAACAAUUCUUACUCGAAUUACAAUUUCAUCUUCAUCUCCUGUAAACCAUUCAUAUAGUGAAUAUUUUCUUUCGGCUGGGUAACCAAUCCCAUCCGCGGUUUUUACCCUACAUCGGGGGUUUUCCGCGUCACCAAAUAUUUGUCUCGUUUUAUUCAUUUUAUCGCUCAAAUUAAUUCACAUAUCAUUCACCCGUAUAAAAUUUCGUUAAAACACGUUGAUACACUUUAUUCUUCAUUUAUUGAUACUCAUGAAGUUAUUUGUUGGUCUUCCUUUCACUUGUGAGAAUUUCAUGCUUUAGAAUAGUUAUCAUUUGACUAAAUGUUCUUUCCAUCCGGACCGUUUCAUUCAUGAUUUAUUUGACAAUCAACUGUUAUUUUAAGAUCACUUCACUUGUUACGAAAUCUUAUCCGUUAAUAUAUAAAAUUUACUUUAAAAUAUUUUUAUAAUACUAUCAACUAGUAAGUAACCUAAUCAACAAAUACUCUUAUGAAUAUCACUCGCUGACUGGUUAAAAAUAAUUAUAAUUUAAUGCUAAUUAGUGAAUUAUUAUCAUUAAACCCAAGAUUAAGAUUGGCGAUUUCGGGUUUGGGACUGGGUACGGGUCGGGUUAACAGGCGCAAGUCGGUUUUUUAGCCAACUCGAACCUGACCGGAAUUUUAAUGGGUCACAAUAUUCAACUUGAACCGGACCCGAUCCAUAAUAUUUAUUAAUAAGAAUAUUUUUCAAAUAAUAAAUAAUUGUCAUUUUAAUUCAAGUAAAUUAAUUUCUAAUAAAUCAAAUAGUAUUUUAUUGAAUUUAACUAAUAGAUAUUAAAAAAUAAUAUAAAUAUAUGUAUUUUAUAUAAAUAUGUAGGAUUUUUAAAAAAUGUAUUCAUUUUCGGGUUAUUUCGGGUUAAUUUCGGGUAACCCGAUUUCAACCCGAAAAUGACCCGUUUUUUCUGGUUGAUUUUGGGUCAACCUGAAUAAUCAACCCGAAUUCUACCCAAAUCCGAAAAACUCCAACCUGAAUUCGUAUUUUAUGGGUCAAAUUCGUGUCGGUUACCAUAUUGCCACCCCUACUUAACAUAUAUUCCCAACAUAAUCCAUAUGAUAUAUAUGAUGCCCAUGAACCUAUAACCUCAUACCUUUUUAAAAAAAAAUAAUUGAUCACUUAGCAUAUACAAGUAUUUGUGUUUUGAACACACAAAAAAUCAUAAUAUACUACACCACUUUAUUAUUAUACCCUGACAUUGUGACCAACCAAAAAAAAAUAGAAAUUCAUAUAAAAAAUAUAAAUAUCUAGUUGACCUAUAUUUCUUACCUUUGCCUCACUUUUUAUUGAUUUGUUUUAUUUACGUACUUCAUUUUUAGGAUUGAAAAUUUUGCAUGACACUAAAGUUAACAAGAAGAUGUAUUAUUUGAGUUUGCGAUUUUAAAAUUCAAGCCCGUAUGAGUCAUUUAAAACUAAACCACAAAAUUAAUUCAUUUUUGUGUCAAAUCGAUCUAAAUCUAAAUAAUAUAAUAUUAAAUGUUAUAUGUAUAUGUUAUAGCGUUCUAUUUGUAAGCCCAUCCCACGGUCCAGCCCAAAUAUAUUGGCAAAAACCCUAUUUUUCUUCGAUCAUAUCUAUAUAUAUCCGCCGCCUCAUCAUUUUUAUGUGUUCUUAUAUCUUAACAUCUCUAUGAUUGUUUUCUCAGUUUUUUUCUUUUCAAACAUCUCUUCUCCAGUCUAUAUCAAGUGCUCAUAUCCAUGGUGAUACUACAUAUGCACACAAACAAAAUACUUAGCGUCACAAUAAUUUUGAUAUAUCGGUAAGUUACUGCUUUGACUUUUGAAACAAUAAUAUAUGAAUACAUACAUAUGCUGAUAUAGUAAAAAAUGUGCUAGAUCUAUCAACAACGUUGAAUACUUACUCAAUUUUCAUUGAAAUAAAAGCAAGUUUCAGAUUUGUUAUUUUAAAAUUGAAACGAAACAAGUUUGUGUAUGAUCCAAUUCGCAACACGCGCACACACGCACAUUGUUUGAAAUUAUUUUAUUUUAAAUUUUAGAUAUGUUUAGAUUUUAGUAAGUUACGGUUUUAAAUGAGUUUUGGGUAUUUAAUCUAGAAUUAAAUUGAAUCACAUUAUAACCCUGUAGUUUGAUAAUUAUUUAAAUUUUAAAUUUUUAUUAAAUCAAUUUCGGUUAAGAUUUUUAGUUUGCCGACAAUAAAAGAUUAGUUGACAACUCCAACAUAACACAUAACACAUAAGUUUAACCAUAUUUGAUAUCAUUUUUCUCCUCCAAAAUAUUUAUUGGCAUUAUUUUUACUAUCUCCAAUUUGGUUUAUGAAAUUUAUAUGAUUUAUAUACAUGAAUCUCUUGCAGUAAACAAUGAAGAAAGUGCUCCACGAAAGAUUAAAGUCUUCAUUUGAUUGGAUACAAUUUGCGGGUAAUAUUUUUUUCCUUUCAUAUACAUUUGUAUGACUUAUGAGUUAUUCAAAAUAUACGAUUUAGCAACCAAAUGCAAUUGGAUGGAACCAAGACCAGCCUUUGAUGCAAUUAAAAUUGACUUCGAUUUUUUUCAAAAAAAAAAUUGUAUUAGGGGGUUACAAUUAUAUAAGAAAAAUGGAAAAUAGUUUUUUAUUUACAAACCAUAUUUUUGUUAAUAUUUUAAUAAAAUCACAAAAAAAAUCUAAAAAUAAUAUUUUUGAUAAUUCUUCUUGUUUAUUCUCUUUAUAAUAGUUCAGAACAUUAUAUAAGUCAUAUAUAUAAUCAUAUUUUAAUUAUUUAUUAAUUCAUCUAAAUUUUAUAUAUUUAUAUCCAAAAUUGAUUUGUUACAUUUUCAUUAACAGGCAUUCGACCAAUAAUGAACCAAUUCUAGCCAGAUUUAGACAAUCCAUGAUACAUAACCUUUUAGUUUUAGUUACUCCGGGACCUAAAAAUGAUGUCAUUCACUAGAAAACCCUAGUGGACUCCAAGCAGUGCUGAUGAUGCAACAAGCGAGCUAGAUGAGAUGGAACAUCUAGCACAGAUUCUGAAUCUAUUUGAACCAACAAGACGUGAAGCUUCACGCCAUGUAGCUAGAGAAUUACUGAACCCCACACAAUUGCUUGAUAUAUUCAUGAACAAGAUAGUAUAAUGCUAUACAGGUGAAGCUUCGCGACAUAUAACAUUAUACUUACCAUGUUCAUAAUAUAUCAAGCAACUGUCUAGGGUUCAGUAAAUCUCUGGCUACAUAGCGUAAAUUUUCACGUGUAUAGGCUAAUCUUGUUGGUUCAAAUAGAUUUGGAAUCUGUGCUAGGUAUUCCAUCUCAUCUAGCUCGCUAGUUGCACCAUCAGCACAACCUGGAGUCGACAAGAGUUUUCUAGUGAAUGACAUCACUUUUAACUCCUCCGUAGCUGAAACUACAAGGUUCUGUAUCAUAGACUGUCUAAACCUGACUGGAGUUGGUUCAUUAUUGGCCGAGUCGAGGACAGCUCCUAAAGUAGUAAUACGAGUGACUGCAUCCCCUAGACACUUGGAGAAAGACAACAUAUAUCAAUUGGGAGAUUGAGACUGAAGUAACAUCACAAUGAUUUUAAUUAUCUUUCUUUCAUCUUCUUAAUUUUAUUGUUGUGUUAAUCUUUGAGAUGUUGAACUAAUUGUUAUUCAAGGCCUUGAUGGAUUCUUGAGUUAUAUAUAUAUAUAUAGGCUCAUGAUCAAAUAGAAACCACUUUUAAAAUAAAAACUAGAAACCAAUACAAGUUAGUGAUAUCCUCAGUACAAUUUAGUGAUAUUCUCUUUACGAUUUAGUGAUAUGUGUUGCACGAAUUAGUGAAAACUUGCGGAAACUGCCCAGAAUUUCUGAAUCUGUUCUAGUUGCCGAUUCAGGUGGUGGUUGCGGUGGUGGAGAUAAUGGAGGUGAAGGUGGAGAUGGAGGUGGUGGACAUGGAAGGAGCCUUUAGCUUUGUCCGGCAGAUUUUUGGCAAAGAUCUGGAAUUUAAAUCGGUAUUAAGCUAGAUAUACGGUACUGUAGGUGAGGAAGACCGAGGUGGAGGUGAGGACGAAGGUGCAGGUGGAGGUGGAGGUGGGGGUGGAAUGGAAGGGGCGGUGGAGGCCGGAGGGGGGUUGGAUUUGGUGGUGAUAUAAAUAAUGGAGGCCGACAUGGAGGUGGUGGCUAUGGAGGGUCGGGCGGCAUGGAGGUGGAGAGAGUAGCAGAGACUUGGCGGGGGUGGUAGGGUGAAGCUGCCGGAAGCGGGGUGGAGGGUUGGUGGGUUGGAGAAGAAGAAGGCAGAAAAUGGGGUUGUUUGAGAAUUUAGUGAUAUUCUCUUAGAAAUUUAGUGAUAGUUUCUAGUUUCUAGAAUAAGGAGGUUUCUAUUGGAGUAAAGCUCUCUCUCUCUCUAUAUAUAUAUAUAAGUGUGCGUUCUUCUUGAUUCUUAGAUUUAGUGUUCAUGUAAUUGAUUAUGUUGGUUUGUGUAUAAUGCUUCUGAAGGAGUAAUUAACUUUGAGAUUGAUUCAAUAAUCUUGGUGAUGCUUGGAAGAGACAACCUUAAUUAGACCCGAUCAAUUUAACUUGGGAUUGACAUAUUGUUAGUUUGUGUUCAUGAUAGGAAUGUACUUGAUCACCCCCAAAUAGUCAAAUUAGGAUCAUGUAUUCAUGCUGCUCAUGGAUUUAACACGUGAGAUACAGAAGGUCCUUGUGAAUAUAUGUGUACCUUAGACUAGCGGUUUGAACAUGAAAAUAGAGAUGAUGGAAGGUGCUUGUAAACUCAAGAUGGAGUUAAAGGUCUAGAUUUAAAUCUUGUUUCAUUCUUAGUCUUGUGUGUAUUUUCAUAUUAGUACUCCCUCUGUCCCAGUCAUUUGUAUACAAAUGGCUGGGACACGGAGACCAAGAAAUUGUUUAAGAAAUUAGUAAAGUUAGAUGAAAAGUGGGUAUAGUGGUGGGACCCAUGUAUAUUUAAUAAUAGAUUUGAGAUAGUGGAGAAAAGUAGUGGGUGUAAUAGUGUUUAUAUUAUUAUAGAAUGAAGAUAGUGGAGGAAAGUAGUUGGUGUAAUGAUAUUUUAUAGUAUUAUAAAAGUUUACUAUUUUUGGAAUGUAUACAAUUGAUGGGACGUCUCAAAAAGGAAACUGUAUACAAUUCACUGGGACGGAGGGAGUAGUAGUUUAUGAUAAAAUUUUCAUCAUAGUUUAUUUAACUUGGAUUGGGCGAACGAUAGUGAAUGGUAAUUAGCACUUAGCAGCUCAAAUUAAACUCGUGAGAAUGAAUUAAUAUACUACUUGUUGGGAUAAGUACACUUGAGUUAAAGUUGCAAAAUCGCUAACACCUACAAAAUAUAAUUGUAAGAGAUAAAUCUUUGUAAUUGUCGUUUAUUCAAAUUAUCCAUCACUCGUUGAUUGAUCUUAAUAUAGAUGAACGAUGAGCUCAAUGAAUCCACGAUCUGCUAUCUAGGAAAGGAAUUAAGAAACUUCUUUAACAUGAAUACAUGAUGACAAAUAGAAAAACUUGAUGAACUCCUUUUCAGUUAAAUUUAAAUAUCCUUUUUGUACCAGUAGACUCCUUUAGUCUCACCUUCAUCUUUCUCCACGUAAAUGCAUUCCUUCAUUUCUCUGUACAUUGCCUUGAGAAUUGGAGUUCCAUCAUACUGAUAAUAAUCACCCAAUAGAGGCUUCAUGGCCUCUGUGGCUUCGAGUCCGUGGUAAUGUGGGAUCAUGGAGAAUAUGUGGUGACAGACAUGAGCAUUGCAGACAUUGUGGAACACCUUGUUCAAUAUUCCAUAGUCUCUGUCGACAGUGCAUAGAGCUCCCCUCAACCAAUCCCAUUCGGUUGAAUCGUAGUAAGGCACAGAGGGAUGAGUAUGGUUGAGGAUGGUGAUCAAUGUGAACCAUCCAUUGACAACAAGCAAUGGACCUCCAUAAACACAGAAAACCCAGACAAAUCCUUUGGCUAAUACUAGAUUGUAUAGGCCAUAGAUGACUGCAAGAAUGGCAACAUCAGAAACAAUGAUUUGUUUGCGUUCACGUUCUGUGUAAAGAGGGCUAUGGGGAUCAUAGUGUGAAGUCCACCUCUCAUACUUGUGUCCAGAAACAUUGAACAUCAGGUACAAAGGGAAGCCUAUGAGGAGUGUGGUAACCCACACAAGGACACGGCCAGGUGGGUUGUUGAAAAUUUUGUAGUAAUUCCUGAUGUUGGACUUGAACCUCGGGACAUAAACCUCGUCGUUCUCAAGAGAUUGAGUGUUGGCGUGGUGACGUCUGUGGCUAAUUUUCCAAGAGAAGUAAGGGACCAUGAGAGAAGAGUGGACAACAAGGCCGACAAGGUCAUUGAUCCAGCCAUAGUCACUGAAGGCAUCAUGAUCACACUCAUGGCCUACGACCCAAGCCCCAGUCAAGACACAACCUUGGACAGCAAUGUAAGCCGCCCAUCCCAAGUAAUUAAGAGGAUGCGGAAGGUACUGGUCUAUGUAAUUCGUGGCAACAUAGUAAAGGGCAUAGGCCAUGAGGAGAUCUUGAAUGAGAUAACGAAAAGAAGUGAUGAGGGAUUUUUCAAAGCAAUGAGCAGGAAUGGCUUUCUUAAGGUCACCUAUGGUGAAAGGAGGUUUCUCAUGAGGAGCACGUCGAAGUGCUUCUGUUUCAGUUUUUUUGGCCUUAGGAGGAUCCGACAUUCGACCACCUGCACCCAUUGUUCCUGAUUACUGAAUGCCUUCAAUAUAAUCAGGAAGUAAAAUAAUUGAGUUGUGUUGGCUGUUUGAUGAAGUUUGGUGGUGUUUAGUUGAAGCUGAAGCUCUGAGUAUUUAUAAUGAAGAUAUCAUUGUAAAAUUUUAUUGGAACGGCUCGUGUUGUGGACUGUGGUGGCCUAUAGCGCCCGCCACACUUGAGUUUUCAACGUGCAAAAUAUUAUUCUUCUACUUGAAUCUGGUGUUCUGCAAGAUAUUAGUUGCCCUGUCAUGAUAAUUUGCAAAUAAGGUCAAAUAAAUUCUCAGUCUCAUAAGGCUACUCCAGGACACCACUCUUGAGUCCUUAUUGGCAGCUAUUCUUUAUUGAUUAAUGCAUUGGUAGAUUUACUUUUAGAAUAUAAAAAUAUAAUUUUAAAGUAAAGGGAUAGUGGGAUUUUAUACUAAAAGCUUAAAAAGAUUGCACUUUGCUAUCUUUGUAUCAUUUAUCAACUUCUUGCAGGUUACUUAGCAUGCCUCGUAUAGAACUCCCGCUGUUAAGAAAUACUAAACUUAAAGUGUUUUUAAUUUCAAUUUUAUUAAAAAAUUUGAUUACAUCAACAUAUUAUGAAAAACAGUUUCGAAUUUGAUGUUAUCAAGACUAGUUGGUAUUAUUAGGAAAAAUUGUUAGUAUUGCCUUUUGGGAUAUAUAUCAUGGAUUGGUUGAGCAUGACUAAACAAGACUGUUUUCUCAUAAUAUAUAGUUUUUCCCAUUUUAUGAAUGGCCAAGUAGCAAAACAUAUUGUUCAGAUUUUCUUGCAGAAGCACAAGACAAUGGUAGAUGUGUGGUGUGAAAUUCGAGGGAUUCCAGACCUCUUCUGGUGAGAUUCGCUCAUCAUCUUUAUUAACAGUUACUCUUAUGUGACAACAAAUCAGCUCCGCACAUAUGUGUUGAGAGGACUAAUAAGUGGUUUUAGUUUUAAUUUUAUUAGUGAUUACAUCAACAUAUUUGUGAAAUACAGUUUUGAAUUUGAUGUUAUCCAGACUAGUUAGUAUUAUUAGGAAAAAAGAAGUUAGUAUUACCUUUUGGGAUAUAUCAUGCAUUGGUUCAGCAUGACUAAACCAGUCUGUUUUUUCAUAAUAUAUCAUUUUUCCCAAUUUAUGAAUGGCUAAGAAACAAAACAUAUUGUUUAGAUUUUCUUAUAGAGCAUAAGGCAAUGGUAGAUGUGUGGUGUAAACUUCAAGUGAUUCCGGACCUCUUCUUCUAGUGAGAUCUGCUUAUCAAUUUUAUCAACGGUUACUCUUAUGUGACAACAAAUCAGCUCUGCAUUGCUCAUAAUCAUAUAUACGUAUUUAGAGGACUAAUAAUUUUUUUAUCAUGUUGCAAGCUAUAAAUUAACAAAAUGAUAUCACCAUUGCUGCUGAUAUAAGCAUUCAUCAAUAGGUUGUUCAUCUGUUCUGGCACCAAAACUUUAUAUAUUACUUGGUGCUCUGUGGCAGGCUACUUUCUAAGAUUGGAAUUUUCAAUCUCUUUUAACCCUCAAAUCUUUACAUGAAAUGAUACGAUCGAUUAAUCAUGUCAAACAUUAACAAGACUAGUGAAGCAAAAGCAAGAGUAGCUGAUCUCUCUCAAUUUCUUUAUAUAAACAAAUUAUAUAUUAGAUAUAAUCAUCUUUAACAUUUUUAAGUUUUUCAACACAUAAUGAGAUUGUCCUUGUUCAAUAAAUAAACCAGCAUGCUCUAAGAUGUUUCUGAAUCUUAAUCAUCCACUGGAAGAAGGAUUACUGUAUCAGGCAUAUUAAAGGCACAUGCUCUUUCCCACAGACUAAAUCACUAAGAUCAUAGUUUUUAAUAAUGUCAAUAUUUCAUAAAUUUUCAUAAAUGGAAUUUUCUUUUUUGCCAAAUUAAUUUUUAUUAUGUCUCAUAAAACUAUCUGUUACUCCUUUUGCAAAUAAGGAAAAAUUCAACCAGGGACUAUGAACGGGCAAGCAUGGAAAGGCCUCAUCUUUAAAACUCUGAAUCAUCUCUUCCUAAAAACUUCAACUCUUCUGGAAAACUUUCUGAAAAUGGAAAAAAAAAAAUAAAAAUAUUUUACCUUCGAGUUAACUAAGCGAACUCAAAUGCACCAUUGGUUGCCUUUUCGAUACAGAACUACCUUUAUCCUUCUAAAUUUUAGUUUCAUGCAAAGCACAAAAAUGUUUUGAGAUUAUACACACAUUCAACAUAAGUAAUUUAUUUUUGUAGAGUACUAAUUGUAUUAACCCCACAAACAAAAUACACAGGGCAUGCCCUACUAAAAGUGGAGCAAACUCAUCCUACAAGAGGUCUCACAAGAAAGCCUGUGAGAGUGAGACCACCUUGACAGAGAACCAUAUCUCUUUGUCUUGAACUUAAAGGAAAUUUUAUCAUUGUUUAAAUUCCCAUAUUAUUUUGAAACAUUUGAAAAGCAUUUCUUAAUAUUUUAGUUACAUUUAUUUUCUAUCUUUGUACAAGAUUCCAGCCUGCCUUUUAAGGGAAAUGAGCUUUUCUUCCUGAUACAGUUCUGGCCUUUAAGCUUAGGAAAGUUUUUGGUCAAUAAUCAAAGGUGCUCUCCCUCUCAGGUGUUUGAUUAAAUUUCAUAUCUUUCUUUUUUUUUAUGUUGGUUUGUAGUACUUUGUGUUUGAUUGUCUCAGAAAAACUGAGGUUCACUGUAAUAUGUUUCAUGGAAUAUUUGCAGCAUCCACAAUGGGGACCUCCACUCAUUUUACAAAGUAUGUUCUUGGACAAUCAUAAUUUCAUUGAUGCAAUCAUACUAGGCUACAUUACAACUUACAAAUUAUCCACUGCUUGUGGACUCAUCUUAUUCAAAAUGAGCAAUAAACUAAUGAACCUACAACAUGCUAUCUAAGGAAAUGUAGAAAAUUGCAACAUGGGAAUGAGUAGAGAAAGGAGUCAAUAUCGUUUUCAGUUUCAAAUGUCCUUUCUGUACCAGUAGACCCCUUUGGUCUCUCCUUCAUCUUUCUCGACGUAAAUGCAUUCCUUCAUUUCUCUGUACAUUGCCUUAAGAAUCGGAGUUCCAUCGUAUUGAUAAUAAUCACCCAAUACAGGCUUCAUGGCCUCUGUGGCUUCGAGUCCGUGGUAAUGUGGGAUCAUGGAGAAAAUGUGGUGGCAAACAUGAGCAUUGCAUACAUUGUGGAAUACCUUGUUCAAAAUCCCAUAGUCUCUGUCAACGGUACAGAGAGCUCCCCUCAACCAAUCCCAUUCUGAUGAAUCGUAGUAAGGGACAGAUGGAUGAGUAUGAUUGAGGAUUGUGAUCAGUGUGAACCAUCCGUUAACAACUAGCAAUGGACCUCCAUAAACACAGAAGACCCAUGCAAAUCCUUUGAUUAAUACGAGACGGUAUAGACCAUAGAUGACAGUAAGAAUGGCAACAUCAGAAACAAUGAUCUGUUUACGCUCACGUUCUGUGUACAGAGGGCUAUGGGGAUCAUAGUGUGAAGUCCACCUCUCAUACUUGUGUCCCGAAACAUUGAACAUCAAGUAUAAAGGAAAACCUAUGAGGAGAGUGGUAACCCACACAAGCACACGGCCAGGAGGAUUGUUGAAAAUUUUGUAGUAGUUCCUGAUGUUAUACUUAAAUCUAGGGACAUAAACCUCAUCGUUCUCAAGGGAUUGAGUGUUGGCGUGGUGACGUCUAUGGCUAAUUUUCCAAGAGAAGUAAGGGACCAUGAGAGAAGAGUGGACAACAAGGCCAACAAGGUCAUUCACCCAACCAUAAUCACUGAAGGCAUCAUGAUCACACUCGUGGCCUACGACCCAAGCCCCGGUUAAGACACAACCUUGGACAGCAAUGUAAGCUGCCCAACCUAAGUAAUUAAGAGGAUGUGGAAGGUACUGGUCUAUGUAAUUUGUGGCAACAUAGUAAAGGGCAUAGGCCAUGAGGAGAUCUUGAAUGAG
Molecule: long non-coding RNA, 287319 nt
Filed under: Daucus carota (carrot)
Lineage: Eukaryota; Viridiplantae; Streptophyta; Magnoliopsida; Apiales; Apiaceae
Source: RNAcentral